Molecule: long non-coding RNA, 186838 nt
Filed under: Triticum aestivum (bread wheat)
Lineage: Eukaryota; Viridiplantae; Streptophyta; Magnoliopsida; Poales; Poaceae
Description: long non-coding RNA (TAES_LNC009704)
Rfam family: MIR1120/MIR1122 microRNA precursor family (bases 98410-98495)
Source: RNAcentral
AGCAACAAACAUUUCCACCACAACAACCAUAUCCGCAGCCGCAACCAUUUCCAGGACAACAACCAUAUCCGCAGCCGCAACUAUUUCCACAGCCGCAACCUUUUCCGCCACAACUUCCAUAUCCGCAGCCGCAACCAUUUCCCCCACAACAACCAUAUCCACAACCGCAAACACAUCAUCUGCAACCACAACAACCAAUUUCGCAGCAACAAGUACAACAACAACAACAACAACAACAACAACAACAACAACAACAACAACAACAACAACAACAACAACAACAACUACUACUACAACAACAAAUCCUUCAACAAAUUCUGCAACAACAACAACUGAUUCCAUGCAGGGAUGUCAUCGUCUUGCAACAACACAACAUAGCGCAUGAAAGCUCACAAGUAUUGCAGCAAAGUAGUUACCAAGUGUUGCAACAAUUAUGUUGUCAGCAGCUGCGGCUGAUCCCCGAGCAGUCGCGGUGCCAAGCCAUCCACAAUGUCGUUCAUGCUAUUAUUCUACAUCAACAACAACAACAACAACAACAACAACAACAACAAGGACAACAUCAACCGUCGAGCCAGGUCUCCUACCAGCAGCCUCAGCAACAAUAUCCAUCAGGCCAGGGCUCCUUCCAGCCAUCUCAGCAAAAUCCACAGGCCCAGGGCUUUGUCCAACCUCAACAUCUGCCCCAACUCGAGGAAAUAAGUAACCUAGCGCUGCAGACGCUACCAGCAAUGUGCAAUGUCUACAUCCCUCCAUAUUGCUCGACCACCAUUGCGCCAUUUGGCAUCUUCGGUACUAACUGAGAAGAGAAGAACUCUAGUACUAGAUAUAUGAAACACCGUGUUCUUAGUCCAUGGUUUGGUCGUUGUACCGUUGAAAAUAUAAGGUGACAUGCACUAUCAUGUAAGAACCCGAACUAUACUAGUUCAAACAUGGGAAUAAAAGACAAACACAUGUCUUGUCUGCAUAUGAUUGUUUAUUUGAGUUCCAUUCCUAUGCCCAUUCACAAGUUCACCCGUAAUUAUAUAUAUUACACAUUAAGUAGAUAUUUAUGUUGCAUUAAUAUGAAGAUAACAAAAUGAGUCUGAAACUUGAAUUAAAUUGAAGUAUUUUCUUGGACUUUCAAAUUGUGUAUUAUUAAAGUAGUAAGGAUUAUCCACAUCCUUGGCUUGCCCUUCAUCAAUUAUUCCCAGAGAAGCUUUCAGUUCAUAAAUCAAUUACAUUGAUUUUUGUGAAUGGUACAUCUCCUCAUCACGAGUAUCAUUACGGCUACUCCAAAUCGCUCACAUAACCGAAGCAUUAAUAGCGCCCUUCUUGCAUCCGGAAAUAUGGAUCGAAGAUAUCACUUGACCAUGUUUCCAGGUGCAACCUUGGGAUUUUUAUGUCAAAAUAUUCUCAAGCAAAAUCCAAGAAUAAACUUGCAUGCUCACGUGUGAUGAGGGCAGAUGAAGUAACAUUUCCUCCCCAUGGCCACACAUAGGGCACACACAUAACCCCAUCACAUGCCUUUUUAGUUAUGCAUAUGAAAGGUAGGAUGUUUUUAAUUACUCUCUACCAAAAUACUCUUAACUUGGCUUGUACCCUAAUAUUUCGUUGCCUUUUCAAUUGUUCUUCCCCAUUAGACAAAGUAGACAGUCCAUCUACCACACCGUACCUUGUGUCCAUCAUUGCUCUGUACAACAAUUGAACAGAACAAAUGUCAUUUCUUUACGAUACCCACGACCAAAUGUCCUUUGCUGGAUUGUUUGGUCGUGGCAUAUUAAGGAUGGCCACCUCAUCUCAUGGGGUAAACACCUAAUGAAUGAAAGGAUUGUUCUAGUCGCCCGUGUUUUUCAUCGAUAAGAUCAUCUACAAGUUGGACCGAAGUUUCUCACAUGCAUCAUAGUGGUUUCAUUAGCGGCGUGCCCUGCACCCAUUUAUCACGUCGUAUCUCUGUAGUAUGUGCAUUCCCAAUUUGUCACAGCAUACCCUCCUUCAAACCUUCUUUCCCUUUCAGAUUAGCACGCCAAGUUAGCUAUGCACUAUGCGGGAACCAGCAUUUGAAAAAAAAGAAUCUCAUUUCAUGGUAUCUUCCAUGAAGGACCCUCGUACAUUAGCUAUCUAGGUAGAAAUAGCCAUGUAUGUUUGGCAAACUUUGCAUAAGUGAAUAGAUCAAGGUCGUGGAACCCCAAGCCUCCAAUUACACACGGCCUCUCUACCAAUAAGAUCUCCAAAGACAUCAAGGAUACAGACAGCCAAAAAAGAAAAUAAAAAGAAAAAAAAUAAAAAAUACCCUGCCAUGGUGAUCAAUCACAAGCAUCAGCAGCACUCUAACCACCACCAAAGACAAUGCCCAGAUUACAAAAAAAAAUUAUCCAAAAACAAUGCCCCCAAGAAGGAAACAAUACACAAGCGUUGUCGUUGCCCGAUCGAAGAUCGUGGGUUUUCACCCUGGAAAAUUUUUGAGUUCACCCAAAAACAAUGCCUUCAACAAGGCCAUUGCCAAGUACAACAAAUAUGGUCGAGACCUUGGGUUUUCACCCUAGGAAUUGAGACUCGAUGCUCGAGGAGUACCAGCAAAAAUGCAGUCCACUAGUGUUGCCGCCCCCACUUGGCAAGGCCACUGUUGCAAGUCACCAAACACCUGGCAUAUAGUUGUCAUCGCAUCCAAUACACCCUUCGGCCGAAGCUUCAAGACCUUGAUCCGUCUCCAGCGUAUCUAUAAUUUUUGAUUGUUCCAUGCUAUUAUAUUAUCUGUUUUGGAUGUUUUAUAUGAUUAUUAUGGUAUUUUAUAUGAUUUUUGGGACUAACCUAUUAAACUAGAGCCCAGUGUCAGUUCCUGUUUUUUCCUUGUUUUAGAGUUUCGUAGAAAAGGAGUACCAAACGGAGUCCAAACGGAAUUAAACUUUUGCGAUGAUUUUUCUUAGACCAGAAGACAUCUAGAGGACUUGGAGUGCAUGUUAGGAAAGCCACGAGGCUGCCACAACGACAGAGGUGCGCCCCCACCCUUGUGGGCCCCUCGUGACUCUACCGACAUAUUUCUUCCGCCUAUAUAUUCUCAAAUAUUCCAAAACAUACUAGGAGAGCCACAAAAACACUUUUCCACCGCCGCAACCUUCUGUACCCGUGAGAUCCAAUGUAGGGGCCUUUCCCGGCAUCCUGUCGGCGGGGGAUUCGAUCACUUAGGGCUUCUACAUCAACACCAUUGCCUCUCCGAUGAAGCGUGAGUAGUUUACCACAGACCUAUGGGUCCAUAGCUAGUAUCUAGAUGGCUUCUUCUCUCUCUUUGAUUCUCAAUACCAUGUUCUCCUCGAUGUUCUUGGAGAUCUAUUCGAUGUAAUACUCUUUUUGCGGUGUGUUUGCCAAGAUCCAAUGAAUUGUGGAUUUAUGAUCAGGUUAUCUAUGAGUAUUAUUUGAAUCUCCUAUGAAUUCUUAUAUGCAUGAUUUGAUAUCUUUGCAAGUCUCUUCGAACUAUCGAUUUGGUUUGGCCAACUAGAUUGGUUUUUCUUGCAAUGGGAGAAGUGCUUAACUUUGGGUUCAAUCUUGCGGUGCUCGAUCCCAGUGACAGAAGGGGAUGAUACGUCCCCAACGUAUCUAUAAUUUUUGAUUGUUCCAUGCUAUUAUAUUAUCAACCUUGGAUGUUUUAUAUGCAUUUAUAUGCUAUUUUAUAUGAUUUUUGGGACUAACCUAUUAACCCAGAGCCCAGUGCUAGUGCCAGUUUCUGUUUUUUCCUUGUUUUAGGGUUUCGAAGAAAAGGAAUAUCAAAUGGAGUCCAAACGGAAUGAAACCUUCAGAAAAUUUAUUUUUGGAAAGAAAGUAAUACGGGAGACUUGGAGUGCACGUCCGGGGAUCAACGAGGAAGCCACGAGGCAGGGGGCGCGCCCACCCCUCUUGGGCGCGCCCUCCACCCUCGUGGGCCCCUCGUGGCUCCCCAAAUGUAUUUCUUCCGCCUAUAUAUAUCCAUAUACCCCAAAACGACCGGGGAGCACAAUAGAUCGGGAGUUUCUCCGCCAGAAGCCUCCGUAGCCACCGAAAGCUAAUCUAGACCCGUUCCGGCACCCUGCCGGAGGGGGAAUCCCUCUCCGGUGGCCAUCUUCAUCAUCCCGGUGCUCUCGAUGACGAGGAGGGAGUAGUUCUCCCUCGGGGCUAAGGGUAUGUACCAGUAGCUAUGUGUUUGAUCUCUCUCUCUCUCUCUCUCUCUCUCUCUCGUGUUCUUGAGGUGAUACGAUCUUGAUGUAUCGCGAGCUUUGCUAUUAGAGUUGGAUCUUAUGUUGCUUCUCCCCCUCUACUCUCUUGUAAUGGAUUGAGUUUCCCCUUCGAAGUUAUCUUAUCGGAUUGAGUCUUUAAAAAUUUGAGAACACUUGAUGUAUGUCUUGCCGCGUGUAUCUGUGGUGACAAUGGGAUAUCACGUGAUUCACUUGAUGUAUGUUUUCGUGAUCAACUUGCGGGUUCCGCCCAUGAACCUAUGCAUAGGGGUUGGCACACGUUUUCGUCGUGAUUCUUUGGUAGAAACUUUGGUGCACUCUUUGAGGUUCUAUGUGUUGGUUGAAUAGAUGAACUUGAGAUUGUGUGAUCCAUAUCAUAUAAUCAUACCCACGGAUACUUCAGGUGACAAUGGAGUAUCUAGGUGACAUUAGGGUUUUGGUUGAUUUGUGUCUUAAGGUGUUAUUCUAGUACGAACUCUAGGGCUGUUUGUGACACUUAUAGGAAUAGCCCAACGGAUUGAUUGGAAAGAAUAACUUUGAGGUGGUUUCGUACCCUACCAUAAUCUCUUCGUUCGUUCUCUGCUAUUAGUGACUUUGGAGUGACUCUUUGUUGCAUGUUGAGGGAUAAUUAUGUGAUCCAAAUAUGUUAUUAUUGUCGAGAGAACUUGCACUAGUGAAAGUAUGAACCCUAGGCCUUGUUUCGACGCAUUGCAAUACCGUUUACGCUCACUUUUAUCAUUAGUUACCUUGCUGUUUUUAUAUUUUCAAAUUACAAAAACCUUUAUCUACCAUCCAUAUACCACUUGUAUCACCAUCUCUUCACCUAUACAAUUUACCAUUGUAUUGGGUGUGUUGGGGACACAAGAGACUCUUUGUUAUUUGGUUGCAGGGUUGCUUGAGAGAGACCAUCUUCAUCCUACGCCUCCUACGGAUUGAUAAACCUUAGGUCAUCCACUUGAGGGAAAUUUGCUACUGUCCUACAAACCUCUGUACUUGGAGGCCCAACAACGUCUACAAGAAGAAGGUUGUGUAGUAGACAUCAAGCUCUUUUCUGGCGCAGUUGCCGGGAAGGUGAGUGCUUGAAGUUAUAUCUUUAGAUCUUGCAAUCGAAUCUUUUUGUUUCUUGUUUUAGCACUAGUUUAGUUUAUAAAAGAAAACUACAAAAAAACGGAAUUGAGUUUACCUCACACGCUUCAUCUUUUUAAUAUCUUUCGUGAGUAUGAUGGAAAGAAAAAUUGUGCCAAAGUGUUAGAAGAAGAAUGCAUUAAACUGUUUGGCAUUAAAUAUUUGAAUGAUGAGCAUUAUUGCAAUGUUGUUAGUAUGAAUUCCUUGAAUAUCCAUAGUACUAAUGAUGAUUGCACUAGUUAUGAUGAAAAUGUCUCAUGUAAACAUGUCAAUUUUUGUGGAGUGCAUUGGGUUUGCAAGUACACACCAAUUAGGGAAGAUAGAUUUUGCAAGAGGCAUAAGUACUUAGAAACUAAAUUGUUGCAAGAAAGGCUAGAUGAAUGUGCUGAAAAUUUAAAUUUUCUUGGCCAUACUUGUGAGCUUUGCAAUGAACAUGGUUAUUUAACCAUCCGAUGCAAAUUGUUUCAUGAUCUAAUCGUUUCCAAAAAUUGUGAUGACUUGAUUUCCCUUGCACAUCAUAAUGAACUUAGUUUGCUUAUGGGUUAUGAGGAAAUGAAAUGUAUAACUAACUAUCUUCCAGUAUUUUCCCAUGAUAAACUUCUUGGAUUUGACCUAGAGGAAAUUUAUAUGUAUUGUGCGGUGAAUUGCAUUGAAAACCCCUAUAUUGUCAAUUACAUAAAGAAAAGAAAACAAAUAGAGGAUGAACAGAAUACUAAUGAAAGGGAAGAGACCUCCCAAUAUCCUCCUAUUAUUUCUUAUGAUGAACCAGGUAACGAGGAGGAGCCUCCUAUUCAACCAAUCUCAUUAAUAAGGAGCUCCAAAAAGAGGAUUGAACCCACACACGAUGUAGUGAAGAAGAAGAAAAGAAAGAGGAAGAGAGGUAAAAAGAUAUCUCUCCCAAAUAAUGCUGCUCCUAUUACUAUUGUGCCUCAUGAAAAUAUAAUUGUGGAAAAUAAUGAUACUUCUUAUGAUCUUGAAAAUCCUUUUGUCACUUGCUUGGAAGAAUAUGAUAAUUGCUAUACUAUUGGUGCUAUCCAUACUAUUAAUGAUGAGAGUGAUUAUGCUUAUGAUAUGAAAAGGCCCAAGCUUUGGGAUGCUAUGUUUGAUGAAGAUGAUGUUUUUGAGAAUAUAUUUGCUACAAUUAAUGUUUGUCCCAAGCUUGGGGAUGCUAUGUUUAAUCAAGAUGAUAUUUUUAGUCUCCCAAGUUUUGAUAUGCAAAUUUAUAAUGAUGAUAGCAUGCCUCCUACUUAUGAUGAUUAUUGUGAUGAUACUUAUGCUAUAAAAAGUAAUGAUUAUAUUUAUAAAACUUGUCAUGAUUAUGGUUACCCCUUUUCUGAACAUUACUCUUUUAAUGUGGAAACAAUUUAUAGUAUUCGAGUUUCUUAUGAUACUCCCACUAUUCCGAAUGAGAAGAAUUUUGCUUGUGUAGAGAGUAAUAAAAUUUCUAUGCUUGUAGAUCAUGAAAAGAAUGCUUUAGGUGCUGGUUAUAUUUUUGAAUUCAUUCAUGAUGCUACUGAAAAUUAUUAUGAGGGAGGAACAUAUGCUUGUAGGAAUUGCAAUAAUAUCAAGUUUCCUCUCUAUGUGCUUAAAGUUUUGAAGUUAUGCUUGUUUUGCCCUCCUAUGCUAGUUGAUUAUUGUUCCCAUAAGUUGUUUGCUCACAAAAUUCCUACACAUAGGAAGUGGGUUAGACUUACAUGUUCUAGUCAUAUGCUUCAUGAUGCUCUCUUUAUGUUUCAAUUCUUAUCUUUUAUGUGAGCAUCAUUGAAAUCGUCAUGCCUAGCUAGGGGCGUUAAACGAUAGCGCUUGUUGAGAGGAAACCCAACUUUAUUUUUGUUCCUUGAUUUUUGCUCCUGUCUAGCAAUAAAUAAUUUAUCUAGCAUCUGUUAUGAUUGAGUUUUUAUGUUAGAACCGUUGGGAAGACUUGGGGAAAGUCUUGGCGAUCAUGCUGUAAAAAAACAGAAACUUUAGCGCUCACGAGAAUUGCUGACAUUUUUUAUUGGAGAGUGCUAUUUGGUUAAUUAUUUUUGCAGAUGAUUAAUAGAUAAAUUCCUCACGUCCAGCAAUUUAUUUUAGAAUUUUUGAGGCUCCAGAAGUUUGCGUUAGUUACAGAUUACUACAGACUGUUCUGUUUUUGACAGAUUCUGUUUUUCGUGUGUUGUUUGCUUAUUUUGAUGAAUCUAUGGCUAGUAAAAUAGUUUAUAAACCAUAGAGAAGUUUUAAUACAGUAGGUUUAACACCAAUAUAAAUAAAUAAUGAGUUCAUUACAGUACCUUUAAGUGGUGUUUUAUUUUCUUUCGCUAACGGAGCUCACGAGUUUUCCAUUUUAAGUUUUGUGUUGUGAAGUUUUCAAGUUUUGGGUAAAGAUUUGAUGGAUUAUGGAAUAAGGAGUGGCAAGAGAAUAAGCUUGGGGAUGCCGAAGGCACCCCAAGGUAAUAUUCAAGGACAACCAAAAGCCUAAGCUUGGGGAUGCCCCGGAAGGCAUCCCCUCUUUCGUCUUCGUUCAUCGGUAACUUUACUUGGAGCUAUAUUUUUAUUCACCACAUGUUACGUGUUUUGCUUGGAGCGUCAUUUUAUUUCAUUUUUUUGCUUGCUGUUUGAAUAAAGUAUCAAGAUAUGAAAUUAUUAAGUGGGAGAGUCUUCACAUAGUUGCAUAAGUAUUCGACUACUCAUUGAUCUUCACUUACAUCUUUCAGAGUAGUUUGUCAUUUUCUCUAGUGCUUCACUUAUAUCUUUUGAGAGCACGGUGGUGGUUUUAUUUUGUAGAAAUAGAUGAACUCUCGUGCUUCACUAAUAUUAUUUUGAGAGUCCUCAGAACAGCAUGGUAAUUUGCUUUGGUUAUGAAUUUAGUCCUAAUAAGAUGGGCAUCCAAGAGGGAUAUAAUAAAAACUUUCAUAUAAGUGCAUUGAAUACUAAGAGAAGUUUGAUACUUGAUGAUUGUUUUGAGAUAUGGAGAUAGUGAUAUUAAAGUUGUGCUAUUUGACACUACUAGGAAAAGGCCUACUAAUGGCGCACCAGUUUUGCCUACUAAUGGCGCAUCACUGGUGCGCCAUUACUAGCACGCCAUUAGUAAUUUUUAGUAAUGGCGCACCACUGGUGCGCCAUUAGUAUCGGCCACGGUGCGCCAUUCGUAUAGGCCACUGGUGCGCCAUUAGUAUAGGCCACGGUGCGCCAUUAGUAUUUUUGGAUUUUGAAGGCGGGAAAAUAGUAGUGGCGCACCGUCUAACCCCCACCGUGCGCCAUUACUAUUUUUGAAUUUUGAAUUUGGAUCUGGAUCGUGAUUUUUUUGCCCAUUUUUUGCUCGUUUUUUUGCUCGUUUUUUGGCACAAUAUUAUUUCAAAUUUUGUUCUUGUUUUUGGAUCUUGUACGUUCUUUUGCCGUGUUCUUUUGCCGGAGAGGAGUUCGCCGGAGAGGAGGAGGAGGAGGUCACCGGAGAGGCGCUCGCCUACAUCGCCGGAGAGGAGGAGGAGGUCGCCGGAGAGGAGUUCACCGAAGCAUCGGAGAGGAGGAAGGAGAAACCAUGAGGGAAUGGGAGGAGAGGAGGGAGGAGAAACCAUGAGGGGAGGGGAGGAGAGGAGGGAGNNNNNNNNNNNNNNNNNNNNNNNNNNNNNNNNNNNNNNNNNNNNNNNNNNNNNNNNNNNNNNNNNNNNNNNNNNNNNNNNNNNNNNNNNNNNNNNNNNNNNNNNNNNNNNNNNNNNNNNNNNNNNNNNNNNNNNNNNNNNNNNNNNNNNNNNNNNNNNNNNNNNNNNNNNNNNNNNNNNNNNNNNNNNNNNNNNNNNNNNNNNNNNNNNNNNNNNNNNNNNNNNNNNNNNNNNNNNNNNNNNNNNNNNNNNNNNNNNNNNNNNNNGGAGAGGAGAAGGAGGUCGCCGGAGAGGAGGAGAUGGAGUGGAGGAGAGGAGGAGAUGGAGUGGAGGAGAGGAGAGGAGGAGAUGGAAUGGAGGAGAGGUGGAGUGGAGGAGGUGCGCCCAGCCAUGUAUACGACAUAGUAAUGGCGCACCGUGGGCAGGUGCGCCAUUACUAACUUUUUUUAUUUUUUGAUUUAUUUUGAAUUUUGAAGGCGGGAAGAUACUAAUGGCGCACCGUGGGCAGGUGCGCCAUUAGUAACUUUUUUUUUAUUUUUGACUAAUUUUGAAUUUUGAAGGCGGGAAGAUACUAAUGGCGCACCGUGGGCAGGUGCGCCAUUAGUAACUUUUUUUGACUAAUUUUGAAUUUUGAAGGUGGGAAGAUACUAAUGGCGCACCACGGGGUGGUGCGCCAUUAGUAACUUUUUUUUAUUUUGUUGACUUAUUUUGAAUUUUGAAGGCGGGAAGAUACUAAUGGCGCACCAUGGGCAGGUGCGCCAUUAGUAAGUUUGAAUUAUUUUUAAUUUUUUUGCCUCUCCAGAUCUUAAAAGCCCCAUAUAUUUUUUUCUGUUAGGUUUUUGAGGAUUUUAAAAAUGUUUAACGGAUUCCCCGGUUAAAUUUGGAUGUAACUUUUCGAGUAGAUGAUUUUUCAUAUAAAAAACUUUUUCAUCCGAGUUAGUAUGCAAAAGUUAUGCCCAUUUUUACAAAUUNNNNNNNNNNNNNNNNNNNNNNNNNNNNNNNNNNNNNNNNNNNNNNNNNNNNNNNNNNNNNNNNNNNNNNNNNNNNNNNNNNNNNNNNNNNNNNNNNNNNNNNNNNNNNNNNNNNNNNNNNNNNNNNNNNNNNNNNNNNNNNNNNNNNNNNNNNNNNNNNNNNNNNNNNNNNNNNNNNNNNNNNNNNNNNNNNNNNNNNNNNNNNNNNNNNNNNNNNNNNNNNNNNNNNNNNNNNNNNNNNNNNNNNNNNNNNNNNNNNNNNNNNNNNNNNNNNNNNNNNNNNNNNNNNNNNNNNNNNNNNNNNNNNNNNNNNNNNNNNNNNNNNNNNNNNNNNNNNNNNNNNNNNNNNNNNNNNNNNNNNNNNNNNNNNNNNNNNNNNNNNNNNNNNNNNNNNNNNNNNNNNNNNNNNNNNNNNNNNNNNNNNNNNNNNNNNNNNNNNNNNNNNNNNNNNNNNNNNNNNNNNNNNNNNNNNNNNNNNNNNNNNNNNNNNNNNNNNNNNNNNNNNNNNNNNNNNNNNNNNNNNNNNNNNNNNNNNNNNNNNNNNNNNNNNNNNNNNNNNNNNNNNNNNNNNNNNNNNNNNNNNNNNNNNNNNNNNNNNNNNNNNNNNNNNNNNNNNNNNNNNNNNNNNNNNNNNNNNNNNNNNNNNNNNNNNNNNNNNNNNNNNNNNNNNNNNNNNAAUUUUUUUACUAAUGGCGCACCGUGGAUGUGGUGCGCCAUUACUAGUUCAACUAGUAAUGGCGCACCACCCCCACGGUGCGCCAUUAGUAGUUUUGAAAAAAAUUAAAUUUUUUUACCAAUGGCGCACCGUGGAUGUGGUGCGCCAUUAGUAUUUGGACACUAAUGGCGUACCAACACAUGGUGCGCCAUUAGUAUAUAGUAAUGGCGCACCACAUGUCUGGUGCGCCAUUAGUGUCAAUUCCAUCUAUAGCCCUUUUCCUAGUAGUGUGAGUAGUUGUGAAUUUGAGAAAUACUUGUGUUGAAGUUUGCAAGUCCCGUAGCAUGCACGUAUGGUAAACGUUAUGUAACAAAUUUGAAACAUGAGGUGUUCUUUGAUUGUCCUCCUUAUGAAUGGCGGUCGGGGACGAGCGAUGGUCUUUUCCUACCAAUCUAUCCCCCUAGGAGCAUGCGUGUAGUGCUUGGUUUUUGAUGACUUGUAGAUUUUUGCAAUAAGUAUAUGAGUUCUUUAUGACUAAUAUUGAGUCCAUGGAUUAUAUGCAUUCUCACCCUUCCAUCAUUGCUAGCCUCUUCGGUACCGUGCAUUGCCCUUUCUCACAUUGAGAGUUGGUGCAAACUUCGCUGGUGCAUCCAAACCCCGUGAUAUGAUACACUCUUUCACACAUAAACCUCCUUAUAUCUUCCUCAAAACAGCCACCAUACCUACCUAUUAUGGCAUUUCCGUAGCCAUUCUGAGAUAUAUUGCCAUGCAACUUUCCACCAUUCUGUUUGUCAUGACACAUUCAUCAUUGUCAUAUUGCUUAGCAUGAUCAUGUAGUUGACAUAGUAUUUGUGGCAAAGCCACCGUUCAUAAUUAUUUCAUACAUGUCACUCUUGGUUCAUUGCAUAUCCCGGUACACCGCCGGAGGCAUUCAUAUAGAGUCAUAUCUUGUUCUAGUAUCGAGUUGUAAAUAAAUAGAAGUGUGAUGAUCAUCAUUAAUAGAGCAUUGUCCCAAAAAAAGGAAGAGAACGACCAAAUAAAAAAGGGAAGCCCCCCACCCAAAAAAGAAAAGAAAGGCCAGAUAAAAAAUAAAAAAAAUAAAAAAAAUAAAAGGGACAAUGCUACUAUCCUUUUUCCACACUUGUGCUUCAAAGUAGCACCAUGAUCUUUAUGAUAGAGAGUCUCUUGUUUUGUCACUUUCAUAUACUAGUGGGAAUUUUUUAUUAUAGAACUUGGCUUGUAUAUUCCAACAAUGGGCCUCCUCAAGUGCCCUAGGUCUUUGUGAGCAAGCAAGUUGGAUGCACACCCACUUAGUUUCUUUUGUUGAGCUUUCAUACAUUUAUGGCUCUAGUGCAUCCGUUGCAUGGCAAUCCCUAAUCCUUGCAUUGACAUCAAUUGAUGGGCAUCUCCCUAGCCCAUUGAUUAGCCGCGUCGAUGUGAGACUUUCGCCUUUUGGUCUUCUCCACAUAACCCCCUCAUUAUAUUCUAUUCCACCCAUAGUGCUAUAUCCAUGGCUCACGCUCAUGUAUUGCGUGAAAGUUGAAAAAAGUUUGAGAUUACUAAAGUAUGAAACAAUUACUUGGCUUGUCAUCGGGGUUGUGCACAAUGAGAGCAUUCUUGUGUGACGAAAAUGGAGCAUGGCCAAACUAUAUGAUUUUGUAGGGAUGAACUUUCUUUGGCCAUGUUAUUUUGAGAAGACAUGAUUGCUUAGUUAGUAUACUUGAAGUAUUAUUAUUUUUAUGUCACUAUUAAACUUUUGUCUUGAAUCUUAUGGAUCUGAAUAUUCUUGCCACAAUAAAGAGAACUACAUGGAUAAAUAUGUUAGGUGGCAUUCUACAUCAAAAAUUCUGUUUUUAUCUUUUAGCUACUCCAGGACGAGCAGGAAUUAAGCUUGGGGAUGCUGAUACGCCUCCAACGUAUCUAUAAUUUUUAUUGUUCCAUGCUAUUAUAUUAUCAACCUUGGAUGUUUUAUAUGCAUCUUUAUGCUAUUUUAUAUCAUUUUUGGGACUAACCUAUUAACCUAGAGCCCAGUGCCAGUUUCUGUUUUUUCCUUGUUCUAGGGUUUCGAAGAAAAGGAAUAUCAAAUGGAGUCCAAACGGAAUGAAACCUUCGGAAAAGUUGUUUUUGGAAAGAAAGCAAUACAGGAGACUUGGAGUGCACGUCAGCGGAUCAACGAGGAAGCCACGAGGCAGGGGGCGCGCCCACCCCCUGGGCGCGCCCUCCACCCUCGUAGGCCCCUCGUGGCUCCCCUAAUGUAUUUCUUCCGCCUGUAUGUACCAAUAUACCCUAAAACGAUCGGGGAGCACAAUAGAUUGGGAGUUCCGCCGCCAGAAGCCUCUGUAGCCACUAAAAGUGAAUCUAGACCCGUUCCGGCACCCUGCCGGAGGGUGAAUCCCUCUCCGGUGGCCAUCUUCAUCAUCCCGGUGCUCUCCAUGACGAGGAGGGAGUAGUUCUCCCUUGGGGCUGAGGGUAUGUACCAGUAGCUAUGUGUUUAAUCUCUCUCUCUCUCUCUCUCGUGUUCUUGAGGUGAUACGAUCUUGAUGUAUCGCGAGCUUUGCUAUUAUAGUUGUAUCUUAUGUUUCUUCUCCUCCUCUACUCUCUUGUAAUGGAUUGAGUUUCCCCUUCGAAGUUAUCUUAUCGGAUUGAGUCUUUAAAGAUUUGAGAACACUUGAUGUAUGUCUUGCCGCGUGUAUCUGUGGUGACAAUGGGAUAUCACGUGAUUCACUUGAUGUAUGUUUUCGUGAUCAACUUGCGGGUUCCGCCCAUGAACCUAUGCAUAGGGGUUGGCACACGUUUUCGUCGUGAUUCUUUGGUAGAAACUUUGGUGCACUCUUUGAGGUUCUAUGUGUUGGUUGAAUAGAUGAACUUGAGAUUGUGUGAUGCAUAUCGUAUAAUCAUACCCACAGAUACUUGAGGUGACAAUGGUUUGCUCACAAAAUCCCUAUGCAUAGGAAGUGGGUUAGACUUAAAUGUUCUAGUCAUAUGCUUCAUGAUGCUCUCUUUAUGUUUCAGUUCUUAUCUUUUAUGUGAGCAUCAUUGAAAUCAUCAUGCCUAGCUAGGGGCGUUAAACGAUAGCGCUUGUUGGGAGGAAACCCAACUUUAUUCUUGUUCCUUGCUUUUUGCUCCUGUUUAGCAAUAAAUAACUUAUCUAGCCUCUGUUAUGAUUGAGUUUUUAUGUUUUAAUUAGUGUUUGUGCCAAGUAGAACCGUUGGGAAGACUUGGGGAAAGUCUUUGCGAUCAUACUGUAAAAAACAGAAACUUCAGCGCUCACGAGAAUUGAUGGGCAUCUCCUUAACCCAUUGAUUAGCCGCGUCGAUGUGAGACUUUCUCCUUUUUGUCUUCUCCACAUAACCCCCUCAUUAUAUUCUAUUCCACCCAUAGUGCUAUAUCCAUGGCUCACGCUCAUGUAUUGCGUGAAAGUUGAAAAAAGUUUGAGAUUACUAAAGUAUGAAACAAUUGUUUGGCUUGUCAUCGGGGUUGUGCAUGAUGAGAGCAUUCUUGUGUGACGAAAAUGGAGCAUGACCAAACUAUAUGAUUUUGUAGGGAUGAACUUUCUUUGGCCAUGUUAUUUUGAGAAGACAUGAUUGCUUAGUUAGUAUGCUUGAAGUAUUAUUAUUUUUAUGUCAAUAUUAAACUUUUUUCUUGAAUCUUAUGUAUUUGAAUAUUCUUGCCGGAAUAAAGAGAACUACAUGGAUAAAUAUGUUAGGUAGCAUUCCACAUCAAAAAUUCGGUUUCAUUAGCGGCGUGCCCUGCACCCAUUUAUCACGUCGUAUCUCUGUAGUAUGCGCAUUCCCAAUUUGUCACGGCAUACCCUCCUUCAAACCUUCUUGCCCUUUCAGAUUAGCACGCCAAGCUAGCUAUGCACUAUGCGGGAACCUGCAUUUGAAAAAAAAGAAUCUCAUUUCAUGGUAUCUUCCAUGAAGGACCCUCGUACAUGAGCUAUCUAGAUAGAAAUAGCCAUGUAUGUUUAGCAAACUUUGCAUAAGUGAAUAGAUCAAGGUCGUGGAACCCCAAGCCUCCAAUUACACACGGCCUCUCUACCAAUAAGAUCUCCAAAGACAUCAAGGAUACAGACAGCCAAAAAAGAAAAUAAAAAGGAAAAAAAUAAAAAAUACCCCACCAUGGUGAUCAAUCACAAGCAUCAGCAGCACUCUAACCACCACCUAAGACAACGCCCAGAUUACAAAAAAAAUUCUCCAAAAGCAAUGCCCCCAAGAAGGAAACAAUACACAAGCGUUGUCGUUGCCCGAUCGAAGAUCGUGGGUUUUCACACUGGAAAAUUUUUGAGUUCACCCAAAAACAAUGCCUUCAACAAGGCCAUUGCCAAGUACAACAAAUAUGGCUGAGACCUUGGGUUUUCACCCUAGGAAUUGAGAGUCGAUGCUCGAGGAGUACCACCAAAAAUGCAGUCCACUAGUGUUGCCGCCCCCACUUGGCGAGGCCGCUGUUGCAAGUCACCAAACACCUGGCAUAUAGUUGUCAUCGCAUCCAAUACACCCUUCGGCCGAAGCUUCAAGACCUUGAUCCGUCUCCAACGUAUCUAUAAUUUUUGAUUGUUCCAUGCUAUUAUAUUAUCUGUUUUGGAUGUUUUAUAUGAGUAGGGCGUUUUGGUGCCCAGGCUCAUCUGCACCCGGUUAGAAAAAAUUCAUAAAAAAUUUAAACAAAUUCAAAAAAUUCCAAAUAAAAUUUGUAUGGUAGACAAUUUGAUGCGUGAGGCCCGCCUCAAAUUUCAAGUCAUUUGGAUAUAUGAGAAGCUCUCAGCAAAAAAGACAAAUCGGACUAAAACAGUACAUGAACAGUAAACAUUUUUACAGACCCUCAAUUUGUCUUUUUUGCUGAGAGCUGCUCAUAUGUUCAAAUGACUUGAAAUUUGGAGCGUGCCUCACGCAUCAAAAUUUCUAUCACACAAAUUUUAUUUGGAAUUUUUCGAAUUUUUCUAGUAUUUGUUUUGAUUUUUUUCGUCGGCACAGGUGCAGAUGAGCUCAGGUGCAGAAAUGGAUUUUCGGUUUUAUUUGCACUAUUAUGCUAUUUUAUAUGAUUUUUGCGACUAACCUAUUAAACUAGAGCCCAGUGCCAGUUCCUGUUUUUUCCUUGUUUUAGAGUUUCACAGAAAAGGAAUACCAAACGGAGUCCAAACGGAAUGAAACUUUUGCGAUGAUGUUUCUUAGACCAGAAGACAUCUAGAGGACUUGGAGUGCACGUUAGGAAAGCCAUGAGGUGGCCACAAUGACGGAGGGCACGCCCCCACCCUUGUGGGCUCCUCGUGACUCUACCGACCUAUUUCGUCCGCAUAUAUAUUCUCAAAUAUUCCAAAACCUACUAGGAGAGCCACAAAAAAACUUUUCCACCGUCGCAACCUUCUGUACCCAUGAGUUCCCAUCUAGGGGCCUUUUCCGGCAUCCCGUCGGAGGGGGAUUCGAUCACGGAGGGCUUCUACAUCAACACCAUUGCCUCUCCGAUGAAGCGUGAGUAGUUUACCACAGACCUAUGAGUCCAUAGCUAGUAUCUAAACGGCUUCUUCUCUCUCUUUGAUUCUCAAUACCAUGUUCUCUUCGAUGUUCUUGGAGAUCUAUUCGUUGUAAUACUCUUUUUGCGGUGUGUUUGCCGAGAUCCGGUGAAUUGUGGAUAUAUGAUCAGGUUAUCUAUGAAUAUUAUUUGAAUCUCCUAUGAAUUCUUAUAUGCAUGAUUUGAUAUAUUUGCAAGUCUCUUCGAACUAUCGAUUUGGUUUGGCCAACUAGAUUGGUUUUUCUUGCAAUGGGAGAAGUGCUUAACUUUGGGUUCAAUCUUGCGGUGCUCGAUCCCAGUGACAGAAGGGGAUGAUACGUCUCCAACGUAUCUAUAAUUUUUGAUUGUUCCAUGCUAUUAUAUUAUCAACCUUGGAUGUUUUAUAUGCAUUUAUAUGCUAUUUUAUAUGAUUUUUGGGACUAACCUAUUAACCUAGAGCCCAGUGCCAGUGCCAGUUUCUGUUUUUUCCUUGUUUUAGGGUUUCAAAGAAAAGGAAUAUCAAACAGAGUCCAAACGGAAUGAAACCUUCGGAAAAGUUAUUUUUGGAAAGAAAGCAAUACGAGAGACUUGGAGUGCACGUCAGGGGAUCAACGAGGAAGCCACGAGGCAGGGGCACGCCCUCCACCCUCGUGGCUCCCCUAAUGUAUUUCUUCCGCCUAUAUAUAUCCAUAUACCCUAAAAUGAUCGGGGAGCACAAUAGAUCGGGAGUUCCGCCACCAGAAGCCUCCGUAGCCACCGAAAGCCAAUCUAGACCCGUUCCGGCACCCUGCCGGAGGAGGAAUCCCUCUUCGGUGUCCAUCUUCAUCAUCCCGGUGCUCUCCAUGACGAGGAGGGAGUAGUUCUCCCUCAGGGCUGAGGGUAUGUACCAGUAGCUAUGUGUUUGAUCUCUCUCUCUCUCUCUCUCUCUCUCUCUCGUGUUCUUGAGGUGAUACGAUCUUGAUGUAUCGCGAGCUUUGCUAUUAGAGUUGGAUCUUAUGUUUCUUCUCCCCCUCUACUCUCUUGUAAUGGAUUGAGUUUCCCCUUCGAAGUUAUCUUAUCGGAUUGAGUCUUUAAAGAUUUGAGAACACAUGAUGUAUGUCUUGCCGUGCGUAUCUGUGGUGACAAUGGGAUAUCACGUGAUUCAUUUGAUGUAUGUUUUGGUGAUCAAGUUGCGGGUUCCACCCAUGAACCUAUGCAUAGGGGUUGGCACACAUUUUCGUCAUGAUUCUCCGGCAGAAACUUUGGGGCACUCUUUGAGGUUCUAUGUGUUGGUUGAAUAGAUGAAUCUGAGAUUGUGUGAUGCAUAUCGGAUAAUCAUACCCACGGAUACUUGAGGUGACAAUGGAGUAUCUAGGUGACAUUAGGGUUUUGGUUGAUUUGUGUCUUAAGGUGUUAUUCUAGUACGAACUCUAGGGCUGUUUGUGACACUUAUAGGAAUAGCCCAAUGGAUUGAUUGGAAAGAAUAACUUGGAGGUGGUUUCGUACCCUACCAUAAUCUCUUCGUUCGUUCUCCGCUAUUAGUGACUUUGGAGUGAUUCUUUGUUGCAUGUUGAGGGAUAGUUAUGUGAUCCAAUUAUGUUAUUAUUGUUGAGAGAACUUGCACUAGUGAAAGUAUGAACCCUAGGUCUUGUUUCAACGCAUUGCAAUACCGUUUACGCUCACUUUUAUCAUUAGUUACCUUGCUGUUUUUAUAUUUUCAGAUUACAAAAACCUUUAUCUACCAUCCAUAUACCACUUGUAUCACCAUCUCUUCGCCGAACUAGUGCACCGAUACAAUUUACCAUUGUAUUGGGUGUGUUGGGGACACAAGAGACUCUUUGUUAUUUGGUUGCAGGGUUGGUUGAGAGAGACCAUCUUCAUCCUACGCCUCCUACAGAUUGAUAAACCUUGGGUCAUCCACUUGAGGAAAAUUUGCUACUGUCCUACAAACCUUUGCACUUGGAGGCCCAACAACGUCUACAAGAAGAAGGUUGUGUAGUAGACAUCAGGGGAACCGACACAUAUUGUAGUGUUUCCAUCGAGGAUAACAAGAUGGGGUUUUCGUCAUAUUGCUUGAGUUUAUCCCGCUACAUCAAGUCAUCUUACUUAAUGCGUUAUCCUGUUCUUAUGAACUUAGUACUCUAGGUGCAGGCAGGAGUCAGUGGACGUGUGGAGUAAUAGUAGUAGAUGCAAGCAGGAGUCCGUCUACUUGAUACAAACAUGAUGCUUAUGUUCAUGAUCAUUGCCUUAGAUAUCGUCAUAAGUUUGCACUUUUCUAUCAAUUGCUCAGCAGUAAUUUGUUCACCCACCGUAAGAUUUUCUAUCUUGAGAGAAGCCUCUAGUGAAACCUAUGGCCCCGGGGUCUACUUUCCAUCAUAUAAGUUUCUGAUCUACAAUUGUGUUGGUUGAAUAGAUGAAUCUGAGAUUGUGUGAUGCAUAUCGUAUAAUCAUACCCACGGAUACUUGAGGUGACAAUGGAGUACCUAGGUGACAUUAGUGUUUUGGUUGAUUUGUGUCUUAAGGUGUUAUUCUAGUACGAACUCUAGGGCUGUUUGUGACACUUAUAGGAAUAGCCCAACGGAUUGAUUGGAAAGAAUAACUUUGAGGUGGUUUCGUACCCUACCAUAAUCUCUUCGUUCGUUCUCCGCUAUUAAUGACUUUGGAGUGACUCUUUGUUGCAUGUUGAGGGAUAGUUAUGUGAUCCAAUUAUGUUAUUAUUGUUGAGAGAACUUGCACUAGUGAAAGUAUGAACCCUAGGCCUUGUUUCAACGCAUUACAAUACCGUUUACGCUCAGUUUUAUCAUUAGUUACCUUGCUGUUUUUAUAUUUUCAGAUUACAAAAACCUUUAUCUACCAUCCAUAUACCACUUGUAUCACCAUCUCUUCGCUGAACUAGUGCACCUAUACAAUUUACCAUUGUAUUGGGUGUGUUGGGGACACAAGAGACUCUUUGUUAUUUGGUUGCAGGGUUGCUUGAGAGAGACCAUCUUCAUCCUACACCUCCUACGGAUUGAUAAACCUUAGGUCAUCCACUUGAGGGAAAUUUGCUACUGUCCUACAAACCUCUGCACUUGGAGGCCCAACAACGUCUACAAGAAGAAGGUUGUGUAGUAGACAUCAGGGGAACCGACACAUAUUGUAUUGUUUCCAUCGAGGAUAACAAGAUGGGGUUUUCGUCAUAUUGCUUGAGUUUACCCCGCUACAUCAAGUCAUCUUACUUAAUGCGUUAUCCUGUUCUUAUGAACUUAAUACUCUAGAUGUAGGCAGGAGUCGGUGGACGUGUGGAGUAAUAGUAGUAGAUGCAAGCAGGAGUCAGUCUAGUUGAUACAAACGUGAUGCUUAUGUUCAUGAUCAUUGCCUUAGAUAUCGUCAUAACUUUGCGCUUUUAUAUCAAUUGCUCAACAGUAAUUUGUACACCCACUGUAAGAUUUUCUAUCUUGAGAGAAGCCUCUAGUGAAACUAUGGCCCCGGGGUCUACUUUCCAUCAUAUAAGUUUCCGAUCUACAAUUUUAGUUUCCUAUCACUUCCUUUGCAAUCUUUUACUUUCCAUUCCAUAAACCAAAAAUACCAAAAAUAUUACUUUACCGAUUAUCCAUCUCUAUCAGAUCUCACCUUGCAAAUAACCAUGAAGGAUUGACAACCCCUUUGUCGCAUUAGGUGUAAGUUGCUAUUUGUUUGAGCAUGUAUUCAGUGACUUGUGCAUUGUCUCCUACUGGAUUGAUACCUUGGUUCUCAAAACUGAGGGAAAUACUUACUCUACUUUGCUGCAUCACCCUUUCCACUUCAAGGGAAAAACCAACGCAAGCUCAAGAGGAAGUAGGAAGAAUUUCUGGCACCGUUGCCGGGGACAUCUACGCCAAGUCAAGACAUACCAAGUACCCAUCAUAAACUCUCAUCUCUUGCAUUAUAUUAUUUGCCAUUCGCCUCUCGUUUUCCUCUCCCCCACUUCUAAAAUGAUUUGCCUUUUCUUCGCCCUCUUCCAUUCAUCUUCUUCGCUUGCUUUUUGUGUGCUCAUGUGUUGGAUUGCUUGCUUUGUCACGAUGUCUCAAGAGAAUACCAAAUUGUGUGACUUUUCCAAUACCAACAACAAUGAUUUUAUUAGUACCCCGAUUGCUCCCGCUACUAAUGCGGAAUCUUGUGAAAUUAAUGCUGCUUUGCUGAGUCUUGUUAUGAAAGAUCAAUUUUCCGGCCUUCCCAAUGAAGAUGCCGCAUCCCAUCUAAACAAUUUCGUUGAUUUGUGUGAUAUGAAAAAGAAAAAAGAUAUGGAUAAUGAUAUUGUUAAAUUGAAGCUAUUUCCGUUGUCACUUCGAGAUCGUGCUAAAACUAGGUUUUCAUCUUUGCCUAAAAAUAGCGAGUGUCAUUUUUUAAUGCGAGUGAUUAGUUUUUAAAGAAUGAUUGGCAUUCUUUCUUAAUUGCUCAUCUACUAAUCGUUUGGCGUGUUUUCUUAUCUUGUCAAAAUCAUAUCCCCUGGCUGUAAAUAUCAAAGAAUAAUUUCAUUUGUUGGGCUUGGACUGUACUGUCCGAGAGUCAGAGUAUAAAUACCAUACGAUUUCAAGAGCAAUAGCAACGGGGCAACCAUUAGUCCAUACUCUACACCAUAUGGCUAGAAAUUUUAUAUUAUAUAUAACAAAGUUGUGACAAAUUGGAAAUGGAAAGCAAUAAAAUGAAUAUGUUGCUAUAGGUUAUUAUUAUUACACAUGCACGUGUACCUUGAUCCUUGCUUGGACAUAGGGUCCGAGGAAGUUACAUUGCUUUGACUACUGAUAUUGUUUGUGUUAAAGUGUGCCACAAUGGCAUAAAUAUUGUCGUUGCAUAAUGGGAAACCACGUCAUAUUUAUCGAUGAUAUGUGGAAAUAGGGAUAAGCUACUUUAUGAAGAUAUAUAAGGAUGUAUGGGUUACGUUGGUGGAAAAUGUUGUUAUGAACACAAAUGCAGUUGCAUUUAUCAUGCAUUCGCGGUGAAGUGCGCUAUUGUGGCAUAUAUCUUCCUUUUUGCCACAGAAGCAUGGUAGAAUUAUAAAGAGAGUAUGUUUCUAUAGACAUUUCAAAAAAGAGAUUUGUGUAUACUCUCAUUAUACUGUAAUCACCAUAGAUUAUUCAGAUUAGAAGUUGUUGUCUCUACCACAUAUUUAGAUUUUCUAUACAUACUAAUAUCUAUAUCGCAUAGAAAAUCAUGUAUUUAUAUGAGAUCUUUGUGGUGCAUGAUAAAGCAAGAUUCCUUUUGUUAUUGCAGCAAUUUAUAAGUAUUUAAAUAUAUACUAAUAGCUAGUUUCUUCUGUGUUAUAAGGACAAAAUAAGACAUGCAUAGACAUGCAAAUACGUAUUAGAAAUCUGCUACUCCAAAUGUAUCAUGUUAAUCCAUGUAAGCCACGAAUCGCGUGCAUAUCAGGCAAAGCAGUUUUUUUUGUAAAAACAAUACAUAAUACUAAUCGAUGGUAUAGACGAUUCAAUACAUAUGCAUCAAGACACCGCUACCUUGCACAUAGUGAUAUAGGAUGGAAUUGAAUCUGAUCCGCUCCUUUCCAACUUAAUCGAGUAAUGUGUACUUCUCAUAAAUAGGCAUGUAUAUAGUAAUUGUUCUUUUGACCAAACGCUUGGUAUAUUAAUGAUCACAUUAUACAUUUAUGUAACAUUUCUUACUUGCGAAAUCUUUUACAAAUUGGAAUAUGGGAAUUUUAUUAAUACCUAGAAGAAAUACUACUAUUUAGAACAUAUAAUAACUGGUACUAUACUUUUUCUUAAUAUUGGUACUAUACUUAAUUGGACCAAAAGUUGCACAUAUUUUUGAUUAGUUCAUUUUUUUCUACAGAUUUAUCGGCGCCAUUAUUUCUCUAUGGUUGACAUGUAUAUGAACUACUGUCUGUAUAUAUUGAUCUGCAUUUAGACAAAUAUCAGGGACAAACACACAUACUGUUUAGCAUGUGUAGUUGUAAAGGUAGAAUACUGAUUUGUAGUAUUAAGAAAAUAUAUUUAUAAGAUCUUACUACAAUGUAUAUGGAUUGAGAAUCAGAGAAAUAACCAAGUGUUGUGCAAGGAUCAUUCUGACUAUCCAGUGGCAGAAUAAAAAUAGGAUGCUAAGCGCGGGGAGAAUACUUAUGUCCUAUAAACCUGCAAAUAAGAAGCAUGCAUUCACCAUAUAUUAGAAUUCCAAAUUUUAUAGUUCCUUUGCAUGUUGGAAAUAAGCUUUGCCCCUUGUGAUAUGGAUUAUCACGUAGAAUGGAAAGAGGAGAAAAAAAUUAUGGCUUAGCAGAAUCAAUGAGGAAAAGCACUACAUGUGAAGUAUCAAAACGUUGUGAUAGCACGAACCCCACCAGAUUUGAACUCGUGCUCUUAGUAUGACAUGAAAAGAGGGGCUACUCUCCAAUCGAAGUGAAAAUAGUAGAACUUUGAACUUAUAUAUAUAUACGCUUAAAAAUUCUAAAAGCAAAUGGUCAAAAACUCAGAAUAGCUUGAGCGGGCACUACUUGCUAACUCAAGCACAUGGCAACACAGUAUUAAGUCAAGAUUUUGCAACCGAGAGGGAAAGUCAAAUAAAUAAAUAAAUAAAUAAGGAUUCUCAUCAAACCUGUGAAUCCAAGCUAGUAUCUAACUAUUGUAUUGCUCAUAGUUUUGCAUACACCAUGGAACGUACGAUACAUAGCAUGUUGAAAAAUUAUAACCAAUUAAAUAGAAGAUAAAGGCAUAGUGCUAGGAGAUCAUCUCUCAGAGCAAUCAUCGCUGACAUAAACCUUCGGUUAAAUCACAUGUCUAAUUAGAACCUAGAGGUCUUUUACUUUUCCUUUAUAUGGAACCUUUAUUUUGACCUUUGGGGACUAUAGCCGCCUCAAAUAUGCAACUUUUUUUCGAAAUUUUAGUAUAGUGUAGUUGGAGCUUUUCCUGGUGUUCCAUAAAAAUAGCAAAGGGCAUAUUUCCUUUAGCCUACUUAUAUAUAAAAAAACGGCGUUCCUUAAUUAUUAUUCAAACUGAAAACACAUGCUAUCUUUAAAAGCAAAGAUGUACCUUAUGUGAGAAUCAUGCAUGUGUUAUUUCUAAUUAGUUAGGCAAUAAAAUAAUAGCAUCGUAUCAUUAGAUAAAUUAUUUUUCAACUGAAUCAGACAUGUGGGGUUUGACAAAAUUGAAAGUAUAUGCGAAGAUGUUAAGGAGAAAAUGUCAAUAUAAAAAAACUGUUUCUAUAGGCAGAUGUGAAUUACGUACAAAAAUAGGUCUGUUCGCUUUACAAAAGUUCUGGUGAAACCAAACUCCUGAGUUACUACAUGUAGAGCUCAAAAAUACCAGAUAUAGAGUAUAAAAUGAGAAUGGAAUACUAAGUGCAUCUUACAGAAAUUAUAAGAUCUUUUUAAUAGCUUCCUCAAUAUUACAUAGCAUACACAACAAUGAGGCAUCAAAUGAAUCAGUAUUCUAAAUAUGUAAAGAAGAAUAAGAAACACAAAGUAGCUGCUGCUCGAGCAACUACUACAUGCAAAUACAAUGCUUGAGAAUUUUCAAGCGUUCUGUUCGCUUUUUACCCUGAUUCAGCAUGGAUUAAAAAACCACAGUACUUAAUUCCGUGUAUCCUAAAUUCAAGCGUCAUGUUCGACGAAUUUCACCAUAGAUUUACAUGCCUGUGGACUUGUAGAACCAACAGCGCACUCUACAACAUCCGACAGAUAAAUCGAUCUGCUUUCCGUUCGCUGUAGGUUGUUCAUUGGGAAGCAGCACGAUCCACUUUAGACCACCAUCAGUAGACCUGAUCCUACGCUGCAUCGCAUUGUUAUAUUGCAGUCAGCUCGGAACUUAUGUCAAGGAGAAUAGUUAGACGAUGGAUUUGAUAUUUGGCCUUUUUGAGAUCUGAAACGUGUGUGUACUUCGUAGCUGUCAGCAGGUGGAAGGCCGUCCUGACAAAGAGGCAUAUUGCAUCCUAAAUUCAAGCACCAUGUUCGAAAAAAAAUCAGUAUGGGUUUACUUGCCUGUGGACUUGUAGAACCAACAUCAAACCCGACAAAAUCGGACAGAUAAAUCGAUCUGCUUUCCGUUCGUAGUAGGUUCUCCAAUGGGCAGCAGCACGAUCCACUUUAGACCACCUGAUCCUACGCUGCAUCUUGCAGUCAGCUCCGAACUUAACCCAGAAGAAUAGUUAGACGAUGGAUUUGAUAGUUGGCCUUUUUUUAGAUCAGAAUUGUAGGUGCAGGGUGGCUCGGCGAUCCUGACAAAGAUGAGAUUGAUCGGGGUCGCUAAUAAUCCCUUGUAGCACCUGCCGGGAUCCUUUGUGGUUCGCCGAGUGCACUUGAUGGCGAUGGGAUCAAGGGAAGAGAAGAAUUGAAGGAGGUGGGGUCGAGGGACAUGUUUUUCCUAUUUUAGGGGGAGAUAUCUUUCCUUUCUGUUUUUGCGUGAUUGUUUUCGUUUUUCAAUCGGCCGAAGAUUUUAUUGACAGAUCUAUUUUCUUUUUCUUUUCAUCACGGGAUUUUACAUGAAAGGAGGCUAUCUUUUUUUAGCAUGGAAGGAAGAUAUCUUUUUUAAAGGAACCGAUGGAUGCUUUGUUUGUUUGUUAAGCCAAUCUUGACGGUGUCGCGUUCCUUUAUUUUUUACGGGGCCAUAUAUGCUACCAUUGAUUGCAAUUAGUUUUUUUCUCUUGGAGAUGGAUUAUUUGUUUGUUGAACGUGUCUGCCUUAAUUAUGGAUGGACCAUCUGUGUAACGCAUGUUUACUUUUUAUCUUGGACGUUAAUUCUAUAAUCUAUCGGUGUAAUUAAUUUUGAUGAUGUGGAUUAAUGAGAAGGCCUUAAAAGGUGCCUCCAAUUAGUAAAUAUAUAAGAUAUAAGAUAUUGAUUCAUGGAAUAAGUUUAAGGAUGAAUUUAUUUCCAAGUAUUUUCCUCCCGCUAAGAUCAUCUCUCUUAGGAACGACAUUAUGAAUUUUAACCAACUUGAUCAUGAACAUGUUGCACAAUCUCCGUAGAGGAUGAAAUUGAUGAUAUGAAAUUGCCCUACACAUGGUUUGAAUAUGUGGAUGAUUAUACAAUUUUUUAUGCCGGAUUGAAUUUUGCUUCUAGAAAUCUUUUAGAUUCGGCCGUGGGAGGUACUUUUAUGGAAAUUACUUUAGGAGAAGCUACUAAACUCCUAGAUAAUAUUACGGUUAAUUAUUCUCAAUGGUAUACUGAAAGAUCUUCCACUAGUAAAAAAGUGCAUGCGAUUGAUGAGUUUAAUGUUUUGAGUGGAAAGAUGGAUGACCUUAUGAAAUUAUAUGCUAGCAAGAGUGCUUCUGUUGAUCCUAAUGAUAUGCCUUUGUCUACUUUGAUUGAGAAUAAUAAUGAAUCUAUGUAUGUGAAUUUUGUUGGUAGGAACAAUUUUGGUAAUAACGCUUAUGGAGGUAAUUUUAAUCCUAGACUGCUUCCUAAUAAUUCCCCUAAUAAUUAUGGCAAUUCCUACAACAAUUCUUCACUGGUAGAAAAAGGGCCUGUAGUCCCGGUUCGUAAGGGCCUUUAGUCCCGGUUCCUGAACCGGGACUAAAGUGUCGGUACUAAUACCUCCCACCUUUAGUCCCGGUUCAAUCCAGAACCGGGACUAAAGCCCAUCCACGUGGGCAGUGUGCAGAGCCCAGUCAGGAGACCCUUUGGUCCCGGUUGGUGGCACCAACCGGGACCAAUAGGCAUCCACGCGUCAGCAUUUCUGUGNNNNNNNNNNNNNNNNNNNNNNNNNNNNNNNNNNNNNNNNNNNNNNNNNNNNNNNNNNNNNNNNNNNNNNNNNNNNNNNNNNNNNNNNNNNNNNNNNNNNNNNNNNNNNNNNNNNNNNNNNNNNNNNNNNNNNNNNNNNNNNNNNNNNNNNNNCCGGUUCAAUCCAGAACCGGGACUAAAGCCCAUCCACGUGGGCAGUGCGCAGAGCCCAGUCAGGAGACCCUUUGGUCCCGGUUGGUGGCACCAACCGGGACCAAUAGGCAUCCACGCGUCAGCAUUUCUGUGGCUAGGGUUUUUAUUUUUAUUUUUUGAAAGGGGGGGGGGGUUGGGGGUUUUGGGGGGUUAAUUUAGGUGUUUCAUAUAUUGUGUUAGCUAGCUAUAAUUAAUAUAGAGAAGUGUCCUCUCUUAUGUCCGUGCUUGGUCGACGCUACGUACUAUACAUACGUAUAGAGAGGACUAGACACGCUGGCUAGCUAGUAAAGCAAACGAAGGAAACAGAAGAUCGUCAUGAACAUAUAUGCAUACAGAGAGAAGUGAUAUCGACCACCUCUCCUUCUCCGAGAGAUUGGUCGAACAACAAGUUCUCGUAUAUCUAUCUGACAGUACCGGCUACAUAUAUACAGUAAUUAUCUCUUACAAAUAUAAUCAUACGGACUCAGGUUUAACAUAGAAUUCUCCGUCUUCAGGGAUCACGUGGUCAAAAAAGAAUGCCGCCAAUUCCUCUUGAAUUGCUCGCAUGCGAGCUGGUGCUAGGAGUUCAUCCCGCUUCCGAAACAUCUAAUUUGAAGAAGGGGGUCAAUACAUAUAUAUAUAUAUAUGAAUGAAUGAAACUCAACACAAAUGAUGGUAAUAAAAUAAAAUUGUGAAUAUUGUUAUUUACGUACUUCAUAUUGUUCGUUAGAGUACCCGCCCCGCUCACACGUCGUGUGACGGAUGGACUCGCAGAUGUAGUAUCCACAGAAAUCAUUCCCUUGUUCCUGCCACAACCACUUUACAAGAAAUAGAGGUCAAUCAAACUGAUAAGCAAGAAUGCUAAAUGGUAUUGAUGAAACUAGCGCUUGAAUCACUAGGAGAUGCGCGGAACAUGCUACUAUAGUACUUACUUUCGGGUGUCUAAAUUCUAGCUCCUUCGGCAGUCCCGGAACUUUUUUGGUGAAUUUUCUCCAAACCAUGCCGGACAAAGAAAACAAUUACUUGAUAUCAGGAAAUGAACAAAGUUGCUGAUAUGGUGGAUAAUGAUCGAUUUAACUUACUUCUUGAGGAUUUCAGUCAUGUCUGCAUAGUCCUGCGGAUCUUUUCGUUUUGAGUCUAAGAAGGUUACUAGUCCCUGCUCAAGCUUAAUCUCUAGGAGAAUAUAGUGGAAACUGCACACGCAUGCAUAACUUAUGAAUUACAUUACUAUAACCUUGAGUAAUAUAUAAGGGAAACCGAAUACGCACAAGACAGUAGCACUCACUUGAAGUUGUAAGGAAAGAGUAUUAUAUCUUUGUUUUGAUUUAUUACGAACGAUUGUAGAAAGUUGGCCUCGGUAGCUGUGACAUGAAGUUUAACCUGAAUUGCAUCUAUGAGAUAUGUGUUAAUGAACCCAAUAUCACCGACUUGUCUUUUCUUCAAUUCGACGAUCUUCAAUCUGCAUAAUAUAGUGAGGAUGAUUAUAAAUACAUGCAAUGAAAGAGCUAAGCUAUAUAGAGAAACUUAAUGACAGAAGUAGUACUACUUACAGACAGUAGCAGGCGACCGUUGUUUUAUCGAGGGCCAAUUGAUUGAAAAACUGAUAGAACUCCUCAAAUGGAACAGGCAACAGAUCAAUUCCAACGAGGUCAUGCUCCUUUUUAACUCUCACAUACAAAGUACUCCUCCCCCAGAGUCUCUGCAGAUUUUCAAGUACCAAUCAUGCAAUCUUCGCAUCAUCGUUGAUAGAGAUCUUUCAUCUUUGACGAGAGGCUUCCCGUACUCGUAUCUUUGCAUCUGCAUGUCCAUGGGUUCAUAAUGUACUUCGUCGGGUAGGUAAUCUGCAAGAUUAUUAUAACCGGGCACCAUCCUCGGAUCAUUAGCGACUUUGUGGCUAGGCACCUUGAGCGAGGGGCAUGAUUGCUUCGCUUGUUUGCCGAGCUGGGCAAUUUGUUUCCCAGCUCGUCGUUUUUUCAGCCUUUCAUCACUGACAGUAGUUCCCGACCGCUCCGCUUCGGCAAAUUCCUUUCCAAUAAUGCGGUCAUAGUUUCCUUUCGGCGGAUCAGACUUUGGUGGUUUUGUCAGGGCAGCCAGAGUGCGCUUCACUUUCACCCCAUCUACCUUCUCCUCUGGAGGUGGAUGUUUCUUUGCUUUCACCCCUUCAAAGAAUUUCCUCACUUCUUCUCACGCGAUCUCGGCGUUCUCCUCCUGGGUCCUCUCGUAUGGUAACUUCUCUGGAGUCUUCAGAGAAGGACCGAAUCUGUAUGUCCUCCCGCCUCUGGUUGUACUGCUAGACGCCGACCGAGCAAACGAAGCGGUUGUCUUCUUUACUUGCUUAAGAGGCGGAGGAGAAGGACUACGACCCGCCGGAGCAGCUGGAGCGGCGGCAGGUCUCUUCUGCCCUUGCUGACGAGGCGGAGAAGGAGGAGGUUGGCUGCUCGGGCGCGUCGGCGCAGGCGGAGACGGAGGCGGAGUGCCGCCACGCGCCGGAGAAGGAGCCGGCCGAGGGCCCUGAUCCUCACUCGCCGGAGGAGGAGGUGGUGGAGGAGGCGGAGUGCCCUGACUCGCCGGAGGAGGAGGAGGAGGCGGAGGCGUCCAGUUCGGAAGGUUGAUGAGGUCCUUCCGCCAUAGGCAUGGAGUCUUCAGAGCAGACCCCAGCCGAGUCUCCCCUUCACCGGUAGGGUGGUCAAGCUGGAGGUCCUCAAAUCCCUCCGUUAUCUCAUCCACCAUCACCCUAGCAUAUCCUUCUGGAAUCGGCAUGCAGUGAAAAGUUGCGCCGGGUUCAGUAGGAUAAACAGAGCCAACAGCCGCCUUGACCUUCAAAUUCAUCCAUUGCGUCAUAAGGUGGCAAUUUUGAGACUCCGUUAUAGCAUCCACAGGAUAGCUGGCAGGAGCCGUCAAGGCAUGCUGCAGCUGAAGCUGCUCGGUGGAAGCCACGCUGCUUCUGCGCUGAGAUGGCGGGGUAGCUUCGGGGGAGGCUUCGGCAGUACGUUUGUUGCGAUUUGCUUCUCGUUCCUCUAUCGCUUGUACCCUUGCGUGCAGCGCCUGCAGUUCGGUCUGCUGCACUUUUUUCCUCCUCUCAUGGGAUUUGUAACCGCCUGCGUCCGGAAACCCAACCUUCCACGGAACGGAGCCUGGCGUGCCUCGUGUCCGUCCAGGGUGCUCAGGAUUCCCGAGGGCCAUUGUGAGCUCGUUGUGCUCUCUGUCUGGAAAGAACGUCCCUUCCUGCGCUGCGUCGAUAUAGUGCUUAAGCUUACUGACUGGUAUGUCCAUUUGUUCGUUCGUCCAAAUGCAGUUCCCUAUUUCAGGGUCCAAGGUUCCGCCACCCCCGAAGAACCAAGUCCGGCAACGGUCUGGCCAGUUAUUUGUCUCUGGUCCGAUCCCUUUAUGAACCAGAUCAUUCUCAACCAUGGACCACUUAGGCCGGGCUACGAGGUAGCCACCUGACCCCGUGCGAUGGUGAAGCUUCUUCUUCGCGGCAUUCUGCUUGUUUGUCGCCGACAUCUUCUUACUCUUUUCCGAUGUCUUGUAGGCCACAAAUGCGGGCCAGUGAUCUCUGAUCUUCUCAUAUCUUCCCUUGAAUUCUGGUGUCUCUUUUUUAUCGACAAACCUAUUCAGCUCUUUCUUCCACCUCCUGAAUAGAUCUGCCAUCCUCUUCAGAGAAAAAGACUUGAUUAAUUUCUCUUUAAUUGGGUUCUCUGGAUUAUCCUCUGGCGGUAGGGUGAAAUUUGACUUCAGCUCAGUCCAAAGAUCAUUUUUCUGCAUAUCAUUGACAUAAGACACCUCAGGGUCUUCUGUAGCCGGCUUAAACCAUUGCUGGAUGCUUAUCGGGAUCUUGUCCCUAACCAGAACCCCGCACUGAGCAACAAAUGCCCUCUUUGUCCGGAGGGGUUCAAUAGGUUGGCCGUCGGGCGCGAUUGCUGUGAUCUCAAGCUUUUCAUCCGAGCUCAACUUUUUCUUCGGGCCUCGUCUCUUUACCGAAGUUGUGCUCGAUCCGGAGGGCUAGAAAAAAGAACAAAGACUUAAUUAAUAUGUGUACAUACCAAAACAAUGAAUGCAUCAAUCAGCUAGUCAGCAUAGGCUUAACUAAUAUAUAUACCUGGCCGGACUCGGUUCGGUCACCGGAGCCGUCAUCACGGUCUCCUUCUUGCACCGGCAUUGGGUCACCGGCGCCGUCCUCAUGUUCUUCUUCUUGCACCGGCAUUAGGUCACCGUAGCCAGCUUGUUCACCCUCUCCUUCCGGACCAUCGAUGAUAUCGUUGAGAUAGUACGAGACGGCAUCACUUCCUUGUGCGAUUAUCUCCCUCAACAACGCUUCUUUUGUUGCUUCGUCUAGGGCGGUGUCCAUAGUUUCUACAAAUAUUUACAACAUGGCAAUUAUUAUUCAAACAUGACAGAUGGAUAUAUUAGUGCCAAACGUAGAACUACCUACCUAAUCAUAGUAAGCUAUCGGGAGGGGGUAUAUAUCGACAACGACGACACUACAUCUAUAUAUGUCCCUCGAUGACCCUCGUUCCUGAUAAAAAAAGAGGAAGAAGAAGAAAAAAAAGAGGAGAAGAAAGAAUAGAGGAGAAGAACUCCUCUAUUCUUUCUUCUCCUCUUUUUUCUUCUUCUUCCUCUUCUUUUUUUAUCCUCUUCUUCCUCUCAUGUUCGAGAGGAUCGCCUUGGGGUCGGGAGGUUGCCUAGUGUCAAAGGAUUCAACAAAACCAUGUCUUCAUCAUUAGGCGAAAGUAACAUGUGCAUGAUGGUAGGAAGCUCUUCAAAGUUGUUCUGGAACGGAGUCCCAGAUAGGAUAAUUCGCUUUUUGGUACAAAGUUCAGCAAGAGCCUUCCGAAUAUCGCUAUUUGGAAGGCCUUUGCUGAAUUCGUACCAAAAGGCGGAUUAUUCUAUCCGGGACUCCAUUCCAGAACAACUUUGCAGAACUUCAUACCAACAUGCCCUGGUUACUUCCGGCUAAUGAUGAAGGCAUGGAUUUCUUCAAUACUUUGACACUAGGAAACCUCUCUCGACCCCUCGGCGAUUCUUGACCCCUCGAACCCUCAACGACCCUGAAACCCUCGACGCUUGACCCCUUAACGACCCUCGACCCUCUACCCUAGUUCCCGACCCUCGACCAAUAGAGGAGAAGAAGAAAGGAAUAGCUAGAGGAGAAGAUCGAAGAAAAAAAAGAAGAAACAAAAGAGGAGAAGAAGAAAGGAAUAGUGGAGAAGAAGAGAAAAUAGAAUAUAUAUUCUAUUUUCUCUUCUUCUCCACUAUUCCUUUCUUCUUCUCCUCUUCUUUUUCUUCUGUUUUCUUCUUCUUAUUUAUUUCUCCUCUUCUUUUCGGUAGAGGAAACCCUAAAUAGCUAGCAAGUAUCGUGGGUGUGAGAUACAUGUGGCCUUCGGUGUCGGACACUACAUCCACGUCCCACAAGUGACGUGGGCGUCGAAACCCGCGCCACUUGUGGGAUGUGGAUGUAGUGUCCGACACCGACGGUACAUGUAUCUCACACCGACGAUACUUUCUAUUUAGGGUUUCUCCUCUACCACUCGGCGGCCCUCUCGACGACCCUCGUUCCCGAUAAUAUAAAGAGGAAGAAGAAGAAGAAAAAAGAAGAGAAGAAAGAAUAGAGGAGACGAACCCUCGAACCCUCGAACCCUAGACGACCCUCUUCUUCCUCUCAUGUUCGAGAGGAUCGCCGAGGGGUCGGGAGGUUGCCUAGUGUCAAAGGAAACCCUAAAUAGCUAGCAAGUGUCAUGGGUGUGAGAUACAUGUGGCCUUCGGUGUCGGACACUACAUCCACGUCCCACAAGUGACGUGGGCGUCGAAGCCCGCGCCACUUGUGGGAUGUGGAUGUAAUGUCCGACACCGACGGUACAUGUAUCUCACACCGACGAUACUUUCUAUUUAGGGUUUCUCCUCUACCACUCGGCGGCCCUCUCGACGACCCUCGUUCCCGAUAAAAUAAAGAGGAAGAAGAAGAAGAAAAAAGAAGAGAAGAAAGAAUAGAGGAGAAGUCUCCUCUAUUCUUUCCUCGCCUCUCUCAUGAAUGUCCGGCGUUCUCGACCCCCCCCCCUCCCCACGUGUCGAAGAAAAAAAAGAAGAAAAAAAAGAGGAGAAGAAGAAAGGAAUAGAGGAGAAAAGAGAAAAAUAGAAUAUUCNNNNNNNNNNNNNNNNNNNNNNNNNNNNNNNNNNNNNNNNNNNNNNNNNNNNNNNNNNNNNNNNNNNNNNNNNNNNNNNNNNNNNNNNNNNNNNNNNNNNNNNNNNNNNNNNNNNNNNNNNNNNNNNNNNNNNNNNNNNNNNNNNNNNNNNNNNNNNNNNNNNNNNNNNNNNNNNNNNNNNNNNNNNNNNNNNNNNNNNNNNNNNNNNNNNNNNNNNNNNNNNNNNNNNNNNNNNNNNNNNNNNNNNNNNNNNNNNNNNNNNNNNNNNNNNNNNNNNNNNNNNNNNNNNNNNNNNNNNNNNNNNNNNNNNNNNNNNNNNNNNNNNNNNNNNNNNNNNNNNNNNNNNNNNNNNNNNNNNNNNNNNNNNNNNNNNNNNNNNNNNNNNNNNNNNNNNNNNNNNNNNNNNNNNNNNNNNNNNNNNNNNNNNNNNNNNNNNNNNNNNNNNNNNNNNNNNNNNNNNNNNNNNNNNNNNNNNNNNNNNNNNNNNNNNNNNNNNNNNNNNNNNNNNNNNNNNNNNNNNNNNNNNNNNNNNNNNNNNNNNNNNNNNNNNNNNNNNNNNNNNNNNNNNNNNNNNNNNNNNNNNNNNNNNNNNNNNNNNNNNNNNNNNNNNNNNNNNNNNNNNNNNNNNNNNNNNNNNNNNNNNNNNNNNNNNNNNNNNNNNNNNNNNNNNNNNNNNNNNNNNNNNNNNNNNNNNNNNGGGACUAAAGGGGGGCAAUGGUCACGGUUGGUGCCACGAACCGUGACCAAUGCCACCUUUAGUCCCGGUUGGUGCCACCAACCGGGACCAAUGCCCUUGUGCGCCCCGCGCCCAGAAGUUUAGUCCCACAUCGCUAGCUGAAGGGCGCCGAUACUGGUUUAUAAGCGCUGCUCUGCCUCCCCUUUCGAGCUCCUCUCAAAUGCAGGCUUUCGGGCCUAAACUGCUACUGCCUGUGGGCCUAUUGGGCCUCUGCGGGCCUGAAUCCUGGCCCAUGUAGGGUUUCUAGUCGUAUUCAGGCCGUGGAGGCCCAGUAGGAGGCAUUUUUUUUGGUUUUUUCUUUUUUGUUUCUAUAUUUUUUUGGUUUUUUAUUUUUUUUAUUUCUACUUACAACUAAAUACUUACAGUUUUUUAGUGAUUUCUUUUUGCUUUUAGGUCACAAAAAUUAUAAACUUUCUAUUAGUGCCAUUAGUUUUAAAUUUUAAAUAGUUUAAAUUUGAAUUUUUAAAAAUUUGUGUGAAUCACUAGUUUAUGAAUAACUUUACUAUAAAGUUAGAAUUUGUUUUCUAUUUAUUUUUUAUUUCUACUUACAACUAAAUACUUACAGUUUUUUAGUGAUUUGUUUUUGCUUUUAGGUCACAAAAAUUAUAAACUUUCUGUUAGUGCCUUUAGUUUUAAAUUUUAAAUAGUUUAAAUUUGAAUUUUUAAAAAUUUGUGUGAAUCACUAGUUUAUGAAUUUUUUUCUUCUUUGCUAUUUAUUUUUGAUUUAUACUUACAAUUAAAUACUUAUAGUUUGCUUUUAGGUCACACAAAUUAUAUUCUUUUUGCUAUUGAAGAAUAUUAUAGUUUUAUUUUAGUUGAUCAUAACAUAAUAUUUUAAUUGAUUGUUUUUAUUUUCAUAAAAGUUUUGUAGUUCAUUCUGUUUGCUAUUAAUUCAUUCUUUGAGCUAAAUGACUCUGAAAUUGGAAAGCAUUUCAAAAUGAACUCUGAAAAGGUUGAAAGUUGGCAUGGUAUCAUCAUUUCACCCACAUAGCAUGUUCCAAAAAGUAGAGAGGGUUACGACAAAAACUUGAUGCACUUCGUGUACAAAAUGGACAAUCACUUUCGAAGUAUCAAAGUUUCAAACCAUAAGACAUGAAAGCAUUUCGAAUGAACUCUGAAAAAGUUGAAAGUUGGGAUGCAUGGUAUCAUAAUUUCACCCACAUAGCAUUUUCUUAUUGCGGGAGAAAGUCUUCACUUUUUCUUCGCUUGUGUCAUUUGCUUAUUGCGCCGUAACCAUGGAUAAUCUUCAUUGUUUUUAAGGAUGCUUGGGUCAGCCUUGACAUUGAAGGGAGGAAUUUCAUGAAACUUUUCAUAAUCUUCAGACAUGUCUGUCUUGCCGUCCACUCCCAGGAUGUCCCUUUUUCCUGAAAGAACUAUGUGGCGCUUUGGCUCAUCGUAUGAUGUAUUCGCUUCCUUAUCUUUUCUUUUUCUCGGUUUAGUAGACAUGUCCUUCACAUAGAUAACCUGUGCCACAUCAUUGGCUAGGACGAACGGUUCGUCAGUGUACCCAAGAUUUUUCAGAUCCACUGUUGUCAUUCCGUACUGUGGGUCUACUUGUACCCCACCGCCAAACAGAAUGACCCAUUUGCACUUAAACAAAGGGACCUUAAAAUCAGGUCCGUAGUCAAGUUCCCAUAUGUCCACUAUGUAACCAUAAUAUGUGUCCUUUCCUCUCUCGGUUGCUGCAUCAAAGCGGACACCGCUGUUUUGGUUGGUGCUCUUUUGAUCUUGGGCGAUCGUGUAAAAUGUAUUCCCAUUUAUCUCGUAUCCUUUGUAAGUCAAUACAGUCAAAGAUGGUCCCCUGGACAACAAGUACAACUCAUCACAAACAGUGUUGUCACCUCUGAGACGUGUUUCCAACCAACUCCUGAAAGUCCUGAUGUGUUCACAUGUAAUCCAGUCGUCGCAUUGCUCCGGGUGUUUGGAGCGCAGACUGUUCUUGUGUUCAUCGACAUACGGGGUCCCCAAGGUAGAGUUCUGUAGAACUGUGUAGUGUGCUUGAGACCAAGAAUAUCCGUCCCUGCAUAUUAUUGAGUCUCUUCCAAGAGUGCCUUUUCCAGUCAGUCUCCCCUCAUACCGCGAUUUAGGGAGACCUAUCUUGUUAAGGCCAGGAAUGAAGUCAACACAAAACCCGAUAACAUCCUCUGUUUGAUGGCCCAUGGAGAUGCUUCCUUCUGGCCUAGCGCGGUUACGGACAUAUUUCUUUAGGACUCCCAUGAACCUCUCAAAGGGGAACAUAUUGUGUAGAAAUACGGGCCCCAGGAUGACAAUCUCGUCGACUAGAUGAACUAGGACGUGCGUCAUGAUAUUGAAGAAGGAUUGUGGGAACACCAGCUCGAAACUGACAAGACAUUGCGCCACAUCACUCCUUAGCCUUGGUACCAUUUCUGGAUCGAUCACCUUCUAAGAGAUUGCAUUGAGGAAUGCACAUAGCUUCACAAUGGCUAAUCGGACGUUUUCCGGUAAAAGCCCCCUCAAUGCAACCAGAAGCAGUUGCGUCAUAAUCACGUGGCAGUCAUGAGACUUUAGGUUCUGAAACUUUUUCUCUGGCAUAUUUAUUAUUCCCUUUAUAUUCGAUGAGAAGCCAGUCAUGACCUUCAUACUAAGCAGGCAUUCAAAGAAGAUUUCUUUCUCUUCUUUCGUAAGAGUGUAGCUGGCAGGACCUUUAUACUGCUUCGGAGGCAUGUCAUCUUUUUUGUGCAAACGUUGCAGGUCCUCCCAUGCCUCCGGCGUAUCUUUUGUCUUCCCAUACACGCCCAAGAAGCCUAGCAGGUUCACGCAAAGGUUCUUCGUCACGUGCAUCACGUUGAUUGAGGAGCGGACCUCUAGGUCUUUCCAGUAGGGUAGGUCCCAAAAUAUAGAUUUCUUCUUCCACAUGGGUGUGUGUCCCUCAGCGUCAUUCGGAACAGCUAGUCCACCGGGACCCUUUCCAAAGAUGACGUAGGGUAAAUCAUUGACCAUAGCAAGCACGUGAUCACCGGUGCGCAUGGCGGGCUUCUUUCGGUGAUCUGCCUCGCCUUUGAAAUGCUUGCCUUUCUUUCGACAUUGAUGGUUGGUCGGAAGAAAUCGACGAUGGCCCAGGUGCACAUUCUUCCUGCAUUUGUCCAGGUAUAUACUUUCAGUGUCAUCUAAACAGUGCGUGCAUGCGUGGUAUCCUUUGUUUGUCUGUCCUGAAAGGUUACUGAGAGCGGGCCAAUCGUUGAUGGUCACGAACAGCAACGCCUUAAGGUUAAAUUCCUCCUGUCUGUGCUCAUCCCACGUACGUACACCAUUUUCAUUCCACAGCUGUAAAAGUUCUUCAACUAAUGGACUUAGGUACACAUCAAUUUCGUUGCCGGGUUGCUUAGGGCCUUGGAUGAGAACUGGCAUCAUAAUGAACUUCCGCUUCAUGCACAUCCAAGGAGGAAGGUUAUACAUACAUAGAGUCGCGGGCCAGGUGCUGUGAUUACUGCUCUGCUCCCCGAAAGGAUUAAUGCCAUCCGCGCUUAAAGCAAACCAUACAUUCCUAGGGUCCUUUGCAAACUCAUCCCAGUACUUUCUCUCGAUUUUUCUCCACUGCGACCCGUCAGCGGGUGCUCUCAACUUCCCAUCUUUCUUUCGUUUCUCACUGUGCCAUCGCAUCAACUUGGCAUGCUCUUCGUUUCUGAACAGACGUUUCAACCGUGGUAUUAUAGGAGCAUACCACAUCACCUUUGCAGGGACCCUCUUCCUGAGGGGCUCGCCGUCAACAUCACCGGGGUCAUCUCGUCUGAUCUUAUACCGCAACGCACCGCAUACCGGGCAUGCGUUCAGAUCCUUGUAUGCACCGCGGUAGAGGAUGCAGUCAUUAGGGCAUGCAUGUAUCUUCUCCACCUCCAAUCCUAGAGGGCAUACGACCUUCUUUGCUGCGUAUGUACUGUCGGGCAAUUCGUUAUCCUUUGGAAGCUUCUUCUUCAAUAUUUUCAGUAGCUUCUCAAAUCCUUUGUCAGCCACAGCAUUCUCUGCCUUCCACUGCAGCAAUUCUAGUACGGUACUGAGCUUUGUGUUGCCAUCUUCGCAAUUGGGGUAUAACCCUUUUUUGUGAUCCUCUAACAUGCGAUCGAACUUCAGCUUCUCCUUUUGACUAAUGCAUUGCGUCCUUGCAUCGACAAUGACCCGGCGGAGAUCAUCAUCAUCGGGCACAUCGUCUGGUUCCUCUUGAUCUUCAGCAGCUUCACCUGUGGCAGCAUCAUUGGGCACAUCAUCAUCUGGUUCCUCUUGAUCUUCACCAGCUCCCCCCGUUGCAGCAUCACCGUAUUCAGGGGGCACAUAGUUGUCAUCGUACUCUUCUUCUUCGCCGUCUUCCAUCAUAACCCCUAUUUCUCCGUGCCUCGUCCAAACAUUAUAGUGUGGCAUGAAACCCUUGUAAAGCAGGUGGGAGUGAAGGAUUUUCCGGUUAGAGUAAGACCUCGUAUUCCCACAUUCAGUGCAUGGACAACACAUAAAACCAUUCUGCUUGUUUUCCUCAGCCGCAUCGAGAAACUCAUGCACACCCUUAAUGUACUCGCGGGUGUGUCUGUCACCGUACAUCCAUUGCCGGUUCAUCUGCGUGCAUUAUAUAUAAUUAAGUGUCCAAAUUAAUAGAAGUUCAUCAUCACAUUAAAACCAAAGUGCAUACAUAGUUCUCAUCUAACAACAUAUAGCUCUCCAGAGCAUCUAAUUAAUUAAACCAUACAUUGAAACUAUGUAAAACAUUUCAAUGCGAAAACAAAUGCGAUCAUAAUCGCAACCAAGGUAACAAUUGAUCCAACGGCAUAAUGAUACCAAGCCUCGGUAUGAAUGGCAUAUUUUCUAAUCUUUCUAAUCUUCAAGCGCAUUGCAUCCAUCUUGAUCUUGUGAUCAUCGACGACAUCCGCAACAUGCAACUCCAAUAUCAUCUUCUCCUCCUCAAUUUUUUUUAUUUUUUCCUUCAACAAAUUGUUUUCUUCUUCAACUAAAUUUAACCUCUCGACAAUAGGGUCGGUUGGCAUUUCCGAUUCACAUACAUCCUAGAUAAAUAAAAUCUAUGUCACGUUGGUCAGCAUAAUUUUCAUAAACAAUAAAUGAACCAAUAGUUAUAAAGAUAAUAUACAUACCACAUCCGAAUCAUAGACAGGACGAGGGCCGACGGGGGCGGAUACCAAAACCAUCGCACUAUAUAAGAUGCAAUAAUAAAUGUAAGAAAAUGAUACAAGUAUCUAUCUAAACAUACAAGUAAGAAUAUUUUUCCUUUCAGAAAGAAGAUAAGAACAAGAGGCUCACCACGGUGGUGUCGGUGAUGAGAUCGGCGCGGGUGAUCGACGGCAGUGAAGACGGGGACGGGGCGUGACGGACCGCUAAAUCUAGACAAAUCUCGAGGAAAAUGGAGCUUGGAGGUCGAGCUUCGAGAGGAGAAAGCUUAAGUAGUGUGGCUCGGGCAUUCCAUCGAACACCUCAUGUGCAUAGGAGGUGAGCUAGAGCACCACAAAGCCCUCUCCCCCUCGGCCAGAGAAAACAGAGCACUGGGGUGCUCUGCUCACGAGCGAGGGGUAUAUAUAGGCACCUCAUUGGUCCCGGUUGGUGGCAUGAGCCGGGACUAAAGGGAAGCCUUUGGUCCCGGUUCGGGCCACCAACCGGGACCAAUGAUGGUGGGCCAGGAGGGAGGCCCAUUGGUCCCGGUUCGUCCCACCAACCGGGACCAAAAGGUCCAUACGAACCAGGACCAAUGGCCCACGUGGCCCGGCCGGCCCCCUGGGCUCACGAACCGGGACCAAUUCCCACAUUGGUCCCGGUUCAAGACUGAACCGGGACUAAUGGGCUGAGGCGGCCUGGACCAUAGCCCCUUUUUCUACUAGUGCUUAUGGAAAUUAUAAUAAGAUGCCCUCUAAUUUUGAGAAUAGUGUUAAAUAAUUUAUGAGUUCGCAAAAGAAUUUCAAUGCUUUGAUUGAAGAAAAAUUGCUUAAGAUUGGUGAUUUGGCUAGGAACGUGGAUAGAACUACCCUUGAUGUCGAUUCUUUGAAACUUAGAUCUAUUUCACAUAAGCAUGAUAUCAAUGAGUCUCUCAAGGCUAUGAGAAUUCCCAUUGAUGAGUGCAAGGAAAGAACCGCUAAGAUGCGUGCUAAAAAAGAUUGGUUUAUAAAAGCGUGUUCUUCUAGCUAGUUUCCGUGAAAAUAAUGAUGAAGAUCUUAAAGUGAUUGAUGUGACUCCUAUUGAAUUUUUGUUUUCCAAUAUAAAUCUUGAGAAAGAUGGGACUGGAUAUGAGUCAACUUUAGUUAGAAGGCGUCCCAAUGAUUCGGAGUUUUUAGAUAUUAAUGCAAAAAUUGAUAAAAGUGGGAUUGGAGAGGUUAAAACUUUAGGUAGUAAUGAACCCACUCUUUUGGAUUUCAAGGAAUUUAAUUAUAAUAAUUUCUCUUUAAUAGAUUGUAUUUCCUUGUUGCAAUCCAUGUUGAAUUUUCCUCAUGCUUAUAAUCAAAACAAAGCUUUUACUAAACAUAUCAUUGAUGCUAUGAUGCAAUCCUUUGAAGAAAAGCUUGAAUUGGAAGUUUCUAUUCCUACACUAGUAGACAAAGGGUCAAACAUGAAGCACAUUAGUGCCGGUUUGAAUUUGAGCCGGCACUAAUGUGUGCAUUAGUGCCGGUUCCAACGGCUAGCCGGCCGCUCUCAUUAGUACCGGUUCAUGGCGAACCUUUAGCACCGGUUCGUGCCACGAACCGGUACUAAAGUGAGUGGUGGCAGGAUGUUGUCACUCCGGGGCCCCUCCAGCACCUUUAGUACCGGGUCGUAUCACGAACCGGUCCUAAAGGCCGUCCUACAUAGACCCUUCGUCCACCCGAGCUCGCUCUGUUCUUCCCCUUUCCCCUCUCCUCUUUGUACUUUUCCCUCUUCCUCUCAAUCUCAUCACACAUUUUGCCCAAAAUUUGUCAAGAUUUGAAGGCCCCCAUCCAUUCAAAUGAUCACAAAGGUUAGCAACUUUUUCCUUUCAUCUCUCAUUGCUAGAUUAGCUCGUGCAAUGCUUUAUAUAGUGAUUGAUUUUUGAGUUUAGUAAUUUGGGAGGAAUUAUAUAUAUGUGCUAGUAUUUGAUUUAUAUGCAAUUUUAGGUCAAAAAUAACACUUAGUUUGCAUAUGUAGGUGUGGUUUACGUAGUACCUUCUAAAUCUCCGUCGUAACCACCGUCGAUCGCUCGCAACGUCCCGUCACCAGCACCACCUUUUGGUGAGCCUCUUGUUCAUGAAGUUUUAUAUAAAAAAUUGAUGUUUGUGUGAUUUGGAUAUAUAGUUACUCGUAUAAUUAUCUUACCCAUACGUUGUUUGUUAUACAUAGUGCCAUGGUUUUGAUAUCCGUCCCCGUUGGCCCUCGUCCGGGUUAUGAUUCGGAUGUGGUAUAUUCUAUUUUAAAACUAUUCAUUGCAUUUCGUGUUUAUGACAAAUUAUGCCCAUCAAGUUGACAUAGAUAUUUGUAUGUAGGAGGUAGUUGAAACGGAAAUUCCAACCGACCCUAUUGUCGAGAGGUUAAAUUUAGUUGAAAGAGAAAACGAGGAUUUGAAGGAAAAAUUGAAAAGAAUUGAGGGGGAGAAGAUGGAAUUGGAGUUGCAUGUUGCCGAUGUCGUCGAUGAUCACAAGAUUAAGAUGGAGAAAAUGCGCUUGAAGAUUAGAAAGAUUAGAAAAUAUGCCAUUCAUAGUGAGGCUUGGUAGCAUUAUGCUGUUGGAUCAAUUGUUACCUUAGUUGCGAUCUUGAUCGCAUUUGUUGUUGCAUUUAAAUUCUUUAGCUAGGGACUUAUUUGUUUGUUGCAUUUAAGUGUUGUAUGAUCUUUAUGUAUGAACCUUAUGUAUUGUAUUAAUUUGAUGUUUUCGGUGUUGUGUAUUGAAGAUGAGCCGGCAAUGGAUGUACGAUGACUGAUGCUCUCCCAAGUUCAUUAAUGGCGUGCGUACUUUUCUGCUUGCGGCUGAGGCAAACAAGCGAGCGGAUGGUUGUAUGCCUUGUCCAUGUGCUGGCUGUAAGAAUGGUCACAGUUACUCUACGUCAAGAACCAUUCACGUCCACCUGUUUGAGUCUGGUUUCAUGCCCCACUAUAAUGUUUGGACCAAGCAUGGAGAAAGAGGGGUUAUGAUGGAAGACAAUGAAGAAGAAGAGGACGACGAAAGCUAUCCUGGCCAUGGGUUCCCUGAAUACGGUGAUACAACAAUGAGGGAAGAAGCUGAGCCGGUAAUGCGGGAAGAAGCUGAGCCGGCAAUGCGGGAAGAAGCUGAACAAGAGGCACGGAUGAGCCCGUUGAUGAUCUAGGUCGGGCCAUUGCCGAUGCAAAGAGAAACCGCGCUAGUGAUUUGGAGAAGAAGAAGUUGCAGCGCAUGUUAGAGGAUCACAAAAAUUGUUGUACCCGAAUUGCGUAGGUGACAAGAAAAAGCUAGGCACCACACUGGAAUUGCUGCAAUGGAAGGCAAAGAAUGGUGUAUCUGACAUGGGAUUUGGAAAGUUGCUGGUAAUGAUAAAGGAUAUGCUUCCAAAGGACAACAAAUUGCUCGAGAGUACGUACGAAGCAAAGAAGAUUGUCUGCCCUCUAGGGUUAGAGGUGCAGAUGAUACAUGCAUGCCCUAAUGAUUGCAUCCCCUACCACGGUGAGUAUGAGGAUUUGAAAGCUUGCCCGGUAUGAGGUGCAUUGCGCUAUAAGAUCAGCCACGAUGACCAUGGUGAUGUCGAGGGCGAGCGCCCCAGGAAGAAGAUACCUGCCAAGGUGAUGUGGUAUGCUCCUAUAAUACCAUGGCUGAAACGUUUGUUCCAAAACAAUGAGCAUGCCAAGGCGAUGUGAUGGCACAGAGAAGACCGUAAGAAAGACGGAAAGUUGAGAGUACCCGCUGACGGGUCGCAGUGGAGAAAAAUCGAAAGAAAGUACGGGAAGGAGUUUGCAGAUGACGCAAGGAACGUAUGGUUUGGUCUAAGCGCAGAUGGCAUUAAUCCUUUUGGGGAGCAGAGCAGCAACCAUAGCACCUGGCCUGUGACUCUAUGUUUGUAUAACCUUCCUCCUUGGUUGUGCAUGAAGCGGAAGUUCAUUAUGAUGCCAGUGCUCAUCCAAGGCCCUAAGUGUCAGGACCCCGAUUCCAAGUCACAUCGUUCUAGCCGGUAACACCUCAUAUCACUUUGCGGCCUCAUGCACGGUAUCCCACAGGUGUCGCCUUACCAUGGCCCGGGACCGUUUGCGCCUUUUGGCUCACGUAUAUGAUAGUGUCGCUAGCAUCCAUAUGACAGAGAACCCGGGCCGACAUGGCUAGUCGUGAACCCAAAGCGGCACAGACCUAUGGAGACAGGCAUACAUGAAUCACAUCAAGCAUGUCAGUCAUCAGUGAGUGAAUCCGGGCUGUAGCACUGGGCUAACAGGACUCCGGGGAACCCGGGCUGUAGCAGGCUAGGCAGGACUCCGGAUGUCACCGCGUGACAUUUCCCCGAAGGGACAGACAUAGGAACGACGUGAAACACAUGCCGGCCAGUCAAGUGUCCUGAGCAGUAGUGCUGGGCUAGCAGGACUCCGGUGAACCGGGCUGUAGCGGACUACUAUGGCUCGAGGAACACUAGACUACGUUUCCCCAUAAGAAAGGCUGCCAAGGAUAAACAACUAGAUUGUCGGAUCCCACUCAUACCAAGCAUUUCAAUCAUACACACAAUAUGCCCGAUAUGAGUACAUACAACAUGGCAUCACAAGAAAACUCUACAACUCAAAUACUUUAUUUAAAGGCUCCAGAGAGCCAUACAUAACAUGUUCAUACAGAUAGGGGUCACAUGACCCGACACUCAAGUCAUACAAUCAUACAAGCACAAGCGGAAGCAACUAGUCUGAGUACAGACACUAGAAAGAAAGAAGGCUUCUCGAAGCCUGUCUAUCUACAUAGGUCUCUCCAUGGCCAGGAUCACCACCUGGGUGGCUAGUCACUCGUCGACGUCAAGGUCUACGUAGAACCCAUCGGAGGGGCGGUGUUGUCAUCUGAAAACCGUAAUUAAGCAAACAUGAGUACAAAGGUACUCAGCAAGUCUUACAACAUAACCUACUAUAAAUGCUCAUUCUCAAGAAGGUGGUGGGGUUAUUGCAGCAAGCCAGCUUUGACUCUUGGCUAAGCUAUCCUACGGAACUCCACUAGUAAAAUAGUUUUCGCACACGAGUCCACUACUCACCAACAUAAUACUCCACCGGGGAUCCUCUCUCGUCAUCCUACGAGAGGGCCAUCCUCGGUACUCACACUUAUCUUGAGUCUUUUAGUAAUAACCAUUAACUUGUCUAUGAACUGUAUAGGCAACCAGGUAGUCCUUUACCGCGGACGCGGCUAUUCGAAUAGUUUUAUACCCUGCAGGGGUGUACUUCCUCAUACACGCUUUCACCACUUACCGCCGUUUACACGACAUGUACUCGGCAACCUUCAAGCCUUGGCCCAACGAGGGUGUCGGCCACGGCCUACCUAAACACUCAAAUCUCUAGUCCAGGUGCAUCGCCUAUCCAAGUUCCAUCCGCAGGGAGUCCGGCCGAGGUUUCCACAUACGGCCCCGAACGAUGUGAACAGGGUUCCCGAGACACCAAACAGGUGACUCGGUACACCGUGCCACGGUGUAUCUACCGCAACAUAGCCCACCCCUAGGGUCAGUGCUACGCACGGCCGCCAACACAUAACCUACAAACACCAGAAACUAUUUGCAACUCCUGGACAGAGUACUAGGGUAUUUAAGAAGCCGAGAGGGUCAAUUAAGGAUCCCAAUGCAUGGUAGUAGCUGAAUCUUAAAAUCACACAUACAGAUCUCAGUUCUUAGGGACGGCCUCAAUAAAACAACCCACCAUGUACUCCUACAUGGCCUCUCAUCGAUACCUUUACCAAAUCAUGUUCAUCACAUCCCUCACAUUACCGAUAUAACCAUUUCACUCUAGCCCAUCACCCAGAUGGACCAGACCUGACACAACUCUAAGCAUAGCAGGCAUAGCAAGGUAGGAAACACAUACCUGGCUCAAUCAACUCCUACACAUGCUAGUGGGUUUCAUCUAGUUACUGUGGCAAUGACAGGUCAUGCAGAGGAAAAGGGUUCAACUACCGUAGCACACAACAAUUUGAAUCGCGUUGUCUUAAUGCAGUAAACAAGAGCAGAAGCGAGAACAUGGGUUUGUAUCAGAAUGAUCAAUGGUUGUUUGCCUGUUGUAGUGGUAGUAGGGUACUGCCCUUCAGACGGAUACUCGGGGUUAUCCUCGGAGGCAGAACCUACCACGAAAGAUACACCGAACAUAAUCAACACAUGACAAUAUGCAACGGUAUGAUGCAUGCUAUGACAUGGCAAAAUGAAUGUGUCUUGGCCUAAUGCAAGCUGAAACAGGAUGGAAUGAACUCAUUUGAAUCAAAGAUUCAAAUGUUAGCUCAUUUAACAUGGCCUUAUUAGUGCAUUAUCUUAUUCUGCUUAAAUAGCAAGGUUAACUUGUUUUGUCAUGCAUGAAACCAUUACAGAUGGACAGAUUGAAUUUUUUUGAUCAUUUUUCAUAUAUAAAUCUUUGCAUUUGGAGCUAUGGUUGAUUUUCUAAGAUUUUUAGAAGUUUUGGCUAUUUACUGGAAUUUCCUAUUAAAGAAUAAAUCCAGUAAUUGAAUUAAUGCGUCAGCAUGACAUAGGUGUGAUGUCAGCGGGUCAACUGGGUUGGCCAGGUCAAACCUGACUGGCGGGCCCUGUCUGUCAGUGACUCAGCUAAUUAACAGAGUUAAAUUAACUCUAAUUAACUAAAAGUGGGGCCUGGGCCCACAUGUCAGUGACUGAACUAAUUAAAUUUAGUUAAAACAAAUCCUAAACUAAUCAGCAGGCCGGCCCCACCUGUCAUAGACUAACCUGGGCCCACACGGGGGUCAAACAGGGUAAACUCGCCGGCGUCUAGCCGCCGGCGAGGCCAGACGCGGCGGAGCAGUGCGGGAUUUGCACUCUGGCGACCAAAUGGGCGGCGGAGACUAUCUACGUGAUGCGGGGAGGAAGCCGCCUUUGGAAAUAUGCCCUAGAGGCAAUAAUAAAUUGAUUAUUACUAUAUUUCCUUGUUCAUGAUAAUCGUUUAUUAUCCAUGCUAGAAUUGUAUUGAUAGGAAACUCAGAUACAUGUGUGGAUACAUAGACAACACCAUGUCCCUAGUAAGCCUCUAGUUGACUAGCUCGUUGAUCAAUAGAUGGUUACAGUUUCCUGACCAUGGACAUUGGAUGUCAUUGAUAACGGGAUCACAUCAUUAGGAGAAUGAUGUGAUGGACAAGAACCAAUCCUAAGCCUAGCACAAGAUCAUGUAGUUCGUAUGCUAAAGCUUUUCUAAUGUCAAGUAUCAUUUCCUUAGACCAUGAGAUUGUGCAACUCCCGGAUACCGUGGGAGUGCUUUGAGUGUGCGAAACGUCACAACGUAACUGGGUGGCUAUAAAGGUACACUACAGGUAUCUCCAAAAGUGUCUAUUGGGUUGGCACGAAUCGAGACUGGGAUUUGUCACUCCGUGUAAACGGAGAGGUAUCUCUGGGCCCACUCGGUAGGACAUCAUCAUAAUGUGCACAAUGUGACCAAGGAGUUGAUCACGGGAUGAUGUGUUACGGAACGAGUAAAGAGACUUGCCGGUAACAAGAUUGAACAAGGUAUCGGCAUACCGACGAUCGAAUCUCGGGCAAGUAUCGUACCGAUGGACAAAGGGAAUUGCAUACGGGGUUGAUUAAGUCCUUGACAUCGUGGUUCAUCCGAUGAGAUCAUCGUGGAACAUGUGGGAGCCAACAUGGGUAUCCAGAUCCCGCUGUUGGUUAUUGAUCGGAGAGUCAUCUCGGUCAUGUCUGCAUGUCUCCUGAACCCGUAGGGUCUACACACUUAAGGUUCGAUGACGCUAGGGUUAUAAAGGAAGUUUGUAUGUGGUUACCGAAUGUUGUUCGGAGUCCCGGAUGAGAUCCCGAACGUCAUGAAGAGUUCCGGAAUGGUCCGGAGGUAAAGAUUUAUAUAUGGGAAGUCCUGUUUUGGUCACCGGAAAAGUUUCGGGUUUUAUCGGUAACGUACCGGGACCACCGGGAGGGUCCCGGGGGUCCACCAAGUGGGGCCACAAGCCCCGGAGGGCUGCAUGGGCCAAGUGUGGGAGGGGACCAGCCCCAGGUGGGCUGGUGCGGCCCCCCACCAAGGCCCAAGGCGCAAGGAAGAGGGGAAGGGGGCAAACCCUAGGGCAGAUGGGCCCUAAGGCCCACCCUGGUGCGCCUCCCCCUCUCCCCUCCCCUUGGCCGCCCCUAGAUGGGAUCUAGGGGGCUGCCGCCACCCCUAGGGAGGGAACCCUAGGUGGGGGCGCAACCCAUCCCCUCCCCCUAUAUAUAGUUGAGGUUUGGGCUGCCCAAUACACAUGAGUUCCUCUCUUUCUUGGCACAGCCCUAUCCCUCUCUUUCUCCUCAUAUCUCGCAGUGCUUGGUGAAGCCCUGCUGGAUCACCAUGCUCCGCCAUCACUACCACGCCGUUGUGCUGCUGUUGGAUGGAGUCUUCCUCAACCUCUCCCUCUCUCCUUGCUGGAUCAAGGCAUGGGAGACAUCGUCGGGCUGUACGUGUGUUGAACGCGGAGGUGCCGUCCGUUCGGCACUAGGAUCUCCGGUGAUUUGGAUCACAACGAGUACGACUCCUUCAACCCCGUUCUCUUGAACGCUUCCACUUAGCGAUCUACAAGGGUAUGUAGAUGCACUCUCCUUCCCCUCGUUGCUGGUUUCUCCAUAGAUAGAUCUUGGUGACACGUAGGAAACUUUUGAAUUUCUGCUACGUUCCCCAAUAGUGGCAUCAUGAGCUAGGUCUAUUGCGUAGAUUCUAUGCACGAGUAGAACACAAAGUAGUUGUGGGCGUUGAUUUUGUUCAAUAUGCUUACCGUUACUAGUCCAAUCUUGUUUCGACGGUAUUGUGGGAUGAAGCGGCCCGGACCGACCUUACACGUACUCUUACGUGAGACAGGUUCCACCGACUGACAUGCACUAGUUGCAUAAGGUGACUAGCGGGUGCCAGUCUCUCCCACUUUAGUCAGAACGGAUUCGAUGAAAAGGGUCGUUAUGAAGGGUAAAUAGCAAUUGGCAUAUCACGUUGUAUUUUUGCGUAGGUAAGAAACGUUCUUGCUAGAAACCCAUAGCAGCCACGUAAAACAUGCAAACAACAAUUAGAGGACGUCUAACUUGUUUUUGCAGGGUAUGCUAUGUGAUGUGAUAUGGCCAAGAAGAAUGUGAUGAAUGAUAUGUGAUGUAUGAGAUUGACCAUGUUCUUGUAAUAGGAAUCAUGACUUGCAUGUCGAUGAGUAUGACAACCGGCAGGAGCCAUAGGAGUUGUCUUUAUUUAUUGUAUGACCUACGUGUCAUUGAACAACGCCAUGUAAUUACUUUACUUUAUUGCUAACUGGUAGCCAUAGUGGUAGAAGUAAUAAGUUGGCGAGACAACUUCAUGGAGACACAAUGAUGGAGAUCAUGGUGUCAUGCCGGUGACGAUGAUGAUCAUGGAGCCCCGAAGAUGGAGAUCAAAAGGAGCAAUAUGAUAUUGGCCAUAUCAUGUCACUAUUUGAUUGCAUGUGAUGUUUAUAAUGUUUAUACAUCUUAUUUGCUUAGAAUGACGGUAGUAAAUAAGAUGAUCCCUCAUUAAAAUUUCAAGAAAGUGUUCCCCCUAACUGUGCACCGUUGCGAAAGUUCGUCCUUUUGAAGCACCACGUGAUGAUCGGGUGUGAUAGAUUCUUACGUUCGAAUACAACGGGUGUUGACGAGCCUAGCAUGUACAGACAUGGCCUCGGAACACAUGCAAAACACUUAGGUUGACUUGACGAGCCUAGCAUGUACAGACAUGGCCUCGGAACACAAGAGACCGAAAGGUCGAGCAUGAGUCGUAUGGUAGAUACGAUCAACAUGAAGAUGUUCACCGAUGUUGACUAGUCCGUCUCACGUGAUGAUCGGACACGGCCUAGUUGACUCGGAUCAUGUAAUCACUUAGAUGACUAGAGGGAUGUCUAUCUGAGUGGGAGUUCAUAAGAUGAACUUAAUUAUCCUGAACAUAGUCAAAAGGACUUUGCAAAUUAUGUCGUAGCUCACGCUAUAGUUCUACUGUUUAGAUAUGUUCCUAGAGAAAAUUUAGUUGAAAGUUGAUAGUAGCAAUUAUGCGGACUAGGUCCGUAAACUGAGGAUUGUCCUCAUUGCUUCAUAGAAGGUUUAUGUCCUUAAUGCACCGCUCAGUGUGCUGAACCUCGAACGUCGUCUGUGGAUGUUGCGAACAUCUGACAUACACAUUUUGAUAACUACGUGAUAGUUCAGUUAAACGGUUUAGAGUUGAGGCACCGAAGACGUUUUGAAACGUCACGAAACAUAUGAGAUGUUUCGAGGGCUGAAAUUGGGAUUUCAGGAUCGUGCCCACAUCAAGAGGUAUAAGACCUCCGACGAUUUUUCUUAGCCUGCAAACUAAGGGAGAAAAGCUCAACUGUUGAGCUUGUGCUCAGAUUGUCUGAGUACAACAAUCAUUUGAAUCGAGUGGGAGUUGAUCUUCCAGAUGAGAUAGUGAUGUUUCUCCGAAGUCAUUACCACCAAGCUGCUAGAGCUUCGUGAUGAACUAUAAUAUAUCAGGGACAUAUAUGAUGAUCCUUGAGAUAUUCGCGAUGUUUGACACCACAAAAGUAGAAAUCAAGAAGGAGCAUCAAUUGUUGAUGGUUGGUGAAACCACUAGUUUCAAGAAGGGCAAGGGCAAGAAGGGAUACUUCAUGAAAUGGCAAUUCAGCUGCUGCUCUAGUGAAGAAACCCAAGGUUGAACCCAAACCCGAGACUAAGUGCUUCUGUAAUAAGGGAAACAACCACUGGAGCAGAAUUACCCUAGAUACUUGGUAGAUGAGAAGGCUGGCAAAGUCGAUAGAAGUAUAUUGGAUAUACAUUGUGUUAAUGUGUACUUUACUAGUACUCCUAGUAGCACCAUGGUAUUAGAUACCGGUUCGGAUGCUAAAUGUUAGUAAACUCGAAAUAAAAGGCUGCAGAGUAAACGGAGACUAGCCAAAGGUGAGCUGGCAAAAUGUGUUGGAAGUUUUUCCAAGCUUGAUGUCAUCAAGCAUCGCACGCUCCCUCUACCAUCGAGAUCGGUGUUUGCGUUGAGCAUAGACAUGAUUGGAUUAUGUCUAUCGCAAUACGGUUAUUCAUUUAAGGAGAAUAAUGGUUACUCUGUUUAUUUGAAUAAUACCUUCAAUGGUCUUGCACCUAAAAUGAAUGGUUUAUUGAAUCUCGAUCGUAGUGAUACACAUGUUCAUGCCAGAAGAUAUAAGAUAGUAAUGAUAGUACCACCUACUUGUGGCACUGCCAUGUAAGUCAUAUCGGUAUAAAACGCAUGAAGAAGCUCCAUGUUGAUGGAUCUUUGGGCUCACUCGUUUUUGAAAAGUUUGAGACAUGCGAACCAUGUCUAUUGGUGUAUAUGCAUGAAGAAACUCCAUGCAAAUGGACCGUUUGGACUCACUCGAUUUUGAAUCACUUGAGACAUGCAAAUCAUACCACAUGGGCAAGAUGACUGAAAGCCUCGUUUUCAGUAAAAUGGAACUAGAAAGAAACUUGUUGGAAGUAAUACAUUUUGAUGUGUGCAGUCCAAUGAGUGCUGAGGCAUGUAGUGGAUUUCAUUAUGUUCUUACUUCACAGAUGAUUUGAGUAGAUACUGAGUAUAUUUACUUGAUGAAACAUAAGUCUGAAUUAUUGAAAGGUUCAAGUAAUUUCAGAGUGAAGUUGAACAUCGUCGUGACAAGAGGAUAAAAUGUCUAUGAUAUGAUCGUAGAGAUGAAUAUCUGAAUUACGAGUUUGGCACAAAAUUAAGACAUUAUGGAAAUUGUUUCACAACUAAUACAGUCUGGAACACCACAGUGUGAUGGUGUGUCCGAAUAUCAUAACUGCACCCUAUUGGAUAUGAUGCAUACCAUGAUGUCUCUUAUCAAAUUACCACGAUAGUUUAUGGGUUAGGCAUUAGAGACAACCACAUUCACUUUAAAUAGGGCACCACGUAAUUCCGAUGAGAUGACACCGUAUGAACUAUGGUUUAGAGAAACCUAAGCUGUCAUUUCUUAAAAGUUUGGGGCUGCGACGCUUAUGUGAAAAAGUUUUAGGCUGAUAAGCUCGAACCCAAAGCGGAUAAAUGCAUCUUCAUAGGACACCCAAAAUAGUUGGGUAUACCUCCUGUCUCAGAUCCGAAAGCAAUAAGGGAUUGUUUCUAGAAUCGAGUCCUUUCUCGAGGAAAGGUUUCUCUCGAAAGAAUUGAGUGUGAUGAUGGUGGAGAUUUGAUGAGGUUAUUGAACUGUCUCUUCAACUAGUGUGUGGCAGGGCACAGGGAGUUGUUCCUGUGGCACCUACACCAAUUGAAGUGGAAGCUUAUGAUAGUGAUCAUGAAACUUCAGAUCAAGUCACUACCAAACCUCGUGGGAUGACAAGGAUGCGUACUACUUCAGAGUGGUACGUAAUCCUAUCUUGGAAGUCAUGUUGCUAGACAACAAUGAACCUACAAGCUAUGGAGAAGCAAUGGUGGGCCUGGAUUCCAAAAUGGCUCGAAGCCAUAUAAUCCGAGAGAGGAUCCAUCUAUGAAAACAAAGUGUAGACUUUGGAAGAACUACUUGAUGGUCGUAAGGCUGUUAGGUACAUAGGGAUUUUAAAAGGAAGACGGACAAUGAUAGUAAGUAUCACCAUUAAGAAAGCUUGACUUGUCGUUAAGAUGUUUUCCGACAAGUUCAAGGAGUUGACUACGAUGAGACUUUCUCACUCGUAGCGAUGCUAAGAGUCUGUUGGAAUUAUAUUAGCGAUUACUGCAUUAUUUAUGAAAUCUUGCAGAUAGGAUAUCAAAACAUUGUUUCCUCGAUGUUUUUUUGAGGAAAGGUUGUAUGUGAUACAACCAGAAGGUUUUGUCAAUCCUGAAAGAUGCUAACAAGUAUGCAAAGCUCCAGCAAUCCUUCUAAGGACUGGAGUAAGCAUCUCGGAGUUGGAAUGUAUGCUUUGAUGAGAUGAUCAAAGUUUUGGGUGUAUACAAAGUUUAUGAGAAACUUGUAUUUCCAAAGAAGUGAGUGGGAGCACUAUAGAAUUUCUGAUGAGUAUAUGUUGUUAACAUAUUGUUGAUCGGAAAUGAUGUAGAAUUUCUGGAAAGCAUGCAGAGUUAUUUGAAAAGUGUUUUUCAAUGGAAAGCCUGGAUUAAGCUACUUGAACAUUGAGCAUGAAGAUCUAUAAGGAUAGAUCAAAACGCUUAAUGGUAAUUUCAAAUGAGCACAUACCUUGACAUGAUCUUGAAGGUGUUCAAGAUGGAUCAGUCAAAGAAGGAGUUCUUGCCUGAGUUGUAAGGUAUGAAGUUAAGACUUAAAGCUCGACCACGGAAGAAGAAAGAGGAAGGACGAAGGUCGUCCCCUAUGCUUUUGUCAUAGGCUCUCUACAGUAUGCUAUGUUGUGUGCCGCACUUGAAGUGUGCCUUGCCAUGAGUCAGUCAAGGGGUACAAGAGUGAUCCAAGAAUGGAUCACAAGACAACGGUCAAAGUUAUCCUUAGUAACUAGUGGACUAAGGAAUUUUCUCGAUUAUGGAGGUGGUAAAAGAGUUCGUCGUAAAGGGUUACGCCGAUGCAAACUUUGACACUAAUCUAGAUUAUUCUGAGUAGUAGACUGGAUUCGUAUAGUAGAACAGUUAUUUGGAAUAGCUCCAAAUAGAACGUGGUAGCUGCAUCUAGGAGAUGACAUAGAGAUUUGUAAAGCACACACGGAUCUGAAAGAUUCAGACCCGUUGACUAUAACAUCUCUCACAAGCAUAACAUGAUCAAACCCAGAACUCAUCGAGUGUUAAUCACAUGGUAAUGUGAACUAGAUUAUUGACUCUAGUAAACUCUUUGGGUGUUAGUCACAUGGGGAUGUGACCUUGAGUGUUUAUCACAUAUCGAUGUGAACUGGAUUAUUGACUCUAGUGCAAGUGGGAGACUGUUGGAAAUAUGCCCUAGAGGAAAUAAUAAAUUUAUUAUUAUUAUAUUUCCUUGUUCAUGAUAAUCGUUUAUUAUCCAUGCUAGAAUUGUAUUGAUAGGAAACUCAGAUACAUGUGUGGAUACAUAGACAACACCAUGUCCCUAGUAAGCCUCUAGUUGACUAGCUCGUUGAUCAAUAGAUGGUUACAGUUUCCUAACCAUGGACAUUGGAUGUCAUUGAUAACGGGAUCACAUCAUUAGGAGAAUGAUGUGAUGGACAAGACCCAAUCCUAAGCCUAGCACAAGAUCAUGUAGUUCGUAUGCUAAAGCUUUUCUAAUGUCAAGUAUCAUUUCCUUAGACCAUGAGAUUGUGCAACUCUCGGAUACCGUAGGAGUGCUUUGGGUGUGCCAAAUGUCACAACGUAACUGGGUGGCUAUGAAGGUACACUACAAGUAUCUCCAAAAGUGUCUGUUGGGUUGGCACGAAUCGAGACUGGGAUUUGUCACUCCGUGUAAACGGAGAGGUAUCUCUGGGCCCACUCGAUAGGACAUCAUCAUAAUGUGCACAAUGUGACCAAGGAGUUGAUCACGGGAUGAUGUGUUACGGAACGAGUAAAGAGACUUGCCGGUAACGAGAUUGAACAAGGUAUCGGCAUACCGACGAUCGAAUCUCGGGCAAGUAUCGUACCGAUGGACAAAGGGAAUUGCAUACGGGAUUAAUUAAGUCCUUGACAUCGUGGUUCAUCCGAUGAGAUCAUCGUGGAACAUGUGGGAGCCAACAUGGGUAUCCAGAUCCCGCUGUUGGUUAUUGACCGGAGAGUCAUCUCGGUCAUGUUUGCAUGUCUCCCGAACCCGUAGGGUCUACACACUUAAGGUUCGAUGACGCUAGGGUUAUAAAGGAAGUUUGUAUGUGGUUACCGAAUGUUGUUCGGAGUCCCGGAUGAGAUCCCGGACGUCAUGAGGAGUUCCGGAAUGGUCCGGAGGUAAAGAUUUAUAUAUAGGAAGUCCUGUUUUGGUCACCGGAAAAGUUUCGGGUUUUAUUGGUAACGUACCGGGACCACCGACAGGGUCCCGGGGGUCCACCAAGUGGGGCCACAAGCCCCGGAGGGCUGCAUGGGCCAAGUGUGGGAGGGGACCAGCCCCAGGUGGGCUGGUGCGCCCCCCCACCAAGGCCCAAGGCGCAAGGAAGAGGGGAAGGGGGCAAACCCUAGGGCAGAUGGGCCCUAAGGCCCACCCUAGUGCGCCUCCCCCUCUCCCCUCCCCUUGGCCGCCCCUAGAUGGGAUCUAGGGGGCUGCCGCCACCCCUAGGGAGGGAACCCUAGGUGGGGGCGCAGCCCCUCCCCUCCCCCUAUAUAUAGUUGAGGUUUGGGCUGCCCAAUACACAUGAGUUCCUCUCUUUCUUGGCGCAGCCCUAUCCCUCUCUUUCUCCUCAUAUCUCGUAGUGCUUGGCGAAGCCCUGCUGGAUCACCAUGCUCCUCCAUCACCACCACGCCAUUGUGCUACUGCUGGAUGGAGUCUUCCUCAACCUCUCCCUCUCUCCUUGCUGGAUCAAGGCAUGGGAGACGUCAUCGGGCUGUACGUGUGUUGAACGCGGAGGUGCCGUCCGUUCGGCACUAGGAUCUCCGGUGAUUUGGAUCACGAUGAGUACGACUCCUUCAACCCCGCACUACUAGGAAAAGGCCUACUAAUGGCGCACCAGUUUUGCCUACUAAUGGCGCAUCACUGGUGCGCCAUUACUAGCACGCCAUUAGUAAUUUUUACUAAUGGCGCACCACUGGUGCGCCAUUAGUAUCUGGUAUACUAAUGGCGCACCACUGGUGCGCCAUUAGUAUAGGCCACAGGUGCACCAUUAGUAUACCAGAUACUAAUGGCGCACCGCGUGGUGCGCCAUUAGUAUACCAUUCGGUGCUCCACUGGUAUUCCCUCCAGGUGCGCCACUAAUAACCUUAUAGGUGCGCCACUAGUAAUAAAGGAAGGUGCGCCACUAAUAAGGGCUUAAAUGCGCCACUACUAAUGUAUUUGGAAAACAAAAAAAAAUCUAAAUUUACAGAAAAAAACCUAUAAGGAAAAAUAAUUUAAAAACAAAAAAUGAAAUAGAAUCAUAAUUUUUAUUAUAGUAAGAAUAUUACAAUGUCUUUACAAGUUUCCAAUAAAAGGGAAAUUGCAAGGAAAUAAAAAAAAUCCUAAAGCUAAUCUUCUAGUAAUCUUCUCUUCUUUUUCUUCACUUUAUCCCUGCAAAAUGUAACAAAAUAAACACAAACACAAACAAACUAUUUAUAACAUGUCAAUACUGUCAUUUUUUCAGACCAAGUAACUAACAACUUCAGUGAGACAGGCACAGUGCAGUGUGAAUUUCAAUUGGCUAAAUCAUAUAUAGAAAUCAGUAUCUUCUCUAUGAACCUGAAACUGAGAUGACUGGACUAAUUUUGCACAUUUGAUUUAUGAAUUUAUUCUUCUUCGACAACCAACUAAACUUCGGAUCACCUACUAAGCAUCUGUACAUACUACAUAGGCUGAUUAAUCCAACAGCCACAAUGCAAAUAUUGACUAUUUCCAUUCAACUUCUUCACUUACUCAUUAUUAUCUAAUGAAACCAUUCGUAACUAAUGAAGCAGAUUGGCUAAAGUUAUUAUCAAGUCCUAAGUCCUAAUUGAAGCAGAUCUGCUAGGGUUCUUCUCGCUAGCCCCUCAUGGCCAACCGUUUCGGAACAGGCAGGCAGAGCUGCUUGGCCGGUGGCUAGGGAGUCGCUGGUGAUGUUGGGCAUCUCACACGAGCACCUGGCUAUUUGAGGAAACCGAAAUAGUAGCAUAAACAAGAUUGAUUCCGAGGAAAUGAUAGAACCUAUUCUAUCAAAGUGCUACUCCCCCCGUUCCAUAAUUCCAGUCGUGGUUUUUUAACUAAAACCAUGAAGAGAACUAUGGAAUGGAGGGAGUAGAAAACAAUAGCAUGCUUAAAAUUCUACCAUACACAGCAGCAACAGACAUUACACAAGCAUUUAUUUAUUUAUUGCAUUUGGCACAAGUUAAAAAUUCUCACAAGCAGAGGCGGUCCUAUCAGACAAAAAGAACAUGGACCGCUCAUUACAAAGCACUUCUACUGCAGUAUCAUGGAGUAGGAAAAGGGGCUUAAGCAGCAAAGAAGUAUAAUAAGAGAAAAAAACACUAUGGCGGCUGGAACUAGAAGAGCACCAUCACAGGUUCGAAACAUCACCAUGGAGUCGAUGGCCGGCAUAGCCCAUGGCAGGGCUGGAUGGGCAGCAUAAUAACACAAUAAAAGUUUGAUGUAUACUUAUUCGUUUGAAAAGAUGCAAGCUUAUUUACACCCUAGGACUGUUGAUUAGGGUCUGGAUGGUAUUUUUGUUCCUUGCGUAAGUAAGAGAAGGACUAGCAUCCAUAGUAGAAAGAAGGGUAAACAUACAUAAAGGAAAGUUUUUAUAGCGUCACGACCGAAAGAGGCUACGUGCGGCUGGGUGAAAUGGACAAGGUUUCAUGUAUGCAAUAUAUUAUAGAAAAAUAAGUGUUGACAGAAAAUGAAAGAUUUCCUGUCAAACAAACAGAGCUUCAUUUUGUAACAUUUCUGACCCACAUGAUAAUUGUACAACAUAGUAGAGGAGACCACUGUACAUACAUGUGUUGAAUGAAGCAGACUAAGAAAUAUUGGGUGGGUAUAAAGAAUACAAUAGUACGGUAGCUGAUGUAAACAAGUGCAGAGUUGCAUCCACAGAAUAGGUAACAAAUUAAAUAGCCCUGGUGCCAACAGUAGAGUUCGUGUAUCCAAUCCAUCCUUUGUUUAACACAGCAGCUCCAACUCUUGUGUAACAAAUUAAGUUUGGCAUGGGCACACAUAAAGCACUGACAUUUUCAUGGCUCGAUGGCCGUGGGCUAAGGGAGCAGAGGAGGAGGUGCGGCUCACCUCACAUGGCGGCGGAACCGAGGGAUGAAGGUGCGGCGCACCGGAGCAGGCAGAGGUGCCUUGUGUUGGCCAAACACGUGGCCAGCAGCAGAGAAGCGCUUCUCUUGCUCGACGGAUGUUGGGUGUGUGUGAGGCGUGCUCCUGCCUGCCUGCCUGCGUGAGGAACGGGAGGACCAUUAGAGAAGAGAAGGGAAGGGAAGAAGAGCAGGUAGAGGAUGGCAAGGGGAGAGGAGGGAAUCAAAAUCAAAGAUGAGAAGAUGACCUUGAGGAGGAGCAGGGGAAGAGCGGAGCAGCAGAAACAGAGGCCUUCCUCUCCCGGUGGUGAGGACCGAGGCGACCUCCGUCACGGCCUAGCCAGGUCGACGACUCUGGCGACCGUGGCUGCCAGAUCCGGUGUCACCAUGGCCGGCCUCCUCCUGUGGUGCCUGCUAGGUCGCCAUGGCCGCGGGCUCCUUGUCCGUGGCGGCUGGAUCUGGGGCCUUGGGGUGGCGGGGAGCUCCUCCUCCUGCAGCUCGGCGGCCUCCACACCCCGGAGCAACGCCGUCGCCGGAGGACGUGGUCACCUGCUCUCCUCUGGAUCCGGUGAGGAGGGUUGGGGAAGGAGCUCACCACGGCUCCAUGCCCUGGAUCUGGUGUGAGGGAGGGGGAAGGGAGCUCGCCGUGGUCAGGAGGGAGAGGAAGAGGCGGGCGGCCGGGGCUUCCCGAUCUAAAUCAAAGUCGAGGGAGGUGGGUGGGUGUGUCAGGAGGAAGGUGAGGGGGAGAGAACGUGACAAGAUGGAGGGGAUAAGGGGUGAUAGCAAUGGCGCACUGGUAGGGGUGCGCCAUACGUAUAGAUAGCAAUGGCGCAUCUCUUACUGGUGCGCCAUUACUAGUUUAAACUAGUAAUGGUGCACGGUGGAACAGUGCGCUAUUAGUAGUUUUGCAAAAAAAAGUAAUAAAAAUAUAAUAAAAAAACAACAUUAGUGGCGCACUUUUCGACAGGUGCGCCAUUACUAGUUACAACUAGUAAUGGCGCACUGUGUCUGGAUGCGCCAUUAGUAUGUUUGGACAGGCGCACUAGUUCAAAAAAAAUUGAUACUAAUGGCGCACCCUGGGCCAGGUGCGCCAUUAGUAGUUUCAACUCUAAUGGCGUAUCAGAAGGUGGUGCGCCAUUAGUAUAUACCCUUGUAGAGGACUUAGGACUUGAUAAUAACUUUAGCCAAUCUGCUUCAUUAGUUACGAAUGGUUUCAUUAGAUAAUAAUGAGUAAGUGAAGAAGUUGAAUGGAAAUAGUCAAUAUUUGCAUUGUGGCUGUUGGAUUAAUCAGCCUAUGUAGUAUGUACAGAUGCUUAGAAGGUGAUCCGAAGUUGGAGAGGUCGGGGAUGAGCUGAUGCGGCGGGGGUGGUGAAGGGGAUCUCUGGUGGCCGGAGUUGAGGACGAGCUCGGUGCAGCGUCUCCGAGGCGAGCAAGCGCUCGGGCGCGGCCUACUCGAUGUAGUCGAUGGCGGCGGAGCUCGUGGACACGAUGGCGCGGCGCGAGGACGACGGAAGGCACGGCUACGACGACGGUGCGGCGACAGAAGUGUCGGCCAUGGUGGGGAACGGCGAAGGGAUAGAGACAGGGGGGAAAUGGCGUGUCCAGGGGCUUCGGGGUGCGACGUGGAGGCGUCCAGGCGUCUAGGGGCGCGGGCGGCAAGCAGGUGACGCCGUGGUGAGCUCGGGCACGCCGGAGUCACCUCCCUGCCUGCGUGGCGGGGAAGAAGCAGCUGGCUGGCGCGAGCCAGCACAGUGCUGGGCCGCCUGGUGGGCCGGCGGGUGAGAUAGCUGGGCCGCGCCAGGUAAGCUUCUCUCUCUCUCUCUCUUUCUUAUUUGUUUUCUUUUUCUAUUUUUCUGCAACUGUUGGGCUUUAUUAAAAAUACCUAGACAUCUUUAAAAAUCCUGAAAAUAAUCAGGGGCUCUGUUUAGAUUAUUCCCAACAGCCCACACUUAUUUCUAGAAUUAUUUGAGCAUUUAAAUUAUUUUAUAGCAUUUAAAUGCCCAAAUUCAAAUACUUAUGAUUUAAUUCAAGAAAAUCCAGAAUGUCCUAGAAAAGAGUGCACCAUUUUUGCCAGGGGUUUUAGCCCAAUCCAGAAAUGAUGAACAUUUUGUGAAAGGCAUUUUGGGUUCAUUGAAAAUAAUUUUAGUAAACCCUAGUUGUUUCCAGGGGGUGCUGGGGGUUCUGUCAUCCCCAUUUCAAAUUUAAAAGGAAUUUAAACAUGAUGCACACUCUAAUGCUUGAACUAGCUAGGGUGUGACACUAAGCAACCCGGCAACGACAUAGAUGUGUACCUAAGGCCAUUAGUUGAAGAACUCUUACAACUGUGGAAUGGAACAGGUGUACGUGCGUGGGAUGAGCACAUGGGGAAAGAAUUUGACCUAAAGGCGUUGUUGUUCGUGACCAUCAAUGAUUGGCCUGCUCUCACUAACCUUUUAGGACAGACAAACAAGGGAUACCGCGCAUGCACGCACUGUUUGGACGAUGCCGACAGUAUAUAUUUGGCUAAAUGUAAGAAGAAUGUGUACCUGGGACAUCAUCGAUUUCUUCCGAGCAGGCAUCCCGUAAGAAAGAAAGGCAAGCAUUUCAAAGGUGAGGCGGAUCACCGGACGAAGCCUCGCCACCGUACUGGUGCUGAUGUACAUGAUAUGGUCAACGAUUUGAAGGUGGUCUUUGGAAAGGGUCCUGGUGGACAACCUAUUCCGAAUGACGCUGACGGACGCGCACCCAUGUGGAAGAAGAAAUCUAUAUUUUGGGACCUGCCCUAUUGGAAAGACCUAGAGGUCCGCUCCGCAAUCGACGUGAUGCACGUGACGAAAAUCUUUGUGUGACCCUGCUUGGCUUCUUGGGCGUGUAUGGGAAGACAAAAGAUACACCUGAGGCACGGGAGGACCAACAAUGUAUGCACGGAAAAGAUGGCAUACAUCAGGGUCAUGCAAGCUACGCUCUUACCAAAGAAGAGAAGGAAAUCUUCUUUGAAUGCCUGCUCAGUAUUAAGGUACCGUCUGGCUUCUCGUCUAAUAUAAAGGGAAUAAUAAACAUGGCAGACAAAAGUUCCAGAACCUAAAGUCUCAUGACUGCCACGUGAUUAUGGCGCAACUGCUUCCGGUUGCAUUGAGGGGGCUUCUACCAGAAAACGUUCGAUUAGCCAUUGUGAAGCUAUGUGCAUUUCUCAAUGCAAUCUCUCAGAAGGUAAUCGAUCCAGAAAUAAUACCAAGGUUAGAGAAUUAUUUGGUGCAAUGUCUUGUCAGUUUCGAGUUGGUGUUCCCACCAUCCUUCUUCAACAUCAUGACGCACGUCCUAGUUCACCUAUGCGAAGAGAUUAACGUUUUGGGUCAUGUAUUUCUACACAAUAUGUUCCCCUUUGAGAGGUUCAUGGGAGUCUUAAAGAAAUAUGUUCAUAACCGUGCUAGGCCAGAAGGAAGCAUCUCCAAGGCCAUGAAAAUGAGGAGGUCAUUGAGUUUUGUAUUGACUUUAUUCCUGACCUUAAGCCGAUUGGUGUUCCUGAAUCGCGGCAUAAGGGCAGACUGGAUGGAAAAGGCACGCUAGGAGGGGAACAAAUAAUAUGUAUGUACGGACAUUCUCUCACUGAAGCACACUACACAGUUCUACAGAAUUCCGCCUUGGUGGCUCCAUAUAUGGAUGAACACAAGAAUUUGCUACGCUCCAAACACCCGGAGCGGUCUGAUGACUGGAUUACACGUGAACAAACCAGAAGUUUCGCCAGCUGGUUGCAGACACGUACCAUGCAUGACACCUCUAUUGAAGAUGACCUGUACUUGCUGUCCCAGUUACCAUCUUCGAAUAUAAUGACUUUCAAAGGGUACCAGAUAAAUGGUAAUACAUUUUACACGAUCGCCCAAGAUAAGAAGAGCACCAACCAAAACAGUGGUGUCUACUUUGAUGCAGAAACCAAGACGGGAAAGGAAACAUAUUAUGGUUAUAUACCGGACAUAUGGGAACUUGACUAUCGACGUGGUUUAAAGGUCCCUUUGUUUCGGUGCAAAUGGGUCAAUAUGACACGAGGCGGGGUAACGGAAGACCCGCAGUACGGAAUGACAACAGUGGAUCUCAACAAUCUUGCGUAUGCAGACGAACCAUUCGUCCUAGCCAAUGAUGUGGCACAGGUUUUCUAUGUGAAGGACAUGUCUACCAAGCCAAGAAAAAGAAAAGAUAAGGAAGCGAAUGCAUCGUACGAUGAGCCAAAGCGGCACAUAGUUCUUUCUAGGAAGAGAAACAUCGUGGGAGUGGAUGACAAGACAGACAUGUCAGAAGAUUAUGAAAAGUUUGAUGAAAUUGCUCCAUUCACAGUGAAUAUUGACCCGAGCAUCCCGUUAAAUGAUGAAGAUUUUCCAUGGUUACGGCGCAAAGGGACGCACGCGAAGAAAAAGUUUCACACCCAAAGAUCUGGGAUGUGAUCGGCUUCACUAUCAUCACUUUCUUCUGUGUUUCACACCCAGGAGGGAAUCUCUGUAAUAGUUAGGGUAGUUAUGUGUUUUGGCAUUUGAAACGCGAAGAAAUUUUAUGUGCAAACAAAUUCUUUCAUGCCUUUACUGAUUUUUAAAGUUAAGUUAUUCACAAACUAGUGAUUCACACUAAUUUCAAAUAAUUCAAAAUUUAAACUAUUCAAAUUUGAAAACUACAGGCACUAACAGAAAGUUUGUAAUUUUUUGUACCUAAAGCAAAAAUUGAAGGAAAUAUGCCCUAGAGGCAAUAAUAAAGUUAUUAUUUAUUUCCUUAUAUCAUGAUAAAUGUUUAUUAUUCAUGCUAGAAUUGUAUUAACCGGAAACAUAAUACAUGUGUGAAUACAUAGACAAACAGAGUGUCACUAGUAUGCCUCUACUUGACUAGCUCGUUAAUCAAAGAUGGUUAUGUUUCCUAACCAUGGACAAAGAGUUGUUAUUUGAUUAACGGGAUCACAUCAUUAGGUGAAUGAUCUGAUUGACAUGACCCAUUCCAUUAGCUUAGCACCCGAUCGUUUAGUAUGUUGCUAUUGCUUUCUUCAUGACUUAUACAUGUUCCUAUGACUAUGAGAUUAUGCAACUCCCGUUUGCCGGAGGAACACUUUGUGUGCUACCAAACGUCACAACAUAACUGGGUGAUUAUAAAGGUGCUCUACAGGUGUCUCCAAAGGUACAUGUUGGGUUGGCGUAUUUCGAGAUUAGGAUUUGUCACUCCGAUCGUCGGAGAGGUAUCUCUGGGCCCUCUAAUGCACAUCACUUAAGCCUUGCAAGCAUUGCAGCUAAUGAGUUAGUUGCGGGAUGAUGUAUUACGGAACGAGUAAAGAGACUUGCCGGUAAUGAGAUUGAACUAGGUAUUGGAUACCGACGAUCGAAUCUCGGGCAAGUAACAUACCGAUGACAAAGGGAACAACGUAUGUUGUUAUGCGGUCUGACCGAUAAAAGAUCUUCGUAGAAUAUGUAGGAACCAAUAUGGGCAUCAAGGUCCCGCUAUUGGUUAUUGACCGGAGACGUGUCUCGGUCAUGUCUACAUUGUUCUCGAACCCGUAGGGUCCGCACGCUUAAGGUUUCGAUGACAGUUAUAUUAUGAGUUUAUGAGUUUUGAUGUACCAAAGGAGUUCGGAGUCCCGGCUGAGAUUGGGGACAUGACGAGGAGUCUCGAAAUGGUCGAGACGUAAAAAUCGAUAUAUUGGACGACUAUAUUCGGACAUCGGAAAGGUUCCGAGUGAUUCGAGUAUUUUUCGGAGUACCGGAGAGUUACGGGAAUUCGCCGGGAGAAGUAUUGGGCCUUAUUGGGCCAUACGGGAAAGAGAGAGGGGCUGCCUAGGGUAGGCCGCGCGCCCCCCAAGGCCUAGUCCGAAUUGGACUAGGGGGAGGGGCUGCGCCCCUUCCUUGUUUCCUACUCCUACUACAUGGAAGGACUCCUACUUGGACUAGGAAAGGGGGAAUCCUACUCCCGGUGAGAGUAGGACUUCUCUAGGCGCGCCAUAGAGAGGGCCGGCCCUCCCCUCCUGCACUCCUUGAUAUACGGGGGCAGGGGGCACCCCAUAGACACACAAGUUGAUCCACGUGAUCAUAUUCUUAGCCGUGUGCGGUGCCCCCUUCCACUAUAGUCCUCGAUAAUAUUGUAGCAGUGCUUAGGCGAAGCCCUGCGACAGUAGUACAUCAAGAUCGUCACCACGCCGUCGUGCUGACGGAACUCUUGCCCGACACUUUGCUGGAUCGGAGUCCGGGGAUCGUCAUCGAGCUGAACGUGUGCUAGAACUCGGAGGUGCCGUAGUUUCAGUGCUUGAUCGUCGGGCCGUGAAGACGUACGACUACAUCAACCGCGUUGUCAUAACGCUUUUGCUAUCGGUCUACAAGGGUACGUAGAUCACACUCUCCCCUCUCGUUGCUAUGCAUCACCAUGAUCUUGCGUGUGCGUAGGAAAUUUUUUGAAAUUACUACGUUCCCCAACAGUGGCAUCCGAGCCUAGGUUUUAUGCGUUGAUGUAAUAUGCACGAGUAGAACACAAGUGAGUUGUGGGCGAUAUAAGUCAUACUGCUUACCAGCAUGUCACAGUUUGGUUCGGCGGUAUUGUUGGAUGAAGCGGCCCGGACCGACAUUACGCGUACGCUUAUGCGAGACUGGUUCUACCGACGUGCUUUGCACACAGGUGGCUGGCGGGUGUCAGUUUCUCCAACUUUAGUUGAACCGAGUGUGGCUACGCCCGGUCCUUGCGAAGGUUAAAACAACACCAACUUGACAAACUAUCGUUGUGGUUUUUGAUGCGUAGGUAAGAACGGUUCUUGCUAAGCCCGUAGCAGCCACGUAAAACUUGCAACAACAAAGUAGAGGAUGUCUAACUUGUUUUUGCAGGGCAUGUUGUGAUGUGAUCUGGUCAAGACAUGAUGCUAAAUUUUAUUGUAUGAGAUGAUCAUCUUUUGUAACCGAGUUAUCGGCAACUGGCAGGAGCCAUAUAGUUAUCGCUUUAUUGUAUGCAAUGCAAUCGCACUGUAAUGCUUUACUUUAUCACUAAGAGGUAGCGAUAGUCGUGGAAGCAUAAAAGUGGCGAGACGACAACGAUGCUGCGAUGGAGAUCAAGGUGUCACGCCGGUGACGAUGGUGAUCAUGACGGUGCUUCGGAGAUGGAGAUCACAGGCACAAGAUGAUGAUGGCCAUAUCAUAUCACUUAUAUUGAUUGCAUGUGAUGUUUAUCUUCUAUGCAUCUUAUCUUGCUUUGAUUGACGGUAGCAUUAUAAGAUGAUCUCUCACUGAAUUAUCCAGAAGUGUUCUCCCUGAGUAUGCACCGUUGCGAAAGUUCUUCGUGCCGAGACACCACAUGAUGAUCGGGUGUGAUAGGCUCUACGUUCAAAUACAACAGGUGCAAAACAGUUGCACACGCGGAAUACUCAGGUUAUACUUGACGAGCCAAGCAUAUGCAGAUAUGGCCUCGGAACACGGAGACCGAAAGGUCGAGCGUGAAUCAUAUAGUAGAUAUGAUCAACAUAGUGAUGUUCACCAAUGAAACUACAUCUCACGUGAUGAUCGGACAUGGUUUAGUUGAUUGGGAUCAUGUGAUCGCUUAGAGGAUUAGAGGGAUGUCUAUCUAAGUGGGAGUUCUUAAGUAAUAUGAUUAAUUGAACUUAAAUUUAUCAUGAACUUAGUCCUUAUAGUAUUUUGCAAAUUAUGUUGUAGAUUAAUAGCUCGUGUUGUUGCUUCCUUGUGUUUUUUAUAUGUUCCUAGAGAAAAUUGUGUUGAAAGAUGUUAGUAGCAAUGAUGCGGAUUGGAUCCGUCAUCUGAGGUUUAUCCUCAUUGCUGCACAGAGGAAUUAUGUCCUUGAUGCACCGCUAGGUGACAGACCUAUUGCAGGAUCAGAUACUAACGUUAUGAACGUUUGGCUAGCUAAAUAUGAUGACUACUUGAUAGUUUAGUGCACCAUGCUUAACGGCUUAGAAUCGGGACUUCAAAGACGUUUUGAACGUCAUGGACCAUAUGAGAUGUUCCAGGAGUUGAAGUUAAUAUUUCAAGCAAAUACCCGAGUUGAGAGAUAUGAAGUCUCCAACAAGUUCUAUAGCUAAAAGAUGGAGGAGAAUCGCUCAACUAGUGAGCAUGUGCCCAAAUUGUCUGAGUACUACAAUCACUUGAAUCAAGUGGGAGUUAAUCUUCUAGAUAAGAUAGUGAUUGACAGAAUUCUCUAGUCACCAUCACCAAGUUAGUAGAACUUCGUGAUGAACUAUGAUAUGCAAGGGAUAACGGAAACGAUUCCCAUGCUCUUCGUAAUGCGGAAAUUGAUGAAGGUAGAAAUCGAGAAAAACAUCAAGUGUUGAUGGUAGACAAGACCACUACUUUCAAGAAAAAGGAAGAGGGAAGAAGGGGAACUUCAAGAAAAACAGCAAGCAAGUUGCUGCUCAUGUGAAGAAGCCCAAGUCUGGUCCUAAGCCUAUGACUAAGUGCUUCUACUGCAAAGGGACUAGUCACUGGAAGCGGAACUACCCCAAGUGAUUGGCGGAUAAGAAGGAUGGCAAAGUGAACAUAAGUAUAUUUGAUAUACAUGUUAUUGAUGUGUACUUUACUAGUGUUUAUAGCAACCCCUCAGUAUUUGAUGCUAGUUCAGUUGCUAAGAGUAGUAACUCGAAACGGGAGUUGCAGAAUGAACAGAGACUAGUUAAGGGUGAAGUGACGAUGUGUUUUGGAAGUGGUUCCAAGAUUGAUAUGAUCAUCAUCGCACACUCCCUAUACUUUCGGGAUUAGUGUUGAACCUAAAUAAGUGUUAUUUGGUGUUUGCGUUGAGCAUGAAUAUGAUUUGAUCAUGUUUAUUGUAAUACGGUUAUUCAUUUAAGUAAAAGAAUAAAUUGUUGUUCUGUUUACAUGAAUAAAACCUUAUUUGGUUACACACCCAAUGAAAAUAGUUCAUUGGAUGUCGAUCGUAGUGAUACACAUAUUCAUAAUAUUGAAACCAAAAGAUGCGAAGUUAAUAAUGAUAGUGCAACUUAUUUGUGGCACUGCCAUUUAGGUCAUAUUGGUGUAAAGCUCAUGAAGAAACUCCAUGCUGAUGGGAUUUUGGAAUCACUUGGUGCUUGCGAACCAUGCCUUAUGGAUAAAAUGACUAAAGACUCCGUUCUCCGGAACAAUGGAGCGAGCAACUGACUUAUUGGAAAUAAUACAUACUGAUGUAUGCGAUCUGAUGAGUGUUGAAGCUCGCGGCGGGUAUCGUUAUUUUCUGACCUUCACAUAUGAUUUGAGCAGAUAUGGUAUAUCUGCUUGAUGAAACAUAAGUCUGAAACAUUUGAAAAGUUCAAAGAAUUUCAGAGUGAAAUGGAAAAUCAUCGUAACAAGAAAAAUAAGGUUUCUACGAUCUGAUCGCGGAGACAAAUAUUUGAGUUACGAGUUUGGUCUUCAAUUAAAACUAUGUGGAAUAGUUUCACAAAUUCAUGCCACCUGGAACACCACAGCAUAAUAGUGUGUUCGAACAUCAUAACCGUACUUUAUUGGAUAUAGUGCAAUCUAUGAUGUUUCUUACCGAUUUACCACUAUAGUUUUGGGGUUAUGCAUUAGAGACAGCUGCAUUCACGUUAAAAGGGCACCAUCUAAAUCUGUUGAGACGACACCGUAUGAACUGUGGUUUGGCAAGAAACCAAAGUUGUCGUUUCUCAAAGUUUGGGGUUGCAAUGCUUAUGUGAAAAAGUUUCAUCCUGAUAAGCUCAAACCCAAAUCGGAAAAGUGUGUCUUCAUAGGAUACCCAAAAAGUUACUGUUGGGUACACCUUCUAUCACAGAUCCGAAGGCAAGACUUUUGUUGCUAAAUUCAGAAACUUUCUGGAGAAGGAGUUUCUCUCGAAAGAAGUGAGUGGGAGGAAAGUAGAACUUGAUGAGGUAACUGUACCUACUCCCUUAUUGGAAAGUAGUACAUCACAGAAAACUGUUUCUGCGACACCUACCCCAAUUAGUGAGGAAGCUAAUGAUACUGAUCAUGAAACUUCAGGACAAGAUACUAUUGAACCUCAUAGAUCAACCAGAGUGAGAUCCGCGCCAUAGUGGUACGGUAAUCCUAUUCUGGAAAUCAUGCUGCUAGAUCAUGAUGAACCUACGAACUAUGAGGAAGCGAUGAUGAGCCCAGAUUCCGAUAAAUGGCUUGAGGCCAUGAAAUCUGAGAUAGGAUCCAUGUAUGAGAACAAAGUGUGGACUUUGGUGGACUUGCCCGAGGAUCGGCAAGCCAUUGAUAAUAAAUGGAUCUUCAAGAGGAAGACGGACACGGAUAGUAGUGUUACUAUCUACAAAGCUAGAAUUUUCGCAAAAGGUUUUCGACAAGUUCAAGGUGUUGACUACGAUGAGAUUUUCUCACUCGUAUCUAUGCUUAAGUCUGUCCGAAUCAUGUUAGCAAUUGCCGCAUUUUAUGAAAUCUGGCAAAUGGAUAAACAAAACUGCAUUCCUUAAUGGAUUUAUUAAAGAAGAGUUGUAUAUGAUGCAACCAGAAGGUUUUGUCAAUCCUAAAGGUACUAACAAAAUAUGCAAGCUCCAACGAUCCAUCUAUGGACUGGUGCAAACAUCUCGGAGUUGGAAUACACGCUUUGAUAAGUUGAUCAAAGCAUAUAGUUUUAUACAGACUUGUGGUGAAGCCUGUAUUUACAAGAAAGUGAGUGGGAGCACUACAACAUUUCUGAUAAGUAUAUGUGAAAGACAUAUUAUUGAUCGGAGAUAAUGUAGUAUUAUUCUGCAAAUCAUAAAGGAAUAUUUGAAAGGAGUUUUUCAAAGAAAGACCUCGGUGAAGCUGCUUACAUAUUGAGCAUCAAUAUCUAUAGAGAUAGAUCAAGACGCUUGAUAAGUUUUUCAAUGAGGAUAUACCUUGACAAGAUUUUGAAGUAGUUCAAAAUGGAAUAGUCAAAGAAGGAGUCCUUGCCUGUGUUACAUAGGUGUGAAGUUGAGUAAGACUCAAAACCCGACCACGGCAGAAGAUAGAGAGAGAAUGAAAGUCAUUCCCUAUGCCUCAGCCAUAGGUUCUAUAAAGUAUGCCAUGCUGUGUACCAGACCUAUUGUAUACCCUGCCCUGAGUUUGGCAAGGGAGUACAAUAGUGAUCUAGGAGUAGAUCACUGGACAUUGUUCAAAAUUAUCCUUAGUGGAAUAAGGAUAUGUUUCUCGAUUAUGGAGGUGACAAAAGGUUCGUCGUAAAGGGUUACGUCGAUGCAAGUUUUGACACUGAUCCAGAUGACUCUAAGUCUCAAUCUGGAUACAUAUUGAAAGUGUGAGCAAUUAGCUAGAGUAGCUCCAUGCAGAGCAUUGUUGACAUAGAAAUUUGCAAAAUACUUACAGAUCUGAAUGUGGCAGACCCGUUGACUAAACUUCUCUCACAAGAAAAACAUGAUCACACCUCAGUACUCUUUGGGUGUUAAUCACAUAGCGAUGUGAACUAGAUUAUUGACUCUAGUAAACCCUUUGGGUGUUGGUCACAAGUUGAUGUGAACUAUGGGUGUUAAUCACAUGGUGAUGUGAACUAUUGAUGUUAAAUCACAUGGCGAUGUGAACUAGAUUAUUGACUCUAGUGCAAGUGGGAAACUAAAGGAAAUAUGCCCUAGAGGCAAUAAUAAAGUUAUUAUUUAUUUCCUUAUACCAUGAUAAAUGUUUAUUAUUCAUGCUAGAAUUGUAUUAACCGGAAACAUUAUACCUGUGUGAAUACAUAGACAAACAGAGUGUCACUAGUAUGCCUCUACUUGACUAGCUCGUUAAUCAAAGAUGGUUAUGUUUCCUAACCAUGGACAAAGAGUUGUUAUUUGAUUAACGGGAUCACAUCAUUAGGUGAAUGAUCUGAUUGACAUGACCCAUUCCAUUAGCUUAGCACCAGAUCGUUUAGUAUGUUGCUAUUGCUUUCUUCAUGACUUAUACAUGUUCCUAUGACUAUGAGAUUAUGCAACUCCCGUUUGCCGGAGGAACACUUUGUGUGCUACCAAACGUCACAACGUAACUGGGUGAUUAUAAAGGAGCUCUACAGGUGUCUCCAAAGGUACAUGUUGGGUUGGCGUAUUUCGAGAUUAGGAUUUGUCACUUCGAUCAUCGGAGAGGUAUCUCUGGGCCCUCUCGGUAAUGCACAUCACUUAAGCCUUGCAAGCAUUGCAGCUAAUGAGUUAGUUGCGGGAUGAUGUAUUACGGAACGAGUAAAGAGACUUGCCGGUAACGAGAUUGAACUAGGUAUUGGAUACCGACGAUCGAAUCUCGGGCAAGUAACAUACCGAUGACAAAGGGAACAACGUAUGUUGUUAUGCGGUCUGACCGAUAAAAGAUCUUUGUAGAAUAUGUAGGAACCAAUAUGGGCAUCCAGGUCCCGCUAUUGGUUAUUGACCGGAGACGUGUCUCGGUCAUGUCUACAUUGUUCUCGAACCCGUAGGGUCUGCACGCUUAAGGUUUCGAUGACAGUUAUAUUAUGAGUUUAUGAGUUUUAAUGUACCGAAGGAGUUCAGAGUCCCGGAUGAGAUCGGGGACAUGACGAGGAGUCUCAAAAUGGCCGAGACAUAAAAAUCGAUAUAUUGGACGACUAUAUUCGGACAUCGGAAAGGUUCCGAGUGAUUCGAGUAUUUUUCGGAGUACCGGAGAGUUACGGGAAUUCGCCGAGAGAAGUAUUGGGCCUUAUUGGGCCAUACGGGAAAGAGAGAGGGGCUGCCUAGGGCAGGCCGCGCGCCCCCAAGGCUUAGUCCGAAUUGGACUAGGGGGAGGGGCUGCGCCCCUUCCUUGUUUCCUACUCCUACUACAUGGAAGGACUCCUACUUGGACUAGGAAAGGGGGAAUCCUACUCCCGGUGAGAGUAGGACUUCUCUAGGCGCGCCAUAGAGAGGGCCGGCCCUCCCCUCCUGCACUCCUUGAUAUACGGGGGCAGGGGGCACCCCAUAGACACACAAGUUGAUCCACGUGAUUAUAUUCUUAGCCGUGUGCGGUGCCCCCUUCCACCAUAGUCCUCGAUAAUAUUGUAGUAGUGCUUAGGCGAAGCCCUGCGACAGUAGUACAUCAAGAUCGUCACCACGCCGUCGUGCUGACGGAACUCUUCCCCGACACUUUGCUGGAUCGGAGUCCGGGGAUCGUCAUCGAGCUGAACGUGUGCUAGAACUCGGAGGUGCCGUAGUUUCGGUACUUGAUCGAUCGGGCCGUGAAGACGUACGACUACAUCAACCGCGUUGUCAUAACGCUUCCGCUAUCAGUCUACAAGGAUACGUACAUCACACUCUCCUCUCUCGUUGCUAUGCAUCAUCAUGAUCUUGCGUGUGCGUAGGAAAUUUUUUGAAAUUACUAUGUUCCCCAACAAAAAUAUUCACAAAGAAACUCUAAAUACACAAAAAAAACAACUCAAAAAUAAAUAAAGCAAAAAAAAUAAAAAAAGCCCGCCUACUGGGCCAGAGCGGCCUGCAUACGACUAGAAACUCAACCUGUUGUUGGGCCAGGAUGCAGGCCCGCAAAGGUCGAGUAGGCCCACAGGGCAGCACAGAACAUGUAGGCCCAGUAGGCCUGCUUUGGAGAGGAGCUCGAGACAGCUACCGCACGGGGGGUUAUAAACCAGUGCAGACGCCCUUCGGCUAGCGAGGUGGGACUAAACUUGCUGCACCGCACCUGCGCCAAUGCACCCCCUUUAGUACCGGGUGGUGGCACCAACCGGUACUAAAGGCGGGGGUGCCUUUAGUACCGGUUGGAGCCACCACCCGGUACUAAAGGGGGUGCGCUUCCCGCCGCUUGGACUGGCCAAAACAGGCCUUUAGUACCGGUUGGUGGCUCCAACCGGUACUAAAGGUCCAUCCUAUAUAUCCAAACACUUCAAAAAUUUCAGUUUUUCAUCUGCUUCUUCUCCUCUGCCCCGUCGCCCGCCGCCCCCGUCUCCAUAUCCCUCGUCGCCGCCCCCGUCGCCGCCCCGUCCCCGUCGUCGNNNNNNNNNNNNNNNNNNNNNNNNNNNNNNNNNNNNNNNNNNNNNNNNNNNNNNNNNNNNNNNNNNNNNNNNNNNNNNNNNNNNNNNNNNNNNNNNNNNNNNNNNNNNNNNNNNNNNNNNNNNNNNNNNNNNNNNNNNNNNNNNNNNNNNNNNNNNNNNNNNNNNNNNNNNNNNNNNNNNNNNNNNNNNNNNNNNNNNNNNNNNNNNNNNNNNNNNNNNNNNNNNNNNNNNNNNNNNNNNNNNNNNNNNNNNNNNNNNNNNNNNNNNNNNNNNNNNNNNNNNNNNNNNNNNNNNNNNNNNNNNNNNNNNNNNNNNNNNNNNNNNNNNNNNNNNNNNNNNNNNNNNNNNNNNNNNNNNNNNNNNNNNNNNNCUCGCCGAUGAGCACACACGCACAUACAUUUUUUUAGUUUUUUAGUUAUAGAAAUAGUUAUAAAAAUGUUAGAAAAUUUUCUUUUCUUAGUUAUAGAAAUAGUUACUUAUAUAUCAUUAUUAGAAAUGUUAGAAUUGUUAGAAAUUUUUUCUGUUUUUUAGUUAUAGAAAUAGUUAUAAAAAAGUUAGAAUUGUUAGAAAUUUUUCUGUUUUUUAGUUAUAGAAAUAGUUAUAAAAAAGUUAGAAAUUUUUCUUUUUUUAGUUAUAGAAAUAUUAGAAAUGUUAUACAAAUGUUAGUUAUACAGAUAGAAAUGUUAUAAUUUUUUUUGUUUUUUAGUUAUAGAAAUAUUAGAAAUGUUAUAGAAAUGUUAGUUAUAUAGCAUUGUUAGAAAUGUUAUAGGAAUGUUAGUUAUAUAGAAAUGUUAGAACUUUGAGUUAUCAAAAUCCAAUUAUUAAAAAAAUGUUACUUUUUGCGGGCAUAUAGCUAGUACUUGUUCUCGACGAUGCCCGGCCCGCAUCCUCGCCGUCGACCCGUCCGCGACGACGUCCGGCUGACCCAUGUCCGAGACUGGGCUCCGCCGGGCUGGCACUGGGGGGGCGCGCCGCUUGAUGAGGAACAUGGCCCCGGGUCCCGUCGUCGACCCUGAUCUAGUUUGGAGGCGUUCGCGUCGGCCAGUUUCGGUGCGGAGGGAGCCGGCCCCGCCGGAGGUGGUACGUCGCCGUGUUAGGGAGGAGGACGAGCACGUCCAUCGCUACAUGGUUGCGUUAGAGGGCGGCAGGUUCUCCAAUACCUGGCAGUUUCUUCAGGGAUCUCACUUCAGCUAUGAUCCUGUGAGGGUUCCUUCUCUUUGGGUGUCCACCGCCCGCGCCGCAGGAACUGCGAGUGUCCUAGAUUCUUCUGUAGUCAGUGAUGUAUUCGAUAUAUAAUAUUCGAGACGAUGUAUUCGAGAUUAUAUAUUAUUCGAGACGAUGUAUUCGAGAUUAUAUCUAUUAUUCGAGACGAUGUAUUCGAGAUUAUAUCUAUUAUUCAAGACGAUGUAUUCGAGAUUAUAUCUAUUAUUUGAGACGAUGUAUUCGAGAUUAUAUCUAUUAUUCGAGACGACGUAUUCGAGAUUAUAUUUGAUGAUGCUUAUAUGUACUAUGAUUGAUUCAGUUUUUCCUUAUUAAUUGAUUGCAUCCAUGCAUUGUAAUUUGAAUAUAUUUCUUUUGGAUUAGUUAAACAAAACCUAUGGCGGACAAUACCGGUAGAGAGGGAGAAGAGGCCCUGUUCAAUAUCAUAUGCAAUCCUCGCGGGCCAGAUGAUGAUCAGAAUGAAGAAGAUUAUGACGGCUCCGAAUAUGUAAACAACACCGGGGAGGGUGAUAUGAUAUUCGAUCGCGACGACUGAAUUGAUGAAGUCAUGAACUAUGAACAUGACAAAGAAAAUGUUGAUCUUGAAACAACAAAGACCGGCGAGGUAUAUAUAUUUAUAUAAGCAGGCAUCUGGUGAUCAUCACAUGUUUUAAAUGACUCGAAGAUAUAUUAACGAAUCGAUCUUUCUUCUUUCAGCUAUCUGGAUCGAGCAAAUCUUCAGGCAACAGGAUGAAAUGAGGCCCAAACAAAAAGUUGAAGGAGGGCGUAAAGUACAAUAUCGAGGCAAUCAGACCUAAUGGCGAACCAUUAGCGCCUAAGAAGAUUGCGGACAAGUUCGUUCGUCAGUGCGGAGUUCUUGUGAAGGACCUACUCCCGAUCUCCCUUCAAGAAUGGAGAGAGCCAGCAAACCAACGUCCAGAUCUUACUUUUGUCGAUGACAGACAAAAAGGUCUGCUUUGGGAUACUCUCAUGGAACAUUUCACCCUACCAGAUCAUUUCACAGAAGCAGAUGUGCAGAAAGUAAAGGACGCUGCUCUUAGGAAGAUGGCGGUUGCAUUCAAGAACCAUAAGAAUCAUGAAUGGGACAAGUACAUCAAGGGAGGAAGGAAGACUCCAGUAUUCGAGGGAACACUAGAGAAGCAAAGUGCUCAUUGGGACGAUUGCGUGAAAUUCAAGGAUUCGGAAUUAGCUAAGGAGCGGUCGAGAAUAAACAAGAAGAAUGUCGAAAAAAGGAUAAGUUCCAUAAGCUGGGGCCAGGUGGCUACGCGAUGGCAAUGCCUAAGUGGGAUAAGUUUGAGAAAGAGAUGGAGGAUGCAAGUGUCACUCCGGUUACUAGGAGCUGGCCCCCCAGGUGCAGGACUUGGUUCUAUGCGCAUGGGGGGAGUUGGACCCGAAGACAGGCAAAGUUUCGACGAAGGCAUGUCUGAACGGAGCCAACGAUGCGCUAAUUGUUGCAAUAGAAGAGGCUCGAACGGGGGUAUUCCAGCCCAACAGAGAGAACGACGAGCUUACGCGUGCCCUGGGAAAUCCUGAACACCCGGGAAUAACACGAGGCAAGGGCGCUAUUCCGUGGUAUGAGUGGUUUUCGGACUGGAACCGACUACAGAAACCGUGUGAGAAGGAAGAUUGCGGAGGAGAAGAAGAGGAAGAUGGAGGAGGAGCAGAGGAAGUUGGACUAUGAACGCCUUCAAGGCCUAGAAUCAAAGCACGCAGACUUGGCAGUCAAAUUCCAGCGGCAGCAGGAGCAGAUCGACUCACUUAGCCAGCAAAGGGGGUCUCAGCAGCUGCAGCGGCAAGCGGAUGAUCCAGCAUUGGAUAGCACCGCCCUAUCCAUGCCGAGAAGCAGCGUGGGUUCCGCCCCGGGCGACGCAAUGCUGGAUAGAUACCCCGUGGAUGACGUCACGGAGAACACUAACUGCGAGCUACACUUCAAAAUGAAGAACAUAUCCAUGAAGGUGGCGGAUGCCGUUGCUUUUACAAAUCCCCCCGAGGCAACCUUCCAUUGCAACCCGAUUCCAGCAGGCUAUGCUCGUGUCUUGGUUGAUGAGGUGGUGGACCCAUAUUCGGGGCUACAUCUUGACAUUCCUGGAGGUGAUGACGAGCACACAUUGGGAGAGGCCAUACAUCGUGUCAUCCUAUGGAGAAAGGAUUGCAUCGUCUUUCGAAGGCCACCGGCACCGCGUCACCCGACUCCUCGUCGAAGUCCGCCACCGAGUCAGCAAACUCCUGCUCCUCCAAGUCCACCAAUGUGUGAGGCCAUUACUCCUCCUCCAAGUCUGGCAAAGUGUCAGGCCACUCCUCCUCCAAGUCCGACACAGCGUCAGACGUCCACUCCUCCUCCAUGUCCGGCACAACUUCAGGCCACUCCUCCUCCAAGUCCGGCACAGCUUCAGGCCACUCCUCCUCAUCCAACUCAGCCCCGUCAGCCUUCUCCGCCGCCUCAGCAAUCGCAGAAGAGACACCCCGCAGCUAUGGUGCAUAGCGGUACGAGUCGAGGUAGUACAGGAAGUACAGGCGGAGGCAAGCUAUAUAAAUAUGGUCCAAGCCUCACUACUCCUCUUCCUCAGAGGGCUUAUGACAUGACCGAGGAGCAAACCAAUGCCAUAGAGCAGGCAGAAGUGGACGCCCAUUUUGGACCGAAACCGCCACCGCCGCCAAGGGAGAAACUGCCUGUGGAAAAGAUUGACCACUUCAUUCGUAUGGCCCAACCACCAGCUCCCAAGCCCGAUGACACAGACUAUGAGCGCCACAUCAGGAAGUUAAAUCGAGCACGUCUACAGAAGGAGGCGAGCUCGAGCUCGAGCAAACAACAAGCAGCUGUCAAAAAAUGCAGGAAAACCGUUCCCCAGCAGGGAGAACAGGCGACGCAAUCGAUCCCCUCGCUUGUUGUGCCAACAACACGUGAUAGUACGCGCGCCCAAUAUUAUUGUGGCCAAACAGUUUAUGUUCCCGAGGUGGGCAAUGUGGUAAUAACCGAGGAGCAUAUAAUGCAGGCUAAAAUUCUCAACAUCACUGUUGGACAACUCCUCAAGAUCGAGCCCAUGCCUGUGCUUACAGAGGAGGAAAUAAAAUGGAAAUAUGUCCGGGGCGAACCUUUGGUCAAGCCAGACGAGGUCAAGAAGCUCCUAACGCGAAUGUAUGAAUUGCAUCAAUGGUACAUGGACAUUACCAAGAGUUCCAAUCGAGAGUCCCUCAUGGUGGAAGUCAAGAAGGAUCAUUACUACCAUCAGAAAGCUGUGGCCGUUGAGUAUAAUGAACUGUUUGAGUUAUACAAUCAAGAUGCACUCGACAAAUCUAUCGUCAGUUGCUAUUGUCUGUAAGUGAUUUCUUUCUGUAAUUUAAGUCUCAAGCUAGCUGUAGUGAUCCUUUUGAUCAAUCAUUACCUGUAAUUAUCCUCACUAUAUUCUUUUCUGUGGUAUUAUGCAUGAUGAAGAUGUAUGUAAUGAAAAAAAGUGGACGCUACGGCAUUGGGUUCAUUGACCCAAACACCGUUAAUGAAUACACAUGGAAAAUAGAUCCAUAUCAUGAAAAGCAUGUAGAGGACAGCAUGCUAGAGUUCUUGAAGCGCCUCAAAUACAAUGAAGAUAUACUACUUCCUUACAACUUCCAGUGAGUCACACUGUCUUGUACUAUACAAAUUCUCUGUUUUUGCCUACUAGCUAGCUACAUGUUUUUGCUUAUGUAUGCCCGCUUAAUUAAGACAUGCAAACGUGUGUGCAUGCAGAUUUCACUGGAUCUUGUGUAUCAUUAAAGUUGACGCUGGAACAAUUGAAAUACUGGACUCACUACUCAAAGCAAAUAGUGACUAUAACAUCUUGUUUGGGAUAGUCAACAGGUAAUUUCAAUCAUUAUUAACUAUAUAUCUCGACCUAUUUAGUUCGUCAUUUCAUGAUAUGAACUAUUUAAUAACCCAUUUAUUCAUUUUCUUUGUCAGCGGGCAGGGCUUGGGCAAGGUUCAUCAGCGUCACUCCAGGCGAAUGGAAACAAAAGCUGAAAUGGUUUCGACCCAAGGUAAGUAAUUAAGUAGUACUAGCUAGCUAGCUAGCUGCCAUCUCUUUAAUUAUCAUGCUUGCUUAAUUAUUAUCUGAUCAACUUCCAUUCUCGUAAAGGCCCUGAAGGAGGCGCAGGGGACUGAUCUGUGUGCAUACUGCGUUUGCGAGAACAUUCACAUGAUGGCAUCCGAAAGGAGCAGAUCUCAAAGACAGGAAUGGCACUAGUAGAAAAAGGGUCCAAUCGUGAAGCACAUUAGUGCCGGUUUGAAUUUGAGCUGGCACUAAUGUGUGCAUUAGUGCCGGUUCCAACGGCUAGCCGGCCGCUCUCAUUAGUACCGGUCCGUGGUGAACCUUUAGCACCGGUUCGUGCCAUGAACCGGUACUAAAGUGAGUGGUGGCAGGAUGUUGUCAGUCCGGGGCCCCUCCAGCACCUUUAGUACCGGGUCGUUUCAUGAACCGGUACUAAAGGUCGUCCUACAUAGACCCUUCGUCCACCCGAGCUCGCUUUGUUCUUCCCCUUUCCCCUCUCCUCUCUGUUCUUUUCCCUCUUCCUCUCAAGCUCAUCACACAUUUUGCCCAAAAUUUGUCAAGAUUUGAAGGCCCCCAUCCAUUCAAAUGAUCACAAAGGUUAACAACUUUUUCCUUUCAUCUCUCAUUGCUAGAUUAGCUUGUGCAAUGCUUUAUAUAGUGAUUGAUUUUUGAGUUUAGUAAUUUGGGAGGAAUUAUAUAGAUGUGCUAGUAUUUGAUUUAUAUGCAAUUUGAGGUCAAAAAUAACACUUAGUUUGCAUAUGUAGGUGUGGUUUACGUAGUACCUUCUAAAUCUCCGUCGUAACCACCGUCGAUCGCUCGCAACGUCCCGUCGCCAGCACCACCUUGUGGUGAGCCUCUUGUUCUUGAACUUUUAUAUAAAAAAUUGAUGUUUGUGUGAUUUGGAUAUAUAGUUACUCGUAUAAUUAUCUUACCCAUACGUUGUUUGUUAUACAUAGUGCCAUGGUUUUGAUAUCCGUCCCCGUUGGCCCUCGUCCGGGUUAUGAUUCGGAUGUGGUAUAUUCUCUUUUAAAACUAUUCAUUGCAUUUCGUGUUUAUGACAAAUUAUGCCCAUCAAGUUGACAUAGAUAUUUGUAUGUAGGAGGUAGUUGAACCGGAAAUUCCAACCGACCCUAUUGUCGAGAGGUUAAAUUUAGUUGAAAGAGAAAACGAGGAUUUGAAGGAAAAAUUGAAAAGAAUUGAGGGGGAGAAGAUGGAAUUGGAGUUGCAUGUUGCCGAUGUCGUCGAUAAUCACAAGAUUAAGAUGGAGAAAAUGCGCUUGAAGAUUAGAAAGAUUAGAAAAUAUGCUAUUCAUAGUGAGGCUUGGUAUCAUUAUGCUGUUGGAUCAAUUGUUACCUUAGUUGCGAUCUUGAUCGCAUUUGUUGUUGCAUUUAAAUUCUUUAGCUAGAGAGUUAUUUGUUUGUUGCAUUUAAGUGUUGUAUGAUCUUUAUGUAUGAACUUUAUGUAUUGUAUUAAUUUGACGUUUUCGGUGCUGUCUAUUGAAGAUGAGCCGGCAAUGGAUGUACGAUGACCGAUGCUCUCCCGAAUUCAUUAAUGGUGUGCGUACUUUUCUGCUUGCGGCUGAGGCAAACAAGCGAGCGGAUGGUUUUAUGCCUUGUCCAUGUGCUGGCUGUAAGAAUGGUCACAAUUACUCUACGUCAAGAACCAUUCACGUCCACCUGUUUGAGUCCGGUUUCAUGCCCCACUAUAAUGUUUGGACCAAGCAUGGAGAAAGAGGGGUUAUGAUGGAAGACAAUGAAGAAGAAGAGGACGACGACAGCUAUCCUGGCCAUGGGUUCCCUGAAUACGAUGAUACAACAAUGAGGGAAGAAGCUGAGCCGGUAAUGCGGGAAGAAGCUAAAGAAGAGGCAUCGGAUGAGCCCGUUGAUGAUCUAGGUCAGGCCAUUGCCGAUGCAAAGAGAAACUGCGCAAGUGAUUUGGAGAAGAAGAAGUUGCAGCGCAUGUUAGAGGAUCACAAAAAAUUGUUGUACCCGAAUUGCGUAGGUGACAAGAAAAAGCUGGGCACCACACUGGAAUUGCUGCAAUGGAAGGCAGAGAAUGGUGUAUCUGACAAGGGAUUUGGAAAGUUGCUGGUAAUGAUAAAGGAUAUGCUUCCACAGGACAACGAAUUGCCCGAGAGUACGUACGAAGCAAAGAAGGUUGUCUGCCCUCUAGGGUUAGAGGUGCAGAAGAUACAUGCAUGCCCUAAUGGUUGCAUCCUCUACCGCGAUGAGUACGAGGAUUUGAACGCUUGCCUGGUAUGCGGUGCAUUGCGCUAUAAGAUCAGCCGCGAUGACCCUGGUGAUGUUGAGGGCGAGCGCCCCAGGAAGAAGAUUCCUGCCAAGGUGAUGUGGUAUGCUCCUAUAAUACCCCGGUUGAAACGUUUGUUCCAAAACAAAGAGCAUGCCAAUGCGAUGCGAUGGCACAGAGAAGACCGUAAGAAAGACGGAAAGUUGAGAGUACCCGCUGAUGGGUCGCAGUGGAGAAAAAUCGAAAGAAAGUACGGAAAGGAGUUUGUAGAUGACGCAAGGAACGUAUGGUUUGGUCUAAGCGCAGAUGGCAUUAAUCCUUUUGGGGAGCAGAGCAGCAACCAUAGAACCUGGCAUGUGACUCUAUGUUUGUAUAAUCUUCCUCAUUGGUUGUGCAUGAAGCGGAAGUUCAUUAUGAUGACAGUGCUCAUCCAAGGCCCUAAGCAACCCGGCAACGACAUUGAUGUGUACCUAAGGCCAUUAGUUGAAGAACUCUUACAACUGUGGAAUGGAACAGGUGUACGUGCGUGGGAUGAGCACAUGGGGAAGAAUUUGACCUAAAGGCGUUGCUGUUCGUGACCAUCAAUGAAUGGCUGUUCUCAGUAACCUUUCAGGACAGACAAACAAGGGAUACCGCGCAUGAACGCACUGUUUGGAUGAUACGGACAGUAUAUAUUUGGCUAAUUGUAAGAAGAAUGUGUACCUGGGACAUCGUCGAUUUCUUCCGAGCAGGCAUCCCGUAAGAAAGAAAGGCAAGCAUUUCAAAGGUGAGGCGGAUCACCGGACGAAGCCUCGCCACUGUACUGGUGUUGAUGUACAUGAUAUGGUCAAGGAUUUGAAGGUGGUCUUUGGAAAGGGUCCUGGUGGACAACCUGUUCCGAAUGACGCUGACGGACGCGCACCCAUGUGGAAGAAGAAAUCUAUAUUUUGGGACCUGCCCUAUUGGAAAGACCUAGAGGUCUGCUCCGCAAUCGACGUGAUGCAUGUGACGAAGAAUCUUUGUGUGACCCUGCUUGGCUUCUUGGGCGUGUAUGGGAAGACAAAAGAUACACCUGAGGCACGGGAGGACCAGCAAUGUAUGCACGGAAAAGACGGCAUACAUUAGGGUCAUGCAAGCUAUGCUCUUACAAAAGAAGAGAAGGAAAUCUUCUUUGAAUGCAUGCUCAGUAUUAAGGUACCGUCUGGCUUCUCGACGAAUAUAAAGGGAAUAAUAAACAUGGCAGAGAAAAAGUUCCAGAACCUAAAGUCUCAUGACUGCCACAUGAUUAUGACGCAACUUCUUCCGGUUGCAUUGAGGGUGCUUCUACCAGAAAAUGUUCGAUUAGCCAUUGUGAAGCUAUGUGCAUUUCUCAAUGUAAUCCCUCAGAAGGUAAUCGAUCCAGAAAUCAUACCAAGGUUAGAGAAUGAUUUGGUGCAAUGGCUUGUCAGUUUCGAGUUGGUGUUCCCACCAUCCUUCUUCAACAUCAUGACGCACGUCCUAGUUCACUUAUGCGAAGAGAUUAACGUUUUUGGUCCUGUAUUUCUACACAAUAUGUUCCCCUUUGAGAGGUUCAUGGGAGUCUUAAAGAAAUAUGUUCAUAACCAUGCUAGGCCAGAAGGAAGCAUCUCCAAGGGCCAUGAAAAUGAGGAGGUCAUUGAGUUUUGUAUUGACUUUAUUCCUGACCUUAAGCCGAUUGGUGUUCCUAAAUCGCGGCAUAAGGGCAGACUGGAUGGAAAAGGCAUGCUAGGAGGGGAACAAAUAAUAUGUAUGGACGAACAUUCUCUCACUGAAGCACACUACACAGUUUUACAGAAUUCCGCCUUGGUGGCUCCGUAUAUGUAUGAACACAAGAAUUUGCUACGCUCCAAACACCCGAGCGGUCUGAUGACUGGAUUACACGUGAACUAACUAGGAGUUUCGCCAGCUGGUUGCAGACACGUACCAUGCAUGACACCUCUAUUGAAGAUGACAUGUACUUGCUGUCCCAGUUACCAUCUUCGAAUAUAAUGACUUUCAAAGGGGACGAGAUAAAUGGUAAUACAUUUUACACGAUCGCCCAAGAUAAGAAGAGCACCAACCAAAACAGUGGUGUCUGCUUUGAUGCAGAAACCAAGACGGGAAAGGAAACAUAUUAUGGUUAUAUACAGGACAUAUGGGAACUUGACUAUCGACGUGGUUUGAAGGUCCCUUUGUUUCGGUGCAAAUGGGUCAAUAUGACACGAGGCGGGGUAACGGAAGACCCGCAGUACGGAAUGACAACAGUGGAUCUCAACAAUCUUGCGUAUGCAGACGAACCAUUCGUCCUAGACAAUGAUGUGGCACAGGUUUUCUAUGUGAAAGACAUGUCUACCAAGCCAAGAAAAAGAAAAGAUAAGGAAGCGAAUGCAUUGUACGAUGAGCCAAAGCGGCACAUAGUUCUUUCUGGGAAGAGAAACAUCGUGGGAGUGGAUGACAAGACAGACAUGUCAGAAGAUUAUGAAAAGUUUGAUGAAAUUGCUCCAUUCACGGUGAAUAUUGACCCGAGCAUCCCGUUAAAUGAUGAAGAUUUUCCAUGGUUACGGCGCAAAGGGACACACGCGAAGAAAAAGUUUCACACCCAAAGAUCUGGGAUGUGAUCGGCUUCACUAUCAUCACUUUGUUCUGUGUUUCACACCCAGGAGGGAAUCUCUCUAAUAGUUAGGGUAGUUAUGUGUUUUGGCAUUUGAAAUGCGCAGAAAUUUUAUGUGCAAACAAAUUCUUUCAUGCCUUUACUGAUUUUUAAAGUUAAGUUAUUCACAAACUAGUGAUUCACACUAAUUUCAAAUAAUUCAAAAUUUAAACUAUUAAAAUUUGAAAACUACGGGCACUAAAGAAAGUUUGUAAUUUUUUGUACCUAAAGAAAAAUAUUCACAAAGAAACUCUAAAUACACAAAAAAACAACUCAAAAAUAAAUAAAGCAAAAAAAAUAAAAAUAAAGCCCGCCUACUGGUCCAGAGCGGCCUGCAUACGACUAGAAACCCAACAUGUUGUUGGGCCAGGAUGCAGGCCCGCAAAGGCACAGUAGGCCCACAGGGCAGCACAAAACAUGUAGGCCCAGUAGGCCUGCUUUGGAGAGGAGCUCGAGAGAGCUACCGCACGGGGGGAUAUAAACCAGUGCGGACGCCCCUCGGCUAGCGAGGUGGGACUAAACUUGCCACACCGCACAUGCGCCAGCGCACCCCCUUUAGUACCGGGUGGUGGCACCAACCGGUACUAAAGGGGGGCCUUUAGUACCGGUUGGAGCCACCACCCGGUACUAAAGGGGGUGCGCUUCCCGCCGCUUGGCCUGGCCAAAACAAGCCUUUAGUACCGGUUGGUGGCUCCAACCGGUACUAAAGGUCCAUCCUAUAUAACUAAACACUUCAAAAAUUUCAGUUUCUCAUCUGCUUCUUCUCCUCUGCCCCGUCGCCCGUCGCCCCCGUCUCCAUAUCCCUCGUCGANNNNNNNNNNNNNNNNNNNNNNNNNNNNNNNNNNNNNNNNNNNNNNNNNNNNNNNNNNNNNNNNNNNNNNNNNNNNNNNNNNNNNNNNNNUUUUUCUGUUUUUCAGAAAUAGUUAGAAAUGUUAGAAUUGUUAAAAUAGUUAGAAAUGUUAGAAUUGUUAGAAUUGUUAGAAAUGUUAGAAUUGUAAGAAAUUUUUCUGUUUUUUAGUUAUAGAAAUAGUUAUAAAAAAGUUAGAAUUGUUAGAAAUUUUUCUGUCUUUUAGUUAUAGAAAUAGUUAUAAAAAUGUUAGUUAUAUAUAUAGUAAUGUUAUAAUUUUUUCUGUUUUUUAUUUAUAGAAAUAUUAGAAAUGUUAUAGAAAUGUUAGUUAUAUAUAGCAUUGUUAGAAAUGUUAUAGAAAUGUUAGUUAUAUAGAAAUGUUAGAAAUUUUAGUUAUCAAAAUCCAAUCAUUAAAAAAAUGUUACUUUUUGCGGGCAUAUAGCUAGUAUUUGUUCUCGACGAUGCCCGACCCGCAUCCUCGNNNNNNNNNNNNNNNNNNNNNNNNNNNNNNNNNNNNNNNNNNNNNNNNNNNNNNNNNNNNNNNNNNNNNNNNNNNNNNNNNNNNNNNNNNNNNNNNNNNNNNNNNNNNNNNNNNNNNNNNNNNNNNNNNNNNNNNNNNNNNNNNNNNNNNNNNNNNNNNNNNNNNNNNNNNNNNNNNNNNNNNNNNNNNNNNNNNNNNNNNNNNNNNNNNNNNNNNNNNNNNNNNNNNNNNNNNNNNNNNNNNNNNNNNNNNNNNNNNNNNNNNNNNNNNNNNNNNNNNNNNNNNNNNNNNNNNNNNNNNNNNNNNNNNNNNNNNNNNNNNNNNNUAUAUUAGAAAUGUUAUAGAAAUGUUAGUUAUAUAGCAUUGUUAGAAAUGUUAUAGGAAUGUUAGUUAUAUAGAAAUGAUAGAAAUUUUAGUUAUCAAAAUCCAAUCAUUAAAAAAAUGUUACUUUUUGCGGGCAUAUAGCUAGUAUUUGUUCUCGACGAUGCCCGGCCCGCAUCCUCGCCGUCGACCCGUCCGCGACGACGUCCGACUGACCCAUGUCCGGGACUGGGCUCCACCGGGCUGGCACUGGGAGGUGCUGCCUAGAGGGACGCACCGCUUGAUGAGGAACCCGGCCCCGGGUCACGUCGUCGACCCUGAUCUCGUUUGGUGGCGUUCGCGUGGGCCAGUUUCGGUGUGGAGGGAGCCGGCCCCGCCGGAGGUGGUACGUCGCCGUGUCAGGGAGGAGGACGAGCACGUCCAUUGCUACAUGGUUGCGUUAGAGGGCGGCAGGUUCUCCAAUACCUGGCAGUUUCUUCAGGGAUCUCACUUCAGCUAUGAUCCUGUGAGGGUUCCUUCUCUUUGGGUGUCCACCGCCCGCGUCGCAGGAACUGCGAGUGUCCUAGAUUCUUCGGUAGUCAGUGAUGUAUUCGAUAUAUAAUAUUCGAGACGAUGUAUUCGGAUUAUAUAUUAUUCGAGAUGAUGUAUUCGAGAUUAUAUCUAUUAUUCGAGACAAUGUAUUCGAGAUUAUAUCUAUUAUUCAAGACGAUGUAUUCGAGAUUAUAUCUAUUAUUCGAGACGAUGUAUUCGAGAUUAUAUCUAUUAUUCAAGACGACGUAUUUGAGAUUAUAUUCGAUGAUGCUUAUUAUGUACUAUGAUUGAUUCAGUUUUUCCUUAUUAAUUGAUUGCAUCCAUGCAUUGUAAUUUGAAUAUAUUUCUUUUGGAUUAGUUAAACAAAACCUAUGGCGGACAAUACCGGCAGAGAGGGAGAAGAGGCCCUGUUCAAUAUCAUACGCAAUCCUCGCGGGCCAGAUGAUGAUCAGAAUGAAGAAGAUUAUGACGGCUCCGAAUAUGUAAACAACACCGGGGAGGGUGAUAUGAUAUUCGAUCGCGACGACCGAAUUGAUGAAGUCAUGAACUAUGAACAUGACGAAGAAAAUGUUGAUCUUGAAACAACAAAGACCGGUGAGGUAUAUAUAUUUAUAUAAGCAGGCAUCUGGUGAUCAUCACAUGUUUUAAAUGACUUGAAGAUAUAUUAACGAAACGAUCUUUCUUCUUUCAGCCAUCCAGAUCGAGCAAAUCUUCAGGCAACAGGAUGAAACGAGGCCCAAACAAAAAGUUGAAGGAGGGCAUAAAGUACAAUAUCGAGGCAAUCAGACCUAAUGGCGAACCAUUAGCGCCUAAGAAGAUUGCGGACAAGUUCGUUCGUCAGUGCGGAGUUCUUGUGAAGGACCUACUCCCGAUCUCCCUUCAAGAAUGGAGAGAGCCAGCAAAGCCACGUCCAGGUCUUACUUUUGCCGACGACAGACAAAAAGGUCUGCUUUGGGAUACUCUCAUGGAACAUUUCACCCUACCAGAUCAUUUCACAGAAGCAGAUGUGCAGAAAGUCAAGGACGCUGCUCUUAGGAAGAUGGCGGUUGCAUUCAAGAACCACAAGAAUCAUGAAUGGGACAAGUACGUCAAGGAAGGAAGGAAGACUCCUGUAUUCGAGGGAACACUAGAGAAGCGAAUUGCUCAUUGGGACGAUUUCGUGAAAUUCAAGGAUUCGGAAUUAGCUAAGGAACGGUCGAGAAUAAACAAGAAGAAUGUCGAAAAAAGGAUAAGUUCCAUAAGCUGGGGCCAGGUGGCUAAGCGGUGGCAAUGCCUAAGUGGGAUAAGUUUGAGAAAGAGAUGGAUGAUGCAGGUAUCAUUCCGGUUACUAGGAGCUGGCCCACCAGGUGCAGGACUUGGUUCUAUGCGCAUGGGGGGAGUUGGACCCGAAGACAGGCAAAGUUUUGACGAAGGCAUGUCUGAACGGAGCCGACGAUGCGCUAAUUGUUGCAAUAGAAGAGGCUCGAAUGGGGGUAUUCUAGCCCAACAGAGAGAACGACAAGCUUACGUGUGCCCUAGGAAAUCCUGAACACCUGGGAAGAACACGAGGCAAGGGCGCUAUUCCGUGGUAUGAGGGGUUUUCGGACUGGAACGCCGACUACAGAACCCGUGCGAGAAGGAAGCUUGCGGAGGAGAAGAAGAGGAAGAUGGAGGGGGAGCAGAGGAAGCUGGACUAUGAACGCCUUCAAGGCCUAGAAUCAAAGCACGCGGACUUGGCAGUCAAAUUCUAGCGGCAGCAGGAGCAGAUCGACUCACUUAGCCAGCAAAGGGGGUCUCAGCAGCUGCAGCGGCAAGCGGAUGAUCCCGCAUUGGAUAGCACCACCCCAUCCAUGCCGAGAAGCAGCGUGGGUUCCGCCCCGGGCGACGCAAUGCUGGAUAGAUACCCCAUGGAUGACGUCACGGAGAACACUAACUGUGAGCUACACUUCAAAAUGAAGAACAUAUCCAUGAAGGUGGCGGACGCCGUUGCUUUUACAAAUCCCCCCGAGGCAACCUUCCAUUGCAACCCGAUUCCAGCAGGCUAUGCUCGUGUCUUGGUUGAUGAGGUGGUGGACCCAUAUUCGGGGCUACAUCUUGACAUUCCUGGAGGUGACGACGAGCACACAUUGGGAGAGGCCAUACAUCGUGUCAUCCUAUAGAGAAAGGAUUGCAUCGUCUUUCGAAGGCCACCGGCACCGCGUCACCCGACUCCUCGUCGAAGUCCGCCACCGAGUCAGCAGACUCCCGCUCCUCCAAGUCCACCAAUGCGUGAGGCCACUCCUCCUCCUCCAAGUCCGGCAAAGUGUCAGGCCACUCCUCCUCCAAGUCCGACACAGCGUCAGACGUCCACUCCUCCUCCAAGUCCGGCACAAGUUCAGGCCACUCCUCCUCCAAGUCCGGCACAGCUUCAGGCCACUCCUCCUCGUCCAACUCAGCCCCGUCAGUCGUCUCCGCCGCCUCAGCAAUCGCAGAAGAGACACCCCGCAGCUAUGGUGCGUAGCGGUACGAGUCGAGGUAGUACAGGAAGUACAGGCGGAGGCAAGCGAUAUAAAUAUGGUCCAAGCCUCACUACUCCUCUUCCUCAGAGGGCUUACGAUAGGACCGAGGAGCAAACCAAUGACAUAGUGCGGGCAGAAGUGGACGCCCAUUUUGGACCGAAACCGCCACCGCCGCCAAGGGAGAAAGUGCCUGCGGAAAAGAUUGACCACUUCAUUCGUAUGGCUCAACCACCAGCUCCCAAGCCUGUUGACACAGACUAUGAGCGCCACAUCAGGAAGUUAAAUCGAGCACGUCUACAGAAGGAGGCGAGCUCGAGCAAACAAUAAGCAGCUGCCAAAAAUGCAGGAAAACCGUUCCCCAGCUGGGAGAACAGGCGGCGCAAUCGAUCCCCUCGCUUGUUGUGCCAACAACACGUGACAAUACGCGCGCCCAAUAUUAUUGUGGGCAAACUGUUUACGUUCCCGAGGUGGGCAAUGUGGUAAUAACCGAGGAGCAUAUAAUGCAGGCUGAAAUUCUCAACAUCACUGUUGGACAACUCCUCAAGAUCGAGCCCAUGCCUGUGCUUACAGAGGAGGAAAUAAAACGGAAAUAUGUCCGGGGCGAACCUUUGGUCAAGCCAGACGAGGUCAAGAAGCUCCCAACGAGAAUGUAUGAAUUGCAUCAAUGGUACAUGGACAUUACCAAGAGUUCCAAUCUAGAGUCCCUCAUGGUGGAAGUCAAGAAGUAUCAUUACUACCAUCAGAAAGCUGUGGCCGUUGAGUAUAAUGAACUGUUUCAGUUAUACAAUCAAGACGCACUCGACAAAUCUAUCGUUAGUUGCUAUUGUUUGUAAGUGAUUUCUUUCUGUAAUUUGAGUCUCAAGCUAGCUGUAGUGAUCCUUUUGAUCAAUCAUUACCUGUAAUUAUCCUCACUAUAUUCUUUUCUGUGGUAUUAUGCGGGAUGAAGAUGUAUGAAAUGAAAAAAGGUGGACGCUAUGGCAUUGGGUUCAUUGACCCAAACACCGUUAAUGAAUGCACAUGGAAAAUAGAUCCAUAUCAUGAAAAUCAUGUAGAGGACAGCAUGCUAGAGUUCUUGAAGCGCCUCAAAUACAAUGAAGAUAUACUACUUCCUUACAACUUCCAGUGAGUCACACUGUCUUGUACUAUACAAAUUCUCUAUUUUUGCCUACUAGCUAGCUACAUGUUUUUGCUUACGUAUGCCCAUUUAAUUAAGACAUGCAAAUGUGUGUGCAUGUAGAUUUCACUAGAUCUUGUGUAUCAUUAAAGUUGACGCCGGAACAGUUGAAAUACUGGACUCACUACUCAAAGCAAAUAAUGACUAUAACAUCUUGUUUGGGAUAGUCAACAGGUAAUUUCAAUCAUUAUUAACUAUAUAUCUCGGCCUAUUUAGUUCGUCAUUUCAUGAUAUGAACUAUUUAAUAACCCCUUUAUUCAUUUUCUUUGUUGGCGGGUAGGGCUUGGGCAAGGUUCAUCAGCGUCUCUCCAGGCGAAUGGAAACAAAAGCUGAAAUGGUUUCGACCCAAGGUAAGUAAUUAAGUAGUACUAGCUAGCUAGCUAGCUGCCAUCUCUUUAAUUAUCAUGCUUGAUUAAUUAUUAUCUGACCAAAUUCCAUUCUCGUAAAGGCCCUGAAGCAGGCGUAGGGGACUGAUAUGUGUGCAUACUGCGUUUGCGAGAACAUUUGCAUGAUGGCGUCCGAAAGGAGCAGAUCUCAAAGACAGGAAUGGCACUAGUAGAAAAAGGGUCAAACGUGAAGCACAUUAGUGCCGGUUUGAAUUUGAGCCGGCACUAAUGUGUGCAUUAGUGCCGGUUCCAACGGCUAGCCGGCCGCUCUCAUUAGUACCGGUUCGUGGAGAACCUUUAGCACCGGUUCGUGCCACGAACCGGUACUAAAGUGAGUGGUGGCAGGAUGUUGUCAGUCCGGGGCCCCUCCAGCACCUUUAGUACCGGGUCGUAUCACGAACCGGUCCUAAAGGUCGUCCUACAUAGACCCUUCGUCCACCCGAGCUCGCUCUGUUCUUCCCCUUUCCCCUCUCCUCUUUGUACUUUUCCCUCUUCCUCUCAAUCUCAUCACACAUUUUGCCCAAAAUUUGUUAAGAUUUGAAGGCCCCCAUCCAUUCAAAUGAUCACAAAGGUUAGCAACUUUUUCCUUUCAUCUCUCAUUGCUAGAUUAGCUCGUGCAAUGCUUUAUAUAGUGAUUGAUUUUUGAGUUUAGUAAUUUGGGAGGAAUUAUAUAUAUGUGCUACUAUUUGAUUUAUAUGCAAUUUGAGGUCAAAAAUAACACUUAGAACCAUUCACGUCCACCUGUUUGAGUCCGGUUUCAUGCCCCACUAUAAUGUUUGGACCAAGCAUGGAGAAAGAGGGGUUAUUGUGGAAGACAAUGAAGAAGAAGAGGACGACGACAGCUAUCCUGGCCAGGGGUUCCCUGAAUACGAUGAUACAACAAUGAGGGAAGAAGCUGAGCCGGUAAUGCGGAAAGAAGCUGAGCCGGCAAUGCAGGAAGAAGCUGAAGAAGAGGCAUCGGAUGAGCCGUUGAUGAUCUAGGUCGGGCCAUUGCCGAUGCAAAGAGAAACUGCGCUAGUGAUUUGGAGAAGAAGAAGUUGCAGCGCAUGUUAGAGGAUCACAAAAAAAUGUUGUACCCGAAUUGCGUAGGUGACAAGAAAAAGCUGGGCACCACACUGGAAUUGCUGCAAUGGAAGGCAGAGAAUGGUGUAUCUGACAAGGGAUUUGGAAAGUUGCUGGUAAUGAUAAAGGAUAUGCUUCCAAAGGACAACGAAUUGCCCGAGAGUACGUACGAAGCAAAGAAGGCUGUCUGCCCUCUAGGGUUAGAGGUGCAGAAGAUACAUGCAUGCCCUAAUGAUUGCAUCCUCUACCGCGGUGAGUACGAGGAUUUGAACGCUUGCCCGGUAUGCGGUGCAUUGCGCUAUAAGAUCAGCCGCGAUGACCCUGGUGAUGUCGAGGGCGAGCGCCCCAGGAAAAAGAUUCCUGCCAAGGUGAUGUGGUAUGCUCCUAUAAUACCACGGUUGAAACGUUUGUUCCAAAACAAAGAGCAUGCCAAGGCGAUGCGAUGGCACAGAGAAGACCGUAAGAAAGACGGAAAGUUGAGAGUACCCGCUGACGGGUCGUAGUGGAGAAAAAUCGAAAGAAAGUACGGGAAGGAGUUUGCAGAUGACGCAAGGAACGUAUGGUUUGGUCUAAGCGCAGAUGGCAUUAAUCCUUUUGGGGAGCACAGCAGCAACCAUAGCACCUGUCCUAUGACUCUAUGUUUGUAUAACCUUCCUCUUUGGUUGUGCAUGAAGCAGAAGUUCAUUAUGAUGCCAGUGCUCAUCCAAGGCGCUAUGAAAAAAAUUCUUAUUUUUAACAGAAGCGCGAUAAAAUACUGAUUAUUUUUGCAGAAGAUUAAUAAAUAAAUUGUUUAGGUCGUCCUAAAUAUUCAGAAUUUUUGAAGUUAAAGAAGUAUUCAUAAUAUCCAGAUUGCUACAGACUGUUCUGUUUUUGACAAAUUCUGUUUUCUAUGUGUUGUUUGCUUAUUUUGAUGAAUCUAUGGCUCGUAUCGGGGCGGGGGGUAUGAACCAUGGAAGAGUUAAAAUACAGUAGAUAUUACACCAAUAUAAAUAAAAAAUGAGUUCACAACAGUAUCAAAAGUGGUGAUUUAUUUUCUUAUAACGGGGCUUAUGAUAUUUUCUGUCGAGUUUUGUGUUGUGAAGUUUUCAAGUUUUGGGUAAGGAAUUGAUGGACUAUGGAAUAAAGAGUGGCAAGAGCCUAAGCUUGGGGAUGCCCAAGGCACCCCAAGGUAAUAUUCAGGGAUAACCAAGAGCCUAAGCUUCCGGGGCAUCCCCUCUUUCGUCUUCAUUUAUCGGUAACUUUACUUGAGGCUAUAUUUUUAUUCACCACAUGAUAUGUGUUUUGCUUGGAGCAUCGUGUAUGAUUUGAGUCUUUGCUUUUCAGUUUGCCACAAUCAUCCUUGUUGUACACACCUUUUGAGAGAGACACACAUGAAUCAUGAUUUAUUAGAAUACUCUAUAUGCUUCACUUAUAUCUUUUGAGGUAGGCAAUUUUGCUCUAGUGCUUCACUUAUAUCUUUUUAGAGCACAGCGGUGGUUUUAUUUUAUAUAAAUUGAUGAACUCUCAUACUUCACUUAUAUUAUUUUGAGUGUCUCUAAACAGCAUGGUAAUUAGCUUUGGUUAUAAAUUUAGUUCUAAUAUGAUAGGCAUCCAAGAGAGAUAUAAUAAAAACUUUCAUAUAAAGUGCAUUGAAUACUAUGAGAAGUUUGAUUCCUUAUGAUUGUUUUGAGAUAUGAAGAUGGCGAUAUUAGAGUCAUGCUAGUGAAGUAGUUGUGAAUUUGAGAAAUACUUGUGUUAAGGUUUGAGAGUCCCGUAGCAUGCACGUAUGGUGAAUCGUUAUGUAACGAAGUUGGAGCAUGAGAUAUUUUUGAUUGUCUUCCUUAUGAGUGGCAUCUGGGGACGAGCGAUGGUUUUUUCCUACCAAUCUACCCCCUAAGAGCAUGCGCGUAGUACUUUUGAUGACUAGUAGGUUUUUGCAAUAAGUAUGUGAGUUCUUUAUGACUAAUGUUGAGUCCAUGGAUUAUAUGCAGUCUCACCCUUCCGCCAUUGCUAGCCUCUCUUGUACAGCACAACUUUCACCGCUAUCAUAAACCCACCAUAUACCUUCCUCAAAACAGCCACCAUACCUACCUAUUAUGGCAUUUCCAUAGCCAUUCCGAGAUAUAUUGCCAUGCAACUUUCCACCGUUCUGCUUAUUAUGAAAUGCAUCAUCAUUGUCAUAUUGCUUUGCAUGAUCAUGUAGUUGACAUUGUAUUUGUCGCAAAGCCACCGUUCAUUAGUUUUUUAUACAUGUCGCUCUUAAUUCAUUGCACAUCCCGGUACACCGUCGGGGGCAUUCAUAUAGAGUCAUAUCUUGUUCUAGUAUCGAAUUGUAAUUUUUGAGUUGUAAGUAAAUAGAAGUAUGAUGAUCUUCCUUUUUAGAACAUUGUCCCAUGUGAGGAAAUAAAAUAAAAAAGAGGAAAAGAAAAAAAGAGCAAAAAAAGAAAAAAAGAGAAGAAGAAAAAAAAAGGAGGGAAAGAAAGAAAAAACGAGAGAAAAAGAGAGAAGGGGCAAUGUUAUUGUCCUUUUCCAUACUUGUGCUUCAAAGUAGGACCUUGAUCUUCAUGAUAGAGAGUCUCCUAUGUUCUUACUUUCAUAUACUAGUGGGAAUUUUUCAUUAUAGAACUUGGCUUGUAUAUUCCAACGAUGGGAUUCCUCAAAAUGCCCUAGGUCUUCAUGAGCAAGCAAGUUGGAUGCACACUCACUUAGUUUUCUUUUCGAACUUUCAUAAACUUAUAGCUCUAGUGCAUCUGUUGCAUGGCAAUUCCUACUCACUCACAUUGAUAUCUAUUAAUGGGCCUCUCCAUAGCCCGUUAAUACCCCUAGUUGAUGUGAGACUAUCUCCCUCUUUUUGUCUUCUCCACAACCACCGUCUAUUCCACCUAUAGUGCUAUGUCCAUGGCUCAUGCUCAUGUAUUGCGUGAAAGUUGAAAAGGUUUGAGAACAUCAAAAGUAUGAAACAAUUGCUUGGCUUGUCAUCUGGGUUGUGCAUGAUUUGAAUAUUUGUGUGAUAAAGAUGGAGCAUAGCCAGACUAUAUGAUUUUGUUAGGAUGAGAUUUCUUUGGCCAUGUUAUUUUGAGAAGACAUAAUUAUCUUGUUAGUAUGCUUGAAGUAUUAUUGGUUUAUGUCAAUAUUAAACUUUUGUUUUGAAUCAUACGGAUCUGAACAUUCAUGCCACAAUAGAGAAAAUUACAUGGAUAAAUAUGUUAGGUAGCAUUCCACAUCAAAAAUUAUGUUUCUAUCAUUUACCUACUCGAGGACGAGCAGGAAUUUUCCGGAGUACCGGGGGCUACCGGAACCCCCCGGGAGUUAAUGAGCCUUCAUGGGCCCUAGUGGAGAGAGGAGGCGGCAGCCAGGUGGUGGCGCACGCCCCCCCAAGCCUGAACCGAAUUGGACUAGGGUUGGGGGGCCGGCCCCCCUUUCCUUCUCUCCUUCUCCUCCUUCCCUCCUUCUCCUAGUGGGAAUAGGAAGGGGGGCGAAUCCUACUUGGACUGGGAGUCCAAGUAGGACUCCUCCCAUGGCGCAUCCCCCCUUGGGCCGGCCACCUCUCCCUUCCCCUUUGUAUACGUGGGAGGGGGGCACCCCAAAGGCACACCAAGCCUUCUCUUAGCCGUGUGCGGUGCCCCCCUCCACAGUUUCACACCUCGGUCAUAUCGUCGUAGUGCUUAGGCGAAGCUCUGGGCCGGUAGCUUCAUCAUCACCGUCGACACGCCGUCGUGCUGACGAAACUCUCCCUCAUCCUCAAUUGGAUAAAGAGAUCGAGGGACGUCAUCGAGCUGAACCGCUAGGGGUACGAAGGAGGAGGAGACCGGAUGCGUUAAGCUAGUUGGUAAGAGUUCUUGUCAUUAUUGAUAGUGGCCCUAGAGAAAGAGAUUACGCUGAUUGUUCUAACUUCAUUCAUAUUUGAUUCCGCAACUGAGACCUUUUCCCACAUCUGUGCCAGGAGGGCAAGUGGUCAAAGCAGAAAGGGUUCUCGCUUCUCCUUCUGGAAGGGUGUGCUGAACACGGAGGUCCCGUAUGUUCGGUGCUUGGAUCGGUUGGAUCGCGAAAACGUUCGACUACAUCAACCACGUUACUAAACGCUUCCGCUUUCGGUCUACGAGGGUACGUAGACAAACUCUCCGCUCUCGUUGCUAUGCAUCUCCUAGAUAGAUCUUGCGUGAUCAUAGGUAAAAAUUUUGAAAUACUGCGUUCCCCAACAUGCUUGCGUUUAUUUCACUACAUCAUGUCAUCUUACUUAAUGCGUUACUCUGUUCUUAUGAACUUAAUACUCUAGAUGCAGGCAAGAGUCGGUCGAUGUGUGGAGUAAUAGUAGUAGAUGCAGGCAGGAGUCGGUCUACUUGAUACGGACGUGAUGCCUAUGUUCAUGAUCAGUGCCUUAGAUAUCGUCAUAACUUUGCGCUUUUCUAUCAAUUGUUAGGCAGUAAUUUGUUCACCCACCGUAAUAUUUUCUAUCUUGAGAGAAGCCUCUAGUGAAACCUAUGACCUCUAGGUCUACUUUCCAUCAUAUAAGUUUCCAAUCUACAAUUUUAGUUUCCUAUUUACUUCCUUUGCAACCUUUUACUUUCCGUUUCAUAAACCAAAAAUAUCAAAAAUAUUACUUUACCGAUUAUCCAUCUCUAUCAUAUCUCACUUUGCAAAUAAUCCCAAAGGGAUUGACAACCCGUUUAGCGCCUUGGGUGCAAGUAGGUGUUUGUUUGUGCAGGUACUCAAUGACUUGUGUGUCGUCUCCUACUGAAUUGAUACCUUAGUUCUCAAAACUGAGGGAAAUACUUACUCUACUUUGCUUCAUCACCAUUUCCUCUUCAAGGGAAAAACCAACGCAAGCUCAAAAGGUAGCAGACCUCCAGUCGUAGCCGCCAUGAUUUUCUUCACGUCUAUCAAUGCCUUGAGAAUUUUGACUUGGACAUGUCCUAUGGCAUGAAUAAGAAAUCGAAGCUUCGCGCCGCGUCCUCUUGAGGCCGUGUUGGCUGAUAAUAUUAGUGCGCAUGACCAGAGCCUUUCUGAUCAAGAUAUCCAAGGACGACAUACACCAAUUCAUAUAGAUCUCCGCUCGGAAAGACCGAAACUCAUCAACGGCCAGAUCCAAGUUGUCGACAUCUGACAGAAAGACGACUUGGCGGAAGAAAAGCAUCAGGGCCAAACCACCAUUAUUAGUCCAAAGCUAAUAGCCUCCACGCCGCCCUCCUCUCGAUCCAGACAGGAAGAAAAAGAUCAACGACGUCGCAUCAUGCCACUCGCAUUCGUGGAGGCUUGAACAUGGCAAGACGCCAACCAUGGCUAGAGACGGGGACCAGCCACUCUGGCCAGAUCCGGCGACUCCUAGUCCCACCGCUCCCGCUACGGCGGCACCGCAUGUAGCCUACAAGCCCAUCCACGAUGAUGUCUGAUUAGAAGGAUAUAUGGAUAUACAGAUGAAAAGGCCCUUGUUAUCCCUCCAACAAUAUAUAUAAAGCUUAUUGGGACAUGAGAAAGCUUGCACAAGGCUAUGGAAAUGUAUUGCCAGACAGAGAUAUACGAUUUUCGUUCGGCAUCCAAACCGCUUGUGUCACGCUUAAUCGAUGGUCACUCUAAUUUUUCCGGCGGGCCUUCCCUGUGGUACUGCAGCCUUACAUGUGUAUUAGUGGUUAGGGCGUCAUCCGUGGCGCCGCUUAAGAGGAAGUUGUUUGCACGCUUUUAUUUUUUUUAAAUCAUGUACUCCUCAUCUCUAUCUAAAAAAAUAUUUAUAGAAAAUCCUCAUCUCCAUCUAGAAAAAGAAGUAAAAAAGAAAAAAAAAAUCACCAACGCAACCUUACAGCGAGCGCCACUUAGCGUAGUCCUCCAUUUAAAAAAAUAUGAAGUCAUCACCUUCAUAUAAAAAGAAAAAAACAUUUUAAAAACGUUUUCAUCUCCAUCUAAAAAUAAUAUCCCAAAAGCUUUUUCACUACGGCCAACCAGCUUGUACCAUGUGCCAUAACUGAUUGGCCGCUCUUCAUGCAUAGCUUAAUGGGUUUAAUGAGUUUCAUAUAGCUAUUCAUUAAGAAGAAAACCAAAAUUACUUGGAGUUAAUAACUAAUACGUUUCCUUUAACUAACACGUGCACGGCGAGGAUUUACGUGCAUGAUGUUUUUUCCUCUCCCCACGUCGUAUUGGGCCGGCCCAUUCGUGCACAUCUCUAUUUCUAAUGCAGCAGUUGGUAGUCUCAUUUUCAGGGUUUUUUUGUCCCACCUUUCAUGGUUUUUUUAUACCUCCUUCCACCUUCGCUGGUUUUUUUCAUAAAUUUUUUGUCCCCUCCCCCUAUUUCAUCGGUUUAUUUUCGCGUCACCCUCUCACACAAUGAAAGAAAUCUGAACAGAUUAGAACUUUCCAUGCUGGCGCAAGUUAUUUAGUAAUGUAGAAUCAAUCACGAACAAUCGCUAAAGAUCAAAUCCAAGUUAAUUAACCUUACCUUAAAUCACUCAAUCACAUUAAUUAGAAAACAAAUAAUUGAUUUUCAGAAAAAUUGCUCAAUCACAUUAACCUUACCUUAACUCACGGAUGGUAAUCAAUCUUCAAACAAAGGAAACAAUACAUCAAGGGAGCAGUAAAUAAACUCCCUUUCUUAUGACAUGUAUAUGAUCUUUCCUUCCCUCUCCGUUGUCGAGCGUUCUUGAUUCUCAAGGCCGAUUCUUGGGCUGCGUCACUGGGUCGCGACGGUGCCGAAGGACGAGGAUGGCGAGGCCGGGUGUCGCGGCACCGCGUUGGCCGUGGCUGAUGAAGGGGGUGAAGAAGGGCGGCUUCCCUGGCCGUGGCCCUGGGAGUUGGUGCGGUGGAAACGUCACUUGAAGGACCCGACGUGGGUGGCCGACGCGCAGACGCACUUGGAAGCGGGCCCAUGGCCCGCGCCGGACGGCGCCGACGCCGACCUGGACCACCUCCUCCGUGUAUCCUUGGAGCUAUGGCUGGCCAAUUUAUAUGAAAUUAAUUCCCUCAGUUGUGGUGGCAAAUAUAAUACACAUAAUCCAUAUUGUUAUGCACUAGUGUGUGUGUGUGUGAAAUAGAUGGAUUAUGGUCCCGUACCAAUAAGAUGGAUAUAUGUGUGUGUUAGAGAGAGAGAGAGAGAGAGAGACAGAGAGGGAGAGGGGGAGAGAGAGUGAGGAAAAGGGAGGGAGAGUGUGUGUAUGAGGAUUUGAUGGUAAAAAAAGUCGCCAAUGUCAUUUGAUAUGUAUGAAAAUAUUAAUAUUAAACUUUUAAAGUUAAUGUGGCCCCGUUAAAAUACACAAGCGUUCUUAUAGUAUAGUUAGAGAAAGACAUGAGGAAAAGGAAGAACCGGGAUCGAUUCCUAGUCUUCUCAAGGUGGCCGCGUGGGUUUGUCUCAAAAAAAAAAGGUGACAGCGUGGGUGCUACUACCGGUCCGCCCAAGUCCGGUUCGUGAUAAGUUGUAGGUGCGCGUCGUACUUGAGGCGAUUGAGGCCUGUUUUAUUUGAGUUUUUCCUCUCUUUUUUCUUCUUCAUUUUUUUCAUUCUUUUUUGCACUCCGUUUCUUUGUUUUGUCAUUCUUUUUUUCUUUUGUUUAUUUUCUUUUUUUCCGGUUUUCUUUGUUCUAUUGGUUAUUAUUGUACAUUUUUUGUAUACGUCUACAACAUUUUUUUCUAAUACACAUCUAACAUUUUUCAAAUACAAACCAACCAUUUUUGUAAUACAUUGUCAAGAUUUUUUUGUACACAUUUUUAAAUGCUUGUUUGUCAUUUUUCAAAUACAAGAUUAACAUUUUUUCAAUACAUGGUCAACAAUUGUUUUUGCCAUUUUUACAAAAAAAUUAAAUGCUUGAUUAACAUUUUCUUAAUGCAUGGUCAUUUAUUUUUCUAUACACAUUUAACAUUGUCCAAAUGCUUAAUUAACAUUUUCAAACCCUUGUUCAACAUCUCUUUUAAAAUGCUUGAUUCACAUUUCUGUAUACAUGAUCAAACAUUUUUAUCAUUUUUAAUACAUGGUCGACGGUAUUACCCAUACACAUUUAACAAUUUCCCAAUUCUUGAUUAACAUUGUUUAAGUACUCGUUCAACAUUUUCUCAAAUGCAUAACGUUGACAUUGUUGAAAAGUGGCAUCACAAGUUCCAGGGAGUAGAAAAGAGAUUAAUCAACGAAACCGCGCGAACUUUGUGGUGCUAUUGUGUUAUAUCAACUACUCCUUUCGUUCCGAAUUACUUGUCACAAGUAUGUAUGUAUAUCUAGAUAUAUUUUAAUUUUAGAUACAUCCAUUUAUGCGACGAGUAAUUUGGAACGGAGGGAGUAUGUGUCUGUUAUGUCACCAAAUUCAGUAUAUAUAGAACAUGGAAAUACAGUAAUAGUGAGCUCACUCGGUGGGAGCCCGUCACGGCCAUGGGAAUAGGAUCCUCCUCGUACUGCUCCUCUCCUGCCCUGCCCUGAGGAGCAGUAUCGUCCGUCGUCGCCGAGCGGCGCAGCAGCCGGUGGCCGAGGGGAGACCGAGAUUUAUUCUCCGGAGGCGCCGAAUCCGGCUCGUAAGUCGAAAUCCCUCUCUGUCCCGCCUCUCGGAUCCUCCCACCGAUCUCCUACUUCCCUGCCGCCAAUGCCCGCCUUUUCUUUGGACUCCGAGCGAGGAAUCGGAGGGAAAGCUGUGUACUUCCUGUGGCUUCAUACCCCGGUAAUGGCGGCCCUGCUUGCCGUUGCCGCUUGGUCCACUCUCUGCGUGCCCGUCUGCAAGGUGUUCGAUGGAUUGUGCGCAGGGUGUCGGCCCGGCUGGCCUCGUUUCACUUCUUCCAGGUUUCAGUCCGUUUACCGCCGGUUGCUGAAAAUGUGCACGAGAAGCAUAAGAAUGCUGGGAUAUGCGCUCUUUGUUUACCGUUUACUGUCAUUUGUUUGGUUGCAGGAAGCACCCGGCCUUAAGCAUAGUACUACAUAUAAAGUUGUAUGUUCUGUUCCGUUUGUUUGUUUGCUGUCUGAUGAUUGAGACAAGUGCAUAAUCUAAAGUUUGGCACCUGCACUUGCACCUGCUCCUGCACAUUUAUGUGUUGGAAACUGGAAUCUGUUCAGUGUAGUAUGGCCAUGCCACAUGUUUUGGCUUUAGCCUAAGGACCAAUUGCUUCUUGACUUUCUUGGAUGCUUGCUGGCCCAACCUUGGAUCUGUAUCUUUCUAAUAGUCUUCUAAAUCAGAAACAUAACGAUUUUUUGUGCUGCUUACUAGAUUCGGUGUGUUUACUUAGCGUGUUUAGUCGAAUCAUCUGUCAUUGUUCUCUCAAGUUACUUUUCCUUGCGAUAUUCAACCCAGCGGUUUAAAAUUCCUGCAAUUGCUUCAUUCAGAUUGAUUUUUCGCUUCUUUGUUGCUGAUUUCCUUUCAACGUUUGGGCUGAGGCUCCAAAUGUUGGUACUCUUUUAACCGGAGUAUGUUACUUUGGAGAAUAGAAGAAUUAUGCAUUGGUAUCAUGAUAACAUAUGCCUAAUGGUUUUUCUUACAGGAGGGCGUUUCCAACACAUAAAUAGUUUGCUAGCAUGCAGACAGUGUCCAGUAGCCUUUGCGCCAUUUGAGGCAUAAUGGACAUAGCUUUUAUCAUGUUGUUGGUUCUUUCUCUGCUCCUGUUCCCUAAUGGCAUCUGCAAGAGUUUAGCUACAGGACCUCCUGUUGUGAAUAUUGGGUCUAUUCUUCAGUUUGACUCCACCACCGGGGGUGUUGCGGCAGUUGCCAUCCAUACAGCCGUGGAAGAUAUCAACUCUGAUCCAACAGUUCUAAAUGGAACUACACUAAAGGUUCAAAUCAAGGAUACAAAUUGCUUUGAUGGUUUCCUUGGCAUGGUUCAAGGUAGGCUAGCUUUAAUGCCACUCAUUCAUUUCACAACCUUCAAAUAGUUAUUACUUCUGUUGUGGAGUUGUGGCAAUGAUGCCGUGUUCCUUGUAUCAGCUUUGCAGUUCAUGGAGACUGAUGUUAUUGCACUCAUUGGCCCUCAGUGCUCCACAAUUUCUCAUAUCAUUUCAUAUGUAGCAAAUGAGCUUCGAGUCCCUUUGAUGUCCUUUGCUUCUGAUGCAACUCUUUCAUCAAUACAGUUCCCGUUCUUUGUCAGGACGGGUCCCAGUGAUCUCUAUCAAAUGGCGGCUGUGGCAGAAGUUGUUGACUACAACCACUGGAAGAUAGUGACUGCCAUAUACAUUGAUAAUGUUUAUGGUAGAAAUGGCAUUGCUGCUUUGGAUGAUGCACUCACUUUAAAGCGCUGCAAAAUAUCCUACAAGGUUGGGUUUCCUUCCAACGCUAAAAGGAGUGACCUCAUAAAUUUGUUGGUUAGUGUCAGUUCUAUGGAGUCUCGUGUUAUCAUUCUCCAUACUGGAACUGAACCUGGACUCAAGCUUUUCUCUAUGGCACACCAACUGAACAUGAUGGGCAACGGCUAUGUGUGGAUUGCAACUGACUGGCUGUCUGCAUAUCUUGAUGCUAAUUCAUCAGUUCCUGUUGAGACUAUAUCUGGCCUGCAAGGUGUUCUUACUUUACGGCCACAUAUUCCCAACUCAAAGAUGAAGAGUAAUUUGGUCUCCAAAUGGAGCACGCAAAGUAAAAAGUACAACUACAGUGAUGUUUGUAUAAAUACUUAUGGUUUUUAUGUUUAUGAUAGUGUCUGGGCAGUAGCUCAUGCUCUGGAUGCCUUCUUUGAUGAUGGUGGUAGGAUUUCCUUUUCAAAUGACUUGCAUGAUGGAACUGGAGGAACUCUUCACCUUGAAGCAAUGAGCAUUUUUGACAUGGGAAAUAAAUUACUGGAGAAGAUUAGAAAGGUAAACUUCAGUGGGUUAUCUGGGCAAGUGCAAUUCGAUGCUGUAGGCAACCUCCUUCACCCUGCGUAUGACAUCAUAAAUGUCAUCGGAAAUGGCAUGCGGACCAUUGGUUUUUGGUCAAACUAUUCUGGCUUGUUGUCGACUGUCUCUCCAGAGGCUCUAGAUUCAAAGCCUCCUAAUACUUCUCUAGCCAAUCAGCAUCUCUAUGAUGUUAUUUGGCCUGGGGAGACUGCACAGAGGCCUCGAGGAUGGGUUUUUCCUUCUAAUGCCAAGCAGUUGAAAAUUGGUGUUCCCAACAGAUUUAGCUUCAAAGAGAUCGUCACGGUAGACAAUGCUACUGGGUCAAUGAAGGGUUAUUGCAUCGAUGUCUUUACUCAGGCAUUGGCUUUGCUUCCUUAUCCUGUUAGUUACAAGUUUGUACCUUUUGGGAAUGGUACUGAAAAUCCUAAUUAUGACAAACUCGUACAGAUGAUUGAAUCAAAUGUAAGUACGGAAUGCCUCUUUUUUCUUCCUCGAACCAUUUCAUCAUAUACCAUGCUGACCAGGGGCAUCUUAUCCUGCAGGAGUUUGAUGCAGCUAUAGGGGAUAUUGCAAUUACAAUGAGGCGGACAGUAACUUUUGAUUUCACCCAGCCAUUCAUUGAAACAGGCUUGGUUAUCUUGGCUCCGGUUAAAGAGCAUAUAACAUCGUCCUGGGCAUUCUUGCAGCCAUUUAGUUUGGAGAUGUGGUGUGUUACAGGGCUAUUCUUUCUUAUUGUGGGUGUGGUUAUUUGGAUUCUUGAACAUCGGAUCAAUGACGAUUUCCGUGGUUCAGUAUGUCAACAAAUAAUAACUAUUUUCUGGUAAGGAGCUGACCUGCACCUUUUGUACCGUCUUCUUGUAUAUCAUUCCUGUUUUCGAAGUGUUGAUGUUUUAACAAGUCUUGUGCAAUAUGUUGCAUACAGCGAGUACCUUAGAGCAGUGGCCAGUUAACAUACCUAAAUGAAGCAUCUAGUGAUUACCAAUGAACUACUCCCUCCGCCCCAUAAUAUAAGGGCGUUUUUGACACUACACUAGUGUCAAAACGCUCUUAUAUUAUGGGACGGAGGGAGUAUUAUCUUAAUAAUCUUGUGAGACAUAUAUACAUGCACAGCAUAUAUAUUCGCUUAAUGAUAUUUAUGAUGCAUUGCUCUAUUUUUCCUGUUUUCACAUACUUCUCUUCUCCACAUGUAUUUGCCAAAUGCUCUUAUAAUGGCGUGAUUCCUUGCUGUGAUUAUAAUUUCAAUUUUUAUUGCCUGCAGGUUCAGCUUUUCGACUUUGUUCUUCGCACACAGUAAGUAAACCAACCUUCUCUCUUAUGUGUUUUUUUUUUUGGCUAUAACAUUUUGUUCUGAGGCAUGAGGCAUGACUCGUGAUUUCAUAUGUAUCUGCGCGCAGGAGAAAAUACUAUGAGCACCUUAGGGCGUGGUGUCCUGAUCAUAUGGCUGUUUGUUGUUUUGAUAAUUGUAUCCAGCUAUACCGCGAGUCUUACUUCCAUCCUGACCGUGCAACAACUCGAUACUUCUAUAAAAGGAAUCGAGGACCUGAAAAAUAGCAAUGAUCCUAUUGGUUUCCAAGUUGGUUCUUUUGCACAAGACUACAUGGUCAAGGAGCUCAACAUCUCACGGUCAAGGCUAAGAGCUCUUGGUUCACCACAAGAAUACGCUGAAGCCCUCAAGAUAGGCCCUAAGGAAGGAGGUGUUAUGGCCAUUGUCGACGAGCGCCCCUAUGUUGAACUGUUUUUGUCAUCCUACUGCAAGAUUGCGGUAGCUGGCACAGAUUUCACCAGCAGAGGAUGGGGCUUUGUAAGUACAGUUCAACCAUAUUCUUUUAUAUAAAUUAGAAUAUAAGAACAAAAAUUGCUGUUAAUGUCCUGGAAUAGAGGUUUUAACUUUGAAUAGUUGUGUCUAGUCUUUAGUUUAUGCAACUUUUAUUGCACUUACCUGCGGCUACUUUGUUUCACAAAUCGAAAUGUAGCACCUUACAAAUUCAUUCUGCCAGGCAUUUCCAAGGGACUCCCCUUUGCAAGUAGACCUCUCCACCGCAAUCCUGUCUCUGUCAGAGAAUGGGGAGCUGCAGCGGAUCCAUGCCAAAUGGCUCAAUACAGGGGAGUGCACAACUGACAACAGUGAGCUUGUCGACUCGAACCAGCUCCGCCUUGAGAGCUUCCUUGGUCUGUUCCUAAUCUGUGGUGUGGCAUGUGUUCUCGCGCUGCUACUCUACUUUGGUAUCAUGCUAUGCAAAUAUCUGAGGCAUGAACCGUGGAAGAGCCUCAGAAGAUUCAUCUCGUUCGUCCAUGGGAAGGAGCCGCCGAAGAACAAGGAGAGGCGGUCCAUGAGCCUGCCUGGAAGCUCAACGCCAACAACGCCGAUGAGCAGCCAUAGUUCCCUUGACAUGGAAAGGCCGGCCAGGCCAGUCAGAAACGGUAGCAUUAUUGACAUGGAAAGCUAAUUCAUGUGUAGAAAGCUAGUUAACAAUGCGGUCGACUAACCUAGGUUCUGGUAGUCGGACAGCAGGGCUGUAUAGGAGGAUUCGAAAUACUUCUUAAGUACUCCCUCCGAUUCAACUUAAUUAACUUUGACUUGGUACAACCUUAGUACAAAGUUGUACUAAGUCGGCGCAAUUAAUUUUGAUCUGAGGGAGUACUAAAGUUUAUGAAAUAACAGAAGGAAGGAUUAAUAAGAAAUAGAAAUAUUGAAAUGCUCCUCCUGUCCUACAUAUAUUGUUUUUACCUUUGCAUGUGUUUGAUAGGGCGUAGUAGUAGUGUGUGGGUACUUCAGUUAGAAGGUAUGCAGUGGACCAGUCUAUCGACCGUGUGGCAAUGCCUGUAGUUUGUAGCACUAAACUUUGAUGCCCAUUCAUAAACUAAUUUAGAUGGAGCCGCACAAAAAUUGUGUUUUUUUUUUUGCUCACACACUCUGUUUUGUCUCAGUUUUAGUCCAGCGCAACUUUGAAGCUUAUCCAGGGCAACUUUGAAGCUUAUCCAGGGCAACUUUAACUAUUUACAGGAGAAAUUGUUAAAGACCUUAUUAAGUGAAGAAGAAUAGACGUCUCCAGUUUUUGUUUCUCCAACUCUAUGCCUACACUGUAAAUUAUUUAUGAAUUAGCUCCAGUUGAUGCAACUGUACUCUUUCUGGUAGGUCUGAGAUGGACUGAGCAUCCUAAGCUAGCUACUUGUCUCCCUUAGGUUUUACAGCAAGACAAAUGCACUGGACUACAAAGAGGAAAAUUCUUGCAGGUUCGUAAUGAAUCUGUUUUGGUUCUGGCAUUCACACCAAUCAUAAAGCAGUGUUUGUUAGUAGCGGAGUGGUAGGCAGACGCAAAUCAAACCAUCAUUUUUCUUCUAAAUACACUUGUAAAAGCAUCGAUGCAUCUCCGUCGCUUAAUUUUAUUUGUCAUUCUGUUCAGUACCUGGUUUGGUUUAGGAAGAGCUCUUUUUCCUAUGCAAAAUGUAUAACGUGUAUGUUUCUAAUUCCGAUUGCAGGCAUAUUCAUCGCGCUUGUGUUUUGACGUGUUGCGGGCAACCAAGAGUCGUUCAACAGUGUGUUGCUGGGGUACGCCACCGGUCUGACAGUAAAAGGUAGCGCUGAUGAACUGGUUUCAAGCCGAGCUGAUCAGUUCUGCUGUUACUAAUAUAUCAUGGCAUCUUGCGGCUCUCGGUCGAUGUUCUGUCAUCUAUGAGGAGAGAGUUUCCAUUUAAUCUAGUUGCUAAUGCUUUGUAUACAAAAUUAUAGAUGCCUACACAAUACAAAAUCAAAAGUUAUUUUCUUAGUCAAACUGGAAAAUUCAUAGAUUUGCAGGAACAUCUGUACAUAAAGCCUUUUCCAUCAAAGUAUGUACAUACAUUGUCUAUUUUAACAUAAGAAUGUAGGACUCGUUCAAAACUAUUUGACUAUUCAUACAAAAAAAAUAGAAUUUCUUAAAAUAAGGGAGCACAUCUUCUCUGGUUUGAUCACUGAAGUCAUCAAUUGAGCAGUCCAGGUUCACCUAGUUAUCUAUUUCAAAACUUAGGGAGAACAAUUUGGGUGAUACUUUUUCAAAGUACAAGGCACAUAUUUAUAGUUCAUUGAAAUGCACCUAUAUUUUGACCUCAUUAAUAUCUCAUCCUUCAUAAUAAAGUAUGGCCAAACAAACAGAGAAACCGCUAGUUUCUUUCAUGUUCCCCAGACAAUAACACCAUAGCUAUUACUGUCAUUCCCCUUCUCUCUUAAUACCUUCCAUCCUUUCCAUUAUAAUUAAUGAAACUGAAACAUAUCAUUCUCUUGGUUGUAUUUUUUUCCUAAAAUGUUUAAGGUGUAUGUGUCAUUGAGUGAAUAUAUUAUGUUGCAAAGUUUCACGAAAUUUAGUAUGCAACCAGUAUGCAAGAGAAAUAAAGAUUAAAGUAAAUUUAGUUAUUUUUAUUAGCCAUUAUUGUUUUUAGAGAAAACAAUAGGCAAGUCACUUUUUCAUGAAAGCUGGAGACAAAUAGUGUAUUCUAACAUAAAAAUGGUCAAUUUUCCUCACACACACACACACACACAUACACAUAAACUUAGAAUUUUUGGAAAUAAUGGGAGCAAUGGCCAUGUGAAAAUAUGAGGUUUAUAUCUUGUGGAUUUCCUUUCAGUGUACAAGGCCUGCAUGUAGAAUGGAUAUUUUUUUUUCUAUAUUUGCUUCCCUAAUUUAAAUCUUAUCCUUCAUCAUCAAUUAUGACUAAACAUAAAUAGUAACUGCUAGUUUCUCUUAUGCUUAUGAGGAGAUAAGACCAUGGAUAUUUUAGUCAUUCCACUUUGCUAUUGAUUGUUUCUGUUCUUUUGCGCUAAAUAGUAGUCAAACAUGUUAUUCAUGUAUUUCGUAAGGAUAAGGUCAAGCCUCAUGAUAAGGAUAGGGUCGCGCUAUUCGUCACCCUGGGUGAGGCAUUGUUAUUUUUCACCCACUUCUAUUUUAUCAUCAAUGCACCGUAAAUUUACGUUUCAUAAGUUUUGUCUUAUUUCCGACGCAAAAAGGGACCGUAAGAAAAUAUAUAAUCGCCAUAAAAAAUAUUUUAUGUUAUAUAAAAUUACAAACAUAAAAACAUAGUCUAAAAUACACACAAACUGCAAAUUUUCUUGUCUUAUAACCUAUAUUUUUAUUUUUUUAUGUCAAAUUUUACGUAGUGAAUCAAUAGAAAUAUAACUAUUUGAAUUCGAAAUGUAAUUUAAUUAUGAAAUGAUCGUAAGAUUACCUCGGGUGAAGAAUAACUUAUUCUGCACCCUGAUUGAUGAAUAAUAAAUUUAAUUAUAUUAUAUACAUAUAGGAUAACACUAUUCUAAUCCUAGAAUUAGAAUAGCUAUUUGGAUCACAGCCAGCCCGACCACAUCUUAGUGAGAUCGCGCGAGCAAAAGAAAAAACCCAAAACGCCCCGCCCCGUUUAUCCCCUUGUCGCUCCACCACCACCCCCCGACCUCUGGCCGCCGCCCACCCUGCUCCGGCGCGCCUCCCACCCUCGCCUCCUUCCGAGCGCUCCGCCGGCCCCGCCUUCUUCCAGGCGCGCCGCCGGCCCCGCCUCCUCCUGGCGUGCUGCCACCCCCACCUCUUGCAGCGCGAGGUCGCCGCCACCGCCUACUUCCCGGCGUGCCGCCAGCCCCGCCCCCUUCGGCGCGAGGCCGCCGCCCCCACCUCCUCCUGGCGCGCCGUCGUCCCCUGUACCUGACGCGCCCCCCGGUGCCGCCGGCCCGCAACCCGCCGCCCAGCACCUUCCCGUCGCGCGCCUCCCAACACCGAGGCGCCGCCGCCCACAGGUUCUGUAGAUGCUGACCUGCCACUGCACCGCCGCUGCAACCUGCUGCUCACUCUUCCUCGCACAUGUGUCAGCAACACAAAAGUGGGUCGCUGCAGUCCACCUCCUGCUACAGCAGCAGGACGACUCCUUCAGGACGCAUCUCACACUCAUGGAGGCGGUGCUAUCUCUGGCGAGCUCCUCCAUCCCCGAGCGCGAUGCUUCCACUACUGCGUCCUCCUCACGUUCCCUUCCCCAUCCUUGUGUAUGCUUAUUUCGAUGUGGAAAACUCCAUCAACUAGUUCGCAUCACGUAUCAGGGCACGGCCAUAACAUGCUAGCAAUAUUAUGCUUUGGCUGCUAGUAAUGUGUUUGUGCUAAUGUCUAGUAGGAACUCUAGUUGUACUGAUAAAAGAGAACCAAACCAUCAUAUAAGGGAAAAGUCGCAUCUCUCUAUCUUUGAUCUCUCUAUGAUACAGAUAUGGACGUAUAUGGAAUUAGUAAAAUUCCUCUUUUAUAUUGCUUGUUCAUUAAUCAUUCAUGCAUCGUGUCCUAAAAGAAAUAUAGUGUGCUCUGUUUGAAAAAGCAUGUGGUCAGCACAUGUUUGUUAUUAUAUGGAUCUAAAGGUUUAACAAACAAACACAUUCAGAUUUCUCUUUAUUCGUAUAAAGGUUGGAGUGAGGUAGCGCUUAUUUCCUAUAUAGCUGCUCAUUUUGGAUGCAGUUUGAACAAUCAGGCUAGGGAGCGGUGAGCGUGGGUAGGCUGGCCAAACCUUCCCUCCACUGGGUCAACCGGCAGCGUCGCCCACCACCGUACUGUCCUACGGCAACGGCCCCAACCUGGGCAGGCGUGCUUUCUGCGACAUGCUCCUGCUCAUGGAUGUCUUGGUGAGGUAAAAACUUCUGUUAACUUAACUUAGCUACCUCAACUGAUUGAACUGCAGGGGUUGUGUGCAGUCUGAUGUGGUUCUAGUGUUUGAUUAAUGCAAUUUGGAAGAACUUGCGUCUCUAAAAUUCAAACUCUGCAUUUUGGUGUAUUUUUAUUUAGAAGUUCAGGUCAUCAUAAGUUGCUUCGGUUUAGCUAGUUACUGUUGUGAAAAAGUUCAGCUCGUCAUAUUUGAACAUCGGAAGAAGAGCUGCUAUAGUCUCCUGCUAUAUGCUUGUUAUAUUCCUAAAUAGUACAGGCUCAACCAAAGCAAGUAGUUAUAGUCUCCUGCUAUAUGCUUAAAUAGUACAUUUUUUCUGUAUUCUUGUUCGGAAGUUCAGGUCAUUCAAAGAGACCAAAUAGUACAGGCUCAACCAAAUAGUGAAAAGUCUACUAGAGUCGAAAAAAUAUAAUGAUACAAAAAUGCAACUCUGCACUUUCCUCAAAAUGGUCAUCAUAUUCUUAAGAAGAUUGGGAUUGCACUAUUUGUUUGAGCUAGUACUACCAGACUGAACAAAUUGCAGAGUUGGAUUUUAGAGCCUGGACAUUUUCAGACAUUUUCAAAAGUGGUCAAUUGAACCUGAACCAAAAAGAUUGACCUGAAAUUCGUUUGGGCUAGUUACUACCAGACUGAAAAAAUUGUAAUAGGUGGAUAAGUGGUAUUGUACUAUUUUCUAUUGUGUGGUAAUGCUCGUACCCCAUGGCCAUGGAAGGUUCAGAUGUUGUGCUCUUCUUUUCUAGCUGAUUCAUGUUCUAUUUGGUAGCUUUAAUGAUAUUCUAUACACUGAUGGCGAGAGUUCAACCAUGGCUAUACGCCAAGUUCUACUAUGGCUAUAUGUCGGCCAUCGUGAAGUCCUACUAUAGCUAUAUGCCAAGUUUAAUUAUGGCUGUAUGCUUGUGCUUCCAGGCUACUAUUGAACGUGUCUUGGCCUUCAUUUUUACGGGUUAUAGUCUCCUGCUAUAUGCUUGCUUUUGCUAUCAGCAUGUUCAUGCAAGUGCCUCUGAAUAAUCUGAAAUUUAAACUUGUACCUAAAACUGAACUUCUACCUCUUUGCUACAGGUGCGGUCGUCGGAGUCCUUUAAGUGCUUGCACUAGUGCUUCUAACUUGUCCAUGAAGGCACUGCAUGGUGUGCCACCUCCCGUCUGCCGCCGCAGCUGCCAUGUGUCCUUGCGACCUCUGCGGCCAGUCACCAACGCCCUAUGAGUGCGCCCUAAGUGUGGCAUGGGGAACAUGCUAAUGUGUGUGUUUCUGCACUGGUGUGUGCGUGCAUGCUCACGUUUAUGCGUGACUGAGUGUGCUGCUUGUGUGCUGUGAUGUAUGUUGUAUAGAUUUUUAUGAAGUUCAUGUUGUGAACCCAACUUAAUUAGAACACAAAAGUUUAGAUCGCAGCUGCUUUGAAUUAUGUAGUGUUUCUAAAUAGCUUCUUGUCUGAAGUUCAGUCGUACAUGUGGGUGCAAGAAAGUUAGUGUCGGAGCCAGAAAAACUGACUUUGAGCAACUGUUGGGUAUUUAUAUAAAAACAUUGUGUGUAGCAAUUCGUUGUGUUUAUUGAAAAAUGAAAAGACAGAAGUUCACCAUGCAAAACUUUCACAGUCCAAUUGGUAUUAAGAAGGCAGAAAUAUAAAACAACAGUGAAGUUCACUAAAAAUGCAACUUUUCACAUUGCGAAGAAACAAUAAUUAACUUCUCAGUGUACAAUUUAGUUUUUGUUUCUCUUUUCCAAAAAAUAAGAAUAGAAGUAAUAUGUGGAAGCUAUUUGUGUUUAUGUCUCAAAUUAGAAUAAUUAUAAGAAUUGCCUCUAUAUGUGCUAUGUGUUACACACCUUUCCGAAUCAAAAGAGAUUAGAUUCAUCCAUGAGUAAGGUAGGUACAAUUAUUUUUAAACAGUUCAAUUGCUCGAUAGAUGUAUGUCCAGAAAAAUAAAAGAUAGUUCAACACAAUAUAAACCCAUGAGAUUGCAAAAAAUCUUUGGAUUAAGUGGAUGAGAACCAAUAAGUUCAUAUAUGAAACCUUGGGGAGUUCAAAAAAAGUUAAAAAGGUUCGAUGUUUGUUGCGAAGCUAGGAUUUUCUUCAUUACUAAUGAAUAAAUCAAGAAGUUCAAAUUAAAAAAGGAUGAGCGGUUCGAUGUUUAUUACGAACCUAGAAUUUUUUCCGUUACUAAAAGAAAUAAUACCAACAAGUUCAAAUUAAAAAAAUCGAGUAGUUUGAUAUUUCUUUGAAAACUCAAAUUUUUCCGGUUAGUAAAUAAUAAAACCAAUAAGUUCAAUUCAAAAUAACGAAGAAGUUCAACUUUUAAAAGCAAAGCAAUUUGAUAUUCAUUUAAAAACUCAAUUUUUUCGGUUACUAAAGAAUAAGACCAACAAGUUCAAUUCAAAGUAACGAAGAAGUUCGAUGUUUCUAACAAAACUCCAAUUUUCACAUUUCUAAAAACUCCAAUUUUAGGUGAGCCCAAUUUUUGUGUGGAUGUGUUGUGCAUGUGCUUGUGCGUAGUACAUUUAAUAGAACAAAAACACUAUUAUGGGUGCCCUCUAAAUGUUUGUCCUAUUGCUUAUGAGAAUUGACCCGAAUUUUCCUAUUGUUUUUGCACAUGUUGGAUUCAAGGGAAAAUGUGUAUAAAACAGGUGUGAUUUCAGAAGUUCAGGUGUAACGAACAUCGAAGUCCAAACCAAAAGAAUGUAAACAAAAAAAUCAUGGAAUUCAAAAGAAUAAAUACUAUCGAGUUUCAUGAAAGAAAAUAGCAUGCGAAGUUCAUGUUUCAGAAAGUUUGAAGUUCACGUGUACCACAUACAGAAGAAAAAUGAUCAAAUGAAAAAAGGGACCGCCUAGGCCAUUUCACCGAAAAGCAAAAAAUGCAUAAAAUGUCACGACAAAAUUCUAUAAGAAGUUCCAAUUUAAAAGCCGAAGUAGGUCAACGUUAAAGAAAAUGAAGUUUUUAAUAUCUAAAAGAAAAUUUUGGAAGCUCAACAAAUUUGUGCAAGGAGUUAAAAAAAUUAGUUGAAAAAUAUUUAUAACGGAUUUUCCCCGUGUAUAAAAAAAUCAGAGAAGUUCAAAUUAAAAAGAGGAGCAUUUCAAAAGAUUGUAUAAAAACUGAUUUACUCAAAAUAGAUAAAGGUGAAGUUCAAAUUGAAAUAACGGAGAUGUUCGGAGUUUAUUAAAACCUAGAAUUUACCUGUUCGAAAAAUAAAAAACACAACACCAUUUUUUUGCACUUUUAGAGACAACUCAUAAACGAAAAAAUGGUUGCUGGAAGUUCAAGUGCUCGGUGAGGAAAAGUUCAAAAAAUUCUUGUAAGAGAGGUUCACCGUGUAUUUAGAUGUCCAAAAUACAUAAAAAAUAUGUUGUUUUUUGUGUUUUAAAAUAAUUCUCUCAAACCAGAGAGAAGUUCAAAGUGAUAAUAGCCGGAAGUUCACGUACUACAUGGUGUGUAUUUCAUAUAAGAAAAAUAGAAUAAAGUGAAACAGAGUAAAGUUCAAACGGACAUGCCCUAGAAGUUCAACUACUUCACGUAGUGCAAAAAAAUAUCACAUCAAAAAUAGAGUGAGGACAGACAUGCCUGAGAAGUUCAACUACUUCACACAGUGUGUUUCCAUUCGCAAUGAAGGCAGAAAUCAUGAUCUCGUCAUUUCUCUAAUUUACUUCAAAACGAUAGGAAUAUCAUUUGUGUAAGUUCAAGUCCUCGGUCGGAGAAAGUUAAAAAAAUAUUGUGAGAGAGGUUUGUACAAAAAGAAUAUCAUUUGUGUAACACUGACGAAAUGGAUGAGAAAAUUACAAACAAAAAACGUCACAGAAGUUCAACGUGAAAACAACAGGAAGUUCGACUACUAUAGUGAAUGAAUUUGAGAUGAAAAACUUUUAAAAUCAUCGCGAGUAUGAAAAAACGAUCAACACGGGAAAGUUAUGUGCUUACAGCAGCUUUCCACCGGUAUAUCACUUUCUCAAUUCCGGUGAGUGGAUGGAGAGUUACGAGCAGUGGAUGGAGACCUACGAGCAAAAAAAUCACGUGAAAAACAGAGUGAAGUUCAGGUACACGCGCCGAGAAGUUCAGGUUCUUCACGCGGUGCAUUUUCGAAGAAUCUGUUUGACGAUAAAGGCAGAACGCAUGAUCUCGCCAUUUUCGAAAUUACUUGAAAAUGGCUAGGAAUCAGAGAAAACCAUCAACAUGAAAAAGUUUUGCAAUUUCCGUAGCUUUUCAGCGGUAUAUUAUUUGCCCCAUUCCGAUAAAGUUUGUAGAAAUUACGGCGAAAAUACGUUUUUCGCCAUUUUCGAAACUGACUUAAAACUGUAAAGAAUUGGGAGAAACAAUACAUACCAAAAAGUUUCACAUUUGUUCAAGAUUUCCAAAGCCAUAACAUUUGCUGCAUUCGGACAGACGGUUAAAAAAUUAGAUCAAAAAUACGAACUCGGUAGGACUAGGACCAUUUUCUAAAUUACUCUUAAACCAUUCAAAAUUAGAAAAAAACUUUCAAGAUGAAAAAGUAGCGCAUUUUCAUAAGCUUUACAAUGCCGUAUCAUAUGCCUCUAUUGGAUUAGCCGUUUAGAAAUGACAUCGAAAAUACGAACUCAGCUGUUCGAUUUACGAAAUUUUACGUUUUUUCAAAUUACUCUUUAACUAUAGGGAAUUAAAGAAAACUUUCAACAUGUGGAAGGAGCGGUUUUGCAGCAGCUUUCCAACGCCAUAUUAUAUGCCUCAUUAAGAUAAACGGUUUAGAAAUGCGGUCGAAAAUACGAUUCACGUUUUUUGUGCGAAGAAAAAACGGUUUUCAAAACUGCUCUUAAACCGCUUAUAUUUUGCCAAAAAUUUAAGUUGGAUAAUGAUACUGAUGUUCAAAACUUUCCAACGGUAUAUAGCAAGCCUCAUUUGGGCAAUGUUGGCGGAAGUUCAACCUAGUUCAUAGGGAAGUUCAGCGUACUACUAGCGGGGCAGGUCAGGUUGUGAUCAGAAUAUUAUUCUGAUCCCGUGAUUAGAAUAGUGUUUAUAUAUAUAUAUAUAUAUAUAUAUAUAUAUAUAUAUUAUAUUUGCCACAUUAACUUUAAGAGUUCAAUAUUAAUAUUUUCAUACAUAUCAAGUGAUAUUGGCGACCUUUUUUACCAUCAAAUCCUCGCGCACACACGCUAGUGCAUAACAAUAUGAAUUAUAUGUAUUAUAUUUGCCACCACAGCUGUGGGUAUUAAUUUCAUGUAAAUCGGUCAAUCACAGCUCCCAGAAUAUGCGAAGGAGGUGGCCUGAAUCGGCGUCGACGCCGUCCAGUGCGGGCCACGGGCCCGCUUCACUAGUAGAAAAAGGGCCUAUUGUCCCGGUUCGUAAGGGCCUUUUGUCCCGGUUCCUGAACCGGGACUAAAGGAUCGGUACUAAUUCCCUGUCCCUUUAGUCCUAGUUCAAUCCAGAACCGGGACAAAUGGGCCUCCACGUGGCCUGUGCGCGGAGCCCAGGCAGGAGGGCCUUUGGUCCUGGUUGGUGGCACCAACCGGGACCAAUAGGCAUCCACGCAUCAGCAUUUCUGUGGCUGGGGUUUNNNNNNNNNNNNNNNNNNNNNNNNNNNNNNNNNNNNNNNNNNNNNNNNNNNNNNNNNNNNNNNNNNNNNNNNNNNNNNNNNNNNNNNNNNNNNNNNNNNNNNNNNNNNNNNNNNNNNNNNNNNNNNNNNNNNNNNNNNNNNNNNNNNNNNNNNNNNNNNNNNNNNNNNNNNNNNNNNNNNNNNNNNNNNNNNNNNNNNNNNNNNNNNNNNNNNNNNNNNNNNNNNNNNNNNNNNNNNNNNNNNNNNNNNNNNNNNNNNNNNNNNNNNNUAGGUGUUUCAUAUAUUGUGUUAGCUAGCUAUAAUUAAUAGAGAGAAGUGUCCUCUCUUAUGUCCAUGCUUGGUCGGCGCUACGUACUAUACAUACGUAUAGAGAGGACUAGACAGGCUAGCUAGCUAGUUAGAAAACGAAGGAAACAGAAGAUCGUCAUGAACAUAUAUGCAUAGAGAGAGAAGUGAUAUCGACCACCUCUCCUUCUCCGAGAGAUUGGUCGAACAACAAGUUCUCGUAUAUCUAUCCGACACUACCGGCUACAUAUAUACAAUAAUUAUCUCUUACAAAUAUAAUCUCCUAACAUACGGACUCAUGGUCCACAUAGUAUUCUCCGUCUUCAGCGAUCACGUGGUCAAGAAAGAAUGCCGACAAUUCCUUUUGAAUUGCUCGCAUGCGAGCUGGUGCUAGGAGUUCAUCUCGCUUCCGAAACAUCUAAUUUGAAGAAGGGGCCGGGGUCAAUACAUAUAUAUAUGAAUGAAUGAAACUAAACACAAAUGAUGGUAAUAAAAUAAAAUUGUGAAUGUUGUUAUUUGCGCACUUCAUAUUGUUCAUCAGAGUAGCCCCGCUCACAGGCCGUGUGGUAGAUGGACUCGCAAACGUAGUAUCCACAGAAAUCAUUCCCUUGUAACUGCCACAACCCCUUUACAAGAAAUAGAGGUCAAUCAAACUGAUAAGCAAGAAUGCCAAAUGGUAUUGAUGAAACUAGCGCUUGAAUCAAUAGGAGAUGCGCGGAACAUGCUACUAUAGUACUUACUUUGGGGUGUCUAAAUUGCAGCUUCUCCGGGAGUCCCGGAGCUUUUUUGGUGAAUUUUUUCCAAACCCUGCCAGACAAAGAAAACAGUUACUUGAUAUAUCAGGAAAUGAACAAAGUUGCUGAUAUGGUGGAUAAUGAUCGAUUUAACUUACUUCUCGAGCAUUUGAGUCAUGUCCGCAUAGUCCUGGGGAUCUUUUCGUCUUGAGUCUAAGACGGUUACUAGUCCCUGCUCAAGCUUAAUCUCUAGGAGAAUAUAGUGGAAACUGCACACGCAUGCAUAACUCAUCAAUUACAUUACUAUAACCUUGACUAAUAUAUAAGGGAAACCGAAUAUGCACAAGACAGUAACACUCACUUGAAGUUGUAAGGAAAAAGUAUUAUAUCUUUGUUUUCAUUUAUUACCAACGAUCGUAGCAAGUUGGCCUCGGUAUCCGCGACAUGAAAUUUAACCUCAGUUGCAUCUAUGAUAUUUGUGUUAAUGAACCCAAUAUCACCGAUUUGUCUUUUCUUCAAUUCGACGAUCUUCAAUCUGCAUAAUAUAGUGAGGAUAAUUAUAAAUACAUGCAAUGAAAGAGCUGAGCUAUAUAGAGAGACUUAAUGACAGAAGUAGUACUACUUACAGACAGUAGCAGGUGACCGUUGCUUUAUCGAGGGCCAAUUGAUUGAAAAACUGAAAGAACUCCUCAAAUGGAACAGGUAACAAACACUAGUAGAAAAAGGGUCAAACGUGAAGCACAUUAGUGCCGGUUUGUAAAAAGACCGGCACUAAUGUGAUCAAUAGUGCCGGUUCGAAUGGCUAUGCAUUAGUGCCGGUUCGUAAUGAACCUUUAGUACCGGUUCAUGCCACGAACCGGUACUAAAGGGGUGGUGGCAGGCUGGCGUCAGGCCAGGCCCCACGAGCCCCUUUAGUGACGGUUUGUGACACAAACCGGUACUAAAGGUCUAACCUAUAGUACCGGUUUGUGUCACCAACCGGCACUACAAAGUCUUAACCUAUAGUCCCGGUUGAAGACACAAACCGACACUAUAGGGCAAUUUUCAAACUCUACCCCCCCCCCCGUGUAUCGCCAUUUCAGUUUUGAAAAAAUCAAAAGAAAAUGAUAAAAACUUCAAAAAAUAAAAUCCUUCGAGAGGUAGUUAUAUUACUACAUCUACUAGUUAGGAAAAUUUGAAAACUUAAAUUUGGACAUGUUUUGCAAAAAGUGUAGGGAAAAUGUAAAACGGCUAUAACUUUUGCAUAUGAUGUCGGAAAAAACGUAUAAUAUAUCAAAAAAUUCAGCACGAAAAUCCUCAAAUUCCAAAAGGAAAAAAAGAUAUGGUCAAAUUUAAGUUUUUUUUAAAAAAAAUUGGUUAAAUCUGGUCAAACUACUUAUUCAAGAAGUGUUAAUGUUACUACAUAAUUAUUCAAGAAUAUUAGUGUUACUAAAUAAUUAUUUCAAUUUUUUGAAUUUUGGUCAAAUCUGGUCAAACUAUGGUCAAACUGUGGUCAAACUAUGGUCAAACUUAUUCAAGAAAUAUUAGCGUUACUAAAUAAUUACUGUUUUUUUAGAAUAAUAGUUUCAAACUCAAACGGUGAAAUGUGUGACUUCAUGCUCAAGCUAAACUCCUGAGGGUUAAUAGGAUUAACAUCUUACUAUCAUCACGAAAACAACAAGUGCAGACAUGGAAACGAAGGAGAAUAGAACCCGAAAGUUAAGCGUGCUCGGGCUGGAGUAGUGAGAGGGAUGGGUGACCGGUCGAGAAGUUAGAUGAUUUGGAAUGAGUGAUCCACACUUGAGCAGUUAAGAGAGGUGAUUAGAGACUAAAUCAUCAAAUAAUUUAGAAAAAUUAAAAAAAUCAAAUUAAUUUUCAAAAAAAAUAUUCAAAAAAAAAACCAUUAGUACCGGUUGGUAACACCAACCGGUACUAAAGGUCCCCCAUACCAGGGCGUGAACUCACGCCACGUGGUGGCACUUUAGCGCCGGUUCGUGCCGAACCGGUACUAAAGGGGGGGGGGGCUUUAGUGCCGGUUCCAUAACCGGCACUAAAGGCACUUACAAACCGGUUUUAAAGCUCCGUUUUCUACUAGUGAAAUCAAUUCCAACGAGGUCAUGCUCCUUUUUAACUCUCACAUACAAAGUACUCCUCCCCUAGACUCUCUGCAGAUUUUCAAGUACCAAUCAUGCAAUCUUUGCAUCAUCGUUGAUAGAGAUCUUUCAUCUUUGACGAGAGGCUUCCCGUACUCGUAUCUUUGUAUCUGCACCUCCAUGAAAUCAUAAUGUACAUCGUCGGGCAGGUAAUCUCCAAGAUUGCUAUAACCGGGCACCAUCCUCGGAUCAUUAGCGACGAUGUCGCUAGGUACCUUGAGCGGGGGGGGGGGGGCACGAUUGCUUCCCUUGUUCGCCAAGCUGGGAAAUUUGUUUCCCAACUCGUCGUUCUUUCAGCCUUUGAUCACUGACAGUACUUCCCGACCGCUCCGCUUCGGCAAAUUCCUUUCCAAUAAUGCGCUCAUAGUUUCCUUUCGGUGGAGACUUGGGUGGUUUUGUUAGGGCAGCCAGAGUGCGCUUCGCUUUCACCGGAUCUACCUUCUCCUCCAGAGGUGGAUGUUUCUUUGCUUUCACCCCUUCAAAGAAGUUCCUGACUUCUUCUCGCACGAUCUCGGCGUUCUCCUCCGGGGUCCUCUCGUAUGGUAACUUCUCUGGAGUCUUUAGAGAAGGACCGAAUCUGUAUGUCCUCCCGCCUCUGGCUGUACUGCUAGACGCCGGCAGAGCAGACGGAGCGGUUGUCUUCUUUACUUGCUUACGAGGCAGAGGAGAAGGACUACGACGCACCAGAGCAGCCGGAGCGGCCGCAGGUCUCUUCCGCCCUUGCUGACGAGGCGGAGAAGGAGGAGGCUGGCUGCUCGGGCGCGCCGGCGCAGGCGGAGAAGGAGGCGGAGUGCCGCCACGCGCCGGAGAAGGAGCCGGCCGAGUGCCCUGAUAGUCACUCGCCAGAGGAGGAGGCGGUGGAGGGGGCGGAGUGCCCUGACUCGCCGAAGGAGGAGGAGGAGGCGGAGGCAUCCAAUUCGGAAGGUUCAUGACCUCCUUCCGCCAUAGGCAUGGAGUCUUCAGAGCAGAACCCAGCCGAGUCUCCCCUUCACCGGUAGGGUGGUCAAGCUGGAGGUCCUCAAAUCCCUCCGUUAUUUCAUCCACCAUCACCCUAGCAUAUCAUUCUGUAAUCGGCCGGCAGUGAAAAGUUGCGCUGGGUUCAGUAGGAAAAACAGAGCCAAUAGCCGCCUUGACCUUCAUAUUAACCCAUUGCGUCAUAAGGUGGCAAUUAUGAGACUCCGUGAUAGCAUCCACGGGAUAGCUGGCAGGAGCCGUCAAGACAUGCUCCUGCUGAAGCAGCUCGGUGGAAGCCAUGCUGCUUCUCCGCUGAGAUGGCGGGGUAGCUUCGGCAGUUCGUUUUGUGCGAUUUGCUUCUCGUUCCUCUAUUGCUUGUACCCUAGCGUGCAGCGCCUGCAGUUGGGUCUGCUCCACUUUCUUCCUCCUCUCGUGGCAUUUGUAACCGCCUGCGUCCGGAAACCCAGCCUUACACGGAAUGGAGCCUGGCGUGCCUCAUGUCCGUCCAGGGUGUUCAGGAUUCCCGAGGGCCAUUGUGAGCUCGUCGUUCUCUCUGUCUGGAACAAACAUACCUUGCUGCGCUGCUUCGAUAUAGUGCUUAAGCCUCUUGACUGGUAUUUCCAUUUGCUCGUCCGUCCAAAUGCACUUUCCUGAUACAGGGUCCAAGGUUUCACCAGCCCCGAAGAACCAAGUCCGGUAACGGUCUGUCCAGUUAAUUGUCUCUGGUUCGAUCCCUUUAUCAACCAGAUCAUUCUCAAUCUUGGCCCACUUAGGCCGAGCUGCCAGGUAGCCACCUGACCCCGUGCGAUGGUGAUGCUUCUUCUUCACAGCAUUUUGCUUGUUUGUCGACGACAUCUUCUUACUCUUUUCCGAUGUCUUGUGGGCCACAAAUGCGGGUCAGUGAUCUCUGAUCUUCUCAUAUCUGCCCUUGAAUUCCGGUGUCUCUUUAUUUUCGACAAACUUAUUCAGCUCUUUCUUCCACCUCCUGAAUAGUUCUGCCAUCCUCUUAAGAGCAAAAGACUUGAUUAAUUGCUCUUUAACUGGCUUCUCCGGAUCAUCCUCUGGCUGUAGGGUGAAAUUUGACUUCAGCUCAGUCCAAAGAUCAUUUUUCUGCAUAUCAUUGACAUAAGACACCUCAGGGUCUUCUGUAGCCGGCUUUAACCAUUGCUGCAUGCUGAUCGGGAUCUUGUCCCUAACCAAAACCCCGCACUGAGCAACAAAUGCGCUCUUUGUCCGGAUAGGUUCAUUCGGUUGGCCCUCGGGCGCGAUUGCUAUGAUCUCAAACUUUUCAUCCGAGCUCAACUUUUUCUUCGGGCCUCGUCUCUUUACCGAAGUUGUGCUCGAUCCGGAGGGCUAGAAAAAAGAACAAAGACUUAAUUAAUAUGUGUACAUACCAAAACAAUGAAUGCAUCAAUUAGCUAGUCAGCAGAAGCUUAACUAAUACUAGAUCAUUGAUGGUGCGUGUUGUUGCGCCCAUCUAUUUUGGAUCUUGGUUGUUAAGGAUAUAACAUUGCUAGUAUACAUUUCUUGCAUUGUUUUAAAAUAUUAUGCUUUCUAUAGCAUGUACUUCUCUUUAUUUUCAAAAUAAUGGUAUGUAAAUCAUCUUCAUUGGGGCAACAUUACAACUUCCAUAUCAACAUAAGCUUAGAUAUAAAUAGGGCAGUGCCAUAAGCCAACCUAUCCAUAUCCACGUUAUAAUAAUGGAUGGCUAUGUACAUUUUUGUUCAAGCAUAGUACAAGCUUGUUGCAGUUGCAUAGGAACAUAGACUUAAACAUAAUAUAAACUUGAAAUGUAUAAUGAUGGAAGAAGGCGGCAUGACAGUAUAUUAUACUUGGAAAACAAAUUGUACGAUGGAGUAGAGCGAACUGGAGAAGAUGUAGACCUCAAAUAGGCACCAGAAACACUGCACCAAAAUUUCUAUGAUUAUGGAUACAUCCAACAUGGCGGACGGUCAGAGGGCAUGAGAAGUAUAAUCAUAUACUAUCUAAGAAAAUCAAGACUCUUGAUUAUUACAUCAAAAGCAAGGCACAGAACAAGCUUACAUAUCGUAUUGUUCGUGCUAACACAAAUAAUAAUAUCUUCUAACACACGAAUGUAAUUUGGCCAAAAGAUAAUUUCUUCAUACGAAUUCCAACGUCACUACAUUUUUUUUCAUUGGGGCUUAAAAAUUGUUUGACCGUUUUACAUGAGAUAGAAAGAACUGACUGAACCGAGCAACAAAAGGCAACAAAAACACAAAUCAGUUUCCUCUCAUUCUCUGCCUACAUCAUAUUUUUUUUCCUGUAAAUAUAUCUUGUGAUUCAUCAUUGUUUCAGACCGUAAGGGCCGGAAGCUCUACCUAAGGCGGCUGCCAUACAAGGAUACACACAGCUUCGCCUUAAACACCCUCCUUGUGGCGAUGCUUAGAAAGGGAAUAACCUCAUGUAUUACCUUGCUCGGAAUAGCCAUGUUUUCAAAUCCCAACUAAUCCACCUUAAUCCUAACAUCAAAUGAACACAACAUUAACUUGAGAUCAGACGCUAUGGAGUCAGAGUGAUUGCAUGACUCGAGGCACAAGGCAACAGGCUGGGGUGAAGGCGUGGCAGCUGCAUGCCACCACGAAACACCGGCGAGCAGAGAACCGGAAGAUACAUAAUCGUUUAUGUCUUAUGAGUUAAUUUCUCCACUCAUUGCACGCUACAAAACAUUAGCGAGUAUACAUAGGAUGUCCCUUUCUGAACAACUACAUAAUAUAUAAAUUCCAAUUGCAUUAGGGAUUUCAUCUAGAGUAUAUUCCCUGAAUUAUUUGAAAUGAAGUAAUGGUUUUUCUAAUCCUACUUUGACCUGGAGCAUCACUCUGAAACAUCAGGGAACACACACAUCUUCAGAAGUAGCAGCAGUAGCUAAUGUGAAAAGUUCACUGGAAUGCUAGGAUACUAAAAAAGCUAGUACAUCCCAAUAGCCAAAGAACAUAACAAAAUUUGGCAUCAUGUGUCAAGUAGCUCACAGUGGGCAUAAAUUUGUACAUUAUAUGUCCCUUUAUUAACUCACUUGUCUCUGAUUUUUAACUAUUAGGAAAUAAUAGUGGUCAUCAAAAUUAGAAUAUAUUGUAAUGCUCUAGAAUAGGAUCUAAUUGUUGGGAGUUGUUACCUGAGGGAAUCCUUGCGGGGAGCUGAGCAUAGGAACCAAUGCUGUUCCGCACUGUCCACGUGACUGACCACCGUGCUGCCUCCAUGAGCCGAUGUGGAACUUCUACCAACAAGUGAUUUGUACAUGACUGCUCAAGCAAACUAAACCACUAAAUCCAAAGGGGAUUCGUUCCAGAAAGGUGCAACACCUUGAGAAAUCUACGUGUAGAAUUGAAGAGGGGAGAGUAUCAGGAGGUAAACCUAGAGAACCUGCAUAGUUUGUGAGUACAAAGAACAGUAUGAGUAAAAUAAAUUUCAAAAAUUGGAUUAGAUGAAGAAUCAGGUGAAGAGGAGAUAAAGGAAAGAACCAUCACCCAUUGCUGCACGAGAGUGGUUUUCAGAAGUAAGGGGAGUAGGGAAGGAGCAACAGCACUUUGGAUCGUAUAUUCGUAUAUGCGCGCGAGUGAAUUGAAGUAAAAAGCAUGAAUCAUCAGACCUGCAAUAAUCUUCAGUUUAGCCGGUUCAUCAAUUGCCAUUAAUCGAUCCUGAUUAAAACCUCAACGAAUCGAUGGCUAGUGAAUUUCAAUCGACAGCGGCUGUUCGCGGCCCUGACCAUCUCCCUAUUGCGUCACCGACCAGGACGCCGUUCGGUCGCUCGGCGAGGAGCGCCGUGUCAGUCGGACCUGAAGCACAGUGGCCAUGAGACACCAUCGGUCGCGUCGAUCCGACCCCAACACGGCCGCCAUCACUACUGCCCAGAUUCUGCUGCCAGCCGACAGCAGCAACCGUGCGAAACUGCGAACCAAAGGAUCUGGCGACGACGCGCCUGAGAACUCUAGAUAUGGCUUGAAAACCAGAAAUAUGCUUCACGGAUGUAGAGCGUGUUUGGUUGAGUUCCAGGAGCAAAAUUGCCUGGCCUGAGACCUUCCUGGGUUGUGCCUGCUUGUUGUUUGGAUAGUAGCCUCAAAUCACAGGCAUGUUCCUGGCCUGGAGUUGACAUGCACCUGAUUAGCCUGGGUAGAUCACAGGCAGCUUGAUUAGCCUGGAUGAGGCCAACGGAACCAGACGCCUGGCCUCCAGGCAGAUGCGUUUUGCGUCAAUUAGCAAGUUGUAUACUGUACUUUUUGUCAACUCAGCCGUCCCAUCUAAUUAUUUAAUAUUUAAGUACGUGUCCCAGGCCAGGUUUGCAACCAAACAUCACAUGCACACAGCAGCCUGGCCAGGCAAAAAUCCUCCUUCUCCCAGGCUACUAUCAGGCAUCAACUUUUGCUAGGCAUCACACCCAGGACAUGAACCAAACAUGCCCGUAGUGCGUCACUGACCUGGGGAUGAGCUCGUCGCCGGCUCGAGAAAAAGUCGCUCCCUGCUGCGCUUUUGGGGAAGAUAGGAAAUGUAGAAGAAUGAGCCAAUCUAGUGAAUCCCGUGGAACUUAAUGGAACCUGCACUCAUUUGGGAGCACAAAGAACAACAUCAAUUGAAAAAAAUUCAUGCAGAAUUUGGGGGAGAGUAGAGGUACCAACGAGGGAACACUUGUAAAAGGCCAGUAGCGGAGACUAAUUAUCGUCCUGUCAACCAUGGCAGCCUGCAAGUAAAAGGAGGAGAAUGAGGAAGGAGAAGCUCCACGAUGGAGAUUAAAUGGACGCAAUUGAAUGGAUGUUGUAACUGAGCCCAGUUAUUGGCCACCGGUGAGUGCGCCUCAUCGAUUGCAAAUUUGCCAUUAUAAUGGUCCGCUGCAACUAUGAAUUGAGUCCCGAAUCGCGGGCAACUGGAGGCAACCGACAGGGGACGAUCCGUUGCCCCGGAUACCUCCUGCUGGCGUCGCCCAGCGAGGCAACCCGGCCGGUCGCGUAGGUCGAGGCACAUCCGGUCGGUCCAAUCGACCUCGCAUCGGCACUGUUUUUUUUUCUCGCAUCAGGACUGGAUGAACGCUCAUCGGUCGCUCGUGUGUAACCCUAGUCGAUGGAACCGCACAAGUGGACCUUCUUCAGCGAAGCCCGUGGGCUGGAAUGGGCUGGCCGACGGCCCAGUUAACCACAGGGCUACGUUUUGGCCUGCGGAGCAGAAGCCCCAGGACAGCCGGCCCAGUUUUUAUCAGAUGUGGGACAGAUUGCUUUAAACAGGAGAUCCGACGACCAAAAACGUCUAGAUCGUGCAAACGGAUGGUCAGAAACGCGAAGCGCUGAGAGAGCUCGCUUUAGGUGCAGUUGUAUUGUACUUAAUAUAUACCUGGCCGGACUCGGUUCGGUCACCAGAGACGUCAUCACGGUCUCCUUCUUGCACCGGCAUUGUGUCACCGGAGCCGUCCUCACGGUCUCCUUCUUGCACCGGCAUUAGGUCACCGGAGCCAUCAUAAUCAUAGCCAGCUGCUUCCAUACCAUCGGUGUCGUUGAGAAACAACGAGCAGACGGCAUCCCUUCCUCGUGCGAUUAUGUCCCCCAACAACUCUUCUUGUACUUCGUCUCGGGCGGUGUCCAUAGUUUCUACAAAUAUUUAUAACAUGGCAAUUAUUAUUCAAACAUGACAGAUGGAUAUAUUAGUGGCAAACGUAGAACUAAUAUUAAUUAGUGGCCUCGACGCUACUUCUCUAGGGUUUGGGGUGGCCUCGACGCUGCUUCUCCAGGGUUUGAAGUGGCCUCGACAACGCUUCAAGGAUAAAAAAAGAAGAGGAAGAAGAAAAAAAGGGGAGAAGAAAGAAUAGAUCCUCUUUUUUUUUCUUCUUCUUCCUCUUUUUUUUUAUCGGGAACGAGGGUCGUCGACGCCCACGUCACUUGUGGGACGUGGAUGUAGUGUCCGACACCGAUGGCCACAUGUAUCUCACACCCACGAUACUUACUAUUUAGGGUUUCCUCUACCGCUCGGCGACCCUGACCCUCGACGACCCUCGUUUCNNNNNNNNNNNNNNNNNNNNNNNNNNNNNNNNNNNNNNNNNNNNNNNNNNNNNNNNNNNNNNNNNNNNNNNNNNNNNNNNNNNNNNNNNNNNNNNNNNNNNNNNNNNNNNNNNNNNNNNNNNNNNNNNNNNNNNNNNNNNNNNNNNNNNNNNNNNNNNNNNNNNNNNNNNNNNNNNNNNNNNNNNNNNNNNNNNNNNNNNNNNNNNNNNNNNNNNNNNNNNNNNNNNNNNNNNNNNNNNNNNNNNNNNNNNNNNNNNNNNNNNNNNNNNNNNNNNNNNNNNNNNNNNNNNNNNNNNNNNNNNNNNNNNNNNNNNNNNNNNNNNNNNNNNNNNNNNNNNNNNNNNNNNNNNNNNNNNNNNNNNNNNNNNNNNNNNNNNNNNNNNNNNNNNNNNNNNNNNNNNNNNNNNNNNNNNNNNNNNNNNNNNNNNNNNNNNNNNNNNNNNNNNNNNNNNNNNNNNNNNNNNNNNNNNNNNNNNNNNNNNNNNNNNNNNNNNNNNNNNNNNNNNNNNNNNNNNNNNNNNNNNNNNNNNNNNNNNNNNNNNNNNNNNNNNNNNNNNNNNNNNNNNNNNNNNNNNNNNNNNNNNNNNNNNNNNNNNNNNNNNNNNNNNNNNNNNNNNNNNNNNNNNNNNNNNNNNNNNNNNNNNNNNNNNNNNNNNNNNNNNNNNNNNNNNNNNNNNNNNNNNNNNNNNNNNNNNNNNNNNNNNNNNNNNNNNNNNNNNNNNNNNNNNNNNNNNNNNNNNNNNNNNNNNNNNNNNNNNNNNNNNNNNNNNNNNNNNNNNNNNNNNNNNNNNNNNNNNNNNNNNNNNNNNNNNNNNNNNNNNNNNNNNNNNNNNNNNNNNNNNNNNNNNNNNNNNNNNNNNNNNNNNNNNNNNNNNNNNNNNNNNNNNNNNNNNNNNNNNNNNNNNNNNNNNNNNNNNNNNNNNNNNNNNNNNNNNNNNNNNNNNNNNNNNNNNNNNNNNNNNNNNNNNNNNNNNNNNNNNNNNNNNNNNNNNNNNNNNNNNNNNNNNNNNNNNNNNNNNNNNNNNNNNNNNNNNNNNNNNNNNNNNNNNNNNNNNNNNNNNNNNNNNNNNNNNNNNNNNNNNNNNNNNNNNNNNNNNNNNNNNNNNNNNNNNNNNNNNNNNNNNNNNNNNNNNNNNNNNNNNNNNNNNNNNNNNNNNNNNNNNNNNNNNNNNNNNNNNNNNNNNNNNNNNNNNNNNNNNNNNNNNNNNNNNNNNNNNNNNNNNNNNNNNNNNNNNNNNNNNNNNNNNNNNNNNNNNNNNNNNNNNNNNNNNCGGGACUAAAGGGGGGCAUUGGUCACGGUUUGUGCCACGAACCGUGACCAAUGCCCCCUUUAGUCCCGGUUGGUGCCAUCAACCGGGACCAAAGGCCUGCGCCUGCCAAAGCCGUGGUGCGGUAGGAUGUUUAGUCCCACCUCGCUAGCUGAGGAGCGGCCGCACCUGUUUAUAAGCGCUGCACCUGUUUGGGCCUAAUCUCACAACGCUAUGCCUGCUGGGCCUUCUGCGGGCCUGAAUCCUGGCCCAUGGAUGGGCUUCUAGUCGUAUUCAGGCCGUGGUGGCCCAGUAGGUGGCAUUUUUUAUUACUAUUUGAUUUUUCAUUUCUACUUAGAACUAAAUACUUGUAGUUUUUUAGUGAUUUUUUUCUUUUAGGUCACAAAAAUUAUAAACUUUCUAUUAUUGCCAUUAGUUUUAAAAUUUGAAUAGUUUAAUUUUGAAUUUUUUAAAAUUUGUGUGAAUCACUAGUUUAUGAAUAACUUUACCGUAAAAAUUGAUUUUUGAGUCAUUUUUUUCCUGCUAUUUAAUAUUACUGUGUUUUAUCAUUAUACUCAAUUUGGUAAUUUUAGUUAGUCAUAACAAAUAUUAUAGGCAUUUUUUUCUUUUUUGCUAUUUUUUUUCAUUUCUACUUAGAACAAAAUACUUAUAGUUCUUUAGUGAUUUCUUUUUUCUUUUAGGUCACAAAAAUUAUAAACUUUCUGGUAGUUCCAUUAGUUUUCANNNNNNNNNNNNNNNNNNNNNNNNNNNNNNNNNNNNNNNNNNNNNNNNNNNNNNNNNNNNNNNNNNNNNNNNNNNNNNNNNNNNNNNNNNNNNNNNNNNNNNNNNNNNNNNNNNNNNNNNNNNNNNNNNNNNNNNNNNNNNNNNNNNNNNNNNNNNNNNNNNNNNNNNNNNNNNNNNNNNNNNNNNNNNNNNNNNNNNNNNNNNNNNNNNNNNNNNNNNNNNNNNNNNNNNNNNNNNNNNNNNUUAAUUCUUUUUGCUUUUCGUUUUAGAAAAAUUAUAAACUUUCUGUUAGUGCCAUUAGUUUUCAAAUUUGAAAACACUUUUUUAGUUUUUUUGCUUUCUUUGUUGCUUUAUUUAUUUUAUUUUGUUUCUACUUACAAAAAAAUACUUAUUGUUGCUAUUUUUUUUCAGUUUUUGUUUUGUUUUCUUUAUUAUUUAUUUUCUUUUGUUUUUUGCUUUAAUUUUUAAUUCUUUUUGCUUUUAGGUCAGCAAAAUUAUAAACUUUCUGUUAGUGCCACUAGUUUUAGAAAAAUUAUAAACUUUCUGUUAGUGCCAUUAGUUUUCAAAUUUGAAUAGUUAAAAUUUGAAUUCUUUAAAAUUUGUAUGAACCACAAGUUUGUGAUUAACUUUACUAAAAAAAUGAACAUAGAUGCACCUAUAGAGAAAAUUCGACCUAAAUUCAUAGUUUUCAAAUGAACUCUCAAAAAGUUGGCAUAGCAUACUCGUGUGUUACAAAGUUGGCAUGGUAUCAUCAUAAUAGUUGCUUGAGAAAGUCUUCACUUUUUCUUCGCUUGUGUCAUUUGCUUAUUGCGCCGUAACCAUGGAUAAUCUUCAUCGUUUAUCAGGAUGCUUGGGUCAGCCUUGACAUUGAAGGGAGGAAUUUCAUGAAACUUUUCAUAAUCUUCAGACAUGUCUGUCUUGCCCUCCACUCCCAGGAUAUCCCUUUUUCCUGAAAGAACUAUAUGGCGCUUUGGCUCAUCGUAUGAUGUAUUCGCUUCCUUAUCUUUUCUUUUUCUCGGUUUGGUAGACAUGUCCUUCACAUAGAUAACCUGUGCCACAUCAUUGGCUAGGACGAACGGUUCGUCAGUAUACCCAAGAUUUUUCAGAUCCACUGUUGUCAUUCCGUACUGUGGGUCUACCUGUACCCCGCCGCCUGACAGAUUGACCCAUUUGCACUUAAACAAAGGGACCUUAAAAUCAUGUCCGUAGUCAAGUUCCCAUAUGUCCAUUAUGUAACCAUAAUAUGCAUCCUUUCCGCUCUCGGUUGCUGCAUCAAAGCGGACACCGCUGUUUUGGUUGGUGCUCUUUUGAUCUUGGGCGAUCAUGUAAAAUGUAUUCCCAUUUAUCUCGUAUCCUUUGUAAGUCAAUACAGUCAAAGAUGGUCCCCUGGACAACAAGUGCAACUCAUCACAAACAGUGUUGUCACCUCUGAGACGUGUUUCCAACCAACUGUUGAAAGUCCUGAUGUGUUCACAUGUAAUCUAGUCGUCGCACUGCUCCGGAUGUUUGGAGCGCAGACUGUUUUUGUGUUCAUCGAUAUACGGGGCCACCAUGGUAGAGUUCUGUAGAACUGUGUAGUGUGCUUGAGACCAAGAAUAUCCGUCCCUGCAUAUUAUUGAGUCACUUCCAAGAGUGCCUUUUCCAGUCAGUCUCCCCUCAUACCGCGAUUUAGGGAGACCUAUCUUCUUAAGGCCAGGAAUGAAGUCAACACAAAAUUCGAUAACAUCCUCUGUUUGAUGGCCCAUGGAGAUGCUUCCUUCUGACCUAGCGCGGUUACGGACAUAUUUCUUUAGGACUCCCAUGAACCUCUCAAAGGGGAACAUAUUGUGUAGAAAUACGGGCCCCAGGAUGACAAUCUCGUCGACUAGAUGAACUAGGACGUGCGUCAUGAUAUUGAAGAAGGAUGGUGGGAACACCAGCUCGAAACUGACAAGACAUUGCGCCACAUCACUCCUUAGCCUUGGUACAAUUUCUGGAUCGAUCACCUUCUGAGAGAUUGCAUUGAGGAAUGCACAUAGCUUCACAAUGGCUAAUCGGACGUUUUCUGGUAGAAGCCCCCUCAAUGCAGCCGGAAGCAGUUGCGUCAUAAUCACAUGGCAGUCAUGAGACUUUAGGUUCUGAAACUUUUUCUCUGGCAUAUUUAUUAUUCCCUUUAUAUUCGAUGAGAAGCCAGUCGUGACCUUCAUACUGAGCAGGCAUUCAAAGAAGAUUUCUUUCUCUUCUUUCGUAAGAGCAUAGCUGGCAGGACCUUUAUACUGCUUCGGAGGCAUGCCGUCUUUUUCAUGCAAAUGUUGCAGGUCCUCCCAUGCCUCGGAUGUAUCUUUUGUCUUCCCAUACAAGAAGCCUACCAGGUUCACACAAAGGUUCUUCAUCACGUGCAUCACGUCGAUUGAAGAGCAGACCUCUAGGUCUUUCCAGUAGGGUAGGUCCCAAAAUAUAGAUUUCUUCUUCCACAUGGGUGCGUGUCCCUCAGCGUCAUUCGGAACAGCUAGUCCGCCGGGACACUUUCCAAAGAUUACAUGUAAAUCAUUGACCAUAGCAAGUACGUGAUCACCGGUACGCAUGGCGGGCUUCUUCUGGUGAUCUGCCUCGCCUUUGAAAUGCUUGCCUUUCUUUCGACAUUGAUGGUUGGUCGGAAGAAAUCAACGAUGGCCCAGGUACACAUUUUUCCUGCAUUUGUCCAGGUAUAUACUUUCAGUGUCAUCUAAACAGUGCGUGCAUGCGUGGUAUCCUUUGUUUGUCUAUCCUGAAAGGUUACUGAGAGCGGGCCAAUCAUUGACGGUCACGAACAGCAAAGCCUUUAGGUUAAAUUCCUCCUGUCUAUGGUCAUCCCACGUACGUACACUGUUUCCAUUCCACAGCUGUAAAAGUUCUUCAACUAAUGGCCUUAGGUACACAUCAAUGUCCUUGCCGGGUUGCUUAGUGUAGGGGAACAUAGUAAUUUCAAAAUUUUCCUACGCACACGCAAGAUCAUGGUGAUGCAUAGCAACGAGAGGGGAGAGUGUUGUCUAUGUACCCUCGUAGACCGAAGCGGAAGCGCUGACACAACGUAGAGGAAGUAGUCGUACGUCUUCCCGAUCCUACCGAUCCAAGCACCGUUACUCCGGCACCUCCGAGUUCUUAGCACACGUACAGCUCGAUGACGCUCCCCAGGCUUCGAUCCAACAAAGCUUCGGGGAUGAGUUCCAUCAGCACAACGGCGUGGUGACGAUGAUGAUGUUCUACCGACGCAGGGCUUCGCCUAAGCACUACAAUGAUAUGACCGAGGUGGAAUAUGGUGGAAGGGGGCACCGCACACGGCUAAGGAACGAUCACGUUGAUCAAUUGUGUGUUCUAGGGUGUCCCCUUGCCUCCGUAUAUAAAGGAUCCAAGGGGGAGGGGUUCGGCCGGCCCUAUGGAGGCGCAGGAGGAGUCCUACUCCUACCGGGAGUAGGACUCCCCCCUUUCCUAGUCCAAGUAGGAUUGGUGGAGAAGAAAGGGAAAGAGGGGGGUGCAGCCCCUCCCUCCUUGUCCAAUUCGGACUAGGGGGAGAGGGGGCGCGCGGCCUGCCCUGGCAGCCCCUUCCUAUUCUCCACUUUAGGCCCAUGAGGCCCAUUAACACCCCGGGGGGUUCCGGUAACCCCCCGGUGCUCCGGUUUUAUCCGAAACUUCAUCGGAACCCUUCCGGUGUCUGAAUAUAGUCAUCCAAUAUAUCAAUCUUUAUGUCUCGACCAUUUCGAGACUCCUCGUCAUGCCCGUGAUCACAUCCGGGACACCGAACUAACUUCGGUACAUCAAAAUGUAUAAACUCAUAAUAACUAUCAUCGUAACGUUAAGCGUGCGGACCCUAUGGUUCGAGAACAAUGUAGACAUGACCGAGACACGUCUCCGGUCAAUAACCAAUAGCGGGACCUGGAUGCCCAUAUUGGCUCCUACAUAUUCUACGAAGAUCUUUAUCGGUCAGACCGCAUAACAACAUACGUUGUUCCCUUUGUCAUCGGUAUGUUACUUGCCCGAGAUUCGAUCGUCGGUAUCCAAUACCUAGUUCAAUCUCGUUACCGGCAAAUCUCUUUACUCGUUCCGUAAUACAUCAUCUCACAACUAACUCAUUAGUUGUAAUGCUUGCAAGGCUUAUGUGAUGUGCAUUACCGAGAGGGCCCAGAGAUACCUCUCCGACAAUCGGAGUGACAAAUCCUAAUCUCGAAAUACGCCAACCCAACAUCUACCUUUGGAGACACCUGUAGAGCACCUUUAUAAUCACCCAGUUACGUUGUGACGUUUGGUAGCACACAAAGUGUUCCUCCGGCAAACGGGAGUUGCAUAAUCUCAUAGUCAUAGGAACAUGUAUAAGUCAUGAAGAAAGCAAUAGCAACAUACUAAACGAUCGGGUGCUAAGCUAAUGGAAUGGGUCAUGUCAAUCAGAUCAUUCAACUAAUGAUGUGAUCUCGUUAAUCAAAUAACAACUCUUUGUUCAUGGUUAGGAAACAUAACCAUCUUUGAUUAACGAGCUAGUCAAGUAGAGGCAUACUAGUGACACUCUGUUUGUCUAUGUAUUCACACAUGUAUUAUGUUUCCGGUUAAUACAAUUCUAGCAUGAAUAAUAAACAUUUAUCAUGAUGUAAGGAAAUAAAUAAUAACUUUAUUAUUGCCUCUAGGGCAUAUUUCCUUCAGUCUCCCACUUGCACUAGAGUCAAUAAUCUAGAUUACACAGUAAUGAUUCUAACACCCAUGGAGCCUUGGUGCUGAUCAUGUUUUGCUCGUGGAAGAGGCUUAGUCAACGGGUCUGCAACAUUCAGAUCCGUAUGUAUCUUGCAAAUCUCUAUGUCUCCCACCUGGACUAGAUCCCGGAUGGAAUUGAAGCGUCUCUUGAUGUGCUUGGUUCUCUUGUGAAAUAUGGAUUCCUUUGCCAAGGCAAUUGCACCAGUAUUGUCACAAAAGAUUUUCAUUAGACCCGAUGCACUAGGUAUGACACCUAGAUCGGAUAUGAACUCCUUCAUCCAGACUCCUUCGUUUGCUACUUCCGAAGCAGCUAUGUACUCCGCUUCACAUGUAGAUCCCGCCACAAUGCUUUGUUCAGAACUGCACCAACUGACAGCUCAACCGUUUAAUGUAAACAUGUAUCCGGUUUGUGAUUUAGAAUCGUCCGGAUCAGUGUCAAAGCUUGCAUCAACGUAACCGUUUACGAUGAGCUCUUUGUCACCUCCAUAUACGAGAAACAUAUCCUUAGUCCUUUUCAGGUACUUCAGGAUGUUCUUGACCGUUGUCCAGUGAUCCACUCCUGGAUUACUUUGGUACCUCCCUGCUAAACUUAUAGCAGGGCACACAUCAGGUCUGGUACACAGCAUUGCAUACAUGAUAGAGCCUAUGGCUGAAGCAUAGGGAACAUCUUUCAUUUUCUCUCUAUCUUCUGAAGUGGUCGGGCAUUGAGUCUGACUCAACUUCACACCUUGUAACACAGGCAAGAACCCUUUCUUUGCUUGAUCCAUUUUGAACUUCUUCAAAAUCUUGUCAAGGUAUGUGCUUUGUGAAAGUCCAAUUAAGCGUCUUGAUCUAUCUCUAUAGAUCUUUAUGCCUAAUAUGUAAGCAGCUUCACCGAGGUCUUUCAUUGAAAAACUCUUAUUCAAGUAUCCCUUUAUGCUAUCCAGAAAUUCUAUAUCAUUUCCAAUCAGUAAUAUGUCAUCCACAUAUAAUAUCAGAAAUGCUAUAGAGCUCCCACUCACUUUCUUGUCAAUACAGGCUUCUCCAAAAGUCUGUACAAAACCAAAUGCUUUGAUCACACUAUCAAAGCGUUUAUUCCAACUCCGAGAGGCUUGCACCAGUCCAUAAAUGGAUCGCUGGAGCUUGCACACUUUGUUAGAUCCUUUCGGAUCGACAAAACCUUCCGGUUGCAUCAUAUACAACUCUUCUUCCAGAAAUCCAUUCAGGAAUGCAGUUUUGACAUCCAUCUGCCAAAUUUCGUAAUCAUAAAAUGCGGCAAUUGCUAACAUGAUUCGAACGGACUUAAGCAUCGCUACGGGUGAGAAGGUCUCAUCAUAGUCAACCCCUUGAACUUGUCCAAAACCUUUUGCGACAAGUCGAGCUUUGUAGACAGUAACAUUACCGUCAGCGUCAGUCUUUUUCUUGAAGAUCCAUUUAUUCUCAAUUGCUUGCCGACCAUCGGGCAAGUUAACCAAAGUCCAUACUUUGUUCUCAUACAUGGAUCCCAUUUCAGAUUUCAUGGCUUCAAGCCAUUUUGCGGAAUCUGGGCUCACCAUCGCUUCUUCAUAGUUAGUAGGUUCAUCAUGAUCUAGCAGCAUGAUUUCUAGAACAGGAUUACCGUACCACUCUGGCGCGGAUCUCACUCUGGUUGAUCUACGAGGUUCAGUAGUAUCUUGUCCUGAAGUUUCAUGAUCAUUAUCAUUAGCUUCCUCACUUAUGGGUGUAGGUGUCGCAGAAACAGUUUUCUGUGAUGUACUUCUUUCCAAUAAGGGGGCAGGUACAGUUACCUCGUCAAGUUCUACUUUCCUCCCACUCACUUCUUUCGAGAGAAACUCCUUCUCUAGAAAGGAUCCAUUCUUAGCAACGAAUGUCUUGCCUUCGGAUCUGUGAUAGAAGGUGUACCCAACAGUCUCCUUUGGGUAACCUAUGAAGACACAUUUCUCCGAUUUGGGUUCAAGCUUAUCAGGUUGAAGCUUUUUCACAUAAGCAUCGCAGCCCCAGACUUUAAGAAACGACAACUUUGGUUUCUUGCCAAACCAUAGUUCAUAAGGCGUCGUCUCAACGGAUUUUGAUGCUGCCCUAUUUAACGUGAAUGCGGCCGUCUCUAAAGCAUAACCCCAAAACGAUAGCGGUAAAUCAGUAAGAGACAUCAUAGAUCGCACCAUAUCUAGUAAAGUACGAUUACGACGUUCGGACACACCAUUACGCUGUGGUGUUCCGGGUGGCGUGAGUUGCGAAACUAUUCCGCAUUGUUUCAAAUGUACACCAAACUCGUAACUCAAAUAUUCUCCUCCAUGAUCAGAUCGUAGAAACUUUAUUUUCUCGUUACGAUGAUUUUCAACUUCACUCUGAAAUUCUUUGAACUUUUCAAAUGUUUCAGACUUGUGUUUCAUUAAGUAGAUAUACCCAUAUCUGCUUAAAUCAUUUGUGAAGUUGAGAAAAUAACGAUAUCCGCCACGAGCCUCAAUAUUCAUCGGACCACAUACAUCGGUAUGUAUGAUUUCCAACAAAUCUGUUGCUCUCUCCAUAGUACCGGAGAACGGUGUUUUAGUCAUCUUGCCCAUGAGGCACGGUUCGCAAGUACCAAGUGAUUCAUAAUCAAGUAGUUCCAAAAGUCCAUCAGUAUGGAGUUUCUUCAUGCGCUUUACACCGAUAUGACCUAAACGGCAGUGCCACAAAUAAGUUGCACUAUCAUUAUCAACUCUGCAUCUUUUGGUUUCAACAUUAUGAAUAUGUGUAUCACUACUAUCGAGAUUCAUCAGAAAUAGACCACUCUUCAAGGGUUCAUGACCAUAAAAGAUAUUACUCAUAUAAAUAGAACAACCAUUAUUCUCUGAUUUAAAUGAAUAACCGUCUCGCAUCAAACAAGAUCCAGAUAUAAUGUUCAUGCUUAACGCUGGCACCAAAUGACAAUUAUUUAGGUCUAAUACUAAUCCCGAAGGUAGAUGUAGAGGUAGCGUGCCGACCGCGAUCACAUCGACUUUGGAACCGUUUCCCACGCGCAUCGUCACCUCGUCCUUUGCCAGUGUUCGCCUAAUCCGUAGUCCCUGUUUCGAGUUGCAAAUAUUAGCAAUAUAACCAGUAUCAAAUACCCAGGUGCUACUGCGAGCUCUAGUAAGGUACACAUCAAUAACAUGUAUAUCACUUAUACCUUUAUUCACCUUGCCAUCCUUCUUAUCCGCCAAAUACUUGGGGCAGUUCCGCUUCCAGUGACCAGUCUGCUUGUAGUAGAAGCACUCAGUUUCAGGCUUAGGUCCAGACUUGGGUUUCUUCUCCUGAGCAGCAACUUGCUUGCCGUUCUUCUUGAAGUUCCCCUUCUUCUUCCCUUUGCCCCUUUUCUUGAAACUAGUGGUCUUGUUGACCAUCAACACUUCAUGCUCCUUCUUGAUUUCUACCUCCGCAGCUUUCAGCAUUGCGAAGAGCUCGAGAAUAGUCUUAUUCAUCCAUUGCAUAUUAUAGUUCAUCACAAAGCUCUUGUAGCUUGGUGGCAGUGAUUGGAGAAUUCUGUCAAUGACGCAAUCAUCUGGAAAAUUAACUCCCAUCUAAAUCAAGUGAUUAUUAUACCCAGACAUUUUGAGUAUAUGCUCACUGACAGAACUAUUCUCCUCCAUCUUGCAGCUAUAGAACUUAUUGGAGACUUCAUAUCUCUCAAUCCGGGCAUUUGCUUGAAAUAUUAGCUUCAACUCCUGGAACAUCUCAUAUGCUCCAUGACGUUCAAAACGUCGUUGAAGUCCCAAUUCUAAGCCGUAAAGCAUGGCACACUGAACUAUCGAGUGGUCAUCAGCUUUGCUCCGCCAGACGUUCAUAACAUCUGGUGUUGCUCCAGCAGCAGGCCUGGCACCCAGCGGUGCUUCCAGGACGUAAUUCUUCUGUGCAGCAAUGAGGAUAAUCCUCAAGUUACGGACCCAGUCCGUGUAAUUGCUACCAUCAUCUUUCAACUUUGCUUUUGUUGGGGAACGUAGUAAUUUCAAAAAUUUCCUACGCACACGCAAGAUCAUGGUGAUGCAUAGCAACGAGGGGGAGAGUCUGAUCUACGUACCCUUGUAGAUCGCAACGGAAGCGUUGACACAACGUAGAGGAAGUAGUCGUACGUCUUCUUCCCGAUCCGACCGAUCCAAGCACUGUUACUCCGGCACCUCCGAGUUCUUAGCACACGUUCAGCUCGAUGACGAUCCUCGGGCUCCGAUCCAGCAAAGCGUCGAGGAAGAGUUCCGUCAGCACGACGGCGUGGUGACGAUCUUGACGUACUACCGACGUAGGGCUUCGCCUAAGCACUACAACGGUAUGAUCGAGGUGGAAUUUGGUGGCAGGGGGCACCGCACACGGCUAAGGAACGAUUUCAAGGAUCAACUUGUGUGUCUAUGGGGAGCCCCCCGCCCCUGUAUAUAAAGGAUGGAGGAGGAGGAGGCCGGCCAAGGCAAAGGUGCGGCCAGGAUAGGGAGUCCUACUAGGACUCCAAGUCCUAGUAGGAGUCCACCAAAAGGGGAGGAAGGGAGAAGGAAUAGGAGGAGAAGGAGAGGUGGCCGGCCCCCUUUUCCCUAGUCCAAUUCGGACCAAAGGGGAGGGGGGGCGCAGCAGCCUUUUCCUCUUCCCACUAAAGCCCAUCAAGGCCCAUUACUUCUCCCGUAACUACCCGGUACUCCGAAAAAUACCCGAAUCACUCGGAACCUUUCCGAUGUCCGAAUAUAGUCGUCCAAUAUAUCGAUCUUUACGUCUCGACCAUUUCGAGACUCCUCGUCAUGUCCCCGAUUUCAUCCGGGACUCCGAACUCCUUCGGUACAUCAAUACUCAUAAACUCAUAAUAUAACUGUCAUCGAAACCUAAAGCGUGCGGACCCUAUGGUUCGAGAACAAUGUAGACAUGACCGAGACACGUCUUCGGUCAAUAACCAAUAGCGGGACCUGGAUGCCCAUAUUGGCUCCUACAUAUUCUACGAAGAUCUUUAUCGGUCAGACCGCAUAACAACAUACGUUGUUCCCUUUGUCAUCGGUAUGUUACUUGCCCGAGAUUCGAUCGUCGGUAUCCAAUACCUAGUUCAAUCUCGUUACCGGCAAGUCUCUUUACUCAUUCUAUAAUACAUCAUCCCACAACUAACUCAUUAGUUGCAAUGCUUGCAAGGCUUAAGUGAUGUGCAUUACCGAGAGGGCCCAGAGAUACCUCUCCGAUAAUCGGAGUGACAAAUCCUAAUCUCGAAAUACGCCAACCCAACAUCUUCCUUUGGAGACACCUGUAAUGCUCCUUUAUAAUCACCCAGUUACGUUGUGACGUUUUGUAGCACCCAAAGUGAUCCUCCGGCAAACGGGAGUUGCAUAAUCUCAUAGUCAUAGGAACAUGUAUAAGUCAUGAAGAAAGCAAUAGCAACAUACUAAACGAUCGGGUGCUAAGCUAAUGGAAUGGGUCAUGUCAAUCAGAUCAUUCAACUAAUGAUGUGACCUCGUUAAUCAAAUAACAACUCUUUUGUCCAUGGUUAGGAAACAUAACCAUCUUUGAUUAACGAGCUAGUCAAGUAGAGGCAUACUAGUGACACUCUGUUUGUCUAUGUAUUCACACAUGUAUUAUGUUUCCGGUUAAUACAAUUCUAGCAUGAAUAAUAAACAUUUAUCAUGAUAUAAGGAAAUAAAUAAUAACUUCAUUAUUGCCUCUAGGGCAUAUUUCCUUCAGUCUCCCACUUGCACUAGAGUCAAUAAUCUAGUUCACAUCGCCAUGUGAUUUAACAGCAAUAGUUCACAUCACCAUGUGAUUAACACCCAUAGUUCACAUCGUCAUGUGACCAACACUCAAAGGGUUUACUAGAGUCAGUAAUCUAGUUCACAUAUCUAUGUGAUUAACACCCAAAGAGUACUAAGGUGUGAUCAUGUUUUGCUUGUGAGAUAAUUUUAGUCAACGGGUCUGUCACAUUCAGAUCUGUAAGUAUUUUGCAAGUUCUAUGUCUACAAUGCUCUACACGGAGCUACUCUAGCUAAUUGCUCCCACUUUCAAUAUGUAUCCAGAUUGAGACUUUAGAUUCAUCUGGAUCAGUGUCAAAAACUUGCAUCGACGUAACCCUUUACGACGAACCUUUUUGUCACGUCCAUAAUCGAGAAACAUAUCCUUAUUUCACUAAGGAUAAUUCUGACCGCUGUCCAGUGAUCUACUCCUAGAUCACUAUUAUACUCCCUUGCCAAAUCAAUGCAGGGUAUACAAUAGAUCUGGUAUACAGCAUGACAUACUUUAUAGAACCUAUGGCCAAGGCAUAGGGAAUGACUUUCAUUCUCUUUCUAUCUUCUGCCGUGGUCGGGCUUUGAGUCUUACUCAACUUCACACCUUGUAAUACAGGCAAGAACUCUUUCUUUGACUGCUCCAUUUUGAGCUACUUCAAAAUCUUGUCAAGGUAUGUACUUAUUGAAAAAACUUAUCAAGCGUCUUGAUCUAUCUCUAUAGAUCUUGAAGCUCAAUAUGUAAGCAGCUUCACCGAAGUCUUUCUUUGAAAAACUCCUUUCAAACACUCCUUUAUGCUUUACAGAAUAAUUCUACAUUAUUUCCGAUCAACAAUAUGUCAAUCACAUAUACUUAUCAGAAAUGCUGUAGUGUCCCACUCACUUUCUUGUAAAUACAGGCUUCACCGCAAGUCUGUAUAAAACUAUAUGCUUUGAUCAACUCAUCAAAGCGUAUAUUCCAACUCCGAGAUGCUUGCACCAGUCCACAGAUGGAUCGCUGGAGCUUGCACAUUUUGUUAGCACCUUUCGGAUUGACAAAACCUUCUGUUGCAUCAUAUACAACUCUUCUUUAAUAAAUCCAUUAAGGAAUGCAGUUUUGUUUAUCCAUUUGCCAGAUUUCAUAAAAUGCGGCAAUUACUAACAUGAUUCGGACAGACUCAAGCAUAGAUACGAGUGAGAAGCUCUCAUCGUAGUCAACACCUUGAACUUGUCGAAAACCUUUUUGCGACAAUUCUAGCUUUGUAGAUAGUAACACUACUAUCAGCGUCCGUCUUCCUCUUGAAGAUCCAUUUAUUCUCAAUUGCUUGCCGAUCAUUGGGCAAGUCAACCAAAGUCCAAACUUUGUUCUCAUACAUGGAUCAUAUCUCAGAUUUCAUGGCCUCAAACCAUUUCGCGGAAUCUGGGCUCAUCAUUGCUUCCUCAUAGUUCGUAGGUUCAUCAUGAUCUAGUAGCAUGACUUCCAGGAUUGGAUUACCGUACCACACUGGUGCGGAUCUCACUCUGGUUGAUCUACGUGGUUCAGUAGUAUCUUGUCCUGAAGUUUCAUGAUCAUCAUCAUUAGCUUCCUCACUAAUUGGUAUAGGUGUCGCAGAAACAGUUUUCUGUGAUGUACUAUUUUCCAAUAAGGGAGCAGGUACAGUUACCUCGUCAAGUUCUACUUUCCUCCCACUCACUUCUUUUGAGAGAAACUCCUUCUCUAGAAAGGAUCCAUUAUAAGCAACGAAUGUCUUGCCUUAGGAUCUGUGAUAGAAGGUGUACCCAACAGUCUCCUUUGGGUAUCCUAUGAAGACAUAUUUCUCCGAUUUGGGUUUGAGCUUAUCAGGAUGAAACUUUUUCUCAUAAGCAUCGCAACCCCAAACUUCAAGAAACGACAACUUUGGUUUCUUGCCUAACCAUAGUUCAUACGGUGUCGUCUCAACGGAUUUAGAUGGUGCCCUAUUUAACGUGAAUGCAGCUUUCUCUAAUGCAUGAUCCCAAAACGAUAUUGGUAAAUCGGUAAGAAACAUCAUAGAUUGUACUAUAUCCAAUAAAGUACGGUUAUGACGUUCGGACACACCAUUAUGCUGUGGUGUUCCAGGUGGCGUGAGUAGUGAAACUAUUUCACAUUGUUUUAACUGAAGACCAAACUCGUAACUCAAAUACUCUUUUCCACGAUCAGAUCGUAGAAACUUUAUUUUCUUGUUACGAUGAUUUUCCACUUCACUCUGAAAUUAUAUGAACUUUUCAAAUGUAUCAGACUUCUAUUUCAUUAAGUAGAUAUACCCAUAUCUGCUCAAAUCAUCUGUGAAGGUUUAGAAAAUAAUGAUACCCGCUGCAAGCCUUAAAUAUUCAUCGGACCACAUACAUUUGUAUGUAUGAUUUCCAACAAAUCUGUUGCUUGCUCCAUUGUUCCGGAGAACGGCGUUUUAGUCAUCUUGCCCAAAAGGCAUGGUUCGCAAGCAUCAAGUGAUUCCGAAAGCCCAUCAGCAUGGAGUUUCUUCAUGUGCUUUAUACCAAUAUGACCUAAACGGCAGUGCCACAAAUAAGUUGCACUAUCAUUAUUAACUUUGCAUCUUUUGGUUUCAAUAUUAUGAAUAUGUGUAUCACUACGAUCGAGAUCCAACGAACUUGUUUCAUUGGGUGUAUGACCAUCGAAGGUUUUAUUCAUGUAAACAGAACAACAAUUAUUCUCUGACUUUAAUGAAUAACCGUAUUGCAAUAAACAUGAUCAAAUCAUAUUCAUGCUCAACCAAAUAACACUUAUUUAAGUUCAACACUAAUCCCGAAAGUAUAGGGGAGUGUGUGAUGAUGAUCAUAUCAAUCUUGGAACUACUUCCAACACACAUCGUCACUUCACCCUUAACUAGUCUUUGUUUAUUCUGCAACUCCUGUUUCGAGUUACUACUCUUAGCAACUGAACCAAUAUCAAAUACUGAGGGGUUGCUAUAAACACUAGUAAAGCACACAUCAAUAACAUGUAUAUCAAAUAUACUUUUGUUCACUUUGCCAUCCUUCUUAUCCGCCAAAUACUUGGGGCAGUUCCGCUUCCAGUGACCAGUCCCUUUGCAGUAGAAGCACUUAGUCUCAGGCUUAGGACCAAACUUCGGCUUCUUCACUUGAGCAGCAACUUGCUUGCCGUUCUUCUUGAAGUUCCCCUUCUUCCCUUUGCCCUUUUCUUGAAACUAGUGAUCCUGUCAACCAUCAACACUUGAUGUUUUUCUUGAUUUCGACCUUCGUUGAUUUCAGCAUCACGAAGAGCUUGGGAGUUGUUUCCGUUAUCCCUUGCAUAUUAUAGUUCAUCACGAAGUUCUACUAACUUGGUGAUGGUGACUAGAGAAUUUUGUCAAUCACUAUCUUAUCUGGAAGAUUAACUCCCACUUGAUUCAAGCGAUUGUAGUACUCAGAUAAUCUGGGCACAUGCUCACUAGUUGAGCGAUUCUCCCCCAUCUUUCAGCUAUAGAACUUGUUGGAGACUUCAUAUCUCUCAACUCGGGUAUUUACUUGAAAUAUUAACUUCAGCUUCUGGAACAUCUCAUAUGGUCCAUGACGCUCAGAACGUCUUUGAAGUCCCGAUUCUAAGCCAUUAAGCAUGGUGCACUAAACUAUCAAGUAGUCAUCAUAUUGGGCUAGCCAAACGUUCAUAACGUCGGCAUCUGCUCCUGCAAUAGGUCUGUCACCUAGCGGUGCAUCAAGGACAUAAUUCCUCUAUGCAGCAAUGAGGAUAAAACUCAGAUCACGGAUCCAAUCCGCAUCAUUGCUACUAACAUCUUUCAACACAAUUUUCUCUAGGGACAUGUCAAAAUAAACACAGGGAAGCAACAACGCGAGCUAUUGAUCUACAACAUAAUUUGCAAAAUACUACCAGGACUAAGUUCAUGAUAAAUUUAAGUUCAAUUAAUCAUAUUACUUAAGAACUCCCACUUAGAUAGAUAUCCCUCUAAUCCUCUAAGUGAUCACGUGAUCCAAAUCAACUAAACCAUAACCGAUCAUCACGUGAGAUGGAGUAGUUUUCAAUGGUGAACAUCGUCAUGUUGAUCAUAUCUACUAUAUGAUUCACGCUCGACCUUUCGGUCUCUGUGUUCCGAGGCCAUAUCUGCAUAUGCUAGGCUCGUCAAGUUUAACCUGAGUAUUCUGCGUGUGCAAAACUGGCUUGCACCCGUUGUAGAUGGACGUAGAGCUUAUCACACCCGAUCAUCACGUGGUGUCUGGGCACGACGAACUUUGGCAACGGUGCAUACUCAGGGAGAACACUUCUUGAUAAUUCAGUGAGAGAUCAUCUUAUAAUGCUACCGUCAAUCAAAGCAAGAUAAGAUGCAUAAAAAGAUAAACAUCAUAUGUAAUCAAAAUAUGUGACAUGAUAUGGCCAUCAUCAUCUUGCUUCUUUGAUCUCCAUCUCCAAAGUACUGUCAUGAUCUAUAUCGUCACCGGCAUGACACCAUGAUCUCCAUCAUCUUGAUCUAUAUCAAUGUGUCGUCGUGUGGUCGUCUCACCAACAAUUGCUCUUGCAACUAUUGCUAUCGCAUAGCGAUAAAGUAAAGCAAUUACUGGACGCUUGCAUCUCAUGAAAUAGAGAGACAACCAUAAGGAUUUUGUCAGUUGCUGAUAACUUCAACAAAACAUGAUCAUCUUAUACAACAACUUAUAACUCAUCACGUUUUGACCAUAUCACAUCACAACAUGCCCUGCAAAAACAAGUUAGACGUCCUCUACUUUGUUGUUGCAAAUUUUACGUGGCUGCUACGGGCUUAGCAAGAACCAAUCUUACCUACGCAUCAAAACCACAACGAUAGUUUGUCAAAUAGACUCCGUUUUAACCUUCGCAAGGACCGGGCGUAGCCACACUCGGUUCAACUAAAGUUGGAGAAACAGUCACCCGCAAGUCACCUAUGUGCAAAGCACGUCGGGGAAACCGGUCUCGCGUAAGCGUACGCGUAAUGUCGGUCCGGGCCGCUUCAUCCAACAAUACCGCGGAACCAAAGUAUGACAUGCUGGUAGGCAGUAUGACUUAUAUCGCCCACAACUCACUUGUGUUCUACUCGUGCAUAUAACAUCAAACCAUAAAACCUAGGCUCGGAUGCCACUGUUGGGGAACGUAGUAAUUUCAAAAAUUUCCUACGCACACGCAAGAUCAUGGUGAUGCAUAGCAACGAGGGGGAGAGUCUGAUCUACGUACCCUUGUAGAUCGCAACGGAAGCGUUGACACAACGUAGAGGAAGUAGUCGUACGUCUUCUUCCUGAUCCGACCGAUCCAAGCACCGUUACUCCGGCACCUCCGAGUUCUUAGCACACGUUCAGCUCGAUGACGAUCCUCGGGCUCCGAUCCAGCAAAGCGUCGAGGAAGAGUUCCGUCAGCAUGACGGCGUGGUGACGAUCUUGAUGUACUACCGAUGUAGGGCUUCGCCUAAGCACUACAACGGUAUGAUCGAGGUGGAAUUUGGUGGCAGGGGGCACCGCACACGGCUAAGGAACGAUCUCAAGGAUCAACUUGUGUGUCUAUGGGGUGCCCCCUGCCCCUGUAUAUAAAGGAUGGAGGAGGAGGAGGCCGGCCAAGGCAAAGGUGCGGCCAGGAUAGGGAGUCCUACUAGGACUCCAAGUCCUAGUAGGAGUCCACCAAAAGGGGAGGAAGGGAGAAGGAAUAGGAGGAGAAGGAGAGGUGGCCGGCCCCCUUUUCCCUAGUCCAAUUCGGACCAAAGGGGAGGGGGGCGCAGCAGCCUUUUCCUCUUCCCACUAAAGCCCAUCAAGGCCCAUUACUUCUCCCGUAACUACCCGGUACUCCGAAAAAUACCCGAAUCACUCCGAACCUUUCCGAUGUCCAAAUAUAGUCGUUCAAUAUAUCGAUCUUUACGUCUCGACCAUUUCAAGACUCCUCGUCAUGUCCCCGAUCUCAUCCGGGACUCCGAACUCCUUCGGUACAUCAAUACUCAUAAACUCAUAAUUUAACUGUCAUGGAAACCUUAAGCGUGCGGACCCUACGGUUCGAGAACAAUGUAGACAUGACCGAGACACGUCUCCGGUCAAUAACCAAUAGCGGGACCUGGAUGCCCAUAUUGGCUCCUACAUAUUCUACGAAGAUCUUUAUCGGUCAGACCGCAUAACAACAUACGUUGUUCCCUUUGUCAUCGGUAUGUUACUUGCCCGAGAUUCGAUCGUUGGUAUCCAAUACCUAGUUCAAUCUCGUUACCGGCAAGUCUCUUUACUCGUUCUAUAAUACAUCAUCCCACAACUAACUCAUUAGUUGCAAUGCUUGCAAGGCUUAAGUGAUGUGCAUUACCGAGAGGGCCCAGAGAUACCUCUCCGACAAUCGGAGUGACAAAUCCUAAUCUCGAAAUACGCCAACCCAACAUCUUCCUUUGGAGACACCUGUAAUGCUCCUUUAUAAUCACCCAGUUACGUUGUGACGUUUGGUAGCACCCAAAGUGUUCCUCCGGCAAACGGGAGUUGCAUAAUCUCAUAGUCAUAGGAACAUGUAUAAGUCAUGAAGAAAGCAAUAGCAACAUACUAAACGAUCGGGUGCUAAGCUAAUGGAAUGGGUCAUGUCAAUCAGAUCAUUCAACUAAUGAUGUGACCUCGUUAAUCAAAUAACAACUCUUUUGUCCAUGGUUAGGAAACAUAACCAUCUUUGAUUAAUGAGCUAGUCAAGUAGAGGCAUACUAGUGACACUUUGUUUGUCUAUGUAUUCACACAUGUAUUAUGUUUCCCGUUAAUACAAUUCUAGCAUGAAUAAUAAACAUUUAUCUUGUGCUUGUGAUCUCCAUCUCCGAAGCACCUUCAUGAUCACCAUCGUCACCGGCGCGACACCUUGAUCUCCAUCGUAGCAUCGUUGUCGUCUCGCCAAUCUUAUGCUUCCACGACUAUCGCUACCGCUUAGUGAUAAAGUAAAGCAUUACAACGCGAUUGCAUUGCAUACAAUAAAGCGACAACCAUAUGGCUCCUGCCAGUUGCCGAUAACUUGGUUACAAAACAUGAUCAUCUCAUACAAUAAAAUUUAGCAUCAUGUCUUGACCAUAUCACAUCACAACAUGCCCUGCAAAAACAAGUUAGACGUCCUCUACUUUGUUGUUGCAUGUUUUACGUGGCUGCUACAGGCUUAAGCAAGAACCAAUCUUACCUAUGCAUCAAAACCACAACGAUAGUUUGUCAAGUUGAUGCCGUUUUAACCUUCGCAAGGACCGGGCGUAGCCACACUCGGUUCAACUAAAGUUGGAGAAACAGUCACCCGCAAGCCACCUUUGUGCAAAGCACGUCGGGAGAACCGGUCUCGCGUAAGCGUACGCGUAAUGUCGGUCUGGGCCGCUUCAUCCAACAAUACCGCCGAACCAAAGUAUGACAUGCUGGUAGGCAGUAUGACUUAUAUCGCCCACAACUCACUUGUGUUCUACUCAUGCAUAUAACAUCAAACCAUAAAACCUAGGCUCUGAUACCACUGUUGGGGAACGUAGCAAUUUCAAAAAAUUUCUACGCACACGCAAGAUCAUGGUGAUGCAUAGCAACAAGAGGGGAGAGUGUUGUCUAGAAGCGUUGACACAACGUAGAGGAAGUAGUCGUACGUCUUCCCGAUCCGACCGAUCCAAGCACCGUUACUCCGGCACCUCCGAGUUCUUAGCACACGUACAACUCGAUGACGCUCCCCGGGCUCCGAUCUAGCAAAGCUUCGGGGAUGAGUUCCGUCAGCACAACGGCGUGGUGACGAUGAUGAUGUUCUACCGACGCAGGGCUUCGCCUAAGCACUACAACGAUAUGACCGAGGUGGAAUAUGGUGGAAGGGGGCACCGCACACGGCUAAGGAACGAUCACGUUGAUCAAUUGUGUGUUCUAGGGUGCCCCCUUGCCUCCGUAUAUAAAGGAUCCAAGGGAGAGGGGUUCGGCCGGCCCUAUGGAGGCGCAGGAGGAGUCCUACUCCUAUCGGGAGUAGGACUCCCCCCCUUUUCCUUGUCCAAGUAGGAUUGGUGGAGAAGAAUGGGAAAGAGGGGGGCGCCGCCCCUCCCUCCUUGUCCAAUUCGGACUAGGGGGAGAGGGGGCGUGCGGCCUGCCCUGGCAGCCCCUUCCUCUUCUCCACUUUAGGCCCAUGAGGCCCAUUAACCCCCCGGGGGGUUCCGGUAACCCCCCGGUGCUCCGAUUUUAUCCGAAACUUCAUCGGAACCCUUCCGGUGUCCGAAUAUAGUCAUCCAAUAUAUCAAUCUUUAUGUCUUGACAAUUUUGAGACUCCUCGUCAUGUCCGUGAUCACAUCCGGGACUCCGAACUAACUUCGGUACAUCAAAAUGUAUAAACUUAUAAUAACUGCCAUCGUAACGUUAAGCGUGCGGACCCUACGGUUCGAGAACAAUGUAGACAUGGCCGAGACACGUCUCCGGUCAAUAACCAAUAGCGGGACCUGGAUGCCCAUAUUGGCUCCUACAUAUUCUACGAAGAUCUUUAUCGGUCAGACCGCAUAACAACAUACGUUGUUCCCUUUGUCAUCGGUAUGUUACUUGCCCGAGAUUCGAUCGUCCGUAUCCAAUACCUAGUUCAAUCUCGUUACCAGCAAGUCUCUUUACUCGUUCCGUAAUACAUCAUCUCGCAACUAACUCAUUAGUUGUAAUGCUUGCAAGGCUUAUGUGAUGUGCAUUACCGAGAGGGCCCAGAGAUACCUCUCCGACAAUCGGAGUGACAAAUCCUAAUCUCGAAAUACGCCAACCCAACAUCUACCUUUGGAUACAUCUUUAGAGCACCUUUAUAAUCACCCAGUUAUGUUGUGACGUUUGGUAGCACACAAAGUGUUCCUCCGGCAAACGGGAGUUGCAUAAUCUCAUAGUCAUAGGAACAUGUAUAAGUCAUGAAGAAAGCAAUAGCAACAUACUAAACGAUCGGGUGCUAAGCUAAUGGAAUGGGUCAUGUCAAUCAGAUCAUUCAACUAAUGAUGUGAUCUCGUUAAUCAAAUAACAACUCUUUGUUCAUGGUUAGGAAACAUAACCAUCUUUGAUUAACGAGCUAGUCAAGUAGAGGCAUACUAGUGACACUUUGUUUGUCUAUGCAUUCACACAUGUAUUAUGUUUCCGGUUAAUACUAUUAUAGCAUGAAUAAUAAACAUUUAUCAUGACAUAAGGAAAUAAAUAAUAACUUUGUUAUUGCCUCUAGGGCAUAUUUCCUUCACUUAGGGCCUUGGAUGAGAACUGGCAUCAUAAUGAACUUCCGCUUCAUGCACAUCCAAGGAGGAAGGUUAUACAUACAUAGAGUCACGGGCCAGGUGCUGUGAUUGCUGCUCUGCUCCCCUAUAGGAUUAAUGCCAUCCAUGCUUAAAGCAAACCAUACAUUCCAUGGGUCGUUUGCAAACUCAUCCCAGUACUUUCUCUCGAUUUUUCUCCACUGCGACCCGUCAGCGGGUGCUCUCAAUUUUCCGUCUUUCUUCCGGUCCUCACUGUGCCAUCGCAUCAACUUGGCAUGCUCUUCGUUUUUGAAUAGACGUUUCAACCGUGGUAUUAUAGGAGCAUACCACAUCACCUUCGCAGGAACCCUCUUCUUGGGGGGCUCACCGUCAACGUCACCAGGGUCAUCUCGUCUGAUCUUAUACCGCAAUGCACCGCAUACCGGGCAUGCAUUCAGAUCCUUGUAUGCACCGCGGUAGAGGAUGCAGUCAUUAGGGCAUGCAUGUAUCUUCUCCACCUCCAAUCCUAGAGGGCAUACGACUUUCUUUGCUGCGUAUGUACUGUCGGGCAAUUCGUUAUCCUUUGGAAGAUUCUUCUUCAAUAUUUUCAGUAGCUUCUCAAAUCCUUUGUCAGCCACAGCAUUCUCUGCCUUCCACUGCAGCAAUUCCAGUACGGUACCGAGCUUUGUGUUGCCAUCUUCGCAAUUGGGCUACAACCCUUUUUUGUGAUCCUCUAACAUGCGAUCGAACUUCAGCUUCUCCUUUUGACUUUCGCAUUGCGUCCUUGCAUCGACAAUGACCCGGCGGAGAUCAUCAUCAUCGGGCAGAUCGUCUGGUUCCUCUUGAUCUUCAGCAGCUUCACCCGUUGCAGCAUCAUUGGGCACAUCGUCUGUUUCCUCUUGAUCUUCACCAGCUCCCUCCAUUGCAGCAUAACCGUAUUCAGGGGGCACAUAGUUGUCAUCGUACUCUUCUUCUUUGCCAUCUUCCAUCAUAACACCUAUUUCUCCGUGCCUCGUCCAAACAUUAUAGUGUGGCAUGAAACCCUUGUAAAGAAGGAGGGGGUGAAGGAUUUUCCGGUUAGAGUAAUACCUCGUAUUCCCACAUUCAGUGCAUGGACAACACAUAAAACCAUUCUGCUUCUUUGCCUCAGCCGCACCGAGAAACUCAUGCACGCCCUUAAUGUACCCGGAGGUGUGUCUGUCACCGUACAUCCAUUGCCAGUUCAUCUACGUGCAUUAUAUAUAAUUAAGUGUCCAAAUUAAUAGAAGUUCAUCAUCACAUUAAAACCAAAGUACAUACAUAGUUCUCAUCUAACAACAUAUAGCUCUCCAGAGCAUCUAAUUAAUUAAACCAUACAUUGAAACUAUGUAAAACAUUUCAAUGCGAAAACAAAUGCGAUCAUAAUUGCAACCAAGGUAACAAUUGAUCCAACGGCAUAAUGAUACCAAGCCUCGGUAUGAACGACAUAUUUUCUAAUCUUUCUAAUCUUCAAGCGCAUUGCAUCCAUCUUGAUCCUGUGAUCAUAGACGACAUCCGCAACAUGCAACUCCAAUAUCAUCUUCUCCUCCUCAAUUUUUUUAUUUUUUCCUCCAACAAAUAGUUUUCUUCUUCAACUAAAUUUAGCCUCUCGGCAAUAGGGUCGGUUGGCAUUUCCGAUUCACAUACAUCCUACAUAAAUAAAAUCUAUGUCACGUUGAUCGGCAUAAUUUUCAUAAACAAUAAAUGAACCAAUAGUUAUAAAGAUAAUAUAUAUACCACAUUCGAAUCAUAGACAGGACGAGGGCGACGGGGGCGGAUACCAAAACCAUCGCACUAUAUAAGAUGCAAUAAUAAAAGUAAGAAAAUAAUACAAGUAUCUAUGUAAACAUACAAGUAAGAAUAUUUUUCCUUUCAGAAAGAAGAUAAGAACAAGAGGCUCACCAUGGUGGUGCCGGCAAGGCCCACCUUGGUCCAUGCGGGGAUGCACAAAAUAAGCUAUGUGCGGCCCAUGCGGGGAAUUUUGGUUACGCAUGGCCCAUACAUAUGGUGAUCCAGCCGUACGUGACCAAAUAGGAUGGACGGACAAACGAAAACGGACAAAAAUUAGGGACCAACCAAUUAGUACCACCUCGCGUAUAUGUUUUAUAUUUAAACUGAAAGCGUAAAUUUUCAUGAAAAGAAAUGUACUGUGACGGUGAACCCGACAAAGUCAAUCCGUGCUUUAUUAUUAGGGAAAGAUAUACUAAUUGGAGGCACCUUUGGAGCGUCUACGUUAAUCCACGUCAUUAAGAUUAAUAUAGCCGUUUGAUAUUAAAUUUAAUGGUUAAGAUAUGCUAGAAGACUAUGCCUUAUUAUAGAAGAAAACAACAUGUACGUAGGGAUGAAAUCCACGCAUACAAAAAAAAACUCAUGUAAAGAAAAAUCAAUUCUCACCACAUAGAUGAAACUCAUUAAACUUGCACAUGCAAAAAAAGUCCUAAGCUCCCACGUCCAUGAAAGAUUAGACAUGCACAUAAAAAAAGAGUCCUAAAUGCCCACGCCCAGGUUCCAAGAAAAAGUACGUGCCUACUCCUUGCAAAAAGAGGACGCGUGGCAAAACUAAAAAAUAUGAAUAUAAUCAUCUCAAUCUCUUUCUAAUAAUAAAAUAUGAAUUGAUUUUGUCAGGUUCGUCGUCACAAUACACUUUUUCCUGUAAAUUUACGCUUUCACUUUGAAUUUAAAACAUAUAGGUGAGGUGGUACUAAAAAACUGUUCAUUGGUCGCGUACGUCAAUUAGUAUAAGUCGCUUUUUUUAGUCCCUCCGGCUCGCUAGACUGGGCCGUGUUGAUCAUUCCCGUGAUGACUGAACUGGGCCUGGUCAAAAAGAAAAAAAACGAUGCAAAAAAUAAUUCCCCAUGAGCUUCGAACCAAGACGAAGGCCCUCAGUCACAAAGGAGAACGCCAACUAGAUUGCUCUAUUUUGUUCUGCCAAAUUGUGUCCCUGUAGAUAUAAUAGUCCCACAUCGCUUCUUUGCACUGUAUCUUAUCGAUUUUUAUACAUCGGCGGACUUGUCCUAGCAGAAGUUAAUUGGAAGAGGAAGCAAGGAAUAAAGAACGAACGCAGGAGGAAUUUGGCCAGAAGAAACAAGGUCGGGGAGCGUGAGGUUUAUGGUGAAUAUUCAGAGAACGGCAGCUGCAUUGUUCGAAUUUAGUCUAUCUUUGGACAUGUCUUUUCCGGGGAUUCGACACCAUGUUUUGUGCGCGAAUGGUUUUAUUAGGGUUUUUGACUGUUCCAAGUUAGAAGAGGCCAGAGUUUUCUCUGGUUCUUCAGUGGCCUGAAGCAACCAUGCUUACGCUUUUUUUUUUCAACCAUUCAUUGCCCAUUUUCAUUAAUUUCUUAAAGAAAAUACAUCAACCGUCCUUGCAGAAAGAACGAGGCAGCUUCACAGCUGGAAAUCAAGAGUGCGGUGUCCAGUUUUACGGGGAAAAGAAUUCUAUGAGACCAGGUCUCACGCGAGACCCAUCCUAAUGAAUGCCACGUGCUAUCCAUCAGAACGGGUCUCACCUGCUAACCGUGAGACUUGGUCUCAUAUAUUUUUUUUCCGUUUUACGGGGAAGCAUCAUCAGAAAUCUAGCAAAUCAUUCGCAUUAUUCUCUCACAUACAGUACAGAUCCUUCGGAUCGCCACAUCACAGCUGGACUUCAUUGCUUUGGGUGUCUAAUUAAGGGCUUGUUCGGUUAAUCCUCUCGCGAAGAGGAUUGGAGGGGAUUGGCAAGGAUUGGUUCGUAUUUUGACUUCUAAGAGGUUUAAGUCCUCCUCAAACCCCUUCAAUCCAUUCGGAUUCACACGCAACCAAACAAGGCCUAAACGGGAUCCGCAUCUGAACUAUUAAGCAGCAAAUGAUAGUGUGCGUGAAACAGGUAGGCAAUGUCAAUGAGGACAAACUGUGAUGAUAUCGUUUGAAAACUCAGCUGUCGUCCGUAGUGUUUGGCAUGUGACAGAUAGAUCCUGUUGAUUGUCUAACGAAAGCCAACGGUGAUGUCAAACUAGACUAUUUUAACAUAGUCGGUAAGACAAAAAUGGGAAACAUAUGUAUAUAUGACUACCGAGAACACGACAUCCAUUGUAUCUCGAUUAAGCAUCUUCAAAUAUUAUUCCUGUCGUGAUAUUGACAACAUUAUUAGUUUGUACUUGAAUGAAUAGUCAAGGAACUUUUGAGUGUUCCAAGUUAAACAUCCAAAUUUGUGUCGCAUUUCAGUAUGGGAGGCGCGUAUGACUCUCAAGUUUUUCCGAAUUUGAGUAAUACGGGUCAACUAUUUGCAAAAAUAAAAUAAAAACAUGUUAUCUAGCAUAUGUUUUUACCGUGUUAACACAUUCACAAUUAUUCCAUUUUGAAAAAAGGUACCUAGGUGGUAAAUGAACUACAAACCUUGCUCGACAUAUAUCGAGAAAUAUGUAUUGACAUACACAACAGAGAAAAUAAAUCAAAAUACAUUGCGCAGAACAUUGACAAUAAAUUAGUUGGUGAAAUUAGACAAUUUAGUUGGUGAACUUAGAAAAUUGUUACAUAAGGCUCCAACUUAAUUUCUCAGCAGUUGGAUCAGUUUUUUUUUUUGAGGACCAUGGAAAUACUGAAACCAUGGUUGAUACAAACUCCCCUCUCACACCUAAACUUUGAGCUAGAUAUUUCCUUUUAGUGAGUUUAGCUACUAAUUUUAAAGGGGUUCGCUAAAUCUCAGUCAAUUGAGAUUUAAUGUAGUCUCAAUCACCUUUCCAAGCCGUUGAAUACAUGCACACUAAGAUUAUGUGCUAGGAAACUUUUCUUUGUUAUUGUGAGGUGGAACGGAAAGAGAUGUGUGUGUGCCUUUCUGGACUAUUCGAAGUGUGCGUGUUUUUCCGAGGAAAGAGCCUACAAUCUACACGAGAAGCUUGUGUUUGGGCCAAGUCCAAACAUAAUAUAAUUUGUCAAACCAAACAACCAACAUUUUCUAAAACCGAAAUCAACAUAGCAAAAACAUGUUUGCUUUCGAAUAUUAAUAAAUAACUGUAUAUAAAUAAUCCCACUUCAAUGCACCACUCCUCUCACACCCGGUGAUAGUGUGAUGUUCGUUGAGGCAACAUCGAAGGACAUGAAUGUAGUUUCAUUAAUCUUUUUCCGAAUUGUGUACACCAAAAAUUGUAUCAUCAUUAACGACGGUGGCAAAAAUGAAAAGUGGCAACAUGAACGAGUCACUGAAAACAUGCGAAGACUUUCUCCUUCCGGUGCAAUGCACGACACAUUAAAUGAUGCAUACAAAGGUUAAAGGGAACCUUCUUUUGAGAAACAAAGACAAACACAGACUCACAAACACGUACAUACAUGAACACCUAGAGAGACUGAGCUGACAAGUCUUGAGAUUGAUGAACACACCACAAGUGUCUCGCUUCGACGCGAACGUCACCAUGCACUGAAAAAAUAUUUCACCUUUGUGAAACAUGAAAUUAAGCGUCAAAGUUAGGUUUUAAUUCUUGCUCUAUUGGGUAUCACCGCCCUGCAAACCAUCCAAUCAGAGAUUGGUUCUCAGGGUUAAAGCGAAACUAACCAAUACAUUUAUUUGAUAUGAAAAAAUGAACCCUUCCAAACCAAGCAAACAACUAUCUCUAAGAAAUCCAACAUAGCAACAAUGCUUUGUAUUCAAAUGUUUUGGAAAUUCUAAAAAAAAACUUUUGGAUUAGUUUUUAAACUCUCGGUUAGUAUAGAACAUUCCAAUGUUUGUAUGUUGCACUAAAAAUAAAUGCACCACUCUUUCACCCGGUGGUAGUGCUAAGCUAAAGGAGUGCCAUCAAAGGACACCACUAUGACUAUCUUAACUCUACUCCAUGAUGCGGACACCAAUAAUCAUUUUUAUUUACCAACACGAAGGCGUUUUUUUAAGAUAGUGAGUGUUUCUAAAUGUUCUUGGUUUCAAAAAAUAUAUUCAUGUUUUAAAUAUGUUUAAACUUUUGAAGAAAUGCUGAAAAUUCCUAAAAAAUGGUUCCAAUUAAAAACCAGCUAUAAUUGUUCAAAAAAUCAUUAAAAAAAAUCAUGAAAUCGCUUGUUUAUAUAAUGUUCGACUUCAAAAAAUAUUCCAAUUCUAGUAAGAAAUUAAAAAAUAGUCGAUUUCUUAAAAAAUAAAGAAAUAUUUGUGUUGUCUUUCAAAAAGCAAAAUAUAUACCGAUUCACAUACUAUUCCAUGCACAACUAUUCUUCCAACAGAUGUGGGAAGUUAGGUUGGUUCUUCAUGUACACACUUCAAGCUCCGAACAAAAAUUAGAGUUUAACAUUAUUACUCUGGUUUAUCAGCCUUUGAUACAAGAAAUGGCACAUGAAGCGCACUUUUAUUUGCCCGUUGCAACGCACGGGCAUUUGUACUAGUAAAUAUCAAUUGAAGGAAUAUCAUUCUGCAAAGGCAGAUUCUUGAAUAGGAUUGUUUCACAACUGCAUCCAUCAAUUUUAAAGUUUACUAUCUAAUAUGAUGCUAGAUAGAUAAAGCCUCAAUUAAGUAUAACAUUGUGUUUGUUGGUUAAGUUAGGAGCACUUACUAAUGUACUAAAAGAGAAAUAUAUAUUAUAUAUGGUUUGAGUACCAUUGUAGUAGUGGUGCAUAUACAUACGCGCACCACCUACUAUAUAUCGAAAUAAUUCAUACUCGCUUUCUCCCUUAUAUAUAUAGUAGGUGGUGUCAAAUUCUUGCUAAUUUGACAUGAAGGCUUCAUUCAGACCAGUGAUGAUACUUUGCGCAACAUAAAUGGGAAAGUAGAGGCACUCUUCCAUAUAAUGAAGUUUAUAAUAUAUGUGUUUAUAUUGUACUAUAAUUGUUUGAAUAACUUACCAUAUGUUCAGAUGUAUGAUAUCUGUAAUUUAAGCGCUUGAAUUUUACAUAUAAAUAUAAUUUUAUUAAUAAAUAUGUACCCAUAUAAUAGCUAGGCCGUGUAGUUGCACGGGUAGAUGACUAGUGAUUACAAUCUUGUUUGUGAGCAAGUCAAGAUUAUCUAGUUUACACGUAACAACUUGUAGAACAUUACAAAAAUUAUGCUUGCUAAUAACUUCUAGAACACUACAACACUUGACAUGUAAAAGGAAUUUGAUGAGUCAUGGCCUACUAAAGCAAGUUACAUUACUACUCUUAUCUAUCUUAACAGACCACACAAGAUUACAAACUAAGUACCGUGACAGCCAUGCUUAUCUAAUUUAUGCGUAACAAUUUGCGGAAAAUUACAAAUUUAGUUUUAGAAAAAUAGGCAAUCUAGAUUAGUGUUUGAGCUGUAAUGUGAAUAAGAUGAGUCGUGCGUCUUGUCACACCUUUUUGGUGGUGGAAUGAUAGUGCAACAACAAGGAACUUUAAUGACCAGUCCAAGAAUACACUUGUAAGUAGUGCCACCAAACAGAACAUACCAAAUUAUGAUUUUGAGAAGAAUCCAAGCACUUUCCACACAAGCAAAUGCCAAUUGUGAAAGAGAUCAUUCCAUGGCAGCUAUAAAUAGCCCCAUAGCAUGACGCUCAUCCUUCCUCAUCCAUCAUUCUCAUAAGUAGAGUGCAUCAUUUAAGCCAAGCAAGCUGUGGUCAAUACAAAUCCACCAUGAAGACCUUUCUCAUCCUUUCCCUCCUUGCUAUCGUGGCAACCACCGCCACAACUGCAUUUAGAAUUCUAGUGCCACAAUUGCAGCCACAAAAUCCAUCUUAGCAACAACCACAAGAGCAAGUUCCAUUGGUACAACAACAGCAAUUUCUAGGGCAGCAACAACCAUUUCCACCACAACAACCAUAUCCACAGCCGCAACCAUUUCCAUCACAACAACCAUAUCUGCAGCUGCAACCAUUUCCGCAGCCGCAACCACCAUAUUCGCAGCCGCAACCAUUUCGACCACAAUAACCAUAUCUCCACAACCGCAACCACAGUAUUCGCAACCACAAUAACCAAUUUCGCAGCAGCAACAACAACAACAACAACAACAACAACAACAAAUCCUUCAACAAAUUUUGCAACAACAACUGAUUCCAUGCAUGGAUGUUGUAUUGCAGCAACACAACAUAGCGCAUGGAAGAUCACAAGUUUUGCAACAAAGUAGUUACCAGCUGUUGCAAGAAUUGUGUUUUCAGCACCUAUGACAGAUCCCUGAGCAGUCGCAGUGCCAAGCCAUCCACAAUGUUGUCCAUGCUAUUAUUCUGCAUCAACAACAAAAACAACAACAACAACAACAACAAAAACAACAACCAUCGAGCCAGGUCUCCUUCCAACAGCCCCAGCAACAAUAUCCAUCAGGCCAGGGCUCCUUCCGGCCAUCUCUGCAAAAUCCACAGGCCCAGGGCUCGGUCCAGCCUCAACAGCUGCCCAGUUCGAGGAAAUAAGGAACCUAGCGCUACAGACGCUACCUGCAAUGUGCAAUCUCUACAUCCCUCCAUAUUGCACCAUCGCGCCAUUUGGCAUCUUCGGUACUAACUGAGAAGAAAAUAACUCUAGUACUAGAUAUAUGAAACACCGUUUUCUUAGUCCAUGGUUUGGUCAUUGUAGCGGUGAAAAAAUAAAGUGACAUGCACUACCAUGUAAGAACUCGAACUAUACUAGUUCAAACUUGGGAAUAAAAGACAAACACAGGUCUUGUCUACAUAUUUAUGUUGCAUUUAUCUAAAGAUAACAAAAUGAGUCUAAAAUUUGAAUUAAAUUGAAGUAUUUUCUUGGACUUUCAAAUUGAGUAUUAUUAACGUAGUAAGGACUAUCCUCAUCCUUGGCCUGCCCCUAAUCAAUUAUUUCCAGAGAAGCAUUCAAUUCAUCAAUCAAUUACAUUGAUUUUUGUGGCUGGUACUUCUCCUCAACAUCAGUAUAUUCACCGUGGCUACUCCAAAUCGGCAAGAAUGAGGUACCGGUGCUCUGGAGCAGUGCCAACUAAUUGCUUCUCAUGUGAAGGGGUGCGGGCGCGGGAGAGGUAUUUCUGGUGGGCCAAGGGAGUAAGAAGCCACCGUGGGAGUGGUACAGACGCCCGUAAAGCCCCAUAGUUUCUUUUUGGUUUACAGGAAAAUGCACAUCCAUACCGGCCUGGGGAGUAUAGGACCGUAUUGGAUGGAAAACCAUGUCCGGAUGGUUGCGAGCGGUUUGAGGGUUAGCUUUUGUAACGCCCGGUUAGUUAUGCUAUAGCAAUUCCCUGCUAAUGAUGUCACGUCACCAAGAUUACUGUUGUUAUCCUCACAAUGAUUCAAUGCCAUUCUAAUUCAAAUUUAAAAUAAAGGCAAGCAUCAAAAGUUUUCAAACAUUAAAACUAAAAUCUUUGAGAGGUAACAAAUAAUGCAUAAGUAAUUAUGGUGGAGAAACCACACUUUAAUAAAAUGUUUAAAUACUCUAAAAUGAAAAAAACAGUGGCUUAAACUAUUAUUUAAAUGCUUUUAAAAUAGUAAAAAUGUUCUAACUAAAUUAAUUGGGUACCAACCUUUUGGUGGCAGUGGUAUAUUUAGUAGAACUAAUUUAGAUGCUAGUUAUAUGAUUUAGAAAAUUAGGGUCAAUUGAAAAAUAGGAUAAAACAGAGAAGGAAAGACAAAACAAAUAAAAGCAAAAGGGGGCAACCCCUCACUGGCCUUGGCCUAGCUGGCCACUGGGCUAGCUAGGUCGGCCCCGCCGCCUCCCUUAACCCCCUGUCGGUGUCGAAACCGGUGGAUGGUACCAUGAGUAGAUCUACCACGAGAUCGGAGAGGCUAAACCCUAGAGGCUAGCCUAUGAUAUGAUUGUAUGUGUCCUACGGACUAAAACCCUCCGGUUUAUAUAGACACCGGAGAGGGUUAGGGUUACACAAGGUCGGUUACAAAGGAGGAGAUAUCCAUAUCCGUAUUGCCUAGCUUGCCUGCCACGCCAAGUAGAGUCCCAUCCGGACACGGGACGAAGUCUUCAAUCUUGUAUCUUCAUAGUGCAACAGUCCGAAAAAGGAUAUAGUCCGGCUGUCCGGAGACCCCCUAAUCCAGGACUCCCUCAGUAGCCCCUGAACCAGGCUUCAAUGACGAUGAGUCUGGCGCGCAGUAUUGUCUUCGACAUUGCAAGGCGGGUUCCUCCUCCGAAUGCAUCACAGAAGAAUUUGAAUACGAGGAUAGUGUCCGACCCUGCAACAUAAGUUCCACAUAAUUCCAUACAGAGAAUAAUAUUUUCGCAAAUCUAAUUUGCUUACUUGUUUUGACAGUACGACAUUAUGUCAUGGCCCGGUGAUUAUUCGAACCGUUUCCUUUAACUAGCCCCGCACAUAACGCGAGGCAGUUUUUCGACAUGUCUUGUCAAAGCAGAGAUCGUGUCCCCUUAUUACUGGAUUCUCAUCAAUACGGGCGUGGGUAACCCAACCGCGCCAUCGAUUGCGGCACUUGGGGGAUGAGCUAUUUUUACCUGGCAAGUGGGGACGCUUAGUUUCGUCCGCCCAUAUAAAGGGAUAAGGAUUCACCUUUCUAUCCAUGCCUUCUUCCUCCUUUGCUCAUCCGUUUUUGCACACUCGAGCUCUAGCGCCCAAGUUCGCACUUCCCACCUCAACCUUCUCCAACCAUGUCCCGAGCGGGAGGCAGGUGGAUGGUAUCCUCCGUCACGGAUGGAGACAUCAAGAAGCUGAGGAGCGCCGGAUACCUGCCUGACGACAUCGCGCACCGGCUCCCAGAUGAGGGGCAGCUCACCCCCACCCCCAGGCCCCAUGAGAGGGUAGUGUUCCUCACCCAUUUCCUCCGCGGACUGGGAUUCCCUCUCCACCCAUUUGUCCCGGGGCUCAUGUUCUAUUACGACCUGGAUUUCCAUGAUCUGGCCCCGAACUUCAUCCUCAACAUCUCGGCGUUUAUCGUUGUGUGCGUGGCCUUCCUCCGCAUCAAGCCCCACUUCGGCUUAUGGUUGAAGACCUUUAAUGUCAAGCCGAAGGUUGUGGGCGACCGCCAGGCGGAGUGCGGAGGCGCCAUGGUGGGCAAGAUGCCCAACGUAACAUGGCUCGAGGGCUCUUUUGUGGAAACCAUAAAGGGGUGGCAAUCGGGUGGUUCUACAUCACCGAGCCGCGUGACCCUGCAUGGGCAGCGGCCCCCCGAGUUCUGAUCUGGCAUCCCCACGCGGCUCACCUCCUGGAAAGAGAAGGGCCUGUCCUGGGGUAGUUUGGAAGAGCUGACCAGACUCCAAACAUGUAUUCAAAACAUGGUGAACAAGAAGCUCAAACUCGUCAACGUGGUCCAGGUCAUGCUCCACCGCCGGAUCCUCCCGUGCCAAUAACGGGAGUUCAACUUGUGGGAGUACAACCCAGCGCAGCACCGAACUCUGAACAGGCUUUUCGACACAACUCACGAAGAUGCCUCGAGGGUGCUGUUCAAAAUCACCAAGGUCCCCCUCCCAUUACUGAGGAUCACGGAUUCAGCGUGAAGCGCCAAGCCAGUGCGGCAGGCUGCUUUACCUUUCACAGGCUACUUAUUUUUUAUAGAUUGACUCCAUGCGGGAUCUAAACUCCCGUACCUUUGACAGGACUGGCAGGAGAUGGCCGGACAGAUCGACUGUCCGGCUCCUAUGCCCGAAGGCCCAGCAGACGCUCUUCUAGCGAAGAUGCUGACUUCGGCUCCUUAUACGGUGCCGGAGAAGACCAAGAAGGACAAGGGAACCCGAAAGAGUUCCCGACGCCAGGCGUCGUCGGACUCACCGUCCGAUGACUCUGCGGCGCACUCCUCCCCCGAAGACGAGGAAGAGGAAGAAGACGCUCCCUCUCUGGCUGGGGGAGAUAAGAAAAGGAAGGCCGCCCCAACUGGGGGGGCGGAAGGGUCCAAGAAGGGAAGGAAUCUCCUUCCGGAUAGUUGCACCGCUGCCGACGAAGGCGAAGACGAGGGGUUGCCCAGGGCCAAGCCCCUGGGGAGAUCGUAAGUAUUCAGAUACCAGAGUAACUCAUAGCAUUCCUUUGUCGCACUGCUUUCCCUAACGUCAAACAUAAUUAUGCAGGUCGCCAUGAGCCAGUAUCGAUGUGUGACGCCCGGAUAAUCAUGCUACAGUAAUCCCACGCUAAUCAUGCCACGUCACCUCGGUUACUGUUGCUAAUCUAUCGUUAGGUCAAAGCUGGUCCAAAAUUCAAAUUCAAAGUUUGGUAAAUAAUAACAGUUUUCAAAAAUUAAAACAAAAAUGUUCGGUGAUUGCCGAAUAAUGCAUAGGUAAUUAUGGUGGAGAAACCACACUUUUAUAAAAUGUUUAAAUAAUCUAAAAUGAAUAAAACAGUAGAAAAACCAAAUCUAAAUGCUUUUAUAAAUAAAUAAAACACUAAACUAAAUUGUUUUGGGAUAAAGCCUUUUGUGGCAGUGGGUUUCGUGGUAUUACAAUUUUAGAGUUCAUUUUAAUACUAAGUAAGAAGUAUAAUUAAGAGAAACUAAAAUAAAGAACAGAAAAAAAAGAAUAAAUAAAAGGAAAAGAAAACACAAAACAGAAAAGAAAACUACCAAAAAAAUAUGGUAAAAGGAGACCCCCCCCACUGGACCCCUUGGCCCAACUGGGCCAUGGCCCAGCCGGCCACCCCCNNNNNNNNNNNNNNNNNNNNNNNNNNNNNNNNNNNNNNNNNNNNNNNNNNNNNNNNNNNNNNNNNNNNNNNNNNNNNNNNNNNNNNNNNNNNNNNNNNNNNNNNNNNNNNNNNNNNNNNNNNNNNNNNNNNNNNNNNNNNNNNNNNNNNNNNNNNNNNNNNNNNNNNNNNNNNNNNNNNNNNNNNNNNNNNNNNNNNNNNNNNNNNNNNNNNNNNNNNNNNNNNNNNNNNNNNNNNNNNNNNNNNNNNNNNNNNNNNNNNNNNNNNNNNNNNNNNNNNNNNNNNNNNNNNNNNNNNNNNNNNNNNNNNNNNNNNNNNNNNNNNNNNNNNNNNNNNNNNNNNNNNNNNNNNNNNNNNNNNNNNNNNNNNNNNNNNNNNNNNNNNNNNNNNNNNNNNNNNNNNNNNNNNNNNNNNNNNNNNNNNNNNNNNNNNNNNNNNNNNNNNNNNNNNNNNNNNNNNNNNNNNNNNNNNNNNNNNNNNNNNNNNNNNNNNNNNNNNNNNNNNNNNNNNNNNNNNNNNNNNNNNNNNNNNNNNNNNNNNNNNNNNNNNNNNNNNNNNNNNNNNNNNNNNNNNNNNNNNNNNNNNNNNNNNNNNNNNNNNNNNNNNNNNNNNNNNNNNNNNNNNNNNNNNNNNNNNNNNNNNNNNNNNNNNNNNNNNNNNNNNNNNNNNNNNNNNNNNNNNNNNNNNNNNNNNNNNNNNNNNNNNNNNNNNNNNNNNNNNNNNNNNNNNNNNNNNNNNNNNNNNNNNNNNNNNNNNNNNNNNNNNNNNNNNNNNNNNNNNNNNNNNNNNNNNNNNNNNNNNNNNNNNNNNNNNNNNNNNNNNNNNNNNNNNNNNNNNNNNNNNNNNNNNNNNNNNNNNNNNNNNNNNNNNNNNNNNNNNNNNNNNNNNNNNNNNNNNNNNNNNNNNNNNNNNNNNNNNNNNNNNNNNNNNNNNNNNNNNNNNNNNNNNNNNNNNNNNNNNNNNNNNNNNNNNNNGCCCCUCGGCGCCCGCUCGGCCCUCUCCUGGGUCGGGCGCCCGUAACGCCCAGCGCCCGUAACCCGCUAUGGCCCCCUGGGCAGUUGACAGAUGGGGCCCACGCCCCUGUCUUGUUAGAAAAAAAAACGAAAAGAAAAUGUAAUUAAAAAAAUGAAAAUAAGUAAUUAGUUAUUUAAUUAAUUAUGUAACUAAUUAAUUAAUUAAAUAAGUAAUUACUUAACUUAAUUAACUCCGUUUAGUACUUAAUUAACUUGAUUAGUUAAUUAAAAUUGUUAAUUAGUUGUUAGACUAUGACGAAUGGGACCCACACGUCAGUUUGACCCAGUCAACGCCCUGUUGACUGCUGACGUCAUGCUGACGUCAGCGUACACUAUUCUGGAUAAUGUUAAUUUAAUUAAUAAUUAAUAAAUUAGAAAAUGAUUUAAAAAUUUAAAAAUUAAUAUAAAUUAAACCGUAGCUCAGAUGAAAAAACUUUGUACAUGAAAGUUGCUCAGAACGACGAGACAAAUCUGGAUACACGGCCUGUUUGUUCGUCACGCAUCCCUAGCAUAGCAAACUCGCAACUUUCCCCUCCGGCUCCUCUGCCCGAAAACGCAAAACACCGGGGAUACUUUCCCGGAUGUCAUCCCCCUUCACCGGUAUCACCUAUUACCGCGUUAGGGCACCUCUAACGCCGUUACUUGUCAUGUCAUGCAUCACUAUGCAUAUGCUUGCUUAAAUAUUUAUUAUUUCUUCCCCCUCUUCUCUCGAUAGACACCGAGACCGACGCCGCUGCUACCCAGUACGACUACGCUGUUGACGACCCUCUUUCUUGCCAGAGCAACCAGGCAAGCGCCCCCCUUGAUCACCAGAUAUCGCCUACUCUCUUCUAUACUGCUUGCAUUAGAGUAGUGUAGCAUGUUACUGCUUUCCGUUAUUCCUAUCCUGAUGCAUAGCCUGUCCUUGCUACUACUGUUGUUACCAUUACCUGCUAUCCUACUGCUUAGUAUAGGAUGCUAGUGUUCCAUCAGUGGCCCUACACUCUUGUCCGUCUGCCAUGCUAUACUACUGGGCCGUGAUCACUUCGGGAGGUGAUCAUGGGCAUAUGCUAUAUACUUUACACAGUUACUUUACCUGUGGUACUGUUCGGAGAUGGGGGCUGAAGGGGCAGGUGGUUCCACCCAGGUAGUGGUGGGCCUGGGUUCCCGACGGCCCCCGACUGUUACUUUGUGGCGGAGCGACAGGGCAGGUUCAGACCACCUAGGAGAGAGGUGGGCCUGGCCCUGGUCGGCGUCCGCGGAUACUUAACACACUUAACGAGAUCUGGGUAUUUGAUCUGAGUCUGGCCAUUUGGUCUAUACGCACUAACCAUCUACGCGGGAGUAGUUAUGGGUAUCCCGACGUCGUGGUAUCAGCCGAAGCCUUCGUGACAUCAGCGACUAAGUGGCGCGUGCCGGAUUGGACCGUAAGCCUGCUCUUGUAUUAAGGGGGCUAGUUCUGCUUCCGGCCGCGUUCGCAACGUGCAGGUGUGCAAAGGGCGAUGGGCCCAGACCCCUGCGCCAUAGGAUUUAGACCAGCGUGCUGACCUCUCUGUUGGGCCUAGGUAGGGCUGCGACGUGUUGAUCUUCCGAGGCCGGGCAUGACCCAGAAAAGUGUGUCCGGCCAAAUGGGAUCGAGCGUGUUGGGGUAUGUGGUGCACCCCUGCAGGGAAGUUUAUCUAUUCGAAUAGCCGUGUCCCUCGGUAAAAGGACGACCCGGAGUUGUACUUUGACCUUAUGAUAACUAGAACCGGAUACUUAAUAAAACACACCCUUCCAAGUGCCAGAUACAACCGGUGAUCGCUCUCUCACAGGGCGACGAGGGGAGGAUCAUCGGUUAGGAUUAUGCUAUGCGAUGCUACUUGGAGGACUUCAGUCUACUCUCUUCUACAUGCUGCAAGACGGAGGUUACCAGAAGCGUAGUCUUCGAAAGGACUAGCUAUCCCCCUCUUAUUCCGGCAUUCUGCAGUUCAGUCCACAUAUGAUAGCCUUAUUCCAAUUGAUACCAAUGCAUACAUAUGUAGUGUAGCUCCUUGCUUGCGAGUACUUUGGAUGAGUACUCACGGUUGCUUUCUCCCUCUUUCCCCCCUAUCCCUUCUACCUGGUUGUCGCGACCAGAUGUUGGAGCUCAGGAGCCAGACGCCACCGUUGACGACGACUCCUACUACACCGGUGGUGCCUACUACUACGUGCUGUCCGCUGACGACGACCAGGAGUAGUUUAGGAGGAUCCCAGGCAAGAGGCCUGCGCCUCUUUCGAUCUAUAGCUCAGUUUGUGCUAGCCUUCUUAAGGCAAACUUGUUUAACUUAUGUCUGUACUCAGAUAUUGUUGCUUCCGCUGACUCGUCUAUGAUCGAGCUCUUGUAUUCGAGCCCUCGAGGUCCCUGGCUUGUAAUAUGAUGCUUGUAUGACUUAUUUUAUUUGUAGAGUUGUGUUGUGAUAUCUUUCUGUGAGUCCCUGAUCUUGAUCGUACACGUUUGCGUGUAUGAUUAGUGUACGGUCAAAUCGGGGGCGUCACACGAUGUAUCAUCGGACGGUUCCCUAGGCUCGUCGGACAUGGAUAGCGAUCCAGUCCCGACCCCCACCUCCCCUCAUCCUGCUGACGACGCCGAGGUGCUGUCUCAAGAGGCAUCGGGUCGAGGGGAGACAGUCCUGGAGGCACCUCAAGGCGACCUUCCGGACUCCGGGAGCCGAGGGGACGGGGCCCCUAAGAGCUUCGAGUUCGGCCCUCAGCCGAACACCGCGCUGGAACCUCCAGUGGUUCCGGGCUCGGUCAGGCGGCCUCCUUCUAAGAGGGGCAAGACACCUGUGCCGGUGACCUCUGUCUAUCCAGAGGCGCCGGACAAUCUGCUGGAAGCGCUUCGCAGCGCUUCCAUCGACGAGGAGCACCGCACUAUCAUGAGUGCGGCGAUCCAGAAAGUUUAGUCCGCCAAGAGCGGAUUGACUGAAGCCUGUGCCAGCCUUCUAACAGGCUUUGAGGUAAGUGUUUUAAAAUAUAGGAAAAAUACUACUGCAUAUAUAGUAGCCCCUGAUGCUUUGUUCGGUGUUCAGAAAGAAAAGCCGAACAGAGGAUCAAAUAAUAUCGCAGGACUCUAAUAUAAGUAUGUCAAUAUGCGUAUGCAAGCCUCACUGCUGGCAUCCGCCACACUGACUGCGGAGGUCGCCCUACUGAAGCAGGACCUCGAGAGGUCUAGGAGAGAGCUCGGCCUUGUCAAGAGGCAGCUCGAGGAGAACAAGGGUAAGUAAUACCUUGUCUUUAGAUAUGUAUAUAUAAAAGAAGAAGCGAUUGCAAAAUGACAGGAUCAUCGUACAUUCGCCAGGGGCCACGACCAAGGUGGCAACCCUCAAGCAAGCGCUAACCAAGGCCGAAGAUAACGCGGCCAAGGAGCGCACCGAGUGAGAGAAGCACGAGGCUCGGGUGGGCGAGGUGCAGCAAGAGCUCUAGGCUAUCAUGGUGAAGCACGAGGCAUUGGAGCUUGACUAAAAGACGCGAGAGUCUGAGCUUUCCGCGGCCCUCGAGAGCGCAAAAAGUGCCAAGGCCGAAGCCCAAAGGGGUCUCCAGGCGGGUAUGGCUUUCUAUAUGCAAAGCAAGCAUGUAAAAGUAAAUUACCGAUUACUUACUCGAAUCCGGAGCUCUCCAGGAGCAUUCGCAGAUUUUCCACGCAGCGUGUCCGAUGCCGCACAAUUUUACCAGGCCGAGGAUGGAAGCUCAAUGGAGAAGCUGUUCUGGUAUCAGUAUGCUGAGGCCGGACACCCGGUGCCAAUGAGCGACCAGCUGAAGCAGGUGGUCGAGCUACAUAAGGCGGCCGAUCAGGCCAUGAAGGGCUUUAUAGUCCGGCUGUGGCCUGGCGACGCCCUUCCGAACAGCUUCCUCGGCCUGGUGAGGCGGCUUGUGGAUGCCUGCCCGCGGCUGGAGGUCGUCAAGCGAUCUGUCUACAUUGAGGGUGCACGCCGGGCUUUCGCCCGUGUGAAAUUGCAGUGGGUCAAGCUAGACGCCGUGAAGCUGAUCAAGGAGGGGCCGCCGGAGGGCAAGGAGCACCGCCACCCCGAGAUGUACUACGAGGGUGUUCUGCUGGGUGCCCGUCUCAUAGCGGACGAGUGUUCAAAAGAUGUAAUAUUUGAGUGAGACUUGCUCGUUUUAUCCUGUAUUUAUGAAAACUUGUUUCAUAUGCACUAUGCAACGCUUGUUUGAAUUUAGAAUAUUACCUUCUGUUUGGCCGUUUAUCAAUCUGAGAGAUGGCUAGUCCUCAGCUUCUGCCCCCAUGCCACGAGUGCUGGGGUCUUCGGGAUAAACCUGAGCACUCUUGUUCCCAUAUUUGGGUCCUUGGAGGGAGGUGCUCAGCACAACGAACAAGGAAACCCGACUAAUAAUGCUUUAUCACUCUCACUUAGCGAUAGAAUUCUAUAAUUUUAAAUUUCGGCGAAGCCCCUGGUAUUCGGAAGGCCGAAUUCGGGGCGCGAUACACGCCUUUAAGCCGGACAGGGCCGGCCCCUCGCCCUAAGCGGCAUAAGUCUUUGGGGACUCGAUAACCUCGCCGAACAGCGAUCAGUCUCUCCCCUUAUCAUGACAGUCAGUUUUAGCUUUCUCUACUUAGGUGCCGAACCCAGCAAAACCGGGGCACAAUCGCAGUAGUUCUCCUAGCGCUACCUUAGCCGAUAGAGUGGAACGUAAGGUACCAAAACAUAGGAGCCGGGCAAACCCAACAUUUGACCAAAGACAUGAUUCGGAGCUGAUGCAUAUAAUGCUAUAAGUUUGGGGUGCCGCACUUGUGAAAGUGUUCGGACUUUUCACACCGUAUUGUGGGGUACGUAAGCCCCUGGUGUAUUGGCCGUACCAAAGUGUACGGUUGCAAGGCAUCAUUAAUGAACAUAUAUAUAUAUAUAUAUAUAUAUAUAUAACAAGAGUGCAAUAAUAGUCGUAAUGUCAUGCAUUGUUUAUUCAAAAAAUUACGUUAAAGUAGGGUGAUACAGAUAGUGUGAUAAGCAAAGAGUAGGACUAUGUCCCUUCCCAAGGCAAGCUAAGGAAUGAUAUUAAAUUGAAUAUUUCGCUCGUUACAGUAAUCCACCUAGGAAUUCCGUGGUGUGACGUAGCUAUCUGCCUCCUUGGUUGCUGCAUCGUGUGUUCGGCAAUAGUGCUGCCGGACAGUGUUUCCAGAGGUUAAUGUCCUGAAAAAAAGAGAAAAAUAACCAAACGGGAAGCCCCUAGUGCGGUUUAAGCCGCGUCUUGGGGCGUGCUGCAGUUGUGCCACCCUCCCCACCUGUGCCCAUGGUAUUUUUAAUGCGUAAUUAUGUACGCGUGGCAUGAGUUUCGUCGUUGGGCUGGGAUUGGGGUGGCCGCCUUAUUGCUACGCGAGCUCAGAUCGCGCAAGGCGGUCUAUUUGCCGAUUGCUCCGAGCGCGCUUGAAGGUGUCCGGGCUUUGAAGCGCCGGACUGGUUGAUUGCCUUGAGAGGCUGCUUUGCGCUUCUGCUGCGAGGGCCGCGGUGUGCUCCUCUGUUCGGAGAGAGCACUCUGUGUUUCCAUUGACUGUAAUAACUCCGCGAGGUCCUGACAUCUUGAGCUUGAGGUAUGCAUAGUGCGGUACCGCAUUGAAUCUAGCAAAUGCGGUUCGCUCGAGCAGCGCGUGGUAACCACUGCGGAAUGGGACUAUAUCGAAGAUUAGCUCUUCGCUUCGGAAGUUAUCCGGGGAUCCGAAGACCACUUCCAGUGUAAUUGAGCCUGUGCAAUGGGCCUCUACACCUGGAAUGAGGCCUUUAAAGGUCGUUUUUGUGGGUUUGAUCCUUGAGGGGUCUAUACCCAUUUUGCGCACUAUAUCCUGAUAAAGUAGGUUCAGGCUGCUGCCGCCAUCCAUAAGGACUCGAGUGAGGUGAAAUCCGUCAAUGAUUGGGUCUAGGACUAGUGCGGAAAAUCUACCAUGAUGGAUACUAGUGGGGUGGUCCCUUCGAUCGAAGGUGAUCGGAUAGGAGGACCAAGGGUUGAACUUUGGGGUGACUGGCUCGAACGCAUAUACGUCCAUGAGCGCACGCUUCCGCUCCCUCUUAGGGAUGUGGGUUGCGUAUAUCAUGUUCACCGUCUGCAGUUGCGGGGGAAACCUCUUCUGUCCUUCGAUGUGCGGCUGCCGGGGCUCCUCCUCGUCAUCGCUAUGCGGCCCCUUGUCCUUCUUUUCGGCAAUUAACUUGCGGGCCUGCUUGAACACCCAACAAUCCCUGUUGGUGUGAUUGGCUGGCUUGUCUAGGGUGCCGUGUAUUUGACACGAGCGAUCGAGUAUACGUUCCAAGCUGGAUGGACCUGGCGUACUUUGUUUGAAUGGCUUUUUCCGCUGACCGGGUUUAGAGCCUUUGAAUCCGGCAUUGACUGCCGUAUCCUCGGUAUUUUCGCUGUUAAUGCGGCGGUUAUGUUUGUUGUGACAUGACCUGCUAUUGCCAUCCUUGGUAUCGGAGGUACCAUGGUUCUUUGAUAUGUUAUUACUACGGGCCAGCCAGCUGUCUUCUCCCGCACAAAAGCGGGUCAUGAGCGUCGUGAGAGCUGCCAUAGAUUUCGGCUUUUCCUGACCAAGGUGCCAGGCUAGCCACUCGUCUCGGAUGUUGUGUCUGAAAGCCGCUAAGGCCUCUGCAUCCGGACAGUCGACGAUUUGAUUUUUCUUUGUGAGGAACCAAGUCCAGAAUUGCCUAGCCGACUCUUCUGGCUGCUGAAUUAUGUGGCUCAAGUCAUCGGCGUCUAGUGGUCGCACAUAAGUGCCCUGAAAGUUGUUGAGGAAUGCGGCUUCCAGAUCUUCCCAACAGCUAAUGGAGUCCGCUGGCAAGCUGUUAAGCCAAUGCCGCGCUGGUCCUUUGAGCUUUAGUGGAAGAUAUUUGAUGGCGUGUAAGUCAUCACCGUGGGCCAUGUGGAUGUGGAGGAGGAAAUCCUCGAUCGAUACUGCAGGAUCUGUUGUGCCGUCGUAUGAUUCAAUAUUUACAGGUUUGAAACCUUCUGGGAAUUGAUGAUCCAUUACUUCGUCUCUGAAGCAUAAGGGGUGUGCGGCGCCUCUGUAGUGGGCUAUAUCGCGACGCAGCUCGAAUGGGUCUUGCCCGCUGUGUUCGGCCCGGCCGGAUUUGCUUUUACUGUAUCCGGCGUGACAUUUAUCGUCUCGCAGAGUUGUGCGCCCUCGUGAUCCGUAGAUCGAUCUUGCAUGCUUUGCUUUGUCCUCCAAUAUAUCUCGCAGGUCUGGCGUAUCUCCCCAUGCCUUUUUAUUUGAAUGGCGUCGGGGUGGAGGCUGAGUUUUUGGCUGGACUGCCUCUCUAUCGCGGCCACGAGGUGGCCGAUCCGGGCAGUAACCUGCACUUUGGGUAAUUCUUGGAGGGGUGCUUGAGUUUAUAUUCCUCGGCCGCGAGGACUUCAGUCCAUCUGUUAGUUAAGAGAUCUUGAUCAGCUUGAAGCUGCUGCUGCUUUUUCUUUAGGCUAUUUUCCGUGGCCAUAAGCCGGUGCUUGAAGCGCUCUUGUUCGAUGGGAUCCUCUGGUACAUCGAAUUCAUCAUCGCCGAGGCUUGCCUCGUCUUCGGAGGCGGGCGUGUAAUUGUCAUCCUCCUCCUCUCCGUCUGCCGCUCUUUCAGGAGGGUUGGCUCCUCCAUCCUCCUGCUCUAAAUCUUGCUGGAGGGGAUUAUUGUUGUCUUCGGCACUAUCCGGAGUGUUAUUAUCUCCUGUGCCGGUAUCACCACUUUUGCUUUGGCGGGACUUAGAGCGGCGCCGCUGACAUCGGCGCUUGGGUUGCUUCUUGGAGAGGUCAUCCUCCGUUAUCUCGUCGCCAUUGCCUUCUUUGGGUGUAUCCACCAUGUAUAUGUCGUAUGAUGAUGUGGCUUUCGAGUGCCCUAUGGGCGCUGGUUCAUGUUCAUCUCCUACAUCGUCGUCCAUACCAUCGAUGUCUUCGGAGUCGAAGUCGAGCAUGUCGGUUAAAUUAUCGACAGUGGCUACGAAGUGGGUGGUGGGUGGGCAUCGAAUUUCUUCGUCGUCCGCCUCCCAAUCCUGUUGGCCAUAGUCCGGCCAGGGCUCUCCUGACAAAGAGAGAGACUUUAGUGAAUUCAGAAUGUCACCGAAGGACGAGUGCUGCAAGAUAUCAGCGGCGGCGAAUUCCAUGAUCGGCGCCCAGUCGGAUUCAAUUGGCAGGGGCGCGGACGGUUCGGAGUCCGGAAAAGAGUCCGGCACCUUGGAGUCACGGGCUUUGCAGAGGAUUAGGCUGGUGUUCAACUCGAUCACCGUUGAGACUGCAGCCCCUGAGGCGGUGUCUAGCCACCCGUCCUCGACUGGCGCAGUUGGCUCCGAGCUAAGGGUCAGAGCUGAUGCGGGCGCGGCCUCUGGGGUACUGUCCGGUGGUAGAGCUAGGUCAUACCCAUCGUGACAGUGCAGCGCGCCCGGCUGUGGCUUGAAUCCGUCGAAGAUCAAGUCUCCGAGGAUGUCGGCCGUGUAGUUCAAACUUCCAAAUCUGACCUGAUGGCCAGGGGUGUAGCUUUCAAUCUGCUCCAGAUGGCCAAGCGAAUUAGCCCGUAGUGCAAAGCCGCCGAACACUGGACCGCAUCGUUGUUCAUGAUCGGAGGAGCCAUCGGGCCUAAAGGUGACGACACCGAGGAAAUCUCAAUGGAAGCACCAAUGUCGGUGUCAAAUCCGGCGGAUCUCGGGUAGGGGGUCCCGAACUGUGCGUCUAGGCCGGAUGGUAACAGGAGGCAGGGGACACAAUGUUUUACCCAGGUUCGGGCCCUCUUGAUGGACGUAAAACCCUAUGUCCUUCUUGAUUAAUAUUGAUGAUAUGUGUAGUACAAGAGUAGAUCUACCACGAGAUCAGAGAGGCUAAACCCUAGAAGCUAGCCUAUGGUAUGAUUGUAUACGUCCUACGGACUAAAACCCUCCAGUUUAUAUAAACACCGGAGAGGGUUAGAGUUACACAAGGUCGGUUGCAAAGGAGGAGAUAUCCAUAUCCGUAUUGCCUAGCUUGCCUUCCACGCCAAGUAGAGUCCCAUCCGGACACGGGACGGAGUCUUCAAUCUUGUAUCUUUAUAGUCCAACAGUCCGGCUGUCCGGAGACCCCCUAAUCCAGGACUCCCUCACCCCCACUCCCUAUCGAACCCUAGCCCAAUCGCCCCACCUCCCCCACACCCCCUCGCCAGCCUCCCCACCUCUUGAUCCCAUCUGGAUCGGGGAGGGGAUCACCCCCAUCGACCCCGUCGCCGUCGCCGGAUCGCCCGUCAGCGUCGCCAGGCCUCCUCCCCGCCGCCCGUCUCCGGCUCGCCUCCCCUCUCGCUCCUCUUUCCCGACCCGAUCAGGAUCGUGAACGAGCAAUGAGCGCGACGCCCCCCCUUCAUCGGCGCCAUCACCGUGCGCCACCACCACCGCCUGAAGACCUCGCCGUCGCUGACCUUGUGUCGUCUCCUGGUAUCCCUUCCCGACUCGCGUCCUCAAGCCAGGCCGACCCCCUUCUCGGCAAUGCUGUGAGACGCCCCCCGUUUCCCUCCUCUUUCCACCGUGUUCACCGCGCCGCCUGACGAAGCUACGUACCUAGGGUAGGGGCAUGGACCUGUCCUAAGAGCCCUACCCAAGGACAUCCCUGGAAGAAGUCACCUUUCAAUCGACUUGAAGGUACCCACUCGACGGGUUUAAGACACUCGACCAAGAAGCUACCACUCGACAUGAAGCCAAUCACUCGACUGCCAGGAGAUCUAAAGUCAUUCCACGGGCAAACGGUCGGCUAUUAAGUAGUCUUUAUGGUCAUUAUAGCACUUUAUUACCAGCAUUACCAGUAACGCCCCGCCUUAAUGUACAUUGAACCCUUGGUAACGUAGGCUGGCCGGGGUCCUGGCGCGCUCUAUAUAAGUCACCCCCUCCUCCGAGACAAGGGUUCGCACCUCUAUUGUUCACAUGCCUAUAAUCCAAUCGACCGCCUCCGGGCACUGAGACGUAGGGCUGUUACUUCCUCCGCGAAGGGCCUGAACUCGUACACCUUGGUGUGUUUACAACUUCCCAAUAGCUGAGAUCUAGCCUCUCCAUACACACCCCCCUACAUCACUGUCAGAGUUAGAACCACAAUAGUUGGCGCCCACCGCGGGGCCAGAAUCUUAGCGCUUACUUGGAGAAGUUGCGAUUCUUCUGAUCCCUUUGAUCAUGGUUUCAUGCGGAGUUUUGGUGGAGGGGCGCGAGAUCCGUCUCGGCGCGCUCACAUUCAUCGCCGACGACUCCGCUUGGUUUCAGGAGGCUCCACUCGACAUCGACGUGCUCCCCGUCCGUGGUGCGACGCACUUCCGCGCAUGCGUUCGUGGCGUCCUCCUGCGGCAGCCGUCGACCCAGUAUCGGUCGGCCCUCGUGUCGUCUCCCCGCUCUGUCUCCCUCCGACGCAAGCGCUUUGGUAGGUCGAGACUUUAGAGGUGGGUGAGGCAUGCCGUGGCUCGCCAGUCGGCCGCCCCACAAGUCGCGGCAAUCGAGCCCGACAAAUCCCUCUGCAGCCUGUUCGACUGGCUCCGCGGAGACUUCAUCCGAGUGUGACAGCAGAGACCCAGCGGCUGAGGUUCUGGCGGUCGAUGGGACACACUGUCCUCCCGGUUUCCCUCGCGCUAAUGGAGGCGCGGGUGGGGGCGACCCGUCGCAUCCCCACGAUGAGUAUCUCCCCGAAUGUCUCACGGCAUCGCAGCGAGAGGAACUUCACCGCCGGAACAUAGACGCACUCCACACUCCUAUCGUCGGAGAAACCCCCGAGGCCCGGGCCUUGGAGGACGCGCGCUUGGCUAACUUGGCUGAGCGCACUCGACUGGAGAAUCUCCAGCUAAUACUCGAUGAGCAAGCGCGCCAGUGAGCUCCCGAGUCCAGUCGACGUCAGCUCUUUCCGCCGAUGCAGGUAUAUUGAACCCUAGUUCAGAAUUUGGCCGCCGCGGCCCGUAUAGCAGAGUCAAUUCAGCCCUCCCAGUCAGAGGCUGGCAGGGGCUUGUUGCAGAUCAGAGCAUUGCUCCGGGCGGCGGGGAACCAGAAUUCCGCUGUUUCUCAGUCGCAGAAUAGGAUCCACAGUCGAUCCGUUGCAACAGAUACAGUCCAGUCGGCUCACAGCCCGAGAUCGCCCCCGAGGCGUGAGGGACAUGGAGACCGGCACGAUCAGUACAGAAGAAAUGAGCAGUAUGAUCACCGAUUCGAUCGUGAGGAUCGACGUCGAGUGCCAACCCCUCCCCCGAGGAGUGGGUCAUAUGCGCCUCGAUAGCGAGAUGACAGGCGCCCUCAUAGUGUUGGGCAGAGGAUUCCAGUCGACCCCAGGGACCCAGGCUUUGAUGCGAGAUCCAUCCUUGAUCAAGGUCUGGUUGACAGGAACGGGGCUCACCGAGAAUGCCAGGACAGAGAUGCGCCUGCCAGCAGCAGAGUGCGUGUUUCAGGGACAGAGUGUUUCAGUCGAGCCAUCAGAGCCACAGUGAUUCCUCCCAACUUCAGGUUGGCGACUGGAGUCAGCUAGUUCACCGGUGAGUCUAAGCCUGACACUUGGCUCGAAGAUUACCGAGUGGCUGUACAGAUUGGCAGUGGCAAUGAUGAGGUGGACAUGAAGCAUUUGCCUCUCAUGUUAGAGGGCUCAGCCAGAGCAUGGCUAAAUCAGUUAGUGCCCAGCAGCAUUUACACUUGGGAGGACCUCUCCCGAGUGUUUGUCACAACCUUUGAGGGAACAUGCAAGCGACCUGCAGGCCUUACAGAGUUGCGGUCUUGCACGCAGAAACCGAAUGAAACGCUGAGGGAUUACAUCCAGAGGUGGAUCACAUUGCAUCACACAGUUGAGAAUGUUCCAGAUCAUCAAGCAGUUUGUGCCUUCAAAGAAGGCGUUAAGUACAGAGAAUUGAAUCUGAAGUUCGGUCGAACUGGAGAGAUGUCUCUGAAUCGGAUGAUGGAGAUUGCCACCAAAUACGCUAAUGGUGAAGACGAAGAUCGCCUCCGGAGUGGCAAGCGCAAGGCAGUCGCCCAAGAAACCGGAGGAAACUCCAGUCAGAAACAGAAGCGGAAGGCUGAGCCAGCCGCCCCUGGGGAGGCCCUGGCCGUAACCCAGGGAAAUUUCAAGGGAAAACCCAAGGGCCCCUGGAAGCCCAAGAAAGUCAAGGAUCAAGAUGGAAAUGAUGUUUUGGAUCUGCCAUGUCACUCCACACCAAGAAAGAUGAAGAGGGUAAUUUUAUUUACCCAAAGCAUACCACUCGACAGUGCCAGCUCCUGAUCCAGCAGUUUCAGGGCAAGCAACCCAAAGAUAAGGAAAAAGAGCCAGACAGAGUUGAGGACAAGGAUGAUAGUGACGAUGGAUACCCCCAAGUCAAUUCCACCCUGAUGAUUUUUGCUGAUGUCGAAAGCAAAAGUCGACUGAAAGUCAUUAAUCGUGAAGUGAAUAUGGUUGCUCCGGCAACACCUAGUUAUCUGAAGUGGUCUCAGGCUGCCAUAACAUUCGACCAGUCUGAUCACCCUACGCACAUUGCCACCCCUGGGAGGCAAGCUUUGGUGGUCGACCCAGUUGUCGAAGGCACUCGACUGACCAAAGUCCUGAUGGAUGGUGGCAGUGGCCUGAACAUACUGUAUGCUAAAACAUUGAAAGGGAUGGGCAUUCCGAUGUCCGGGCUCAGUACCAGCAACAUGAGCUUCCACGGAGUCAUUCCCGGGAAGUAAGCCGAAUCACUCGGCCAGAUUGCUCUUGAUGUGGUUUUCGGUGAUUCAAAGACUUACCGCAAGGAAAAGUUGACAUUCGAGGUUGUGGACUUCCAAAGUGCUUAUCAUGCCAUUUUGGGCAGACCAGCUUAUGCACGCUUCAUGGCCUGACCAUGUUAUGUGUAUCUCAAAUUGAAGAUGCCUGGUCCUAAAGGUGUGAUCACUGUUACAGGCAAUCGGAAGAAGGCAGAAGAGUGUUUUCAGAAAGGCUCAAAGAUUGCUGACGCUCAGAUGGCAGUGGUUGAGCUGCAAGAGUAUCAGAAGACUGCAGAUCCGAGUGAGUUGCUACGAGCUAAGAAGCCCACUUCGGAGUCAGCUUUUCAGUAGUCUGGUGAAAUGAAGGCAGUUCACAUUCACCCGACCAACCCCGAGGCUGCCCCGACUCACAUCUCAAAGACGCUCGACUCCAAAUAGGAAGAAGUGCUCAUCCAGUUCCUCCGUGAGAACUGGGACAUCUUCGCAUGGAAGCCUUCUGACAUGCCUGGAAUAACCAGGGGGCUGGCUGAGCACCGUCUACGAGUCGACCCAAAGUUCAAGCCUAUGAAAGAACAUCUUCGACGGUCCGCCGUCCAAAAGAGGAAAGCUAUUGGCGAGGAGGUGGCUCGGCUCUUAGCAGCAGAGUUCAUCCGAGAGAUGUACCACUCUGAGUGGCUCGCCAAUGUUGUCAUGGUCCCCAAGAAGGACAAGUCGCUUCGCAUAUGCAUCGACUUUAAACAUAUCAAUCGGGCCUGCCCGAAAGAUCAUUUUCCUCUCCCUCGCAUCGACCAAAUAGUCGACUUGACCGCGGGGUGUGAGCGAUUGUCUUUUCUAGACGGCUAUUCCGGGUACCAUCAGAUCCGUCUGUAUGGACCCGAUGAGAUCAAAACAGCUUUCAUCACUCCAUUCGGGUGCUUCCGUUAUGUCACCAUGCCCUUCGGCCUCAAGAACGCUGGAGCCACGUUCAUGAGGAUGAUUCAGAAGUGUUUGCUCACUCAAAUCAGUCGGAACGUGGAAGCAUACAUGGAUGAUAUUGUGGUCAAGUCGCGGAAAGGUUCCGACCUGCUGACUGACCUUGCUGCAACCUUUGCCAACCUUAGGAGGUAUGAUAUCAAGCUUAAUCCAUCAAACUGCACAUUCGGAGUUCCGGGUGGAAAGUUACUCGGUUUUCUCGUUUCCGAAUGAGGAAUCAACGCCAAUCCCGAGAAAGUUGGCACCAUACUCCGGAUGAAGCGCCCUGUGCGUGUGCACGAUGUCCAGAAGCUUAUGGGUUGCUUGGCCGCUCUAAGUCGAUUCAUUUCUCGUCUCAGUGAAAAGGCAUUGCCUCUUUACCGACUGAUGAAGAAGUCUGACAAGUUCGAGUGGACUCCAGAAGCUGAUGCAGCGUUUGCAGACCUCAAAGCUCUGCUCUCCACCCAGCCGGUGCUUGCUGCCCCAAUCAGUAAAGAGCCUUUGCUGCUUUACAUUGCAGCCACAGGACAAGUUGUCAGUACAGUACUUAUGGUCGAGCGGGAAGAUGAAGGAUAGGCCUUCAGAGUUCAACGCCCAGUAUAUUAUGUGUCUGAAGUUUUGACACCUUCAAAACAAAGAUAUCCUCAUUAUCAGAAGCUUGUAUACGGGAUUUAUAUGACCACGAAGAAGGUUGCACAUUACUUCUCUGACCACUCCAUUACAGUCGUCAGCGACGCCCCACUGUCAGAGAUUCUGCAUAACAGAGAUGCAACUGGUCGAGUGGCGAAGUGGGCGAUUGAACUCCUUCCCCUAGAUAUCAAGUUUGAAGCAAAUAAGGCUAUCAAGUCCCAAGCAAUUGCAGAUUUCAUCACCGAGUGGAUCGAACAGCAGCUUCCGACUCAAGUUCACCCGGAGCACUGGACCAUGUUCUUCGAUGGAUCUAAGAUGCUGAAUGGUUCCGGUGCUGGGGUAGUAUUGGUCUCCCCCCGAGGAGAUAAGCUCAGAUAUGUUCUCCAGAUUCACUUUGAUUCCUCCAAUAAUGAAGCAGAAUAUGAAGCACUUUUGUAUGGGUUGCGCAUGGCCAUUUCACUUGGCGUCCGUCGCCUCAUGGUCUAUGGCGACUCAGAUUUGGUGGUUAAUCAGGCGAUGAAGGAGUGAGACGUCAGAAGUCCGGCAAUGACUGGUUAUUGCAAUGUAGUGAGAAAGCUAGAAAAGAAAUUCGAGGGGUUAGAGCUUCAUCACAUCCCCCGACUGAAAAAUCAGGUAGCUGACGAUUUGGCAAAGAUAGGCCCCAAGAGAGAAGCCAUUCCCAGCAACGUGUUCCUGGAACACAUUCAUUCGCCAUCAGUCCAAGAAGAUCCUUUUACAGAAGAAGCCCCGCAGCCGAAAAGUGCCACAGAUCCGACUGAAGUCGAAGUCCCUGCUGUGGUCGACCUAAUCAUGGAAGUCUUCGCAAUCACUCCCGACUGGACGAUACCGUACAUCGCGUAUAUCCUAAGGAAAGAACUCCCGGAGGACGAGGAAGAGGCUCGACAGAUCGUCCGCCGAUCCAAAGCCUUCACAGUCACAAGGGGACAGUUGUAUAGAGAAAGCGCGACUGGGAUCGGUCAGAAGUGCAUAACACUAGAAGAGGUUCAGAUAAUCCUUGACGACAUCCACUCGCGGACCUGUGGUCACCAUGCGUCUUCUCGGACCAUUGUGGCUAAAGCAUACCGAGCGGGAUUUUACUGGCCAAGAGCAAAUGAGAUGGCAAAAGAGAUAGUCGACCAGUGUGGAGGGUGCUAGUUCUACUCCAACAUGUCACACAAGCCUGCGUCAGCCCUGAAGACCAUUCCACUCGUCUGGCCCUUUGCUGUCUGGGGACUGGACAUGGUUGGUCCACUAAGAACAGGCAGGAGCGGUUUCACUCAUGUGCUUGUGGUAGUCGACAAGUUUACCAAAUGGAUUGAGGCUAAGCGCAUCAAGAAUCUUGAUGCUUGCACUACUAUCAGUUUCGUCAGAGGGCUAACAUUCAGAUAUGGAGUCCCGCAUAGCAUCAUCACUGACAAUGGGUCAAACUUUGAUUCGGACAAGUUCAGAGCUUUUUGCGCCUCUCAAGGCACACGAGUCGACUACGCAUCGGUCGCCCAUCCCCAGUCGAAUGGACAAGCAGAGAGAGCAAAUGGUUUGAUUCUCAAAGGACUAAAGCCUCGACUGAUGCGCGAUCUCAAGCACGCGGCAGGUGCUUAGGUCGACGAGCUUCCGUCAGUUCUGUGGGGAUUGAGGACCACCCCGAACCGGUCGACUGGAGGAACUCCAUUCUUUCUGGUUUAUGGAGCCGAGGCAGUUCUGCCGAGUGAUCUUCUUCACAACGCACCCCGAGUCGAACUUUAUACCGAAGAUGAAGCAGAACAAGCCCGGCAAGACGCAGUCGACCUACUAGAAGAAGAGAGGGAGAUGGCCAUGAUCAGAUCGACCAUUUAUCAGCAAGACUUGCGUCGAUUCCACGCUAGGAAUGUGAAGAGUCGAGCCUUCCAAGAAGGAGAUUUGGUCCUCCUAGUGGAUCAACAGAAACCACACAAGCUUGCUCCUACUUGGGAAGGCCCCUUCAUCGUCACCAGAGUCCUCCACAAUGGAGCGUAUCACCUCUACAAUGUUGAUCGCCAGAUCGAUGAGCCGCGAGCUUGGAAUGCGGAACUGCUCCGCCCCUUUUACACUUGAGUUCUCCCUUGGACGAGAUGUAAUAAGAAAAAAUUUCUGCAGUUCAUUUUUAUCAAAGGCAAGAGUGUUCCAAUAAUUGCUGUCACUUUUGUUUGCAUACGAAAUCCCCCAGUGGGUGACUUAGCUGCGAAUCCGUUUCGCCUAAGUUUGAAAAAUCCUACCGAGUGGAGAGCCAGAUUCCCACUCGGGGGCUUAGCUCCAGCCCAGUGCUUGCCUAAGUGUUCAAAAAUCCUACCAAGUGAGAGCAAUCCUCCCACUUGGGGGCUUAGCUGCAGUCCAGUACUCGCCUAAGUUCUCCCACUUAGAGACUUAGCUGCAGUCAGGCACUCGCCUAAGUUUGAAAAAAUCCUACCGAGUGGAGAGCAAUCCUCCCACUCGAGGGCUUAGCUGCAGUCCAGUACUCGCCUAAGUUCUCCCACUUAGAGACUUAGCUACAGUCAGGCACUCGCCUAAGUUUGAAAAAAUCCUACCGAGUGGAGAGCAACCCUCCGACUCGGGGGCUUAGCUGCAGUCCAGUACUCACCAAAGUUCUCCCACUUAGAGACUUAGCUANNNNNNNNNNNNNNNNNNNNNNNNNNNNNNNNNNNNNNNNNNNNNNNNNNNNNNNNNNNNNNNNNNNNNNNNNNNNNNNNNNNNNNNNNNNNNNNNNNNNNNNNNNNNNNNNNNNNNNNNNNNNNNNNNNNNNNNNNNNNNNNNNNNNNNNNNNNNNNNNNNNNNNNNNNNNNNNNNNNNNNNNNNNNNNNNNNNNNNNNNNNNNNNNNNNNNCUCUCCUUCCGAGCUACGCCACAAGUACAACAUGCGCUCUGCAAGGAGGACGAGGUGCAGGUCGACUGCUACCCUCUCCUUCCGAGCUACGCCACCAAUUCAAAAUCCUACUGAGUGGAGAGCAAACCUCCCACUCGGGGGCUUAGCUGCAGCCCAGUGCUCGCCUAAGUAUUUGAAAUCCUACCGAGUGGAGAGCAAACCUCCCACUCAGGGGCUUAGCUGCAGCNNNNNNNNNNNNNNNNNNNNNNNNNNNNNNNNNNNNNNNNNNNNNNNNNNNNNNNNNNNNNNNNNNNNNNNNNNNNNNNNAAAUCCUACCGAGUGGAGAGCAAACCUCCCACUCGGGGGCUUAGCUACAGCCCAGUGCUCGCCUAAGUAUUUAAAAAUCCUACCGAGUGGAGAGGAAACCUCCCACUCGGGGGCUUAGCUGCAGCCCAGUGCUCGCCUAUGUGUUUAGAAAUCCUACCGAGUGGAGAGCAAACCUCCCACUCGGGGGCUUAGCUGCAGCCCAGUGCUCGCCUAAGUGUUUAGAAAUCCUACCGAGUGGAGAGCAAACCUCCCACUCGGGGGCUUAGCUGCAGCCCAGUGCUCGCCUAAGUGUUUAGAAAUCCUACCGAGUGGAGAGCAAACCUCCCACUCGGGGGCUUAGCUGCAGCCCAGUGGUCGCCUAAGUGUUUAAAAAUCCUACCGAGUGGAGAGCCAGACUCCCACUCGGGGGCUUAGCUGCAGCCUAGCGCUCGCCUAAGUGUUUAAAAAUCCUACCGAGUGAGAGCAAACCCCUCACUCGGAGGGCUUAGCUGCAGCCCGGUGCUCACCUAAGUACAGGACACAACCCAAUCCGCAAGAAGUUACGCCACAAAUACAAGGUUAUUCCGAGUGAAGAUCAAGUUGCACUCGACAGAUCAAACCAUGAAGAUAUCCAACGAGAAAUCAAGUUCGGAUAAAGCCUAAAGGUCCCAGACCUCAGAUCAAAGUACUCGAGCCCUCGGCUCGGCAGAGUUUAACGGUUACAAAUCCACUCAGCAUUCCGAGGCAAAUUUAAAGUGAAGCACGACGAACUCGUCCAAGUCGAUCCCGUCUGCAAUACGAGUGGCAGCAGCGAUGAAAGUCUCCAUGAAGUCUUGAAAGCUGUGCUUCCUGGUAUUGGCAACUUGGAUGGCGGCCGGCUUUUCUUCUCGCGCCUCCUUGCAAUGGACGCGGACCAGAGACAGAGCGACAUCAGCACCACAUCUAGCAGAAGAUUUCUUCCAUUCCGCCACUCAACCCGGGACUUCAUUCUGUCGAGCCAUCAGAGACUCGAGGUCGUUCUGAAGCAUCAUCCCAGGCCAGAGUGAUGUGUCAAUCCGCGACAUCGCAACCUUCAGUCGAGCAAGAUAGUCAACAACACUGGUAACACGAGACUCCAGUCGGAGCACGUUCAUAGCAGCUUCAUCCUUCACGAGAGAAUUGGCGGGGUCCAAGCCUGGCUCCACUCGACUGGUUUCCUCUUCGAAGUUCUGGCAGAAUUCUGCAAACACGAUUCAAGAGUCAGACAUUGGCUCUACACAGGCUUGGCAACUGCAAGACAGUCGGGGCAGAGUAAUUACCUUCGAGCAUGACGAACAGCUUCUUGGUGAGUCCACCGAGAUAAGCCUCCAGAUCAUUUACCUUCCCCGCCAGCUUACCCGCCUGGUCGUGUAGAACCAUCUUUUCAUUCUUCAGUCGGCUGACCUCUUGAUUAGCUGUCUCGAGAGCAGUUUUCAGCCUCGAGUUCUCCUGUUCAAGAGUUCCGACCGAAGCCAUUUUCUCUUCUCCAAGCUUCGUUCUGCUCAAGGCCUCCUUCUGUGAUUCUGCAAGAUCUUGAUCCUUCUUCUUCAGAGCUUCUUCCAGUUUAUCUGCGGCACGUCGAGUGAAAUCAACAUCAAGAAUGGACAAGCAAGAAAAAUCACUCGUCAAGAAUGGAGAACCUCACCAGCCAUACCUUUUGCUUCUUCUUGCGCCUUCCUCAAAUUCUCUUGAGCAAGCUUCAAGUUAAGGUUGAGCUGGAUCUGCUUAUUCUCCAACUCAGUAUAGCGAGCUACAAGUUCACAGGAUUUCUGCAAAAAGAAAAAUCAGUGGACAGACGUCCAAGAUAAGUUGCUUCCCAAUAACUAAAAGACAACGAUGGCGUUUCUAAGACUAUAGCCGAAUCUAAAACAUUCGACAGUAGUCUCGGGGACUACACCCAGUGGGUGCACUCUGCGUGCCCCCAUUGUAAAAAAAGUCGACUGCCCGCAGUCGACCGGAUACAGUUCCAUUCGACAUGGCCUGACCAGACCGAAUGAAGAAAUACAGCUACAACAACACAAUAUAAAGACUACAGUCGACUGCCAGCAGUCCACCAUAGUCUCGGGGACUACACCCAGUGGGUGCACUUAGCGUUCCCCCACUCGUCCAAGAAUUGGCAGACACACCCAGUGGGUGUACAGAUAUAAAGAUCUUCAAAAAAAAAGAUUCUUCAAACAGCAUAUCGUAACAGACCAAGUGUUGAGUCGACUGACCUGGACGUUACUCUGAAGAGCCGAACUCGCGUCAUAAGCCGCUUGGCUGGCCUCCCAAGCCGCUUUCACUUGUUCCAUCAUAAUCCCCGCCUGGCGUAUGGCCUCUUUUGCAGCAGCUGCUUGGUCCUCAGGGACGGGGUACGUGGCAAAAAGCGAAGGCGGAUCCGCAGUCGACGUCAAGGGCCGCACCCUCGUCAGAGGAAUGGCGAAAGUCACAGAAGCCCGAGUGGUUUCACCACCGUCUCGGGCUACGGCCUCAGGCGCCGGAGUGGAUUGUGGGGUCUCGCCAGCCGACGCUCCCCUGUUCCUUCUCACUCUCAGCGGCACGUCAUCGUCGUCAUCCGGAAGGUUGAUAACAUGAUAAGGAGCUACAAGAAAAAAUUCAAUCGACCAGAGUUGCAAUAAGUGUCCAGUCGACUGAAGGCAGAACAUCAGUAAUCAUACCAGGGUGGAGGUAACAGCAUCCUCCAUCUCUUGGUCGUCGUCCUUGGCAGAGACCUCCGAAGUAGGAGCACUGCAAAUCUCGAAAGUCAGUCAGUUGGCUCAAUGAAUCGACCAAGGAUCUGUCCACGGUCGACAAAGGAAAACAAGUUUUGUUAUUACCCAGAAAUGGUGGGGACAGCCAUCUUCAUCUUGGGCAGAGCCUUGGGCGGCUUGGACGGCGUCGCGCGUGGGUGCUUGGGAGCCUUUCCAGUCAGCGUAGGAGAAGAGGUUCGAGGGCGUUUCGACAACUGCCCAACAGGAGCAGUCGCCUACCACGUUCCCGCGCUGGAUCAUGUGUGAGCUUGGAUCGCCUCUCCCGGUGGGGGGGGGGGGGGGGUCAACCUCCUCCUCCUCCUCUUCGCUGGAGUUGACGUCGUCGUCUCCCUCUCCUUCGCCAUCGGACUCCCACUCGCCUUGAUCGUCUCCACUCUCACAUCCGCUCGCCUCCCCUUCCUCAGUUGGCUCCUGUGCCCCGUUGGGUGUCGAGUACAUCUCAGUAGUCGCCUGGAAAACAACAGACAAGACAAAAGUUAGUCGACCAAUUCAAAGAAGACCAAUGAAGAAAACAAGAUUUCAAUCGGGAGCGUAAAGUCAGACCUGGUCCACUUCGUAUUGUUGUCGAGUGGAGAAACCCUCCUGGCGCCUCGGGGGUUGUCUUUGUUUCCUGUGAUGCUCGUCAGCCACCCCUCCAACAUCUCAUCAGUGACCUCCUCCGGGUGGAUCCGAGUGGUGUCUUCGAGGCCCGAGUACAGCCACAUCGGGUGGCCGCGAGCCUGGAGCGGUUGGAUGCGCCUCCGAAGAAAGACCUCCAGCAAGUCCAUGCCAGUCACGCCAUCACGGACGAGCUGAACCACUCGACCAACCAGCACUUUGAAUUGGGUCUUUUCUUCUGGCGUCACUUUCAGAGAAGCAGGUUUUUGAGCUCGGUCGAGAGAGAAAUGGGGAAGCCCGGUCGACUGUCCUGGGGUCACCUGGUCUUUGCAGUAAAACCAGGUCGCCUGCCAACCACGGACCGACUCUGGGAAAAUGAUAGAUGGAAAACAACUCUUUCCCCUCGUCUGGAUCGCGAGGCCCCCGCACAGCUGGAUCACUUGCGUCCUUUCCUCACUCGACUUGGCCUUCUUGACCGAUUGGGAGCGGCAAGUAAAGAUGUGCUUAAAGAGCCCCCAAUGGGGGCGGCAACCCAGGAAACCCUCACACAAGGAAAUGAAGGUAGCAAGGUACACGAUAGAGUUGGGAGUGAAGUGGUGGAGCUGCGCUCCGAAGAAAUUUAGAAAACUCCGGAAAAAAGGAUGAGGAGGCAGAGAAAACCCUCGAUCGAUGUGGGUGGUGAGAAGGACACACUCACCAUCACGGGGUUGAGGCUCGACUUCUCCCCCCUGGAGACGCGCAGCCUCGUAAGGAAUGACUCCCCCCUCAACCAUAUCGUCGAGGUCUUCCUGCCGAAUCACCGACGGCAUCCAAUCGCCCUGGAUCCAGCCUCUGGGCAGAGCAGUCCUUGAGGAAGAUCCGCCCCAAGCGGACUUCUUCCCUUUCCCCUGCACCGACGCCUUCUUCGCGCGCUCCAGAGCAGACGUCUUGCCCUUCACCAUCGUCGCCGGCGAAUCUCAAACGGGUCUGCGGCGCUAGGGUGAGAGCGGAGGUGGCGGAGGACUUCGCGAAGGGAGAAAGAAGAGAAAGAAGAGAAAGGAGAGAGCACUGUUCGGGAACCCGAGCAGGCGGCUUAUAAGAGGCCGCUCCUGAGUGGCUGACUGGUAGGCCCAGGCUAUCCCGUCAAAUCCCGCAGUAGACGCGCGCGCAGCUCGUGGCGGAAAAGGUGGCACGGGAAUCGAGGAGCUUCUGCCUUAUCACAUCCGAUUACUGCGGCCGCGCCCGUCCCGCUCGCUCCCCGAUGUUCAAAUCCCGCGAAAUCCGCGGGCUGCGGAACAACUCAUCAAAUAGAAGAUCCCUCUCGUGCCGGCACUCGGUAUUUCACAAGUAAGGAAAUUCACUCGACGGGAGACCAAGAAUGGAUCAAGGCGACCGAAAGAAGUUGACAACGUCAUCCUUGGCGAUAGAUCUAGUACAAGACGUCCAUAUGACGCUAAAAACCAGUCGGAAGGACCCCCAACUCCUUCCCCACUCGAACCUCGAUCCAUUCGGGGGCUAAUGACGAAGCUACGUACCUAGGGUAGGGGGAUGGACCUGUCCUAAGAGCCCUACCCAAGGACAUCCCUGGAAGAAGUCACCUUUCAAUCGACUUGAAGGUACCCACUCGACGGGUUUAAGACACUCGACCAAGAAGCUACCACUCGACACGAAGCCAAUCACUCGACUGCCAGGAGAUCUAAAGUCAUUCCACGGGCAAACGGUCGGCUAUUAAGUAGUCUUUAUGGUCAUUAUAGCACUUUAUUACCAGCGUUACCAGUAACGCCCCGCCUUAAUGUACAUUGAACCCUUGGUAACGUAGGCUGGCCGGGGUCCUGGCGCGCUCUAUAUAAGCCACCCCCUCCUCCGAGACAAGGGUUCGCACCUCUGUUAUUCACACGCCUAUAAUCCAAUCGACCGCCUCCGGGCACCGAGACGUAGGGCUGUUACUUCCUCCGCGAAGGGCCUGAACUCGUACACCUUGUUGUGUUUACAACUUCCCAAUAGCUGAGAUCUAGCCUCUCCAUACACACCCCCAACAUCACUGUCAGAGUUAGAACCACGACACCGCCUGCCGUGCCCCUCGCCGCACGCCCACCACCGCGCCAGCCCCCACUCUGUGGACGACCCUAGCCGCGCCCGCGCCGUGAUCCCCUUUUCCGCCCUACCUUCCCGCACUCGCCGCGGUCCCGAUGCUCCCCCGCGCCCUCUUUCAGGGGCGCCGACUGCCCCUGUCCCAUUACUCGCCGCCGCGCCUCGCCACCGCUCUACUGCUACGUUACUACUGCGCUGCGGCCGCCGCCUCUUCCCGCUGCUCCGCUAGCGCCGAAGCUCCCGGCUGGCUCUGCCACUGGUCACGUUUAACUACCGGUCUAAAUGGCCUAACCUCCCGGCAAAUGAACCCCCAGUAACCCACUGACACCGGGAGCCACAUCCCCUAAUUAACCAUUAAUAAAUUAAAACUCUUAAAUUAACAUUAGUGUAUGACAUGUGCGUCCCCUGUUAAUUAAUAAUUUACAUUAGUGUAUGACAUGUGCGUACCCUGUUAAAUAAACUGAUUUAAUUAAAAUCUAUUAACUUCGAGUCUAUGACAUAUCACUACUUGGGAAAAUCCUAGCAGUAGCGUGGGUAUUUUUCCUAUCAGUUGCGCCGGAUACCGCUCUACUGAUAAGGCACUACAGCUAACAUGUAGCAGUAAUGCGUGUCAUCCAACGCUACUGCUGUACAUGGCUAGCAGUAGCGAGCUUUAGUGCAAAGCGCUGCUGCUAAUAUCUGCAGCGCUUUUCAGCAUGAAGUGAUACUGGUAAGGGACCUCUACUACUAACUUUAUUCCCCUCGCUACUGCUAGUUUUAUUAGUUUCUGUUUUUUUCUGCAUAUUUCUUUUGUAUUUGAACAGGCUUUAUACAAUAAUAUUUAGCGUAUCAUACACAUACAAAUGUAAUCAUAGCAUAUACAUACAAAUAGUCUCGUCAAAUCAUGUCAUCAUCAUAAUCAUCAUCCAUCACAAAGUGGUCUCUCGUCAUCAUCUCUAAAAUAGCGAUACAAGUCUCGAUUACUUGCAACUACAUUGUCAUCCGUCUAAACAAUGAUAUACGCGAGAAGAGCUAUCACUAUGAGUGAGAGCGGAACUAUGCAGUACAUGAGUUUGUAUCCCUCUCUCGCAUUAGCGUGAACCUAAACUAACUACUAGUUGUCGCUCGGAAACCAGAAACCGGUACACCUGGGCCUGACACUCCGUCCACUCAUCUUAUACUCCUGGCGUAGCACUUCUGUGCCAUCGAUGAUCUAUGCACCUGCAUCGUCACAUGAGUCGAUGAUAUGCAACAUAUAUAGUUGAGCAAUAGAAACAGACAGACUUGGCAAAAAUAGAAGCAACAUAUCAUAAGCAUAAAUAACAAAGUUCAUCAUACCCAAAAUGCCCUAACUAGAGUGAUCUUCGCUAGUCGAGGAGGACGGUUUAAUUACAUCACAAAUAAUGUUUCAUCUUGCAUAACUCAAAGUGCCAUCAUACAGAAAGUAUGAACUAAACGGACACAUUGUCAUAUGUCGACAAUCACUCCAACAUGUCGUGCCAUCGAUCCAAGUCAAGGAGAUAGUCCCCGAGCUUAGUGAAAGGCUUCAGGUUGAGACGCUGAGCGGCAACGCGUGUUCGGACGUCUUCCCUCGACAUUUUUCCUUCUUCAUAGAACAUCCCUGUUUUUUCGAUGACCUCCCUCAUGAUGAUUUGGGCAAGUUCGCACUGGAAGUGAUAGAACUCAUCUUGAAGUCGAUGAUCCUCGAUAUCUCCUAAGUUCUUUGCCCAUUGCAGAAUAUGGGCAUCGCCGAAUCUAGGUGUCAUGCAAAGGUUCUGGUGAUCCCGUAUGUACUCCAUCAUGUGGUGUAGGACAUAGAAUCCAUCAUUAAGAGAAUCACUCAGUUGCUGGAUACAGCAGAAGCCGGUCUUAUGGCCGAAGGCGGGCCUGCCGUCCCUUUUCUUCUUGUCCUUGACCUCUCCACCCCGUGCACCGUAGUAAAACAUAGCACCGUCGAGAACAUACUUGAUGUGGGUGUAAUCCUUUUUUUUAAUGUUCUUCGAUGAGUCCAAGUAAAGAGCGUGGGAGUAUCGGGGGUAGAGGAUGAUGAGGAUGGUGCACCCGCCGCUGCGCAAAAUAAGUACACCUCAAAUUAAUUAGCCUCCACCGUGCAAAUGAAUGAUUGAAAUCGUAGGAAGGAUAUCCGCGUGGAUGACUUACAGGGGAUGAUAAGGCACAAGAAUCACCUCCUUGUCCUUAUUGGCACGCAUGAAAUUGACGAUGUAUUCCUCGCGUAUUCACGGUGCUUUGCGUGGACUCACAAGAAGACCUCGUGCAUGAAGUACCGAUCAGUGACACAGAUAUGAGGUAUUUGCUCAACCCCGAUGAGGUAGUUCAUGUGCAAGGCAUAAAGGUGGACGAAUGUAAAAUCCAGCUUCUUUAAGUGAAACAUGUCGAAGAUGUAAUCCAAUCGAAGGAAGAACUUGUUCGAGGGGAAUGUGUCGAUGUACGACAAUUGCAGCGACACGUUAACCACGGAGAGUGGGUAUGCUGGAUUUUUUGAGGCAAUGAGGCCUUUCUCUAUCAGCAACACAUCAUCAUGAAGUCUCCUUAUAUCGCCAAAUCAGGCCCCUAGCGCUGCUUUAGGUAGGAUUGGUUAACCGGGGAUACGCCAUAUUGCCGCACCGAGGAUAUCUAUACGGUCUUGAACCCGAGCCUGCUGAGGUGGCUGGAUCAUAGAAGCACCUUUGUUUCCUUUCCUCGGUGUCUUCCUUGGCUUCUUUGCUACCGGAAAGUCGUCUAUAAUAUGUUCAGCCUCUGGAGGCGGCAAUUCAGGCACCAACUCAUGCGCUCAAACCCUGAGUAGGCGCCAGUAUUGAGGUAUUGUUGAAUGUCAUCGUCGUCCUCAUCUAUGGCGAUGUCACUAGCGACAAAUCGAGCCUCUUCCUCACCCCGUCCGCUAUCACCCAGCACGACAGCCGACGCUAAUUGGGUAGGUGGGGUGUUGAUGUUCGUACCUAACUGCGUGCUCGUGUGUGUGCUCCCGGCCGCCUCCAGACAAAGCAGACUCUUUGACCACAACAGGACCCACCCAUUGCAACCACCAAGCCGCUGCGGGGUCUCGUCGUCAUCCCCUAGUAUCGGAGGAGCCAAAUUCUCGUGGCCCGGUUUGACACUGGCCACGAAAACUUUGAAGACAUACGGGGGGAUUGGUCGGCCAUGGAACAAUGGUUCCUUCGGCUUCAUUACCGUCACCUUCCCCACGUCCACCUUUUGGUCGCCGAUGUUGUACAAUAUGGUGCACGGGGUUACAUCGGCCUGCAAAGACACCGUGAGAUUAUACAUUUAUGGAAGAGGGCCGGUGUGACAGAUACCGUGAGGGCGUCGAGCUCAGCCAAAGACGAAGGACAGCUGAGCACGGCCGGUGUGGGAGCCGGUGUGGGAGCCGGUGCAGGUGCAGGUGCUGGUGCAUCGCUAGUCGUGCUACUCCCGAAGAAGUCAACAAUGGGAAAGUCCGCUGCAUUUUUUCUGGAUUUUGCAUGCUCCAAUUGAAAACGGCUGGAACCAAGACAAUAGACAUAUCUGCAACCACCUGUUUUGCGGCAGCUACCGUUAUCGUGACAGUCUCAGAUGAUUUCUUCUCUACUGCAAUCUCAACCUUCUUGUCGAUGUUUUCUUCAGUUAACCUCCAUCUUUCCUUUCUCUCCUCCGUGGUCUCACGGUAGCACUUCUUCCACGUGGCCCCGUCUCCGACACCGUGAACGCGUCCAUACGACGACCGAGUCUCCACUGGGAGUCCUUUCAAUAUGUUCAAUGCCCGGUUGAAUGGAGUGUCCCACUUGGGCCUCGCCAACGCCUCAGACGGCGAGUCUCUUUCGGUCGCAAUCUUGUGCUGCUCUCUCUACAAAAGGAACAAGGAUCAUUUACAAAUAUGACUAAACGUGCAGUCGAAUUGAUCAGAAACUAAAAUUACCAGCAGUCUCAUGAACUCCGUCGUGAUCGGGUCCGUCUUGAAAACCUUCUUGACCGAGUGCCAAUGGUGCCGUGCCCUGAGGACGUCAUGCUCCUACAGGACGGUGAAGUCCGCCAAGGGGUCUAGGAUGCCAGACUUUCGCGUUUCGUGUCCUCCUUGGCCCAUAUGGACCUCUUCCUGCUGUAACCACGGCUUCCGAGGUGGCGGUGCCCCAUGUUCCUUUGUUGAAACCCCUUCAUGUACUUUGACUUUGUUUUGGCAGUUUCAGCCUCGCAAGCCGCCUUGAAUAUUUCAAAGUGCUCUCCCGUGAUUGUCGGAUUAUCCUUUACAAUCUCGGAGUAGGGUUGAUACGUCUCCAAUGUAUCUAUUAUUUUUGAUUGCUCCAUGCUAUAUUAUCUACUGUUUUGGACAUUAUUGGGCUUUAUUAUCUACUUUUAUAUUAUAAUUUGGACUAACCUAUUAACCGGAGGCCCGAGCCCAGAAUUGCUGUUUUUUUGCCUGUCUUAGGGUUUCAAAGAAAAGGAAUAUCAAACGGAGUCCAAACGGAAUGAAACCUUCGGGAACGUGAUUUUCUCAACGAACAAGACCCAGGAGACUUUGACCCUACAUCAAGACACAAGGCGAAUCAUGUACGUAGCCACUAGUGAAACAUAUUAUCUUUAUUAUAUCUAUCAGAUCUCACUCUCGUAAGUGGCCGUGUUGGGAUUGACAACCCCUAUUCAUGUUGGUUGAGAGGAUUGAUUUGUUUUGUGCAAGUACAAAGGACUCGCGCGUAGCCUCCUAUUGGAUUAAUAGCUUGGUUCUCAAAAAGUGAGGGAAAUACUUACGCUACUUUGUUGCAUCAUCCCUUCCUCUUCGGGGAAAACCAACGCAGUGCUCAAGAGGUAGCAAGAAGGAUUUGCUGNNNNNNNNNNNNNNNNNNNNNNNNNNNNNNNNNNNNNNNNNNNNNNNNNNNNNNNNNNNNNNNNNNNNNNNNNNNNNNNNNNNNNNNNNNNNNNNNNNNNNNNNNNNNNNNNNNNNNNNNNNNNNNNNNNNNNNNNNNNNNNNNNNNNNNNNNNNNNNNNNNNNNNNNNNNNNNNNNNNNNNNNNNNNNNNNNNNNNNNNNNNNNNNNNNNNNNNNNNNNNNNNNNNNNNNNNNNNNNNNNNNNNNNNNNNNNNNNNNCCUCCACCCUCGUGGGCCCCCUGUUGCUCCACCGACGUACUCCUUCCUCCUAUAUAUACCUACGUACCCCCAAACGAUCAUAUACGGAGCCAAAACCCUAAUUCCACCGCCACAACUUUCUGUAUCCACGAGAUCCCAUCUUGGGGCCUGUUCCGGAGCUCCGCCGGAGGGGGCAUCAAUCACGGAGGGCUUCUACAUCAACACCAUAACCUCUCCGAUGAAGUGUGAGUAGUUCACCUCAAACCUACGGUUCCAUAGUUAUUAGCUAGAUGGCUUCUUCUCUCUUUUUGGAUCUAAAUACAAUGUUCUCCCCCUCUCUUGUGGAGAAUUAUUCGAUGUAAUCUUAUUUUUGCGGUGUGUUUAUUGAGACCGAUGAAUUGUGGGUUUAUGAUCAAGUCUCUCUAUGAAUAAUAUUUCAAUCUUCUCUGAAUUAUUUUAUGUAUGAUUGGUUAUCUUUGCAAGUCUCCUCGAAUUAUCAGUUUGGUUUGGCCCACUAGAUUGAUCUUUCUUGCAAUGGGAGAAGUGCUUAGCUUUGGGUUCAAUCUUGCGGUGUCCUUUCCCAGUGACAGUAGGGGCAGCAAGGCACGUAUUGUAUUGUUGCCAUCAUGGACAACAAAAUGGGGUUUUCAUCAUAUUGCAUCAGUCUAGCCCUCUACAUCAUGUUAUCUUGCUUAAGGCGUUAAUUUGUUUUUAACUUAAUACUCUAGAUGCAUGCUGGAUAGCGGUCGAUGAGUGGAGUAAUAGUAGUAGAUGCAGGCAAGAGCGGUCUACUUGUCUCGGACAUGAUGCCUAUAUACAUGAUGAUACCUAGAUAUUCUCAUAACUAUGCUCAAUUCUGUCAAUUGCUGAACAGUAAUUUGUUCACCCACCGUAGAAUACUUAUGCUCUCGAGGGAAGCCACUAGUGAAACCUAUGGCCCCGGGUCUAUCUUUAUCAUAUUAAUCUUCUACUACUUAGUUAUUUCCUUUGCUUUUUACUUUUCCUUUAUUUUACUUUGCAUCUUUAUCACCAAAAUACCAAUAAAAUUAUCUUUAUCAUAUCUAUCAAAUCUCACUCUGGUAAGUGGCCGUGUAGGGAUUGACAACCCCUAUUCGUGUUGGUUGCGAGGAUUUAUUUGUUUUGUGCAGGUACGAGGGACUCGCGCGUAGCCUCCUACUGGAUUGAUACCUUGGUUCUCAAAACCUGAGGGAAAUACUUACGCUACUUUGCUGCAUCAUCCCUUCCUGUUCGGGGAAAACCAACGCAGUGCUCAAGAGGUAGCAAGGGUUCCUUUUUGUCGACGAUCCGAUGUUUCAACCUUGUUUUCCAGGCGGCCAACGCGUCGCUAAACUUGGGCAUGGCGUGUUUGUUUAUCUUCUUCAUUGCCACGUCCUUAUCUGGAUCAUUAUUAUCCUUUUCAUUGCAGUCAGGGAACAAGAAUAUCUGGUGCAGCUUCUUUAGGAGGGAGGGCCUCAUAUUAUCUAUCUUCUGUAGUUUCCCAUCGUUGAUCGUGGCAGUUGUCCGUACGAUGCAACCUAUUUGAUUGCCGUAGCACGAUCGCGCUUCCUCGGGCGCUAUUGUCUCAAAAAUACCGUUGUCCAUCUCCGUGACCACCAGUCUAGUACUCAUGAGCUGGUUUGGGUGCCGUGGCCUCUUUGCUUUCGGUUCUAGACCAGCUCCGCUAGUCUCGGCGCCGGUCUCAGUCUCAUCACCGGUCUGCAUGUCGGUAUCAGUCCCCGAUGCGACAGCACAGUCGCUGCAACAUGGGUAAGGGAGACCACAUCAGUGCUGGGGUGGUCUGAAAAUUGGGACACACUUUCGCGCAUUGCGGGCCGCCUCUCAGACAGCUACUGGGGAGGCGGCGGAGUACCUGGGUGCGCGACGAAUCCCCGGGAACUCGGUGACCAACUUCCUUCCCAUGUAGCGCAUGGAGACGAUGGCGACCCCGCCGAAGAGCAGCUUAGUUGCGAGCUGCACAGCCUCGUCCACCUCCUAAGUUGGGACCUCCGCGCGAGCGUUGCGGGGCCGCCGCUCGGAUGGCUUCUGGAAGGCGCUUGUACAUGGGCACAGGGUGAAUCCCGGCAAGAGCUGGCCAUUGGUGCGCGCAAGUAGACGACGACGUCGCCGACGAAGAGCAGCCCGGCCAGCUCGCCUCACUCUCCUUUGAUUAGAAUUGAAAGAUUGGGAAGAAGCAGACUUGAGCCUGCAGGGAAAGGAUAAGGUGACGAUGCAGUCUCCACUCGUUCGGGGCGACACGCGUACUGAAUGUAUGAGAAACGCGACGUGGCAGGGACCCCAAGAUACUCCCUCCAUUUAUUUUUAGUCUGCAUAUAAAGUUUGGUCAAAGUCAAGAUUUGUAAAUUUUAACUAACUUUAUAAUAAAAAAAAUCAACAUUCACAAUAUGAAAUAAUUAUUACCAGAUGCGUCAUGAAAUGUAUUUCCAUACUAUAUAGGUUUGGUAAUGUAGAUGUUCAUAUUCUUUUAUAUAAAUGGGAAGUAGAGGCACUCUUCCAUAUAAUGAAGUUUAUAAUAUAUGUGCUUAUAUUAUACUAUAAUUGUUUGAAUAACUUAGCAUAUGUUCAGAUGUAUGAUAUCUGUAAUUUAAGCGCUUGAAUUUUACAUAUAAAUAUUUAUUAAUAAAUAUGUACCCCUAUAAUAGCUAGGCCGUGCAGUUGCACGGGUAGAUGACUAGUGAUUACAAUCUUGUUUGUGUGCAAGUCAAGCUUAUCUAGUUUACACGUAACAACUUGUAGAACAUUACAAAAUUUAUGCUUGCUAAUAACUUCUAGAACACUACAACACUUGACAUGUAAAAGGAAUUUGACGAGUCAUGGCCUACUAAAGAAAGUUACAUUACUAGUCUUAUAUCUAUCUUAAUAGACCACACAAGACUACAAAUUAAGUACCGUGACAGCCAUGAUUAUCUAGUUUAUGCGUAACAAUUUGCAGAAAAUUACAAACUUAGUUUUAGAAAAAUAGGCAAUCCAGAUUAGUGUUUGAGCUGUAAAGUGAAUAAGAUGAGUCAUGCGUGUUAUCACACCUUUUUGGUGGUGGAAUGAUAGUGCAAAACAAGGAACUUUAAUGAACAGUCCAAUAAUACACUUGUAAGUAGUGCCACCAAACAGAACAUACCAAAUGAUGAUUUUGAGAAGCAUCCAAGCACUUUCCACACAAACAAAUGCCAAUUGUGAAAGAGAUCAUUCCAUGGCAGCUAUAAAUAGCCCCGUAGCAUGACGAUCAUCCUUCCUCAUCCAUCAUUCUCAUAAGUAGAGCGCAUCAUUUAAGCCAAGCAAGCUGUGGUCAAUACAAAUCCACCAUGAAGACAUUUCUCAUCCUUGCCCUCCUUGCUAUCGUGGCGACCACCGCCACAACUGCAGUUAGAGUUCCAGUGCCACAAUUGCAGCCACAAAAUCCAUCUCAGCAACAGUCACAAGAGCAAGUUCCAUUGGUACAACAACAACAAUUUCUAGGGCAGCAACAACCAUUUCCACCACAACAACCAUAUCCACAGCCGCAACCAUUUCCAUCACAACAACCAUAUCUGCAGCUGCAACCAUUUCCGCAGCCGCAACUACCAUAUUCGCAGCCACAACCAUUUCGACCACAACAACCAUAUCCACAACCGCAACCACAAUAUUCGCAACCACAACAUCCAAUUUCACAGCAGCAGCAGCAGCAACAACAACAACAACAACAAGAACAACAAAUACUUCAACAAAUUUUGCAACAACAACUGAUUCCAUGCAUGGAUGUUGUAUUGCAGCAACACAACAUAGCGCAUGGAAGAUCACAAGUUUUGCAACAAAGUACUUACCAGCUGUUGCAAGAAUUGUGUUGUCAGCACCUAUGGCAGAUCCCUGAGCAGUCGCAGUGCCAGGCCAUCCACAAUGUUGUUCAUGCUAUUAUUCUGCGUCAACAACAAAAACAACAACAACAACCAUCGAGCCAGGUCUCCUUCCAACAGCCUCAGCAACAAUAUCCAUUAGGCCAGGGCUCCUUCCGGCCAUCUCAGCAAAACCCACAGGCCCAGGGCUCUGUCCAGCCUCAACAACUGCCCCAGUUCGAGGAAAUAAGGAACCUAGCGCUACAGACGCUACCUGCAAUGUGCAAUGUCUACAUCCCUCCAUAUUGCACCAUCGCGCCAUUUGGCAUCUUUGGUACUAACUAAGAAGAAAAUAACUCUAGUACUAGAUAUAUGAAACACCGUUUUCUCAGUCCAUGGUUUGGUCGUUGUAGCGGUGAAAAAAUAAAGUGACAUGCACUAUCAUGUAAGAACCCAAACUAUACUAGUUCAAACUUGGGAAUAAAAGACAAACACAGGUCUUGUCUACAUAUUUAUGCUGCAUCUAUUUAUAUAUUAAAAGUAAUAUAAGGUGAACCAGGAGCAAGGUAAAUAUGGUAGAAAAUUGCAC